CUCUGGUAAGAUGGGACUUGGUUUGUACAAGUCUCCAGUAGCUUUCAAAGUCAUAAAAACAUCCAUAUUGAUAGGUGCACACACACAUUUCAGAGAAUACCUCUGAAAAGGGCACCUUGUAGCAUAUUGGACUUUUGAGUGUUAAAAACCAUGUCAUUAGUGAGGCCUUCAUGGGCCUUGCUUUAGAUGAGUUUAAUGAAGUCUUAGGAAGCAUAAAAAGUCAUUGGAGUGCUCAAUUGAGUUAGUUAAGUGAGUUACAAGUUGAUAAAAUCAGGGCAGUGUGCACAUCAGGGUAGGCUGCUCUGUGCCAACUUGGCAUGGAGGCCUAGAGAGGCCUGAGCAAGGCCUUAGUGUCAAACCAAUUGCACAACUUAGGUUAAGGUCUUAGGAAUCCAGAGGAGUCAAAAUUUCAUUAAGGCACAAGGUGGAAACAUUUGUUUUUGCCAAGGCACUCCAAGGGGUGCCAAACUGCCUAAACAGAGUAGUCACUAGAGUGCAUUAGUUUUUAAAGGUCCUUGUAAGCAAGGCCUUUGAGUCACACCACUUCACAAGGUUAUUUUAGGAUCAUAUCAACCUGUAGCAAUUAAUUUGGAGUGAAUGCCUUAAGUGGAGAUGCCUCAUUUCCACUAAAAUACACAAGUGUCACACAUGGAGUCACAUUUUAGAACCAACUUAAAAUACAUUGCAUUUGAGUGUGUCAUCAGUGGAGCCUUGACCUCAUAUUGAGUUCAUAAGUUGAUUUAAGUCAAUGCACUUAGUUUAGAUGCAUCAUUCUUGUCAAGGCACACAAGUGUUGCCAAGGUGAGCAUACUAGUAAGCCAAUUUGGAUGCACUUCAUUUGUGAAGCUUGUGAGGAGGGGCACAAGUAUGCCUUACCCUUAUUUGGUUAAGUUGAGGUCAGUAGAGUAUAAUUAGGAAGUAUUGGUCUUAGAACCUAUGUGUUACUUGACUAAUUGCUUAAGUGACUUAGGCAUAAUUAGAGAUUAUUAAGUGAUAAUAGUUAAGUAAUAAAAUGCCAUGCUUUACUUGUUAUGUGAAUUACUUGACAAAUAUGUGACUUGUUAUUAAUUAAGUUUAAGUGUAUAUAUUUAUAUAUAUAUGUGUGUGUGUGUAUAUAUAUAUAUAUUUAUACACGAAAGGGUAGUUAGCAUUGUAGUGACGAGGAUACUAUUAAUUAUAGGUGCAAGUAGGAGGCCAGGCAAGGAACCCCUGGAAGGGAAGCAUCUAUACAAGAGUUCCGUAAGCUUAAUCCAGGCAAGUGAAACUCUUCCUUUAUACUUGCUUGAUAAUUGUAUACCCUGUGAAUACAUUGAUACUGCUUAUCUAGAAGUGAAUCACCUUAUCAUCCCCUUAUGAUCAAACUUUGGAUUCCAAUCAUACCCUUAAUACUUGAAUUACCCUUUUCAUAUAAUAUCACCUUACACCCACAUGAAUACACUCUAAUAGUCCCUUGAUGAAUAAUGAGAAUUUGAUACUCCACAUUAAACUGAAUUAUCUCUUUUGGAACCCUGAUCUUAAUAACAUUUCCUAUUUUAGAAAGAUCACUUAUGUUUUGAAAACACCCUUGCUUAAUGACUUGUCCUUGAUCAAGACCCCUUUUUGAAAAUGAAUUGAAUUGAUAUGACCUUAAAAAGGAAUUGGAUAAUAUUUUAUUUAAGACUGAGGAGCCAGUCAAUUAAUUGCAGCAUCAGUAGCGGGGAGCCUGAUGUCUGUUUAUGGCCAAUGUGUGCCGAGGAUCCAUUGUUGCUUUUGCACUUGUUUAUAUUGCAUACUGUGAACUGUUAUGUGCUGCUUUCACUUGCUGAGCUUUUGCUCAUAUAUUGUAUUGUUUAUUAUAACCCUUCAGUGAAACCCGAGAAUGGCUCGUUUCAAGCAGACCGCCCGUAAGACCACCUCAGGAUCGGGCAUUGCCUACCGCCAUAUGAUGGAGCAGGUUGGGAACUCGUAGUUCCCUAGUUUUAUCUUUUGAUACUUUUGGGGAUUAAAACUUGUAGUAAUGACUUAGAUAUUAUUUUGGUUUGUAAUAACUUUAGAUGUUGUUCAUACAUAUUCCUGGUGAUUCCGGGGUUGUGGAUUUUAGACUUGUAGUUUAAUAUUUUAUAAGUCUGUAGUUUAAUUAUUUAUCGUAUUAUGCAUGCUUUAGUCGGUUAGUAUUGUGUGUCCGUCACAGUCUCAAACAAUUGUUAUUGGCAGUAUGCACCCUAAAGUUGGAAAAGCGCUUCGCUUUGCACCCCUUUGAACACUCUCUGUUUAAUUGACCUUUAAAAUUAACAGAUGUUGGGUUUACACUUUGCACCCCACAAUUUUAAUUUUUUUUCAUUAGUAUUUUGAUUUUUUUUUUCAUGAAUUAGAAAAUUGUUUAUCAUACAGUAAUUGCCUUUCUGUGCUUAUGAAUCAACUUUUCGAUGCAGAUCAAAAGUCUUGCUCAAGAAAAUCCAGGCCUGAUGACUUUGAGAAGCACUGAUUUUGUUGCCAUCCAGUUGGAUGGUUGUUGCCUGGUAUGUAAUCUUGUUGCAGAAAGAAAAACGUCAUAGAUGCAGUGUUGACAUGAGUCUGAUAGCUAGUUUAUUUGAGAACCCUAAAAUUACUAUAUAUGUUUUCUAUUUUGUUGGAUUCAGAGAUAAUUCAAAUUUUCCCUUCCAAGUCGUCAUUGCUAGAAUGCCAGAAAAAAUGAUAAUUUUUAAUAUUUUGCGCUCUUUAUUUGUGAAGCAAGCGUUUAAUCUGAGUAAGGAGAAUUGUCGUCUGUGGUAACUAUCAUUUAUAAUCGUUGUCACUUGGCCAGAAUUGUUGAAUAUUCUAAUUGUCAGAUUGGAAAAUUUAAAGGCAGAAAUUGUGACGUGUAGCUGGCAAAUGAAAUUUUAUUUCUUGCAUUAGGAACUGAAGAGGUAUAACACUUAUUCGCUACAAGAUUAAUUAGUAACAAAUCUUCUUGCUUCUCUUUAGGUAUCCUAUAUAUCAAAUCCCUGUUAAACGAGUUGUGAAGGAGUUAGACUUAUCUGCAGCCUUCAUUACAUUACAUACAUUGUCCUCCUUCCAUCAAGGUAAAAGGAUAUCUUCCACGCAGUUUAUUAGCUAGAUCUCCCUUUUGGUUUGUAUUAUAUGAGUCGGCAACAAACAUUACAUUUCUAAUUUUCUUCAUUGUUAUGCACCCUAAAGUUCAAUGAUGACUCUAGGCUCGCAACUUCACGCUGUAUAUGUGUGUGUGUGUUCGCGAGAUAUGCUCUAUAUAUAUCAGUGAUAUGUUAUGUAAAAAUUAGUGAUUUCUGUAGUUAAUAAUAGUCAUAGGAAACUGACAAGAAACUUGUUUUUAAUUUUUGGGCUAAUUUGGCUUAUAUUGGAGUAGGACUUAUAUACUUUAUUCCAGACACCCCAUUGUUAUUUCUCACGCAUCUUUUCUUGUUAUCGCACAUACUUUCAAUCUCUUAUGAAAAUAAUUCCACCUUCCGCAUCAGCCUUUCGUUCAUAAUUUACCUUCCGUGAGCGGAACUAGCCCAUGACUCCCGGCCCAAAAAAUAUUUUUAUAAAAUUUAUAUAUAUAUAUAUAUGCGGCCCAAUAUAGUUUCAGCCUAGGUAGCCCAAAAUAUCAAAACCUAAUUCUGUAGUGCAACUUUGCUUCUCUAGCAAACUAAACCUAAUUCUAGUCUUCAUAGCCCACCUAAUUAAAAUCGCCUCUACUCCGUCGCUGUCGCUUUGUCUCCCAGCCGAGGCGGAUUCCAAAUCCUGGUUCCGUCCCAUGUGAUUGUUUGUGUUCACUGUUUGCACGCAUUUUGAGGUUCCUAUAACGUCUCGUUCCAUAACUUUUUUUUUUGAAUAAAAGUUUAAAUGACAAAAUUUUAUUCACGGAAUUUUUUUAAAAAUUAUUAUGAAACAAUACUUUAUAGGAGGGUCAAAAUGCGUGCCAAAAAGUAACAUAAAGAACGUGUUAGGACAGAGAGAGAGUAUAACGAAUAUUUGUACUUGAUUCAUACAUAAUCAAUAAGCCAUUAUCAUAUAUUUAUAUCUUACUUUGAAUUUCUAUUUCUCUGUACAUAUUUGGAGUUAAUGGAAUGUUGGGUUGUGAUUUUUGAGUCCCAAUCUAUGAUAUAAAGUUUUCAAUAAAGCAUAAAGUGAUCAUGAUAAAAUUACAUGAAAUCCUUAUCAUAACACACUUUAAUCAUCUUUUAAUUUUUGGUUAUGGUUCGAUCUUUUCUUAAAAUUAUAUAUUGCAUAUAUCAUUGUAUUAUUAAAUUAGUCCUUGAAAUUCAUAUUACAAAAAUAAUUUGAUGUUCAUCUUAUUUCAGUUUAUGUAAAAGAAUUAUUCUAAACAAUGAAGAAAUUGCUCCAACAUGACUUAAAAUGCCUUCUUCAUCAUGUGCUAAGCAGGUAAUAUUACCUUUUAUUGUAGUUAUUAACAGUACUGCUCUAUUUAAUGAUAAAGAACUCAAUGAGUUAAAUACCGGUAAUUAUGUUGUCUUGAUCCAUUUUUACCACCACAUUUCAGGUUGUCAAUAUGGUUGAGGACUUGGACUUUGAAGAAGAAAGCAGUGAUAUACGCGUCAGGAGGAGGCAGAGGCAGGCUUAAGAAAGUGGUAAGCUCUUUUACACAUAUAGGCCUAUAUAAAUUGAAUUGAUCACUUGUUAUAUACCUAACGAUAAUUUCUUCCCUUAAUUAAUAUAAACAGAAAAAAGUAUAAUUUUUUUUAUACAUAUCAAGUAUAUGUAAAAGAAUUAUUCUAAACAAUGAAUAAAUUGCUCCAUCAUGACUUAAAAUGCCUCCUUCAUCAUGUGCUAAGCAUGUAAUAUCGCAUUUUAUUUUAGUUAUUAAUACUGAUCUGUUUUAUGAUGAAGAACUCAAUAAAUUAAAUACUGGUAACCAUGUGUUUGUUUCCCCUUGCUAUUCUUAAAAUGUGUGCACAUAUUACAUACAUAUGUACAUAUGUACAUAGUAGUGUAUAUUUACUGAGCGUAACGCAUGUAUUUGUUGUAAGAAUGUUUAUUUAAAAUCUUUCCUAUAUAGAGUGUUCCUUAUGGUGACUGGUUUUGAAAUUCAGGUCGGACUUGGGAUGUAUUCGUAUAAGAAUCAGCCAGGUGCCUUGCAGUAUGUGGAGAAGCAAAUGCUCUCCACGAAGAGCCUGCUUGCACCAUUCUGAGCCACAGGUGUUGAAUCAUGACUUGCAUCUGGAGCGAUUGCUUUCUGUGAGGUCUUAAUUUCUUCAGUUAGUCCUCCAGGAACGUUUAACUCUUUUGGCACCAGAUUUACUUGCGUAGAAUCACGAACAACAGUUUUUGGUGUCUGACCAUAUCCCACAUUCACNAUAUAGAGUGUUCCUUAUGGUGACUGGUUUUGAAAUUCAGGUCGGACUUGGGAUGUAUUCGUAUAAGAAUCAGCCAGGUGCCUUGCAGUAUGUGGAGAAGCAAAUGCUCUCCACGAAGAGCCUGCUUGCACCAUUCUGAGCCACAGGUGUUGAAUCAUGACUUGCAUCUGGAGCGAUUGCUUUCUGUGAGGUCUUAAUUUCUUCAGUUAGUCCUCCAGGAACGUUUAACUCUUUUGGCACCAGAUUUACUUGCGUAGAAUCACGAACAACAGUUUUUGGUGUCUGACCAUAUCCCACAUUCACCGCACCAUCUGGACCAGGCGCCUCAGACGGCUGAGGCUGAAGAAAACCCAUUCCAAUAUUAAGAUCACCAUAAAGUUCAUCGUACUCAUCAUCAUCGCCAAUCAAUUCAUCCUGGCGCUGCAUGAUUUGUGAAAGGAACCAAAUGAAAAGAGACACGGAAGGCUUUAACAAAAGUGAUCUGUAAGUGUAAGGAGCGUGAGCAUAUAUGUAAGUUACCUAGAAUAUAAGAAUGUUGUAUUAGAACUGUAUAUAUGUCAUCGUGCUCCAACCUCAUGUAUGCCAGUAAGUUUGGAUCAUUUUUGGUGUUAAUGGUUGCAAUGUGUGUUGGGUGAGACAUAUCAUUUUUUUGAAUAAUUUUUGGUGUUAAUGGCUGCCAUGCAUUUAAUUGGGCAGACAUUUGAAUUUGAUGUCUUUUGAAAUAAUUAAUAAUUCUUUGUGAAUUUUUGAAACCUCUACCAAGAUCUUUUUAACUAUUUUGUUUCAAUGAUUUUGGCUAUGGUAACAUUUCAGUGUGCCAUCUUAAUAAAGAGGUAGUUCAGGGAUGAAGCAAAGUAUGUGUUGUAACACCUGAACUUAAUAUGCAACUUAAAAUAACCCGCACUUCUGAUAAUUAUAACGAAUUAUCAUCUGAAGAAACAAGCUACAGAAUCCUAGCUGGUAACAAGAUGCUACAUUGAGAAUUUUCGUUAAGUUGUCUUGCAAGGUUUCUAUUGCUUUGUCUUCAUUCUUGAAGCUUGAAUGAGUAAGUUAAGGGACCAACUUCAACGGAGUUCUGUUGUAGAAUGGAUGGAGGUAUAAUAAGAAACCAUGGUAUUAUACAAUUAAGAAAGCUAAUAUCAGAAAACCAUGGUAUUGGUCCUAUUUAGAAAUUAGCCGUUAGCUGCUAGCGGAUUGAAUUAGAUGUUUUGACUAGCUGAUGAAAUAGAUGUUUUGACUAGCGGAUUGAAAUAAUAUAUAGUUUCUUGUAAAUCUGUUUGGUAAAUAGUUGAUUGAUUAGCUUUUUCUGACACAAACCAAAAUCUCUAACCCAAAAAUUUCCUCAAAGUAGGUUUUUUAGAAUUAGUUUCUUGGAACCAAACCUCUAUUUCAACCCUCUAACUAUCAAACACUAAUAUUAGCGGAUUCUAGUAAUCAAACUUCUAACUUCCAAACUGGGCCAUUAUGUAGCAUGAAACAUUGAAUAAUUGAGAAAAAUAGGAAAAUAAAAUUACCCAUUUACAUGUUCUCCAAGAAUAUUUCCAACUUCUACAAGGGCUUCUCUCCACUUCUCCACCUUGUCAUUGUGCCUCAUUUUAUGCUUUUUUAGUGCGAGUCCAUAAUUUCCUAGCUAGUGUUUGAAAUCGCGAAUUUCAACCUAAAAAAAGAGUGGUAUAAUAAAAUAAGAGGAGUUCUUACGUUCAAGGAUGAGAACAAGUUCAUCAAGACACAUAAUUCUGGGAAAAUACAAUUAGGGCGCUCUUAGAGUUUUUGAUCACCUAUUUGAUUGUCGUCUUGUCGAAAACACCUCAUCUCCGACACGUAUAUCACUCUUGUCCAUGAAAGCUACAAAGCCUUGGGCCUUUAAAGCCUCAUAUAGAAAGCAUGUGAACUUGUAGCGAGUUUCCCCUCUGAAGCUCAAGAAGACAUGAGAAAUGACGCUUCUUUGAUCAUGGUGAGAUAGCUCCUAGAUUAGGAGGAGGCUUUAAGAUCUCUAACCAUAACAUGAAAAGUCAACUACAUUCCUACACAUUAUCAAGAAAAAAAAAAUCUUCUGAUAUAAAUUGAAAAAUUAGUUGAAAUCUAUGCUAAUAAAAAUACAUCAAAUUAACGAUGGAACGAGUUAUUUGGCGGAAAUUGUACUCAUAUUAUGAUUAGUUGGAUUGCUUUUAAAAGGCAAACUAAAUGUAGGAACUCAACUAGGUAAAAUUUCACUUCAUCUCCUACAUGCAUGCAUGUCGGUCAGACGGUCAAUGAGUUUCACCUCCCCCAUUUUUUUUUUUCCGGGACACUUUACAUUCGGUGAAUAAGAUAUUAUCAGGGGUUUUCUCGUAAAUACCCAAGUCCAAAAUAAUUUUUUUUUUACAAAAAUACUACAUUUUUCCCAAAUAUUUUACAAAAAUACCAAAUUUUUGAAAAUAUUUACAAAACUACUAUAUGCAACUAUACUUGCAAUCCCUGCAGGGCAAAUUAACUAAAGUUACAUCAUGUUGCAUCUAGUUGCAGAUCGUAUUUUUGCAAAUAUUUUCUAAAAAAUUACUAUUUUUACCAAUAUUUUCAAAAGACAGUAAAAUUACGGGAAAAAAACCUAGAAAAGUGGUGGUCUUGAUAAUUGCCGUUAAAAAUUCCAGAUAAAGCAGCUGUAAAAUGUCCUACACAACUGGUUUCAAAUUUCUAUUUACAGUCUAGCUUGUUUUCAAUAUAUAGGAUAUGAUUAUUUUUUCAUGAAAACUAUUAAAAACACUUUAUAUUAUUAGAUUUUGUAUUGAAUACUCAUAGUCACACUUGUAAACAGAAAAUAGAGUACGAAAGACUUUGAGUGGGAGAUUAGGUAAAGGAUCAAAGAGGUUAAUCGGCGUUUAAAUUAGUUGUAAUCUUCACUCUUGUAUCAUACGGUAAAAAAAUUGAUAAUACAUUAGUUUUGAAUUGAAGUUAUUUAUCCUAAAAACUCUAUUUGACUUCCAAAUUGGCUAAAUUCUUAUAAUGUAACGAUUUUCCUGCCAAAAAAAUUACACUAUUACCAGAAUUAUUCAUUUUCUUUUUUGAAACUCAAACAAUUUAAUUUACGAAACACAUAUAUAAAAUUGCUAUUAUGUUUCAGAAUUCAAAAAAUAAGGAGUUCAUUUAUUAUUAUUAGUAAAAUCCAUAUUAAUAUUAUAAAUAACUAAUAAAUUUAAUAAUUACGGAAUUAAUAUGCAAGUAAAUGCAACCAAAUUUUAGUUUAGUUAAUUGGCUUCGCAGGGAUUGCAAGUAUGAUUGCAUCUGGUUUCAAGUAUAAUUGCAUGUGGUUGCAUACAGUAUUUUUUCAAAUAUUUGAUAUAUUUGUAAAAUAUUUGAAAAUGAUGUAGUGUUUUAGUAAAAAAAAUAUUUUGGAUUUGGGUAUUUAUGAGAAAACCCCAUUUAACUAUUUGACUACCUCUUACUUGAUAUUUAUUGGGGGAGAUGUUAAAAUGUCCAAUUCUAAUCUCUAGAACUUCAUUUAUAGUCUAAACAAAGUUUAGGGGGUAUAGUGUCCACAAAAUCAAAAUUUCACUCUAACCUAUAUUAGCUCUUUCACAUAAAAUGAGAGAGUCAAAUUAGCUCAAUUUGUUCAAAAAUUAAAAUAUAUAUAUUUUUCUACCAUUAAACACUAAAAUUGAUUUUUAAUAACUUGUUAUCAACAAAAUACUUCUAUAUAUAUUUCAUUCCAGACACCCCAAUGUUAUUUCCCAGGCAUAUGGCACAUCCUUUUCAAUCUCUUAUUAUAAUAAAAAAUCAUUCAACAUUCAUCACUUCAUACAAUCAUCCCUUCAUCUCCUUAUUCUCUCUAUUUAAAAUUUCACCUUGGGCAUCAGCCUCUCGUUCAUAAUUUACCUUCAGUACAGGCCGGAACUAGCCCGUGACUAGGUGGAUUCCAAAUCCUGCUUCCGUAUGAAUCUGUCUUCUUAAUUUAUCAUUUUUAGUGUAAUCACUACAUCACCAUCAUCCACAGCAAUCAUUGUAUAUAAUGAUCUUUUCAAUAUAUCCUAGCUAUAUCUGACGAUUUGUGCUCGAUCCACGCCUAAUGGGUAAGCCAUGGUCAUAUAUUCAAUUUUUAUUUUGGAUUUAUUUUCAAUUUUACAUAUUAGAAUUUAAUCCAAUGAUGGGUUUUAUUUUUGAAUUUCAAUCUAAGAUAUAAAAUUUCCAAUUAAGCCUAAAUUUAUCUCUUUUUAUAAUGUAAACACUAUAUCACCACCGUCCACAAUAAUCAUUUCUAUGAUGUUCUCGAUAUAUCAUAAAUAUGACGAUUUGUGCCUGAUUAGUUCAUGCCUAGUAUGCAAGUCAUUGUCAUAUAUUUACUUCUUAUUUUGGAUUUAGUUUUAUUUGUACAUAUAUUAGUUUAAUUGAAUGUUGGGUUAUGAUUUUUGAGUUUCGAUCUAAGAUAUGAAGUUUCCAUUAAAGUCUUAAUUAUCAUGUUUUUAGUAUAAACACCAAUUCCACUGUCUUAUGUGAUUGUUUACGUUUAUUGUUUGCACGCAUUUUGAGUCUCCAAUAAAGUAUAUAUAGUUACACAACUUUUUUUUAGUAAAAAUUUAAACGUCAUUGUUAGGACAGAGGCAGUAUAACAUUACCACUAUCCACAACAAUCAUUGUUAUGAUGUUCUUGAUAUAUCAUAUAUUUGACGAUUUGUGCUUGAUUCAUGCAUAAUCAAUAAGCCAUUAUCAUAUAUCUAUAUCUUAUUUUGGAUUUCUUUUUCUUUGUACAUAUUUGGAGUUAAUGGAAUGUUGGAUUGUGACUUUUGAGUCCCAAUCUAUGAUAUAAAGUUUUUAAUAAAACAUAAAGUGAUCAUGAUAUAAUUACAUGAAAGCCUUAUCAUGACACACUUUAAUCAUCUUUAUUUUGUUAUGGUUCGAUCUUUCCUUAAAAUUAUAUAUUGCAUAUAUCAUUGUAUUUUUACAUUAGUCCUUGAUAUUUUAUAUUGCAAAAAUAAUUUGACAUUCAUCUUAUUUCAGUAUAUGUGAAAGAAUUAUUCUAAACAAUGAAGAAAUUGCUCCAGCAUGCUUAAAAAGCCUCCUUCAUCAGGUGCUAAGCAGGUAAUAUUUUUUAUUGUAGCUAAUAUGUUUUACUAGUUAUUCAUUUAUAAUUUAAUUAGUAAAUUCUCUUGUUAAAAUUUUUUUCAUAGGAAUUUUAAUCAAUGCUUUUCAUUUGUAAAAGUAUACAAUCUGGCCAAAACAAAACAUUGGUAUUUCAUUAAAGUUGGACCUCAAUCCACAGCUUAGUCUAAAAUACUAAGUAUUAAUUUCCAACAAUCCCCACAAAUUAAAUGAGAUUAAUGGUCCAAUAGCACUCAUCAGGCCCCCCGGGUAGACACCAUACUUGACUAGGUGAUAGUUUCUAUGAUCAGAUUUUGUAUGUAAUUUAAUAUAUUUCCACCAUAUAUUUUACAUAUGGCAUUUCAUUUGUUCUUUCUAAAGCGGGUUCAAUAAAUAUCAGCAGUAUUUUGACCGGAAAAUCUGUAGCUAAGCUUGAAGCCGGAAACACUCAUCUGCUUAAGAAAUGCACGUGUUCAAACCCGAUAUUUCUGACAUUCUCUCUGAAAAGGGUGCUGCUAAUAACCUGGUGAAGUUUAAGUUCGAAUAAAAAGGGGUAGGGUUUGCAGGGGAAGAAAUGAGCAGCCGUGGAAAGAAGAAAGCGAGAAGAUCACAACAACAACAACUCGGAGAUGAAGACAGAAUCAGUAGACUGCCGGAUGAACUGAUUCACCAUGUCCUCUCGCAUAAUUUGCAUUGCUUAAAUCUUGAUUUACCAUAUGAUAGUAAACCCAUUAACUUAUCUGCCUUCACUUCCGAGUCGUUAAACAAGCUUACAUUAAAAGUGAAUCUCCAAGAAUGUGAACUGAUAUCGGAUUGCUGGGAUUUACCUUGUUUAACAACUCUGCGCCUGAAGGGUAUGGAUCAUCAUAGUACAUUUUCGGAUAAUUGGUUCACAAUCAAAUGCUUGCCUGCCCUAAGAAAACUGCAUCUUGAUGGUUAUAAUCUAUCAGAAUCAUCGUUUUCUUUCCACUUGCCAGCGUUAACAACCCUCUGUUUGUCUAGCUGUAGAUUACCCGCAACAGUUUGGGACUUCCCAGCUUUAAAAUGUAUAGAACUACGUGGUGGAGAAUUACAUAUUCUCUGCGCCUGUUAAUCUACACAAUCAAAGUAUAUGUAAGUUACCUAGAAUAUAAGAAUGUUGUACUGGAACUGUAUAUAUGUAACUGCCAAGUAAAAUGAUUAUGAGAUUGUUGGAUAUAAUAUAUGUUUUCAAAAAUUCUUCUAAAAUCCAAGAUUUUAAAGUAUUUUACUGAAGUCCUAACCACCCUACAUCAACUCUAUGAUUCUUAAACUUAAUUUAGCUAGAGUGUAUAAAAACACAAAAUCACUUGCAAUCUACUAAAAUUCAUAAACUGUUAUUAAUUUUUUAAUAUCUGAAUUAAGAACCCCUCUUUUUGUCUAAUUUUGACUUUAUUCCUUCUGAAUGUGUUCAAUUUGUAUUUUCAGAAUGCUAUAAACAUUUAUAUUAUGUCCCUGCAUGUUUAUCAAUGUCAAAAUAAAAGGAAGGAAUAUAAAUGAAGGAAUAAAUUGAGAAAAUCAAAUUACAAGAUGAGACUCUGAGUUGUCUACUUUAUCAAGGCAGUAAUAAUAAAAUUCAGUAAAAAAACUGACACAAUACCGUAAAGAAAUACGCUACAGGUUCUCCUACCAAGAUAUAGGUUCGAUCCUGGCUCAACCGAGAACUAUUAUUAGAAAAAGUACAAAUUGAAACCAGUAUAAUUAGCCAUAAAGAUUAAGACCUUCCAAGAACUCUUCAUCACAUUCCAAAGCCGUCAUGAAAUGCGGAGGCAAGCAAAUAUCAAGAUCCAUGCUUCCUCCUCCUUCAGGCCCUGGAUACAAUGAAACUUUUCCAUCAAACUUAUCAGCACAUCCGCUCCGAAUUGCCACAGCUUUUCCAAGUCCGAAUUCAUUUCCAAACAUGUCAAACCGCGGUGAGCCUCCAAUCAUAAUGCUACACGGAUCAAAAAAUUGCCCGGGUUGGUAUACUGAAGGACUCUGCAUCCAAUCAGCUAUGAACUUCUUUAAUGCCUUAUCAUCUUGUUCAGCCACAGUUUUGUGCACUAGCAAAGCAGCCCACUCGAAAUCAUUUAUCAGCAGGUUUCCUGCUGUAGUCGUAGCUCUCACCACCUGAAUACAGUUUCCAAAGUAAUUCUGUGACAAUGGAGGAUGUAAUCUUGCUCUGUUAUUCAUAGCCAGUUUGCAACCUGUGAUCUGAUCUUGUGGUAAGCCACGAACACGAGUCAUACAUCUCCACAUUAAGGCAGCCAAGGCCUGUAAACUUGAUAUUGUAGUGCUUUUGUUUAUGCAUUUAGCGUUUGCCUUUGCUUUGAGCCUUGCCAAGGCUGCGGCUUGAAAUUGAAAAAUCCUUUGUUUAAGCUCCGGAGCAUCGUGCCUGCUUAUGAUGAAUUGAUCGGUAUGAGUGAAAGGGAGGCUAAAAACAGGACCAUAUCCGUCAGGAAACCAGCGUUCAUGAAUAGGUGGCCGCUUGAUUUCUGAACCGUCGUCACCAAUAUCUUUCAUAAAAACUUCUGAUAAAGUGUUGAAAAAAUGCCAGUAAGAGGUGCCAUCAACAACAGAGUGGUUAAGCGAGCAUCCAAUGAAAACACCAUCUUUUAGCUCGGUGACUUGAACAGUUAACAACGACACCUUUUGACCAUCAUGAUUAAUUGCCCUGUUAUGAUCAAAAAAAGAUUCAACGACUGAAGGCACAUAAGUUGGUGACAGAAUAUCAGAAAUCGUCAAAUUCACUUUCGCAUGGACAAAUCUAGCACCAGGGCUAUUAACACAAUCUAUAAACACCACAUAAGACUGCGGUGAUUCUUCCUUUUUUGUCACAAGGCGACCUGCAAGUGGAUAAAAAUGCGCAAGAGUAACAGAGAGAGAUUUUUUGAGCUUCUGCACAAGGACCUCGACUGAAUUUUCUCGAUCAUUUGUUACCGUGGGUUUCUUAAACAAAAGACCCUUUUGGAUGUAGUAAACUGAGAGCAUGGCAAGAUCAAAGGGCCCUAAAUGAAAUGGGUGUUUUGCCUUUUGGGGCAAAUCAGAUGGUCUGAUCAAACAUUCUGAUACGAGCUCAACUGUUUCAGAGUACAUUUUGUUCUAAGAAUGAGAAAGUGGCUUAUGCAGCUUAAGAGACUCGAGCUAUCUAUCUAUCCAUGUAUAUAUUUUACUUAAUGUUAAUACUUCCUCUGCUCUAUUCAUUUUUAUACAUUUUCUUUUUCUGGAUAUGAGAUCUAAUGAUAUAUUCAAAUGGUCUCUUCACUUCAUCCAUUUUUCCUAAAUUCUUUCACUAAGUUAUAUUUUUUUUAAUUUUUGUGUCCUACCCAUAUGUAUAUUACUUAAUGGGAUGGAGAGAGUACAUGACUAUUUAAUGCUCUUUACAGUAGAAAAACUGCAAGAUGUAGAUACAGCUACAGCGACUACGUAUUACACCAGCAGUAUAAUACAAGCUCUUAUCAGUUUACAUACAAGCCUGUAAAUAGUAGAGUUCCUGUAUAAGAUGAACCCAUAUAUAAUUAGCAAAAAGAAAAAAAGUGAACCCGCAUAAAACAAAAUCUUAUUUGCUUUGGAAGAAAUAAAAUGGCACGUGGGCUGCAAGAGUUAUUCAACCUUGUCUUUUUAUAUUCCAUAAAGGGGAGCUGGUCAAUUGUUAGUUCAUCAUAAAUACGAUCUCCUGCCUCUUAUUUUCUUACAAGUUUUUCAUUAACAUAAAUUAUUCAAAAAAUAAAUAUUUAUAUAUUAUGUAAAGCUAUCACAAUAAUUCAAAAUGUUUAUUUCUCAAAUAAACAAACUAGAAAGACACCCAGAUGGAGUAUAACACGUAUGGGAUGAGAUCAUACAAUUCAAUAUGCAAUUUAAAAUACAGAUAUUUGAUUUUUUUUUUAGUUUCAAAUAUGUUGUGUACUUCUGUAAAAAAUAAAAAUAUGUUGCGUACAGAUAUCGGAGUUGGUGGGUCUGCGCAAAAUAAUACUAGUAGAGGAAAGUUGGUAACAAAAGUCUUAAAAUAAUGUUGGGCAAUUUUUUUUUUUUUCAAAGAGAUUAUUGCACUUCUACCCCUAAAUUUUAAGUCAUGAGUAAAUAAGUUCCCACACUUUUAAAGAAUAUUUUUUUUUUGAUUUUUCUGAAUUUAAACAUUAAAAAGUGAGUUAUUUUAUACUCAUUAUUUAACAAUAAAAUAAGAGCUUAUUUUAGAAAAAAUGGGAUUUUAUAUACUUUUUUCAAGAAAUAAGCUCCUAUUUUUGAAAAAUUAAAAUUACUCAAAAAUCUCAUUAAUAUUAAAUCAAACGCGAUUGCAAGGACUAGUAUAACACAUAAUUAUUUAUAACAUAUAUUCAUUUUGUCCCACCAGGUUGUAUAUAUUGAGGAUGGAGAUCCCGCACAUAUUUUAACGCUAAGUUAAACUAUAGUCUUAUAAAUUAUUUUCAAUUUUUUUAUUUCAAAUAAAAAUUCAAUCGAGACUCAAAACUCGGCUAAGCUCAAGCUCGAUUAAAAAGUUCGGGACUCGAGUUUGAGCUCGAGUUCGACCGAGUCUUUAAUUUUAAGUUCGAAACUCGGCUCAUUAACAGUUCGAUAGGCUCGAGUUCGGUGUGUUUGAGUCUUGAGGAGGUGCCCCGCCCAACUUGUAGUUUAAAAUUAACAAAAAAUAAUCAAAACCGACCUACACAAAACACCUGACAGGAUAAAAUACUACAAAUAACGACAUCCUUUUGCUAAGUUGACAAGAUUUUGACAAAAUUAAAACAAUCGAAGCCACUUGGUCGGUUUUAAUGUUGACGUGUUCAGGUAAAACGUGACCGAUUUGUCAAUCAGUUAUGUGUUUGAAUAUUGUUAAUUAAAUUUCUAUGAAUCUGUCAGACAAAAUGAUGUUGACGGUAAAAUCGACCAGCUUAGUGGUCUGUUUUAUUCAUUUAUUUAUUAUUGUUAAAUAUAAUUAAUCUUUUAAAAUGGAAAAUAUAUACAUUGCAUAUGAGGCAAGAAGACUUUUCAUGUUAAGUGACAUAAAUGACCACCUGAUUUAGACGGAUGGUCUGUUUUGUCAUGACUAUAAAUAUCCAGCUUUGAUUUUCAUUUUGUUGACAUAGUGAACAAAACACAGAAACCAAAAGGAAAGAAGAAGAAAAGGGAAAGGAAGGAAGGAGGGAGAAUCAAAUAUUAAAACAAAGAAGCUAUUUUUCUUAAUUCAUGAGCACAUUCAAAUUUGUAUGCAUGUUAUUUAUUUCAAUUUUUUUAGAUAACAUGUUAUAUAUGUGAUGUUCAUGCAUAUGUAUAUAUAGAUUUAUGUAGAUGGCAAAUAUUGAUUGAAGUUGGAUAUGUAAUCGGCUACAAAGAGGUAAAUUACCAUUAAUCAAGAAAUAGAGAAUGUGUAGAGGAUUUUUUUUUUUUUUUUGAAUAUUGAAAGAUUUAAAAUGAAGGGAGAUAUAAUGAAAUGCCUUUGUAAACUCUGUAAAAAUUUAAAUUAGUUAGGGAUGGCUUGUUAGUAGUUGGUUGUUUAUUGGUAAGCGAAAAUGAUUGUUUGUUGGUAUUGGCAGUGAAAAAAAGCUACUGAAUACAUUUCUUUUGAUAAAAAAACACCCAAAAAAACAGACGGGAAAAACUAAUAACCAACCACUCUUACUAUUUCUUAACCCAGAAGACCGACUGUCAAAACUCAUAAGCGACCACUCUAACCAUUAAUUAACCCAGAAAAUUGACCAUAUUCAAAAAAUAGUGGUUGGUUUUACAAAUCAAAGAUCAAAGCUAGAAUGAUCUCGACCACUUAUCAGUCUGUUUUAUUGCUUACCACAAUGAACUAGAAUUAAUCCGACAAAUGGUUUAUAACCGACCCCUAUCGGUCGGUUUUAUUUAUAAGUUCUAUAUAUUCUGAAUAAACCCGACCACAAUGUCAUAACCGACCACUUUCUAGUCAGGUUUAGUGCUUGCCAAAAUCAACUGAUAUAAACCUGAUAUCGGUCCCUUUUAUUCUUUUUUUAGAUUUUGACCGGUCAAUCAUGCGCAACUUAUAACAUAUAUACCACAACACGGUCAAUUAUAUUAACCCAUGUGGCACUCUAUUUCCAGGUGGUAGUGUUGGACCCACAAGUUGGGAGUUUUCGUUUCAAAUUAAACCGACCAUAACGUUGGUUGAUUUUGUCAGUUAAACACGACCAAGUUGGCUAAACCAACCAACUCCUUAGUUGGUUGGUUUAGCCUGUAAAACCGACUGUUUCGAACAGUAAUCGAUCAUAUAUGUCGAUCGGUUUUGUUGAUGAUUUUGUAGUGUAAGUAGUAAGUUAUAUAAUGAUUUUUAUAUUGCCAUCAAAAUUAUUCAUAAGACUUCAUUAAAAUUGUUAAAACAUCAAUUAUCGCACUAUAUGAAAAUGUGACUACAUAGUUGAAGAAUUAGUUGUCACAAUUCAUCUUGAUUUCCAAAAUGAAUCAUUUCUUUUAAAAUAUAUUUUAUAUAAAGUGCUCCCGUCAAAAUAAUUUAUGGGCGGCCUGCCGCUAAAUACAACUAUGAUGAGAAUCAAUCCAAAAUAAGUGUAUAACUGGUUUUGAUCAUAAACGUCUAAAUACUUAUGUGAUACAUUUUUCUCUCAAUUUGCUAAAAACAAUUUUUUUAGUUAUUAUAUUGUUCUCUUCUGGGAUAUAAUACAUUACUUUAAACUAUAUCUUCAUCGUAACUCUCAUGAUCAAUCAAAAUAUAAAUAAUAAACUAUUUUGAGUGAAAGCAAAAAGAGAAAAAUUAUUUAAUCCUAAGUUAGAGCAAUACCAACAGUACAAAUGACUAAAAAUCGUUACAUUUAAUCAAACUAAAGAAAUUUGCACCCAAAACUUAUAAGAAUUUGAAUUAUUUUAUUAAUUCCAGUUCCAAAAAAUGAUCGAUUCGGCCAAUCAAGAACAUUUUCACAAGAAUUCUAGAUUUUGAAUAUUUUGUAUUACAAAAUUUUAAAAAUAAAUCUUUUUUUAUUAAUCAAAUACUAAAUUCUAAAUGUGUUAAACUCACACCCUAAAGAGAAGACUAAUUAUGCAUAACUUUGAAUAAAUUCUAACACAAGCUAUAAAAUAUUUAAAACAAAUAAUAACCAAAUUAAUAAGUAGACAAAAAGAAGAUACUAAGUAUUUUAUCAACAAACGAGCCCCUCUCUCUCAUACAUAAUGAUGCCUAUAUUGUUUUUAUAUAAAGUAUAUCACUAUUGAAAAAUUCUAGCAAUUUACUCGAACUUACAUAUAUUUCUAAUCUGAAAAAUACCUUGUGAUUGUUCCUUUAGAUUACAUAACAUAUAGAAAAUCAAGUCAUAUUAGUUUUAAUAAAGUUGGAAAUUAAUAAGAAAAAGAAACGGUUGUAACAUCACAUGUCAAGGUAUUGAAGAUACUUAGCAAAACUCUUGCUAUAAUAAUGUCUUGCUAGGAAAAUAACACUGAGAAAGAGGUAAUGUCCUUCUUUCUUAUGGCAUAAAGACCUCGGAUUUGAUGGAGCUAGUGAAUCAACAAAAUGUUUGAAUUUUCUAACAAUUUUAUUAAUUAAUAUAAAAUUUCAUGAGUAAUAUUUUUUAAAAAUAAAAGGUCAUAUCUAGAAAGGGCAACAAGAAACUAUUUUAAACUACAACUUCAAAUAUGUAUGACAAUUUACUAAAACCGACACGACUUGCCUUAAAAUAGAUUUCUCAUUCACAAAAAUUGAAAAAUUAAAUCUACAAAUAAUAUUAACUUUAUGAGAUAAGCAAUUAUUCUAAUGAAAAUAUAAUUUGUAAUAAUUAUAUAUGUAUAUAUAUAAACACACACACACAUAUGUAUACAUGAUUUUAAAUCGUAUAUAUAAAUAAACACGCAAGUGCAAUGUCGGAUCUAGAAUUUUAACAAGGAGGGGGUUUCAUUAAUAUUAAAAAAAUUAGUGAAGUUGAAUCUUGCGGAAGGGGGAAGCAGUGAAGCAUUGAACUAGAAGUCGAGCAAGAGCAGCAAAGCAUUAUUUUUUUUUUAAUUCAUUCACUUCACCGGCGAUAGUGAGAGAACAUUAGGUAUAAUAUAGUAAAAUAUUUAGCCAAUGGACUGGGCUUGCAAUAAAAAAGAACCGGUUCAAAAUAAUUGGAGUGGGCUCAUUUAUAAAAUACACCAAUUUUAGAAAGAUAAUUGAAAUUUCUAUGGACUCAGGGGUGGCCUCAAGCCCCUAAGCCCCCAUAUGUAUCCGCCCCUGCGCAUAAAUUCAUUGCCAGUGCUAUGAUUAUUUCAUUAACAUCUUCUCUUUUCCUUUUCGCAACCUUUCAAUUAUCUUCCCAAAGAAACUCUUGUAACAAUAGCCUUUCAUAACAUAAUCUCUUCCUUGCCUUUUUAUUUUCACUUAAACCUCUCUACAUGUUUUGUCGACCGAUUUAUAGCUAAUUUGUGAAUCGGCGCCUGAUGUAGCCUAAUUUUUCUUAUUACGCUUACGAAACCUCCGAUCUCUCACUUUUGUCUAGUUUUAUCCGAUCUAUUUCCAAUCUAGUUGUUAUACUAAUUACAAAGCAUUUGAGUAGUAUGACUUUUUUCUGAUUCAAUCGGUAAGCUCAUUAAAUUAGAAUUCAUUUAUGUUUUUUUUAUCGGUUUUGUUAGAUAGAUGCAGAGUUUUAUAUUGGGGGUUGAUGCUUUUGAGUUUUGAUGUAGAUCUGAUGUUUGUAAAACGGAUCUCUUAAAUUUUAGAUCGCAAAAUUAAUUUGUUAUGUUCUCUAUUUUUUCCGGUUCUUGCAUAUAUGGAAUUGUUAUUGUAAACAAUGAAGAAAGUGCUUCAAGAACAUUUCAUUCUCAUCACCUUCUUUAGAUUUGUGGAAUCCAGGUAAUUUUAUAUAAUAUUGGCUUAACUACUCUUUUAUAUAUGUUUUACUAAUUAUUAAUACCAAAUUUGUUGAACUGACUUUUUUUCAUAUUUUGUCAUAAUGAUUUAAAUUAAUAAAUUUGUUUAGACAAAUUAUAAUGCUGUUAAAAAUAACUAAGAAACAAAUAUUUUUGUAUACUAUAGUCUUUGGAGUGUUAUUAUAUCUGGAGUGAUGAGAACCCUAGACUUUAAUUAACAUGUGUUUGAUUUUUAUUAUAUAAGUAUAGAUAAUCAAUUUAGUAAUCUUUUCAUAAUUUUAUUUAUAUUAUUAACACUAAUAUAAGUUUUAUUAUUUCGAAAUAUAAGUGAUCACCACUACACACCACAUAUGUUAUCACACACAUCUUGUUGGAGUAGGUACAAGAAAUUUUUAAUUACUCCACAAACACAUAUGAGAUCUGUUAAAUAAAAAUUGGCUGAUUUAGCUUGUUCCAUGAAAGUGCAGAUGAGAAUUGGAAAAAGAGGCCUACCAACUGUAUGUAUUCUUUCUUUUUGUGAAUCUUUUAGUUUACAGGUUAUUAAGUUCUUUGUUUUUGUGAAUCUUUUAGUUUACAGGUUAUUAAGUUUAAAAUAUUGAUCACGAUUUUGGAUCCUUAACGGCAAAGGAGUGAUCUGAUCUUCAUUUAACACAUGUCAUUGCCAAUCGCCAACAGACCUGUAAUUGUUAAAAGGGGAAAGGAUAUUGUUGAGGUUAAGCCACAGGUACGUCUCUCAUCUCCCACUUUCCUCUACAUUGUAUAAUAACUUACUUAACUAGCAAAACCUGUAAGAGCAAGUCCAAUAGGUUACUUAUAUGAUAUCCUAAACUCACAUUUAAGUAAUGUGUCAAAAAAAUGCACUCCAACACUAUCCUAGUGUUAUCCUAAAUCACUAGCACAACUUUAAUUAUUCUAGCCAUUACCUAUUUAUAAGUAACCCCUAGCCAUUACCUAUUUAAUAUUUAUGAAUAAAAUAAUCAUCUCUCUUCUUCUUCUUUUGUCUAUUCUCUCAUUUUCCUCUUCUCUCUCUCAAAUUUAUUAUUAAAAUAAUCUUAGAAGAACAAAUAUAGGGAUUGCUAUUGGAGUUGACACUAAAAAUAGGUUACCUAAAUCACUAAGACAUACUAGCACUCAUUAUUUUAUAUUAUUUAUAAGUAAUAGGAUAAGUAACCUAUUGGACUUGCUCUAAUAUGUAGGAUGCAAGCAAAGGCUUGGUCACAGAAAAGGUAAUCUCGACAAUGGUUGGUAACAGCAAGGCCCCUGAUUCAUCCUCUACAUUGGAGAUGAUUGGUUAGAUGAAGACAUGGAGAGUGUAUUUGGAAGAUUGGUUCAUCUGCAGUGGUCCUUGCUGUUCUGGAAAUCUUUUUCUACACUGUAGAGCAAAACCCUAGCAAAGCCAAGUACUAUGUCGACGAAACUUCUGAAGUUCCGAAGCUGCUCCAUAUUUGUCAUGUUCUGAUUUUCACUUCCAGCAAUCAAAACAUUAUUUGUAUUUUCAUAAUUGUCACCAGGACCCGUAUCAUUGAGCCAACUGGAAAAAUCUUCCAAUUCAAAGUCAGUGUAAUCAAUUGGACGUUGAUGCUCAGAAGGAAACUCAGAAAAGGGUAUUUCCCAGAUCUGAUCUUCUGAUGUAUGGUUAGGGGACAAAGAAGAUUGAUAAUGAUUUUUUGGAGAAUCAACUCUGUCGGGAAGGACUUCACCUCCAUCAGCUUGUUUUUCAAUUGGUAAGAUAUGAAUCAAAGUGAUAACAAAGAAAACUUGUUAAUGUGUGUGUGUGUAUAUAUGGGGGUUUUUGUGCAUAUGAAAUCAAGAAUUUGAACAAAAGGAGAUUAUGUAGAUCUUUUUGUUAAUCUAAUCACACUAUUGUAAGAGGGUGAAGAUGGUGUAUGAGAUGGGUAGCUAGCUCCUCCGAUGCAACGCUACUUGUAAAGUGGAGCCUAAAUUACUAGCCACUGAUUUUUUUUCAUCUAACGAUCCAUACCUCGAGAUGUUAUCUUUUCUCGUGUAAUGCUCCUUAUCUUAUAUUACCUUACUUCAGUGUAAUACUUCUUAUGAGUGAAUACUUAAUUAGCCACGUAUUACACUGACCUAAGGUAAUAUAGGAUAAGGAGCAUUACACGAGAAAAGAUAACAUCUUAAGAUAUGGAUCGUUAGAUAAAAAAAAUCAAUGGCUCGUAAUUUAGUCUCCACUUUACAAGUAGCGUUGCAUAGGAGGAGCUAGCUACCCAUCUCAUACGACACUAUCUUCACCCUCUUACAAUACUGUGAUUAGAUUAACAAAAAGGUCUACAUAAUCUUCUUUUGUUCAAAUUCUUGAUUUCAUAUACACACAAACCCCCAUAUAUAUACACACAUUAACAAGUUUUCUCUAUUAUCACUUUGAUUCAUAUCUUACCAAUUGAAAAACAAGGUGAUGGAGGUGAAGUCCUUUCUGAUGGAGUUGAUUCUCCAAACAAUCAUUAUCAAUCUUCUUUGUCCCCUAACCAUACAUCAGAAGAUCAGAUCUGGGAAAUACCCUUUUCUGAGUUUCCUUCUAAGCAUCAACCUCCAAUUGAUUACACUGACUUUGAAUUGGAAGAUUUUUCCAGUUGGCUCAAUGAUACGGGUCCUGGUGACAAUUAUGAAAAUACAAAUAAUGUUUUGAUUGCUGGAAGUGAAAAUCAGAACAUGACAAAUAUGGAGCAGCUUCGGAACUUCAGAAGUUUCGUCGACAUAGUACUUGGCUUUGCUAGGCUUUUGCUCUCCAGUGCAGAAAAAGAUUAAUUGCUUAUAUUUUCAAAUUAUAUUUUCAUUAGAAUAAUUGCUUAUGGGAAGGAAACAGUUGUAUAAUAAGUUUUCAUUUUUAUGAGUUAAAAAUUUGUAUUUCCUUGAUGAAUUCUUGUUUUGUACUCUUUAUCGUCACAAAUAUAUUUAUAGUCUGCAAAUAUGUAUUGUUCAUUUGUAAUACCAAAAUAAUUUUGUAGUUCAGACGUAAGUAUUGGUAUGUGUUUUAUGUUUACAAUUUAGAGAGUACUGCAUAGAAUCUUUGUGAUGUAUAAGAUUAGCUCUAUAUUAAUUUACAAAUAUUUUUUUUGAUGAUCUAACUGUAGGGAUGUCGAGAACUAACAAUAUUAGCCAUGUAUAAAAAAAAUCAAAAAAAUGUAUGUUUAUUUUGUAUGUUUUUUUAACAAUACUAAUCAAACGUAAAUUUUGUCUUAUUAUAAAAGGUAUUUUUUGUCCUGUAGUGUCUAACUGACAACGGUUGUUAUAUGCACCUAUGUUGUAUCAUUGAAAAUGACACAACUGUUAGAAAAGUUAUACCGUAAGUGAAUCCAUUGUAUAAAUUAGGCUCCAACAACGCUUUAGGGAAAAUCGGUUGUAUAAAAGUAGUGUAGACAACGGUUUAUGGGAAGGAAGCCGAGAGUUAAAAAUUCGCAUUGAUUGGAUCAAUUCUUGAUCUAAUGCAAGAAAAACAUAUGACUAUGAAGAACUUGACUAUUUUGUUAUAAUUUUAAUUGGUUAGGACAUUUGAAUGUUUGCACUCUCUUAUGUACGUUUAUUUUCUUAAAAGUCAUUCAGUGAGACAACAUUUUAUUAGUUAAAGGCUUGUCUAUAAGGCCAUGAUACGAUGCUAACAAAAACACUUGUAUGUUAACUUCCCCGUCACACAAGACUAUAUGGAACCCUUGUUUGAACUACUCGUAAACAACACAACAAAUAAAACACUUGUCUAAUUUACAACGGUUUCUUGGAAUAUUGUCUGAAGUUUCUUCACACAUUGACGCUAAAAAUAAUUGUCUAACGUGCAUCAUUACACAAUACCACUGUUAAGAUACCGUUGUCUGAUUAAAUUUAGUAGACAAUAGUUUUUUAACCGUUGUACGUCGUAGGUGUUAGACAAUAGUUUUUCGAUCGAGGACGAAAAUAAAGUGUUGUGUCUUUGUUUCGGCCAACAGUUUUUUGAGCGUCCGUUAUCUGACUAGUGUUGUCUGAUACUGUUUUUGUUGUAGUGCCAUAACUAGCAUAAAAAUUCAACUCCAGCUCUGACAUUUACUUGCCAUUUUUUUUUGAUACGCAAAUGUAAUUCAUUUCCACUUAGAGAAUGCAGUGUAUGAUUUUGGUUCAUUUAAAGAUAAACAAUUUUAAUGUCGCGUGAAGAAUAUUGUUCUGAUAAUAAACUUUUGACAAGAAUAAAUACUGAUGUGAAAACCCAAACUUCUAAUAACAAUGAAUUCAAAGGUUGGCUAAGAUGAUGUUAACUUCACAAGAUGAGAAUAAGAUGCAGGUGCACAACGGAGUCACAUGUUUAGACUUUCGUUAGAAAAAACUAACACAUGUCAUCACAUUGAUGCAAUACUAGGAAAAUACAAUUAGAACAAUGAACAAUAAAGCUAAGUAAUUCACCAGAAUAUCACCAAUAUUAUAGAAUCACUAUAAGAGCUCAUAUUCAAUUAUGAAACCAGCUACAGGAUUGAAACCCCAAAUUGGUUUAAAAUUGAAAUUAAUUGAAAACCUAAUGCUAUCGAAAGCUGAAUACGAUGUUGUACAAAAUUGAAGCAAUAUUGAAGUUGACAGGUUUUUUUCAAACCUAAAUAUAAACAUCUAAAGUUGAAUAUCCAGAUCUUAGAUGUACAGAAUUUGCAGUGAAUCGCCUGGCAAGAUUUGUUGAGAUAUGAAAUACCAAAUCCAAGAAUUAGGCUUGGAAAUGCUAAAUCCAAGAAUUAACACCAAUUUACGGCCAAAAACAGCAAUUAAAAGUGUUAACAACAACGAGACAGAACAACGGAAGUGAAGCAGUGCCAUUGAGAGAACAGAGAUUGAAUGACACCGGUGCUAAUUGAAUGAAAACCAGUGUAAGAUGAAGGGAAAACGUUUUAUGUCGAUGAAGUAUAUGGACUGGAACUGUAUGUGGAUUGGUACUAUCUUCUAUUAUUCUUAUCAAAAUAACAUUAGUAACAUUCACUUUUUGUUUGGCAUUUAGAGCUGGGAAAACAAACUCCCACAACAACAGAAUCACCUCCAAUAUUUGGCGCCAGAAGGAGGGGGUCUCUGGCCAAUACAACAACAGAAUCACCUCAAGGAUGGACGGAGACGAAGGCGCUAGAUCCCGAAACAAACGAGAUCCUGGCUGUGUAGUCGCAGGAAAUAAAUUUAAGGCGAGAGCUCGGUCCAAGCAGACUCUUCGGGAAAGAGCCUUGGGCUAGCUUCGAAGGGGAGCCCGCCCGGUCAGGUCAAAUCCAAUAGGUAGAAGCAAAAGACAAGGUCUUUUGAAUGAGAGUACAAACUUGAAAAGAGUUCUGACUAGUGACGCUCGUCUUUACCAUGAAAAAAUCAAAGCCAAGACUAAGCUCUGGAAAGCACAACUAAAGGACUUGAUAUCCUAGAGAUGGAGGACGAGAAUAAAGCCCUAGAUAUUGAGGGCCGCCUACUUGAAGCUACGGUCUGCCAAAUGAAAGCCAUAAUGUGUCUUAGGACCGAGCUGAAAGGCGGCUUGGAUGAAAACUUGUGUAAGGAAUAUCAAACGGAGGACCAUGAGCCCUCUUGAAAAACUUCCGUGUACAGUGAGUAUACCAGCAGAGAGGACUCCGAGGGAUCAUAAAACUCUAGGCGUCACAAGAGAAAAAUGCCCUAUGAGGAGAGGAGAACUUAGUAGCCUCGGAGCUGAGGACACGAAUAACCAUGGACCUAGCUAACCCGCCCGCCUCAAGGAAAACAUUGUUAGGAAGCAUGGACUUAACAAGCAAGUCCUACCAUUUACCAUUUGCGCUCAACGCGCAUUUCAUGAGAGAACCGUUCAUGCUCAACACACAUAUCUUGAGAUGAUCAGCUGACAGACACUUGAAUUGAGCUGCUCGCUAAGAGACACGAUUUUAUGCUCUUCUUACAAAGACUGGCCUUGCCAAAAGAAAGUCCAUCUUGCAGGGCGUGAUUACGUUAUAAUUUAAUAUAUAUGGAUAAUAUAGAUUCAAGUGUUACCGACAGCCUUCUGUUGUUGUAUAAAUAGUCUAACUCUUAUCAAUAAUACAAUGAUUCCUCAUUUUGCCCUAAUUUUGUCAUACUAAUCCUUCAAAUUAAUCACAUAGUCCAGUUAAGGUCACCUUCUUGCUUCUUGAUCAUUUUUCAGAAUAUUUAUCAACAAUAAUAUUCUCAUUUCUAUAAUUCAUCACAUGUAUACCUUAAAUGACUACGGACUGGCAUGCUAUUCAUAGAUACUGCUUUAAAAGAUCCUUGGAGGAGAAUCGUGCCUGUUGAGAGAUCCUCUGCACAAUGAACUAUGGUAAGAAUUUAACCAACACACGAUUCUCUUCAAAGAAUUGUAAAAUAGAUAACUUGUUAUGAGAAAUAAAAGGAACAUGCAGAACAUUAGUAAAUUUAAAGGUGGGUAAAGAGGUAAGGAGAACUGGAGAAGGAAUAUAAUGAACCAAUAUGAGAUAUCGGAAGAGAGCACCUGUCGUCAAUGCUGCUUCGGUAUCGUCAACAAACUUGAGUAAAUCAUGGCCAAAGGGAACUGAAUGGAUCUUGGUUUUGCAGGAGAGAUAGUUCAGGGGUAAUUGCUGAAAUUAAUGAGAAUGAAUGGUGCAGAGGGGUCAUUUGAGUUAAAUUAAUGGAGUUAUCCAGGCUGCCCACCAUGUUAGAAUAGCUUAGGUAGGUGGGUUAUAAAAAAAUUGAACUAACAAGAUAGCAAUUUCUCCUAACAAGUUAUAGGUGCAGGACGUGAACAAGCUAAAUAUCUUAGUUAGUACUUGUAAGGAGGCCCGUUUAAAGCCACGAAAUGUGGAACUUACAGUUAAAUAAUUUCUACAUUUCUCCCCAGCACCUCCCUUCCCCAUAGAUUAUUAGAGUAACAGGGAAUAGGGAUGCUCUAACUAAUAAAUUAACUCUCACAAAUUGUGUAGAAAACACUUCUGACCUGUUUCUAUUUCAACAGCUUAUUUAUUGAUUUUAGCAAAUGUUUUUUCUUUUUAACACUUUUACUGACAAUUGUUUUCAUGAAAGCUUUUUUCGGUUCAGGAGAGCAUUUAUCUGGCCAAGGAGGGCAUUUUUCCGGGCAACACUGGUCCGGAGGGCACUUUUCUGGGCAACACUGAUCGGGACAGCACUUUUCCGGACUACACUUUUUCGGAGGGCACCUUUCAGGGGAGCACUUUUCUGGACAACACAUUUCUUGGCAGGAGUUAUCAACCACACUACCGAAAGGAGCCACUAGCUUUGGCGUAGGGAGGCAACAUUCUGGGUACUUAACAGCUAAUUUUUCCCGAAGCAUCUUGACAGUGUUCUGGAUGAAAGUGCUCUGUAGACUGGAAGUGUUAAACACAUUAUUAAUAUAGAAACUCUGUAUAUUCACAAGUAAACAACAUUAUAUACUAGAGAAAUUGUUUAGAAAUUAAAAUUUUAGGAAGAAAAUAUUUAAAAAUAUGGAAGNUUGUCGUUGUGUCUUGCCCUAUGCUUUUCAAGCGCAAGGCCGUAAUUCCCAAGCUGGUAUUUAAUAUCUCUGAUUUCAACCUCAUACAAAAUUAGUAUGAUAAAAUAAUUGGAGUUCUAAAGUUGAAAACAAUUUUAAGUCCCGGCUUUAAACCGGACAAUCAUGCUCGAAAGCAUACUUCCCCAGCCUAGAUCAUCUUUAAGUGAGAAAGUGAGGUAGUCCCAACGAGUCCAAGUAUGGAGUGUCUUCUGGGGGUGGCAAUAUUGGACCUGACCCGACAACCCAAAACGAAUUCGACCCGUAAAAUACGAAUUCGGGUUAGAGUUUUUCGGGUUCGGGUCGAAUUCAGGUUGACCCAAAAUCAACCCAGAAAAAAAGGGUCAUUUCGCGUUGAAUUCGGGUUACCCGAAAUUGACCUAAAAUUAAUAUAUAAUAUAAAUAUUAUAUAUAUUUAUAUUAUUUAUAAAUAUGGAAACUAAUAUAAUAUAAAUAAUAUAUAUAUAUAUAUAUUAUUUAUAUUAUUUUGAUAAUAUUUAUUAGUUAAAUUUUGAUAAAAAAUUAUUUAAUUAAAUAAAAAUUAAUUUAUUUGGAUUAAAAUAUUAUUUAUUUAUUAUUUAAAAAUUAUAUUAUUUAAUAAAUAUUAAUUUUCGGGUCGGGUUCGGAUUACCCGCGGGUACUGUGGGUUGGGUUCGGGUUGGGUAUUUUGACCCAUUAAAAUUUCGGAUCGGGUUCGGGUUGGGUAAAAUUUUUGACCCGCGACUGUCAACCCGACCCGAACCCAACCUGAAACCCGAAAUUGCCAGCCUUGUGUUUUCAACACAGCCUAGGUUAGCAAGCCCAAUGGCUAGCGCCUGGAUAAUUUUUCAUAUUAGCGAUCCAACAUAACUGUGAACCAAAGUGACUUGUGAUAUCCACUAAAUGAGCGCAUCUUGAUGGUCCUUCAAUUGUGGGUCUGCCAAGGCCCAUGAGAAUAUCGGGAGUAACAUCUUAUUAGAACAAAAACCUAUCCUACAUUCUUAGUUUGAUACACCAUCCCUUCCUCUUCUUGUUAUCUCCGCUUGAAAGUAAAACUCUACGGUCCGCAUCAGCCUCGCCUUCCUAAUUUAUCAUUUCCACCCGCUUCUGUUAUUAACUUAUCAUCUUUUUAGUGUAAAAAUUAAAUCAAUGCCAUCCACAACAAUCAUUGUUAUGAUAUUUUUCGAUAUAUGACGUGUCUGAUGAUUUGUGUCCAAUUUUAUGCAUAAUCGGUAAGCCAUUGUCAUAUAUUUACUUCUUAUUUUGGAUUUGUUUUUGUUUGUACAUAUUUGGAUUAAUUAAUUGAAUGUUGGAUUUAAUUGAUUUUUGAUCGAGUUCCGAUCUUUGAGUUCUGAUCCAAGAUAUAAAGUUUUCGAUAAAGUAUAAAUUGAUCAAGAUGAUUGUAAUUAGAUGAAAGUAUCAGUGUGACACUCUUCACACUUUAAACAUCUUUAAUCUUUCAAUAUAAUUCUUUUCUUCGAAUCAUAUAUUGUAUAUAUCUUUGUAUUUUUUAGCUAGUUCAUAAAAUUUUAUAUUGCAAAAAUAAUCUGAUGUUCAUCUUAUUUCAGGAUUUGUGGGAAGAAUUAUCCGAAAUAAUGAAGAAAAUGCUCCGGUAUGACUUGAAAGCCGCGUCCUUGUCCUUGAGACAUGUACUACAUAGGUAAUAUCUUUUAUGGUAGCUCAUGUUUUGUACCGGUUAUUCAUGUCGAAUUUAUUACAUUAUCUUGUUACGAAUUUUAUCAUAAAAAUUUAAAUCAAAGAAUUUAUUUCGGCAAUAAUUAUGUUUUUAAUUGGUAAAGAAAUAUAUAUUUUUAUUUAAGAAUUAAUGUUUUUUGAAUUUUUGGAUUUCACCGUAUCAUCUUUAAGCCAUGUCCUUGUCCUUGAGACAUGUACUACGUAGGUAAUAUCUUUUAUGGUAGCUGAUGUUUUGUACUGGUUAUUCAUGUCGAAUUUAUGACAUUAUCUUGUUACGAAUUUUAUCAUAAAAAUUUAAAUCAAUGAAUUUAUUUCGGCAAUAAUUAUGUUUUUAAUUGGUAAAGAAAUAUAUAGUUUUAUUUAAGAAUUAAUGUUUUUUGAAUUUUUUUUAUUUCACCGUUUCAUCUUGAAACCGCGUCUUUUAAUUAAAAUAUAUUAUAAUAUAUUCUUAGUUUAGCCCAUCUGCAGGAGGGGAUGUUCCUAUUGUUAGGAAUUGUCCCACAUCGAUAGUGGAGGUGCCCAAAACCAAAGCCGUGCAGGCUCGGCCCAAAACAGAUAAUAUCAUACUAUUGUCGUGUUAGGUGACAUGAAGAAGAGUUAAACAGUGAAAUAAACAUAAAUGAGGCUACCAUCUAAUUAGACUUAUGUAUGGUCAAGAGCUAGUUACAUUUAUAUUAAAAGAAAGAGAGAUUGACACUUUGCACCCCUUAUGUUUAGGCGCUUUUUCGAAUUGGUCCCAAACUUUUUUUUGGCAGUAUGCACCCUAAAAUUUGAAAGCGCUUCGCUUUGCACCCCUUUGAACACUCUCUGUUUAAUUGACCGGCGGUUAAAAUUAACAAAUGUGGGGUUUACACUUUGCACCCCACAAUUUUAAUUUUUUUUUCAUGAGUAUUUUGAAAUAUUUUUUUUCAUGAAUCAGAAAAUUGUUUCUCAUACAGUAACUACCUUUCUGUGCUUAUGAAUCAACUUUCCAAUGCAGAUCAAAAGUCAUGCUCAAGAAAAUCCAGGCCUGAUGACUUUGAGAAGCACUGAUUUGUUGCCAUCCAGUUGGAUGGUUGUUGCCUGGUAUGUAAUCUUGUUGAGUGUUGACAUGAGUCUAAUAGCUGGUUUGAGAACCCUAAAAUUACUAUAUAUGUUUUCUAUUUUGUCGGAUUCAGAGAUAAUUCAAAUUUUUCCUUCCAACUCGUCAUUGCUAGAAUGCCUGCAGAAAAAAUGAUAAUUUUUAAUAUUUUGCGCUCUUUAUUUGUGAAGCAAGCGUUUAAUCUGAGUAAGGAGAAUUGUCGUCUGUGGUAACUAUCAUUUAUAAUCAUUGUCACUUGGCCAGAAUUGUUGAAUAUUCUAAUUAUCGGAUUGGAAGAUUUAAACCAGGGCAGAAAUUGUGACGUGUAGCUGGCACAUGAAAUUUUAUAUCUUGCAUUAGGAACAGAAUAGGUAUAACACUUAUUCGCUACAAGAUUAAUUAGUAACAGAUCUUCUUGCUUCUCUUUAGGUAUCCUAUAUAUCAAAUCCCUGUUAAACGAGUUGUGAAGGAGUUAGACUUAUCUGCAGCCUUCAUUACAUUCCAUACAUUGUCCUCCUUCCAUCAAGGUAAAAGGAUAUCUGCCACGCAGUUAAUUAGCUAUAUCUCCCUUUUGGUUUGUAUUAUAUGAGUCGGCAACAAACAUUACAUUUCUAAUUUUCUUCAUUGUUAUGCACCCUAAAGUUCAAUGAUGACUCCAGGCUCGCAACUUCACGCUGUAUAGGUGUGUGUGUAUAUUCGCAAGAUAUGCUGAUAUGUUAUGUAAAAAUUAGUGAUUUCAUACAAUCGUCUCUAUAUCUUCUUAUUCUCUGUACUAGCCUUUAACCCGUGCAAAGCACGGGCGCUUAUAUAACUCGUAAUUUAUUAAUUAUAAUUUAAAUCUUAAGACCAUUUUAUUAGUAUUUUAGUAUUAAUAAUUUGGAUUUUAGUUAAAUUAUAUUAACCAACUGAUUAUAUCUUCUAAUGGAAAUUUAGCUUUCACAAUUUAUUAUCUAUCUAUAAUUAUUUUUCUGAUAUUAAUAUGUGAUAGUUUAUUAUUCAAUUAAUUUUAAAUCAAAAUUUUCAUAUUUCAUAUAUCUUCAUAUUUUACGUAAUGGUUCGUGUUUGUAAUGAAAUAGAACACGUUAGAGUUAAAUUUCGAGUAGAAUACGUUAUAAUUAAAAAGUAGCGUCUCUAAUUAUUUAUAUGUAUUUUAGACAAAAGAUAUUCAAAAUUGUAUAUUUAUAAUUAGUUAUACAUUUAUCUAUAAAUUUUUUUUAAUAUUAAUAUAUGUUAUUAACAAUAGUUUCAUCUUUUUCAACUAAUUAUAAAUUAUAUUUUAAAAAGAUAUUAAUAUACAUAAGGAGUGUUUUUAGUAUAUGAAACUGUUUAAUAGCUAUCUACAUGUUGUAGACUUUUAGUUUUAGAGGAGACUACUAAACCAAAUUUUGUACGACUACAAAUUAUACCUAUGUUGGCUUUUUAUAGUAUAGUAUAGAUUACAAAUUCCACCUUCAGCAUCAGCCUUUCGUUCAUAAUUUACCUUACGUGAGCGAAACUAGCCCAUGACUAGGGUGGGCUGCAGCCCGGCCCAAAACAUGUUUUUAUAAAAAUUUUAUAUAUAUCGGCGGGCGCAAUAUAGUUUCAUCCUAGGUAGCCCAAAAAAUCAAAACCUAAUUCUAUAGUGCAGCUAUGCUUCUAUAGCAAACUAAACCUAAUUCUAAUCUUCAUAGCCCGCAUAAUUAAAAUCGCCUCUACUCCGCCGCUGCCGCUUUGUCUCCCAGCCGAGGCGGAUUCCAAAUCCUGGUUCUGCCCCUACUUUCAUAUCAGCCUCUCUUCUUAAUUUAUCUUUUUUAGUGUAAUCACUGCAUCAUCAGCAUCCACAACAAUCGUUGUGAUGAUCUUUUCAAUAUAUCAUAUAUCUCACGAUAUGUGCCCGAUCCAUGCCUAAUGGGUAAGCCAUUACCAUAUAUUUACCUUUAUUUUGGAUUUAUUUUUAAUUUUACAUAUUUGGAUUAAUUAAUCCAAUGAUAUAUUUUAUUCUUGAAUUUCAAUCUAAGAUAUAAAUUUUCCAAUUAAGCUUUAAUUUAUCUUCUUCUUUUUUUAGUGUAAACACUAUAUCACCACCAUCCACAACCAUCAUUUUUUUGAUGUUCUCGAUAUAUCAUAAUGACGAUUUGCGCCCGAUUAGCAUGUCUAAUCUGUAAGUCAUUGUCAUAUAUUUACUUCUGUUUUGGAUUUAUUCUUAUAUGUACAUAUACUGGUUUAAUUGAAUGUUGGGUUAUGAUUUUUGAGUUUUGAUCUAGGAUAUGAAGUUUCCAAUAAAGUCUUAAUUAUCAUCAUUUUAGUAUAAACACUACUCCUUCCGUCCCAUGUGAUUGUUUGUGUUCGUUGUUUGCACGUAUUUUGAGGUUUCUAUAAAGUCCCGUUCCGUAACUUUUUUUUUGAAUAAAAGUUUAAAUGACAAAAUUUUAUUCAGGGAAUUUUUAAAAGAAAAUUAUUAUGAAACAAUACUUUAUAGGAUUGUCAAAAUGCGUGCUAAAAAGUAACAUAAAGAACGUGCUAGGACAGAGAGAGAGUAUAACGAAUAUUUGUACUUGAUUCAUACAUAAUCAAUAAGACAUUAUCAUAUAUUUAUAUCUUAUUUUGAAUUUCUUUUUCUCUGUACAUAUUUGGAGUUAAUGGAAUGUUGGGUUGUGAUUUUUGAGUCUCAAUCUAUAAUACAAAGUUUUUAAUAAAGCAUAAAGUGAUCAUGAUAAAAUUACAUGAAAGCCUUAUCAUAACACACUUUAAUCAUCUUUUAUUUUUUGGUUAUGGUUCGAUCUUUUCUUAAAAAUAUAUAUUGCAUAUAUUAUUGUAUUUUUAAAUUAGUCCUUGAAAUUCAUAUUACAAAAAUAAUUUGAUGUUCAUCUUAUUUCAGUUUAUGUAAAAAAAAUUGUUCUAAACAAUGAAGAAAUUGCUCCAACAUGACUUAAAAUGCCUUCUUCAUCAUGUGCUAAGCAGGUAAUAUUACUUUUUAUUGUAGUUAUUAACACUGCUCUAUUUAAUGAUAAAGAACUCAAUGACAUAAAUACUGGUAUGUUGUCUUGAUCCAUUUUUACCACCACAUUUCAGGUUGUCAAUGUGGUUGAGGACUUGGACUUUGAAGAAGAAAGCAGUGAUAUACGGCGUCAGGAGGAAGCCGAGGCAGGCUUAAGAAAGUGGUAAGCUCUUUUACACAUAUAGGCCUGUAUAAAUUGAAUUGAUCACUUGUUAUAUACCUAACGAUAAUUUCUUCCCUUAAUUAAUAUAAACAAAAAAAACUAUAAUUUCUUUAUACAUAUCAAGUAUAAUUGUGUUCAAUACUAGAAUUCGACCACGCAUCAAUCAAAUUCCAUGGAAAAAAAACGUGAGUGGAAAAAGAGUUAAUUGUAUUUCGCAUCCUUACGCUUGGGUCCAAAAACACUUUAGUAUAUAUGCAAACUUCUAGAAAUUGCAUAUGGCAACCCACUCAUUAUUUUAUGCGCUUCAUUCUGCACCCUUUCCAUCAAAACUUGACGGUUCUUUCAUGCCUCAAUUGCGAUAUGCAAUUUCCAAAUAUGAAGAGAAGUUCACUUUAUCAUUUCUUGCAAAUCCUGAACAUAUCUUUCAACAAAGCACCUGGGCAACUAGCUUUCAUCUUUUCAUGUGUGCAUUUAGUUGGUGUAGGUUAAUUCUCUUCAUAUUUGGGGAAAACACAUCAAGCUUUUAAUCUGUACACUAUUGUUGUAAAGAUUGUCUUAAUUAUCAUCUUUUUAGUACCAAUAUUACUCCCUCCAUCCCAUGUGAUUGUUUAUGUUCACUGUUUGCACGCAUAUUGAGACUCCUAUAAAGUAUAGUUCCAUAACUUUUUUUUUGAAUAAAUGUUGAAACGUCAAACUAAUUUUAUUCAGAAAAAAAAGUUUGAAAAUUAUUAUGAAACUAUACCUUAUAAUAGUGUCAAAAAUGCGUGCCAAAAAGUAACAUAAAGAACCUGCUAGGCUUGAGAGAGUAUAACACCACAAUCUACAACAAUCAUUGCUAUGAUGUUCUUGAUAUAUCAUAUAUUUGACAAUUUGUGCUUGAUUCAUGCAUAAUCAAUAAGCCAUUAUCAUAUAUUUAUAUCUUAUUUUGGAUUUCUUUUUCUUUGUACAUAUUUGGGGUUAAUGGAAUGUUGGGUUGUGAUUUUUGAGUCCCAAUCUAUGAUAUAAAGUUUUCAAUAAAGUAUAAAGUGAUCAUGAUAUAAUUACAUAAAAGCCUUAUCAUGACACACUUUAAUCAUUUUUUAAUUUUUUGUUAUGGUUCGAUCUUUUCUUAAAAUUAUAUAUUGCAUAUAUCAUUGUAUUUUUAAAAUUUGUCCUUGAAAUUUGAUAUUACAAAAAUAAUUUAAUAUUCAUCUUAUUUCAGUAUAUGUAAACGAAUUAUUCUAAACAAUGAAUAAAUUGCUCCAUCAUGACUUAAAAUGCCUCCUUCAUCAUGUGCUAAGCAUGUAAUAUCGCAUUUUAUUUUAGUUAUUAAUACUGAUCUGUUUUAUGAUGAAGAACUCAAUAAAUUAAAUACUGGUAACCAUGUGUUUGUUUCCCCUUGCUAUUCUUAAAAUGUGUGCACAUAUUACAUACAUAUGUACAUAUGUACAUAGUAGUGUAUAUUUACUGAGCGUAACGCAUGUAUUUGUUGUAAGAAUGUUUAUUUAAAAUCUUUCCUAUAUAGAGUGUUCCUUAUGGUGACUGGUUUUGAAAUUCAGGUCGGACUUGGGAUGUAUUCGUAUAAGAAUCAGCCAGCUGCCUUGCAGUAUGUGGAGAAGCAAAUGCUCUCCACGAAGAGCCCCUGCUUGCACAAUUCUGAGCCACAGGUGUUGAAUCAUGCUCGCAUCUGGAGCGAUUGGUUUCUGUGAGGUCUUAAUUGUUGGGUUCCGUCCCGAAUUCCUAAAUAAGUUAAGAAUCCUAAUUUGAGAAGGUAUCUUAUUUAUGAUAAUUGAGGUAAUCCGAUUCUUGGUAGAAUAUUAAUUGUGGAAGGAUUUCUAUCCAAGAUAGGAAAAGAUGGUAAUUAUCAUAAAUAGGAAUUUGAAGUAAAUUAGGAUUAGAAUAUUUGUGGAUGCCUAUAAAUAUAGUUAUUUGUAGGAGUUUUAUUGUAUUGCAAAAGUUAGAGAGUUGUGUGAGAGAUACACAAGAGAGAACUUUUGUGAUCAAGUUGAGGGGUUUGUAUACAAGAGUGUUGAGUGAGGGAGCGACUCCAAUCUUGUAAUACAUUCAUAUUUAGUGGAUUGGUGGUUUUACCCUCCCUUGAGGGGUUUCCACGUUAAUUGUUUGUGUUCUUUACUUUCGUGCUUGUUAUUGUGUUUGAUUAACGUCAAUCUAUAGUGGAUGCGAUCCUAACAAACUGGUAUCAAGAGCUCAGGUUCGAGAAGUAGAUUCGACGUUAAAGAGGAGACAAUCACGAAGUAGGCUGUUUGUGUUGUUAGUUGGUCUUGAGUUGAUUCUUUGGCUUGAUGGAGGAACUGAAAUCGUUGAGGAUUGAUGCACCCAAGUAUGAUGGGAAGACGGAUUUCACUAUGUGGCAAUUAACCGUCAAGGAUGUGUUAAUUCAACAAGGACUUGAUGAUGCCUUGGAGAAGACAAAGCCAAAAGAGAUGAGUGAUGCAGAUUGGGCGAAAAUCCAGAAGAGAGCGGCGAGUACAAUCAGGCUGGCACUUGCACCCGAAGUGAGAUAUAACGUGUUGAAGGAGUCGACACCAAAGGAGAUAUGGGACAAGUUAGCAAACAUAUACGCUUCAAAGUCGUUGACCAACCGACUUAAUUUGAAGAUGGAGUUGUACUCAUUAAAACUGGAUGAAGAAGGUAAUCUCCAUGAUCACAUUAGUUGUUUUAAUCAGCUGGUAUGUCAUCUGGCUAAUGUUGAUGAGCCGAUGAAAGACGAGGAACAAGCUCUGUUGCUGUUGUCAUCAUUACCGAAGUCCUUCAAAUAUUUUAAGCAGACGUUGUUAGUGGGGAGGACGUCUCUUACGCUUGAUGAUGUGUUAAAAGCGCUAAGAGAUAAUGAGAGGAUGACAAAGGAUGUUGUUUCUCAAAGUGGUGAGACAGUUUUAGCUGUCCAAAGUGCUGAAAGAGGGAGGAGUCGCGCGCGCAAUGACCUGCAAGGAAGAAGUAAAUCUCGGCCGAGUAAGAAGGAUAUGAGCACUGUUGAGUGCUAUUAUUGUGGUGAAACAGGUCAUAUGCAGAUGUUCUGUCCGAACUUUAAAAAAGACAUGAGAUCUUGUAAAGAGAUGAUGGAAAAGAACAAAGUUGAAGAUGCGCACUCUACACAUGUGAUCGAGGAUGGAGAGUUUUUGAUGGCGAGUGAUGAUAUCGUUUCUGAUUCGGUGAUGAAUAAAUCAGAAUGGGUGAUGGAUUCUGCUGCUUCCAUGCACAUAUGUAGGGAUCGAGCGAUGUUUGAGACUUUAUGCACGGAUGAAGAUCUUGGUAAUAUCAUUGUGGGGAAUGAUGAGAAGAUGAAGGUUCACGGCGUUGGAACUGUUUGUCUUAAACUCCAUGAUGGUACAAUCAAGAAGGCUCUCAAUGUGAGAUUUGUACCAGAUGCAUCAAAGAACGUGUUGUCUUUGAGCGUGUUGGCAUCACGAGGGUACAGAUUCGUUGGACGAGGGCGAAGUUGCAAGGUGUAUAAAGGAAAGAGCUUGAUUCUACGAGGGAUGAUGAACAAGAAGAACAUCUAUUGUUUAGAUGGUGGAGCAACGAAGAUGAAGACCGAGAAAAAGGUGAGAUUCUCGGAUUCAGUUGAAGUUUUAGAGAAUUCGAUCCGAGGGAGGAUUUGUUGGGUUCCGUCCCGAAUUCCUAAAUAAGUUAAGAAUCCUAAUUUGAGAAGGUAUCUUAUUUAUGAUAAUUGAGGUAAUCCGAUUCUUGGUAGAAUAUUAAUUGUGGAAGGAUUUCUAUCCAAGAUAGGAAAAGAUGGUAAUUAUCAUAAAUAGGAAUUUGAAGUAAAUUAGGAUUAGAAUAUUUGUGGAUGCCUAUAAAUAUAGUUAUUUGUAGGAGUUUUAUUGUAUUGCAAAAGUUAGAGAGUUGUGUGAGAGAUACACAAGAGAGAACUUUUGUGAUCAAGUUGAGGGGUUUGUAUACAAGAGUGUUGAGUGAGGGAGCGACUCCAAUCUUGUAAUACAUUCAUAUUUAGUGGAUUGGUGGUUUUACCCUCCCUUGAGGGGUUUCCACGUUAAUUGUUUGUGUUCUUUACUUUCGUGCUUGUUAUUGUGUUUGAUUAACGUCAAUCUAUAGUGGAUGCGAUCCUAACAUUAAUUUCUUCAGUUAGUCCUCCAGGAACGUUUAAGUCUUUUGGCACCAGAUUUACUGGCGUAGAUUCAGGAACAACAGUUUCUGGUGUCUGACCAUAUCCCACAUUCACCGCACCAUCUGGACCAGGCGCCUCAGAGCUGAGGCUGAAGAAAACCCAUUCCAAUAUUAAGAUCACCAUAAAGUUCAUCGUACUCAUCAUCAUCGCCAAUCAAUUCAUCCUGGCGCUGCAUGAUUUGUGGAAGGGGCCAAAUGAAAAGAGACACGGAAGGCUUUAACAAAAGUGAUCCGUAAGUGUAACGAGCGUGAGCGUAUAUGUAAGUUACCUAGAAUAUAAGAAUGUUGUCUUAGAACUGUAUAUAUGUCAUUGUGCUCCAACCUCAUGUAUGCCAGUAAGUUUAGAUCAUUUUUGGUGUUAAUAGUUGCAAUGUGUGUUGGGUGAGACAUAUCAUUUUUUUUGAAUAAUUUUUGGUGUUAAUGGUUGCCAUUUAAUUGGGCAGACAUUUGACAUUGAUAUCUUUUGAAAUAAAUAAUUAUUUGUGAAUUUUAGAAACCUCUACCAAGAUCUUGUUAACUAUUUUGUUUCGAUGAUUUUGGCUAUGGUAACAUUUCAGUGUGCCAGCUUAAUAAAGAGGUAGUUCAGGGAUGAAGCAAAGUAUGUGUUGUAACAGUACCUGAACUUAAAAUGCAACUUAAAAUAACCCGCACUUUUGAUAAUUAUGGCGAAUUAUCAUCUGAAGAAACAAGCUACAGAAUCCUAGCUGGUAACAAGAUGCUACAUUGAGAAUUUUCGUUAAGUUGUGUUUCAAGGAUUCUAUCACUUUGUCUUCAUUCUUGAAGCUUGAAUGAGUAAGUUAAGGGACCAACUUCAACGGAGUUCUGUUGUGGAAUGGAUGGAGGUGGGAACUGUGAUGGGCAGCUUCUCGAGGAUCGGUUGCUGCUCUGGUUAGUUUAUUUGGACCAUAGCACGAAGUUUGAUGGGUUGGACUUGGAAUGGACAAAGGAGGUGUUUCGUAGUUGUGUUUAUGUGUCAAAACUACUAGCAUUAACUAUUACUGGCAGGAUCUGCUCACAACUAUCACUGUAGAGGUGUGGGCCAUGAGUAGCUUCAGCUUCGAGUCUUCGACAACUAAAAUUGAGCCACUUGUUACAGCAAAAAUCAAGGUUUUGGCUCGAUUAGGGGUGAGCAUUUGGUGCUCAUAAUGUACAUGUUUAAUAAAGCUAUGAACAUACAAGAGUUCAAUAAGAAAUUAUUAGACUUCCACAUUCUACAAUGAGUGUGCUGAAAUAUAAAGAAAAAUCCAUUCAACAACCAUUAAACUAAUGCAAUAGUUUCUCCAAGUGAAUAGCUCCACAAAAGCAGUCAACAACUGCAAAAAAUAUUACAAAACCUUCAAUGCGAGGGAAGUCUUAAAAACCUUCCCCAUGAGUUGAACUCCUUCCGCCAAAUGGAAGCUUUUCACUGCUCUUUCGGUGACAUAAAGCAUAUUCAAUACCAACAUAAGCUUUUGCUUGUCCUCAAAAUCAUCUAAACCCUCUACCUCCUUCUUCUCCACACAAAUCUUCCCAUUCACAAUCACCAUGGGAAACCUCACCUUUUCUUUACCCACCAGCUCUUCUAGCUCUUUCAAAUAUAUAGCCUCUUUUGAACAGUUUCUCUCCUCAAAUACAACAUUUCCAAUCAACAGAACCUUCUUUGCCAACCCAUUUGCGCCUAGGCCAUAUUGUUAGCACUCGUUGUGUAAAGAAUUACCUUGUCGGUAGAUGGCUCAUUUCUGGACAAGGAUGAUGAAGUACUGCCUCGUAAAACUGAUCUUUCAGGCACUGGGAGCCGGCAUUCUGGACAUUUGGCAGCCAGUGUUUCCUUGAACAAUUUCACAGUAUUCUGGACGAAAGUGCUCUGUUGCCUAACGAAAAACCAAACACAUUAUCAUCCAACAAUCCAUAAAUAUAAUAAGAAACCAUGGUAUUAUACAAUUAAUAAAGCUAAUAUCAGAAAACCAUGGUAUUGGUCCUGUUUAGAAAUUAGCGGUUAGCUGUUGGCAGAUUGAAUUAGAUGUUUCGACUAGUUGAUGAAAUAGAUGUUUUGACGGAUUGAAAUAAUAUAUAGUUUCUUGUAAAUCUGUUUGGUAAAUAGCUGAUUGAUUAGCUUUUUCUGACACAAAUCAAAAUCUCUAACCCAAAAAGAUCCUCAAAGUAGGUUUUUAGAAUUAGUUUUUUGGAUCCAAACCUCUAUUUCAAUCCUCUAACUAUCAAACACUAAUAUUAGCGGAUUCUAGUGAUCAAACCUCUAACUUCCAAACUGGGACAUUAUGUAGCAUGAAACAUUGAAUAAUUGAGAAAAAUAGGAAAAUAAGAUUACCCAUUUACAUGUUCUCCAAGAAUAUUGCCAACUUCUACAAGGGCUUCUCUCCACUUCUCCACCUUGUCAUUGUGCCUCAUUUUAUGCUUUUCUAGUGUGAGUCCAUAAUUUCCUCGCUAGUGUUUGAUAUCGCGAAUUUCAACCUAAAAAAAAAGUGGUAUAAUAAAAUAAUUGGAGUUCUUACGUUCAAGGAUGAGAACAAGUUCAUCAAGACACAUAAUUCUGGGAAAAUACAAUUAGGGCGCUCAUAGAGGUUUUGAUUCCCUCUUUGAUUGUCGUCUUGUCGAAAUCACCUCAUCUCCGACACAUAUGUCACUCUUGUCCAUGAAAAAGCCUUAGGCCUUUAAAGCCUCAUAUAGAAAGCAUGUGAACUUGUUGCGAGUUUCCCUUCUGAAGCUCAAGAAGACAUGAGAAAUGACCCUUCUUUGAUCAUGGUGAGAUAGCUCCUAGAUUAGCAUGAGGCUUUAAGACCUCUAACCAUAAAAACACUUUAUAUGAUUAGAUUUUGUAUUGAAUACUCAUAGUCACACUUGUAGACAAAAAAUAGAGUGAAAGACUUUGAAUGGGAGAUUAUAAAGUAAAGGAUCAAAGAGGUUAAUCCGAAAUUAGUUGUAAUCUUCACUCUUGUAUCAUACCGUAAAAAAAUUGAUAAUAAAUUAGUUUUGAAUUGAAGUUAUUUAUCCUAAAAACUCUAUUUGACUUCCAAAUUGGCUAAAUUCUUAUAAUGUAACGAUUUUCCCACCAACAAAAUUACACUGUUAACAAAAUUAUUCAUUUUCUUUUUUGAAACUCAAACAAUUUAAUUUACGAAACACAUAUAUAAAAUUGCUAUUAUGUUUCCGAAUUCAAAAAAUAAGGAGUUCAUUUAUUAUUAUCAGUCAAAUCCAUAUUAAUAUUAUAAAUAACAAAUAAAUUUAAUAAUUAGGGAAUUUAGCAAAACUACCACUUUUUCUAGGUUUUUUUGCGAUUUUACUAUCUUUUAAAAAUAUUUCCAAAAAUAUUAACUUUUUAGAAAAUAUUUGCAAAAAUACGAUAUGCAACUAAAUGCAACCAAAUUUUAGUUUAGUCAAUUGGCCUCGCAGGGAUUGCAAGUAUGGUUGCAUCUGGUUGCAAGUAUAAUUGCAUGUGGUUGCAUAUAGUAUUUUUGCAAAUAUUUUUAAAAAUUUGAUAUAUUUUCAAAAUACUUGAAAAUGAUGUAGUGUUUUAGUAAAAAAGAUAUUUUGGACUUGGGUAUUUAUGAGAAAACCCCAUUUAACUAUUUGACCACCUCUUACUUGAUAUUUCUUCAGGGAGAUGUUAAAAUGUCCAAUUCUAAUCUCAAGAACUUCAAUUAUAGUCUAAACAAAGUUUAUGGGCAGAGUGUCCACAAAAUCAAAAUUUCACUCUAACCUAUACUAGCUCUUUCACAUAAAAUGAGAGAGUCAAAUAAGCUCAAUUUGUUCAAAAAUUAGAAAAUAUAUUUUUCUACCAUUAAACACUAGCUAAAAUUGAUUUUUAAUAACUUGUUAUCAACAAAAUACUUCUAUCAUAGGAAUAAAAUCAUAUAAGAGGUUGUAUAGAUAUAAGUAUAUAGUUCAUUCUAGACACCCCAAUGUUAUUUCCCACGCAUAUCGCACAUCCUUCAAUCUCUUAUUAUAAUAAAAAAUCAUUCAACAUUCGUCAAUUCAUACAAUCAUCCCUUCAUCUCCUUAUUCUCUCUAUUUAAAAUUUCACCAGCGGCAUCAACCUCUCGUUCAUAAUUUACCUUCCGUACAGGGCGGAACUAGCGCGUGGCUAAGGCGGGCUACAGCCCGGCCCAAAAUUUUUUUUUUAUAAAAUUCAAUAUAUUUUUGCUUACCAAUAUAGUUUCAGCCCAAGUAGCCCAAAAAUCCAAACCCUAGUGCAUCAAUGCUUCUCCAUAUAAACACCUCGGUUGUCUCUAUUCUUCACACCCUGCACAGUUAAAACCGCCGCUACUCCGCCGCUGCCGCUCUGUCUCCAAAUCCUGGUGGAUUCCAAAUCAUGAUUCUGCCCCUGCUUCCGUAUGAGUCUCUCUUCUUAAUUUAUCAUUUUUAGUGUAAUCACUACAUCACCAUCAUCCAGAACAAUCAUUGUAAUGAUCUUUUCAAUAUAUCCUAGCUAUAUCUGACGACUUGUGCCCGGUCCACGCCUAAUGGGUAAGCCAUUGCCAUAUAUUUAAUUUUUAUUUUGGAUUUAUUUUCAAUUUUACAUAUUCAGAUUUAAUCCAAUGAUAGGUUUUAUUUUUGAAUUUCAAUCUAAGAUAUAAAAUUUCCAACUAAGCCUAAAUUUAUCUUUUUUUAAUGUCAACACUAUUUCACCACCGUCCACGAUAAUCAUUUUUAUGAUGUUCUCGAUAUAUCAUAAAUCUGACGAUUUGUGCCCGAUUAAUUCAUGCCUAGUCUGCAAGUCAUUGUCAUAUAUUUACUUCUUCUUUUGGAUUUAGUUUUAUUUGUACAUAUAUUGGUUUAAUUGAAUGUCGGGUUAUGAUUUUUGAGUUACGAUCUAAGAUAUGAAGUUUCCAUUAAAGUCUUAAUUAUCAUCUUUUUAGUAUAAAAACCAAUUCUAAUGUCUCAUGUGAUUGUUUACGUUCAUUGUUUUUGCACGCAUUUUGAGUCUCCAAUAAAGUAUAUAUAGUUCCAUAACUUUUUCUUAGUAAAAAUUUAAAUGUCAAGCAUUUAUUCAUGAAAAAAAAUUUAAAAUUAUUAUGAAACUAUAGGAGUGUCAAAAUGCGUGCCAAAAAGUAACAUAAGGUAACAUUACCACUAUCCACAACAAUUAUUGUUAUGAUGUUUAUUGAUAUAUCAUAUAUUUGACGAUUUGUGCUUGAUUCAUGCAUAAUCAAUAAGCCAUUAUCAUAUAUUUAUAUCUUCUUUUGGAUUUUUUUUCUUUGUACAUAUUUGGAAUUAAUGGAAUGUUAAGUUGUGACUUUUGAGUCCGAAUAUAUGAUUUAAAGUUUUCAAUAAAGCAUAAAGUGAUCAUGAUAUAAUUACAUGAAAGCCUUAUCAUGACACACUUUAAUCAUCUUUUUUUUUGUUAUGGUUCGAUUUUUUCUUAAAAUUAUAUAUUGCAUAUAUCAUUGUAUUUUUAAAUUAGUCCUUGAAAUUUUAUUUUGCAAAAAUAAUUUGACAUUGAUCUUAUUUCAGUAUAUGUGAAAGAAUUAUUCUAAACAAUGAAGAAAUUGCUCCAACAUGCUUAAAAAGCCUCCUUCAUCAGGUGCUAAGCAGGUAAUAUUUUUUAUUGUAGCUAAUAUAUUUUACUAGUUAUUCAUUUUUAAUUUAAUUAGUAAAUUCUUUUGUUAAAAUUUUUUCAUAGGAAUUUAAAUUGAUAUGCUUUUCAUUUGUAAAAGUAUACAAUCUCGCCAAAACAAAACAUUCGUAUUUCAUUAAAAUUGGACCUCAAUCCACAGCUUAGUCUAAAAUAUUAAGUAUUUCCAACAAUCCCCACAAAUGAAAUUAAUGGUCCAAUAGCACUCAUCAGGCCCCCGGGUAGACACCAUACUUGACUAGGUGAUAGUUUCUAUGAUCAGAUUUUGUAUGUAAUUUAAUAUAUUUCCACCAUAUAUUUCACAUAUGGCAUUUCAUUUGUUCUUUCUAAAGCACGUUCAAUAAAUAUCAGCAGUAUUUUGACGGUAAAAUCUGUAGCUAAGAUUGAAGCCGGUAACACUCAUCUGCUUAAGAAAUGCACGUGUUCAAAACCGAUAUUUCUGACAUUCUCUCUGAAAAGGGGGCUGCUAAUAACCUGGUGAAGUUGAAGUUCGAAUAGAAAGGGGUAGGGUUUGCAGGGGAAGAAAUGAGCAGCCGUUGAAAGAAGAAAGCGAGAAGAUCACAACAACAACUCGGAGAUGAAGACAGAAUCAGUAGAUUGCCGGAUGAACUGAUUCACCAUGUCCUCUCGCAUAAUUUGAAUUGCUUAAAUCUUGAUUUACCAUAUGAUAGUAAACCCAUUAACUUAUCUGCCUUCACUUCCGAGUCGUUAAACAAGCUUACAUUAAAAGUGAAUCUCGAAGAAUGUGAACUGAUAUCGGAUUGCUGAGAUUUACCUUGUUUAACAACUCUGCGCCUGAAGGGUAUGGAUCAUCAUAGUACAUUUUCAGAUAAUUGGUUCACAAUCAAAUGCUUGCCUGCCCUAAGAAAACUGCAUCUUGAUGGUUAUAAUCUAUCAGAAUCAUCGUUUUCUUUCCACUUGCCAGCGUUAACAACCCUCUGUUUGUCUAGCUGUAGAUUACCCGCAACAUGCAGUUUGGGACUUCCCAGCUUUAAAAUGUAUAGAACUACGUGGUGGAGAAUUACAUAUUCUCUGCUCCUGUUAAUCUACACAAUCAAAGUAUAUGUAAGUUACCUAGAAUAUAAGAAUGUUGUACUAGAACUGUAUAUAUGUCAUUGCCAAGUAAAAUGAUUAUGAGAUUGUUGGAUAUAAUAUAUGUUUUCUGAAAUUCUUCUAAAAUCCAAGAUUUAAAAGUAUUUUACUGAAGUCCUAACCACCCUACAUCAACUCUAUGAUUCUUAAACUUAAUUUAGCUAGAGUGUAUAAAAACACAAAAUCACUUGCAAUCUACUAAAAUUCAUAAAUUGUUAUUAAUUUUUUAAUAUCUGAAUUAAGCACCCAUCUUAUUGUCUAAUUUUGACUUUAUUCCUUCUGAAUGUGUUCAAUUUGUAUUUUGAGAAUGCUAUAAACAUUUAUCUUAUGUCCAUGCAUGUAUAUCAAUGUCAAAAUAAAAGAUAGGAAUAUAAAUGAAGGAAUAAAUUGAGAAAAUCAAAUUACAAGAUGAGACUCUGAGUUGUCUACUUUAUCAAGGCAGUAAUAAUAAAAUUCAGUAAAAAAACUGACACAAUACCGUAAAGAAAUACGCUACAGGUUCUCCUACCAAGAUAUAGGUUCGAUCCUGGCUCAACCGAGAACUAUUAUUAGAAAAAGUACAAAUUGAAACCAGUAUAAUUAGCCAUAAAGAUUAAGACCUUCCAAGAACUCUUCAUCACAUUCCAAAGCCGUCAUGAAAUGCGGAGGCAAGCAAAUAUCAAGAUCCAUGCUUCCUCCUCCUUCAGGCCCUGGAUACAAUGAAACUUUUCCAUCAAACUUAUCAGCACAUCCGCUCCGAAUUGCCACAGCUUUUCCAAGUCCGAAUUCAUUUCCAAACAUGUCAAACCGUGGUGAGCCUCCAAUCAUAAUGCUACACGGAUCAAAAAAUUGCCCGGGUUGGUAUACUGAAGGACUCUGCAGCCCAUCUGCUAUGAACUUUUUUAAUGUCUUGUCAUCUUGUUCAGCCACAGUUUUGUGCACUAGCAAAGCAGCCCACUCGAAAUCGUUUGUUAGCAGGUUUCCUGCUGAAGUCGUAGCUCUCAGCACCUGAAUACAGUUUCCAAAGUAAUUCUGUGACAAUGGAGGAUGUAACCUUGCUCUGUUAUUCAUAGCCAGUUUGCAACCUGUGAUCUGGUCAUGUGGCAAGCCUCGAACACGAGUCAUACAUCUCCACAUUAAGGCAGCCAAGGCCUGUAAACUUGAUAUUUUAGUGCUUUUAUUUAUGCAUAUAGCGUUUGCCUUUGCUUUGAGUCUUGCCAAGGCUGCGGCUUGAAAAUGAAAAAUCCUCUGUUUAAGCUCCGGAGCAUGGUGCCUGCUUAUGAAUUGAUCGGUAUGAGUAAAAGGGAGGCUAAUAACAGGACCAUAUCCAUCAGGAAACCAGCGUUCAUGAAUAGGUGGCCGCGUGAUUGCUGAACCCUCGUCACCAAUAUCUUUCAUAAAAACUUCUGAUAAAGUGUUGAAAAAAUGCCAGUAAGAGGUGCCAUCAACAACAGAGUGGUUAAGCGAGCAUCCAAUGAAAACGCCAUCUUUUAGCUCGGUCACUUGAACAGAUAACAAAGAUACCUUGUGACCAUCAUGAUUAAUUGCCCUGUUAUGAUCAAAAAAAGAUUCAACGACUGAAGGCACAUAAGUUGGUGACAGAAUAUUAGAAAUCGUCAAGUCCGCUUUGGCCUGGACAAAUCUAGCACCGGGGCUAUUAACACAAUCUAUAAACACCACAUAAGACUGCGGUGAUUCUUCCUUUUUUGUCACAAGGCGACCUGCAAGUGGAUAAAAAUGCGCAAGAGUAACAGAGAGAGAUUUUUUGAGCUUCUGCACAAGGACCUCAACUGAAUUUUCUCGAUCAUUUGUUACCGUGGGUUUCUUAAACAAAAGACCCUUUUGGAUGUAGUAAACUGAGAGCAUGGCAAGAUCAAAGGGCCCUAAAUGAAAUGGGUGUUUUGCCUUUUCGGGCAAAUGAGAUGAUCUGAUCAAACAUUCUGAUACUGAGCUCAACUGUUUCAGAGUACAUUUUGUUCUAAGAAUGAGAAAGUUGCUUAUGCGGCUUAAGAGACUCGAGCUAUCUAUCUAUCCAUGUAUAUAUUUUACUUAAUGUUAAUACUUCCUUUGCUCCAUUCAUUUUUGUACAUUUUCUUUUUCUGGACGUGAGAUCUAAUGGUAUAUAUUCUCAAAUUGUCUUAUUACUUGAUUCACUUCACCCACUUUUCUUACAUUCUUUCACUAAAUUAUAUUUUUUCUUAAUAUAUGUCCUACCCAUUUGUAUAUUAUUUAAUGGGCCGGAAGGAGUACAUGACUAAUAAUGCUCUUUACGGUAGAAAAACUGCAAGAUGUAGAUGCAUGUGUUAAAAAUUCAAACUCUCUGAUAAUACAGCUACAGCGACAGUAUAAUACAAGACUUAUCAGUUUACAUACAAGCCUCAAGCCUGUAAAUAGUAGAGUUCCUGUAUAAGAUGAACCCAUGUAUAAUUAGCAAAAGAAAAUAAAAAUGAACCCAUAAUUGCUCGGAACCACGGUUGGAAAAAAAGGGAAUCGGACUUAAUCCGUAAAGUCAUGGAACACAGAUUAAUUAGAUUGAUCGGAGACUAAUCGGAUAAUUAAUUAUAUAAUCAAAUAUUUAAUCAGUUCGAUAACAUAAAUUAAUCGGUAAUUUUUUUAAUUUUUUAAUGUCAAGUGAUUAAUCGGUGAUUAAUAGUGAUUAAUCACCAAUUUCCAGAAGAGAGCUUAAAACAAAUAAACUGGCAAACCGGCACGUGAAUAUAAGGGGGGCUGCGAGAGUUAUUCAACGUUGUCUUUAUAUUCCAUAAAGGCCAGCUGGUCAAUUGUUGGUUCAUCAUAAAUACGAUCCUCUACCUCUUAUUUUCUUAUAAUUUUUUCACUAACAUAAAUUUUAGGAUAUAUAUCAAAUAUAGCUGCAUAAUUUAUUUAAAAAAAUUUCUUGUAAUAAAAAUAUUUAAAUAUUAAAUUUUAUUCAAAAAAUUAAUAUUUAAAUAAUUUAUAAAAUUAUAUUUUAUAAAAAUUUAAAAUAUUAUUCCUCAAAUAAACUACUCCCUCCAUCCCAUUUCAAGUGUCUUGUUUUGACUUUCAACAGUCAAACUGACAAAAUUUUGACUAAGUAUAAAGAACAAAAUUUUUAUUAUUUUAAAAAACUAAAAAUUAUAUUUUAUAGUAUAUUGUAUGUACUUUAUAAUGACAUCAUUUUUUUUAUUUUUCAAUAUUAUAUUAUAUGUAUAAAUUUUAGUCAAAAUUUAGUGAAUUUGAUCAUUGAAAAGUUAAACAGGGUCUCCGUAUGUUAGGGAGGGCUUAUCUAACACAGUGGAGCCGUUGGAUCUAUAUUUUAAGGAUUCAGAUUCAAUCUAAGUGUUUAAUGAAUCCGUUGUUAAUAUAUAUCCGUGGACCGUAAAAGUUUCAUUCCGCGAAUAUUAUCCGUGGAAAGGCGAACUCUAGUUCGGCGAAUAUUAAUAGCGGAUCUACUAAAAUAUAAGAUUAAAUCUGAACUUUUAAAAUAAAAUAUAGAUAAAACAGCCCCAUAUAACGAGUUAGAUGCCUUACCUGACACACAGUUGUCGGAGAACAUCCUGCAGACUACAAAUAUGUUGGGUACAGAUUUGGAGUUGGUGGGUCUGUGCAAAAUAAUACUAGUAGAGGAAAGUUGGUGACCGAAUCUUAAAAUUAGGCCUGGCAAUCGUGUCGUUCCGUGUAUUUUCGUUUCGUGUACUUUCGUGUUUUCGUGUACUCAUGGCUAAAACCGAAAACGACCCGAAAUCAAAUCGUGUACCUGUUUACCUGAACCGAACACGAAACGAAAUAAUUCGUGUUUACACGAAACGAAACGAAAAGUACACGAAAUCAAAUCGUGUACUUCCUGUUUAUACGAAACAACCCGAAAUAAAUUACCCAAACACAAGAAAUAUACACGAAAUCUUUCAAGAUUACACGUAGAAUAAGUUAAACAAGUUCCAAAAUACAACUUCAAAUUCAGAACAAGGCUUAAUUCUUAAGUUUGCAACAACAAAAUAGUUCAAGGAGUUCAAGGCUGUUAUGCAGAUUAAAAUAACAUUAAAGAGUAGAAUUCAUCUUCUUCCAAUCCAUCCAUCCAUCCAUCUGUAAUAAGUUAAUAACAAAGCAAACGUGAAUAAUAAGUUAAUAACGGGCUGAAAUUACCUUAUCUGUGUAAUGUUAUCAGCCAUUUUGAAGAAGUCGAUAAGAAGGAAUUUAGGUUUAGAGAGGUGGAGGAGAUUUGUAAUGAAAGAGGCAGAUCUGGUUUGUAAAGUGAGGCGGCUGUGCUUAAGGGAUUAAGUCAAAAACCCUAGUCAUAGUAUCAUGUGCAUAUCACGUGACUCUCUAUAUUUUAAUAUUGAUAUAUAUAUAUAUAAUAAGUAUAUAUAAUAUAUAAUAUGAUAUAUAAAAAAUAAAAAUUAUAUAUAAAAUAUUUCGUGUACUUUCGUGUACCCAAAGUGAAAACCCGUAUCCGACCCGAAAUUUAUCGUGUAAUUUUGUGUUCGUGUACUUUCGUGUUUCGUGUACCUAAAAUCAAAAACCAUAACCGUUUAUUUCGUGUCGUUUCGUGUCGUGUUAGCGUGUCACGUGUCAAAUUGCCAGGCCUACUUAAAAUACUGUGUUUGGUAAACAUUUAUUUUACAAAAUAAGAUUUACUUUAAAAAAAAUAUCAACUUUUAAUUCUUUUGAAUUUAAAUAUUGAAAAUUGAGUUAUUUUAUACUCAUUAUCCAACAAUAAUAUAAGAGCUUAUUUCGGAAAAAAAUAGAAUAAAAAAUAGAAUUUCAUAUACUUUUUUCAAAAAUAAAUUCUUAUUUCUGAUUUAAAAUUACUCAAACAUCUCAUUAAUAUAAAAUCGAAGGCGAUUGCAAGGACAAGUAUAACACAUAAUUAUUUAUAACAUAUACACCUGGUUGUAUACAUUGAGGAAGGAGAGCUACCCUGCACAUAUUUUAAUGCUACGUUAAAUUGUAGUCGAAUAAAUUAUUUUUAUUUUUUAUUUAAAUGAAAUUUAAUGUUUAAAUUUUAUUAAAAAGGCAAAGAUUAUAAAUAAAUUGUUAAAAUGUCACUAUAUUCAUCUUAAAAUAUGUGUCGAAUAUGGAAAGAGAAUUUGUAUACAAGUGAAUGGGCAGGGAGAGUACCGGUGAAUAUAGAAAUGAACACCGAUGUCCUCAAAUUCAAGUGUCGUAGUUAGAAUUAAUUAACUAACUAUUAUAAACUUUAGCUUAUAUUUAUAUUAAAAACAUAUUUUAUAUAUUUUAAUUCAAAAAUUUUGAAACACUUAAAUGUAAGGGGUUAAAACGACAUUCAAAUAUGUAAACCUUGACAACUGUGAUCCUUUACAUAAAAUUAUUUAUCUUAUUUAUGAAAAAAUAUCAUCAUUAAUAACAAAUUAUUUAAAACAAAAAAAUAUGUUAUUUUAAUAUACUUAGUCUUCGUCUAAAAUAAUUAUUUAUUUUGAAUUUUUAUUAUAAAUAAAAAAUUUUAUUUGAUGUAUUUUUGUGGCAACACUAAGCUAUAAGGAUGUAAUCGAGCAGAACCAAGUUGAACACUACCAGGUUCAACUCGAGCUCGAUUAAAAAGUUCGGGACUCGAGAUUGACCUCGAGUUCGACAGAGUCUUUAAUUUCAAAACUCGACUCAUAAACAGUUCAAUAGGCUCGAGCUCGGCCGUAUGUGUUUGAGUCUUGCGGAGGUUCCCCACCCAACUUGUAGCUUAAAAUUAAAAAAAUAAUUAAAACCGACCUACACAAAACAUCUGAUAGGAAAAUCGACUGACACUUAACGGUCGGGUUACAAAUAACGACAACCUUUUGCUGAGUUGACAAGAUAUUGACAAAUUUAAACCGAUCAAAGCCACUUGGUCGUUUUAACGUUGACGUGUCCAGGUAAAAGGUGACCGAUUUGUCGGUCAUUUAUGUGUUUGAAUAUUGUUAAUUAAAUUUCAAUGAAUCUGUCAGACAAAACGAUGUUGUACUGGCUCUAACGGUAAAAUUGACCGACUUAGUGUCCGGUUUUAUUUAUUUAUUUAUUAUCGUUAAAUAUAAUUAAUUUUUAAAAUGAAAAAUAUACACGUUGCAGAUGGGGCACGAAGACGUUUCAUGUUAAGUGACACAAAUGACCACCUGAUUUAGACAUGACUACAAAAAUCUAGCUUUGAUUUUCAUUUUGUUGAAAAAGUAAACAAAACACAGAUUCCAAAAGGGAAGAAGAAGAAAAGGGAGAAGACGAGGAGGGGGGAGGGGCGGGAAGAAGGGAGAAUCAAAUAUCAAAACAAAGAAGCUAUUUUUCUUAAUUCAUGUUUAUAUAUGCAUGUCACUUAUUUCAAUUUUUUCAGAUAACUUGUGAUAUAUGUGAUGUUCAUGCAUAUGUAUAUAUAGAUUCAUGUAGAUGGCCUGAUCAAAGUUGGAUAUGUAAUCGGCUACAAAGAGGUAAAUUACUAUUAAUCAAGAAAUAGUGAACGUGUAGAGGAUUUAUUUUAUUUUUUGAAAUUUGCAAGCUCGAAAAUGAAAGGAGAUAUGAUGAAAUGCCCUUAUAAACUUUGUAAAAAUUUAAACUGAUUAGGGAUAGCUUGUUAGUUGUUGGUUGUUUAUUGGUAAUGGCAGCGAAAAUGGUUGUUUGUUGGUAUUGGCAGUGAAAAGAGACUAUUAAAUACAUUUCUUUCUAUAAUAAUACCUAAAAAACUAACCGGAAAAACUCAUAACCAACCACUCUUACUAUUCCUUAACCAAAAAACUGACCGCCAAAGCUCAUUAGCGGCCACUCUAACCAUUACUUAACCCAGCAAAUCAGCCAUAUUAAAAAAUAGUGGUCGGUUUUACAAAUCAAAGAUCAAGCUAGAAUAAACUCGACCACUUAUCAGUCGGUUUUAGUGCUUAUCACAACAAACUGGAAUAAACCCAACAAAUGGUUUAUAACCGACCCCUACCCGACCACAAUGUCAUAACCGACCACUUUCUAGUCGGGUUUAAUGCAAGCCAAAACCAACUGAAAUAAAUAUGAUAUCGGUCUAUUUUAUUCUUUGUGUAAACUUUGAUCGGUCAAUCCUACGCAACUUAUAACAUACCACAACACGGUCAGUUAUAUUAACCCAUGUGGCACUCUAUUUUCAUGUGGUAAUGUUGAACCCACAAGUUAGGAGUUAUUGUUUCAAAUUAAACCGAACAUAACGUUGGUUGGUUUUGUUACACCAAGUUGGCUAAAUCGACCACCUUAGUUGGUCGGUUUAGCCUAUAAAACUCGCUGUUUCGAGUCGUAACCGAUCAUAUAUGUCGAUCGGUUUUGUCGAUGAUUUUGUAGUGUAAGUAGUAAGUUAUAUACUCCCUCCGUCUCAUAAUAAACGUCCUCUUUUUUUUCAAAUUUUUUUCACGCAUUUCCAAGCUUAUAAAAAGUAUACUUGUAGACAUUAUUUUCUUGUAUUUUUUAUUUUGUAUUAAAAUUUGAACUUCCAGUUUUUAUACAAAAAAAACGAAAAAAUAAUAUCUACAAGUAUGCUUUUUAUAAGCUUGGAAAUGCAUGAAAAAAACUUGAAAAAAAAGAGGACGUUUAUUAUGGGACGGAGGGAGUAAUGAUUUUUAUAUUGCCUUCAAAAUUGUACAUAAGAUGUCAUUAUAAUUUUAAAACAUCAUUCAUCGUAAUAUAUGAAAAUGUGACUACAUAGUUGGAGAAUUAGAUGUCACAAUUCAUCUUGAUUCCCAAAAUGAAUCACUUUUUAUAAAAUAUAAUUUAUAUAAAGUGCUCCCAUCAAAAAUAAUUCGUGUGGACUGCUUAAAGACGCGAUCCUUAGACGAGGGCUGCGUGGUGAUUGCUUGUUCCGGACCUCCAUCUUUCGCUAACGUAAAGCUUCAACAAGGUAUUAUUUCGUAUCUCCAUGAUCAGCCAUACUUUAUAGAUGGAUCCUCGGGUUAGGGUUUCGGAUUUUUUUUAUUUUACGUCGAUUAUCCGCUGCGUUUUGUUGCCCCGAAACCCAACAAUUGUAUUGUUCUCUUCCAAGAUAUAAUACAUUACUUCAAACUAUAUCUUCACCGUAACUCUCAUGAUCAAUCCAGAUAUAAAUCAUAAAAUAUUUUGAGUGAAAGUAAAACGAGAAUAAUUGAUUUAGUUCUAAGUUAGAGCAAUACCAAUAGUACAAAAGACUAAAAAUCGUUAUAUUUAAUCGAACUAAAGAAAUUUGCGCACAAAACUUGUAAGAAUUUGAAUUCUUUUAUUAAUUCCAGUUCCAAAAUAUGACUAAUUCGACCAUUCAAGAACAUUUUCACAAGAAUUCUAGAUUUUGAAUAUUUUGUAUUACAUAAUUUAAAAAAACUUAUUUUUAUUAAUUAAAUACUAAAUUAUAAAUGAGUGAAACUCACGCCUAAAGAGAAGGCUAAUUAGGUAUAACUUCGAAUAAAUUCUAACAUAGGGUAUAAAAUUAAAACAAAAAAUAAUCAAAUUAAUAAAUGGACAAAAAUAAGAUACAAGUAUUUUAUCAACAAACGAGCCGCUCUCUCUUGUACGUAAUGAUACCUAUAUUGUUUUUAUAUAAAGUAUAUCACUAUUGAAAAAUUCUAGCUAUUUACUCGAACUUACGUAUCUUAGUAGCCAUUGGUCUAGUCUAAGAAUUGACCCCAAAAUACCUGAUCCGUAAAAUACCUUGUGAUAGUUCCUUUAAAUUACAUAACAUAUAGAAAAUCAAGUCAUAUAUUAGUUUUAAUAAAGUUAGAAAAUUAAUAAGAAAGAGAAACGGUUGUAACAUCCCAUGUCAAGGUAUUGAAGAUACUCGAUCAAAACUCUUUCUUUAAUAAUGUCUUGCUAGGAAAAUAACACUAAGGAAGACGUAAUGUCCUUCUUUCUAAUGGCGUGAAGGCCUCGGAUUUGAUGGAGCUAUUGAAUCAACAAAAUGUUUGAAUUUUCGAACAGUUUUAUCAAUUAAUAUAAAAUUUCAUGAAUAAUAUUUUAUAAAAAAUAAAAAGUCAUAUCUAUAUAUAAAGGGUAGUUGGAAACUAUUUUAAACUACAAGUUCAAAUAUGUAUGAAAAUUCACUAAUACCGACUCGACUUGCCUUAGAAUAGAUUUCUCAUACACAAAAAUUAAUAAUAAUAAAUUUAUAAAUAAUAUUAACUUUAUGAAAUAAGCGAUUAUUCUAAUGAAAAUAUAAUUUGUAAUAAUAUAUGUAUAUAUACACACACAUAUAUGAAUACAUGAUUUCAACUCAUAUAUNGUCGGUAUAUAUAUAUAUAUAUAUAUAUAUAUAUAUAUAUAUAUAUAUAUAGAGAGAGAGAGAGAGAGAGGGGUUACUCCGGUGGGAACUUCUUAAAAUGAGAACUGUGAGAACUUCCUUAAUUUAUCAUAUUUUGGCUAAUCUAAACAUCAAACUAGUGGAAAACCAAUAUAAAAAAUGUAUAUAAAACUAAUCUCUCCCUAGCUAGUCAAAAAAAAAAAGUCCACUGCCACGUCAUCAUUGAUUUAAUUUUAUUUUUAUUUUUAUUUUUUUUUUGGCUAUCUAGGUGGAGACCUUAAUGAUAUACAUUUUUUGUGAAGGUGCCCCUGGCGGGGCCCUUCAAAUGAAUGAGAUUUUGAUAAAUUAAAAAAGUUCUCACGGUUCUCAUUUUAAGAAAGUUCUCAUUUGAGCAAGUGCCUAUAUAUAGAGGGUUAUAUACACACGCAAAUGAAGUGUCGGAUCUAGGAUUUUACCAAGGAGGGGGUUUCAUUAAUAUUAAAAACAAAUGAGUGAAGUUGAAUCUUGCGGAAAGGGAGACGCAACGAAGUAUUGACUAUUGAAGUUGAGCAAGAGCAGCAAAGCAUUUUUUUUCUUUUAAUUCAUUCACUUCACCUGCGAUAGCGAGAGAAUAUUAGGUAUAAUAUAGUAGAUUAUUUAGUCAAUGGACUGGGCUUGCAAUAAAAAUGAACGGGUUCAAAGUAAUUUGGGUGGGCUCGUUUAUAAAAUACACCAAUUUUAGAAAGAAAAUUGCAAUUGCUAUGGACUCAGGGUGGGCUCUCAAGACCCCUUAGCCCCGUAUGUAUCCGCCACUACACAAAUGUAUACAUAAAUUCAAUGCUAGCGCUAUGAUUAUUUCAUUAACAUCUUCUCUUUUCCUUUUCACAACCUUUUAAAUAUCUUUAUGAAGAAACUCUUGUAAAAAUCGCCUUUCACAUAAUCUCUUCCUUGCCUUUUUAUUUUCAGUUAAACCUCUAUGCGUUUGUUGUCGACCGAUUUAUAGCUAAUUUGUGAAUCGGCGCCUAAUAUAGCCUAAUUUUUCUUAUUACGUUUACGAAACCUCCGAUCCUCUUCACUUUUGUCUAGUUUUAUCCGAUCUAUUUCCGAUCUAGUUGUUAUACUAAUUACAAAGCAUCUGAAAGCAUCUGAGCGAUCUGACUUUUUUCAGAUGCAAUCGGUGAGCUCAUUAAAUUAGAAUUCAUUUAUAUUUUUUUUAUCAAUUUUGUUUGGAUAGAUGCAGAUAUUUAUAUUUGGGGUUGAUGCUUUUGAGUUUCUAUGUAGAUCUGACGUUUGUAAAACGGAUCUCUUAAAUUUUAGAUCGCAAAAUUAAUUAUUAUGUUCUUUGGUUUUUCCAGCUCUUGCAUAUAUGGAAUAGUUAUCAUAAACAAUGAAGAAAAUGCUUCAAGAACAUUUCAUUCUCAUCACCUUCUUUAGAUGUGGGGAAUCGAGGUAAUUUUUUAUUAUAUUGGCUUAACUACUUUUUUAUAUAUGUAUUACAAAUUAUUAAUACCAAAUUUGUUGAACUGAUUUUUUUUUCAUAUUUUGUCAUAAGGAUUUAAAUUAAUAAAUUUGUUUAGACAAAUUAUAAUGCUUUUAAAAAUGACAAAUAAACAUAUAUUUAGUAUACUAUCAUAUUUGGAGUGUUGUUAUAUCUCGAGUGACGAGAACUUAGACUUUUAUUAACAUGUGUUUGCUUUGUAUUAUAUAAGAAUAAUAGAUAAUCAAUUUAGUAAUCUUUUCAUAAUUUUUAUUUAUAUUAUUAAUAUUAAAUAUAAGUUUUAUUAUUUUGAAAAAUAAGUGAUCACCACGACACACCAAGUACGUUAUCACACCCAUCUUGUUGGAGUAGGUGCAAGAAAUUUUUAAUUACUCCUCAAACACAUAUGAGAUAUGUUAAAAAUUGGCUGAUUUAGCUUGUUCCAUGAAAGUGCAGAUGAGAAUUGGAAAAAGCGGCCUCCGAACUGUAUGUCUUCUUUCUUUGUGUGAAUCUUUUAGUUUACAGGUUAUUAAGUUUAAAAUAUUGAUCACGAUUUUGAAUCCUUACCGGCAAAGGAGUUGUUUGAUCUUCAUUUAACACAUGUCAUUGUCAAUCGCCAACAGAUUGUUAAAAGGGGAAAUGAUAUUGUUGAGGUUAAGCCACAGGUAUGUGUCUCUCAUCUCCCACUUUCCUCUAUAUUGUCUAAUAAUUUACUUAACUAGCAACACCUGUAAUAUGUAGGAUGUAAGCAAAGGCUUGGUCACAGAAAAGGUAAUCUCGACAAUGGUUGGUAACGGCGAGGGCCCUGAUUCAUCCUCUGCUGCAUUGGAGAUGAUUGGUUAGAUGAAGACAUGUAGAGUGUAUUUGGAAGAUUGUUUCAUCUGCAGUGGUCCUUGCUGUUCCGGAAAUCUUUUCCUGCACUGUAAGCAAAAGCCUAGCAAAGCCAAGUACUAUGUCGACGAAACUUCUGAAGUUCCGAAGCUGCUCUAUAUUUGUCAUGUUUUGAUUUUCACUUCCAGCAAUCAAAACAUUAUUCGUAUUUUCAUAAUUGUCACCAGGACCCGUAUCAUUGAGCCAACUGGAAAAAUCUUCCAAUUCAAAGUCAGUGUAAUCAAUUGGAGGUUGAUGCUCAGAAGGAAACUCAGAAAAGGGUAUUUCCCAAAUAUGAUCUUCUGAUGUAUGGUUAGGACCCAAAAAAGAUUGAUAAUGAUUUUUUGGAGAAUCAACUUAGUUAGUAAGGACUUCACCUCCAUCACCUUGUUUUUCAAUUGGUAAUAUAUGAAUCAAAGUGAUAAUAGAGAAAACUUAUUAAUGUGUGUAUAUAUAUCAGGGUUUGUGUGUAUAUGAAAUCAAGAAUUUCAACAAAAGGAGAUUAUGUAGACCUUUUUGUUAAUCUAAUCACAGUAUUGCAAGAGGGUGAAGAUGGUGUAUGAGAUGGGUAGCUAGCUCCUCCGAUGCAACGCUAGUUAUAAAGUGGAGCCUAAAUUACUAGCCAUUGAUUUUUUUUCAUCUAAUUAACGAUCCAUAUCUUAAGAUGUUAUCUUUUCUCGUGUAAUGCUCCUUAUCUUAUAUUACCUUAUGUCAGUGUAAUACUUCUUAUGACUUAAUUAUCCACCAACUUAAUUAAUUCAAUAAGUUGGAGGCUAAUUAAGUAUUCACUCAUAAGAAGUAUUACACUGACCUAAGGUAAUAUAAGAUAAGGAGCAUUACACGAGAAAAGAUAACAUCUUAAGAUAUGGAUCGUUAGACGAAAAAAAAAUCAAUAGCUAGUAAUUUAGGCUCCACUUUACAAGUAGCGUUGCAUCGGAGGAGUUAGCUACCCAUCUCAUACACCAUCUUCACCCUCUUACAAUACUGUGAUUAGAUUAACAAAAAGGUCUACAUAAUCUCCUUUUGUUCAAAUUCUUGAUUUCAUAUACACACAAAACCCCAUAUAUAUACACACAUUAACAAGUUUUCUCUGUUAUCACUUUAAAUAAUAUCUUACCAAUGGAAAAACAAGGUGAUGGAGGUGAAGUCCUUCCUGACGGAGUUGAUUCUCCAAAAAAUCAUUAUCAAUCUUCUUUGUCCUCUAACCAUACAUCAGAAGAUCAGAUCUAAGAAUACCCUUUUUAGAGUUUCUUUCUUAGCAUCAACCUCCAAUUGAUUACACUGACUUUGAAUUGGAAGAUUUUUCCAGUUGGCUUAAUGAGAGUGGUCCUGGUGACAAUUAUGAAAAUACAAAUAAUGUUUUGAUUGCUGGAAGUGAAAAUCAGAACAUGACAAAUAUGGAGCAACUUCGAAUAUUUAGAAGUUUCGUCGACAUAGUACUUGGCUUUGCUAGGCUUUUGCUCUACAGUGCAGAAAAAGAUUAAUUGCUUAUAUUGUCAAAUUAUAUUUUCAUUAGAAUAAUUUCUUAUUGGAAGGAAACAAUUGUAUAAUAAGUUUUCAUUUUUAUGCGUUAAAAAUUUGCAUUUCCUUAAUGAAUUCUUGUUUUUGUACUCUUUAUCCUUACAAAUAUAUUUAUAGUAUGCAAAUAUGUAUUGUUCAUUUGUAAUACCAAAAUAAUUUGGUAGUUCAAACGUAAGUAUUAGUAUGUGUUUUAUGUUUACAAUUUAGAGAGUACUGGAUAUAGAAUCUUUGUGAUGUAUAAGAUUAGCUCUAUAUUAAUUUAUAAAUAUUUUUUUUAUGAUCCAACCGUACGGAUGUCGAGAACUAACAAUAUUAGCCAUGUAUAAAAAAAUCAAAAAAAAUUAUGUUUAUUUUGUAUAUUUUUUUCACAAUACUAAUCAAACGUAAAUUUUGUCUUAUUAUAAAUGUAUUUUUUGUCCCGAAGUGUCUAACAAACAACGGUUUUUAUAUGCACCUAUGUUGUAUCAUUGAAAAUGACACAACUGUUAGAAAGUUAUACCCUAAGAGAAUCUAUUGUAUUAAUUAGGCUCCAACAACGCUUUAGGGAAAAUCGGUUGUAUAAAAGUAGUGUAGACAACGGGAUAUGGGAAGAAAACCCUUGUAUAAUAAAUAUUCAUUUUUAAGAGUUAAAAAUUCGCAUUUACUGGAUCAAUUCUUGAUCUAAUGCAGGAAAAACCUAUGACUAUGAAGAACUUGACUAUUUUGUUAUAAUUUUAAUUGGUUAGGACAUUUAAAUGUUUGCACUCUCUUAUGUACGUUUAUUUUCGUUUUAUAGUUAAAGGCUUGUCUAUAAGGCCAUGAUACGAUGCUAACAAAAACACUUGUAUGUUAACUUCUCCGUCACACAACACUAUAUGGAACCCUUGUUUGAACUACUCGUAAACAACACAACAAAUAAAACACUUGUCUAAUUGCAACAACGGUUUCUUGGAAUAUUGUCUGAAGUUUCUUCACACAUCGACGCUAAAAACAGUUGUCUAACGUGCAUCAUUACAAACAAUAUCACUGUUAAGAUACCGUUGUCUGAUUAAAUUUAGUAGACAAUAGUUUUUUAACCGUUGUAGGUCGUAGGUGUUAGACAAUAGUUUUUCGAUCGAGGAUGAAAAUAAAGUGUUGUGUCUUUGUUUCGGCCAACAGUUUUUUGAGCGUCCGUUGUCUGACUAGUGUUGUCUGAUACUGUUUUUGUUGUAGUGCCAUAACUAGCAUAAAAAUUCAACUCCAGUUCUGACAUUUACUUUCCAUUUUAUUUUUUAUACGCAAAUGUAAUUCAUUUCCACUUAGAGAAUGCAGUGUAUGAUUUUGGUUCAUUUAAAGAUAAACAAUUUUAAUGUCGCGUGAAGAACAACACGUGUCAUCACAUUGAUGCAAUACUAGGAAAAUACAAUUAGAACAAUGAACAAUAAAGCUAAUUAAUUCACCAGAAUAUCACCAAUAUAGAAUCACUAUAAGAGCUCGUAUUCAAUUAUGAAACCAGCUACAGGAUUGAAACCCCAAAUUGGUUUAAAAUUGAAAUUAAUUAAAAAGCUAAUGCUAUUGAAAGCUGAAUACGAUGAUGUACAAAAUUGAAGCAAUAUUGAAGUUAACAGGUUUUUUUCAAACCUAAAUAUAAACAUCUAAAGUUGAAUAUCCAGAUCUUAGAUGUACAGAAUUUGCAGUGAAUCGCCUGGCAAGAUUUGUUGAGAUAUGAAAUACCAAAUCCAUGAAUUAGGCUUGGAAAUGCCAAAUCCAAGAAUUAACACCAAUUUACGGCGAAAAACAGCAAUUAAAAGUGUUAACAACAACGAGACAGAACAACGGCAGUGAAGCAGUGCCAUUGAGAGAACAGAUCAGAUUGAAUGACACCGGUGCUAAUUGAAUGAAAACCAGUGUAAGAUGAAGGGAAAACGUAUUAUGUCGAUGAAGUAUAUGGACUGGAACUGUAUGUGGAUUGGUACUAUCUUCUAUUAUUCUUAUCAAAAUAACAUUAGUAACAUUCACUUUUUGUUUGGCAUUUAGAGCUGGGAAAACAAACUCCUACCACAAUCAAGGAAGAUCACUCUCAUCAGAGAGGAAAAUUAUUUACAAGGUUAAAAACAAGUUGAAAGGGAGAUUACGGAGUAAAACUUACUCAGCAAUUCAGUGACAACCUCAGCCCAGUAACAGGCCCAAGCCCAAGGAGAAUACCCCAGGAAACCAGCUAUAAAGAGAAGGAAAGAAGACAGAGGAAGGGGUUGAAAAAUUAGAGGCAGAACCUCUUGCUUGUAAUAGAAAAAGAUAUUAGUGAGAAAUAUAGAAUUUCCUGUAUUCAUCCAAUAUUUGUCGCCAGAAGGAGGGGGUCUCUAGCCAAUACAACAACAGAAUCACCUCAAGGAUGGACGGAGACGAAGGCGCUAGAUCCCGAAACAAACGAGAUCCUGGCUGUGUAGUCGCAGGAAAUAAAUUUAGGGAAAUUAGCAACAGUACCGCUUUUUAUUAUAUUAUUUGCAGUACUACUACCUACCCAAAAGGAUUGCAUAUAUACGGUUCUUCUUUAACUUUAACCAGAAAGUUUGCAUACUUACGGGGCUUCACAUCUACAUCUUCUCUCUUGCAUUUUUCGUUCUUUUUAUCAAGAUCGGCUUUCUUCCACUCUUCUCUCUCCUUUCUCCUCGCACUUUCUCUCCGCCUCCAUCUCUCAUCUCUUCGCUCUCUCUCUAUCUCUUUCUCCUCGUUGGAGGAGGAAUAAUCCGUUGAUCUCCUUAAUGGAGGAAGAGGAGCACGACGUGAUGUAGUUUUCCGAUCUGAUGCCAAAAGCCCCGCGCUGUCAAUCGUCGUCCGAAUCCGGCGAGAAGCUCGCCAGAAAGUGCACAGAUCGAGCCAUACCCACAAACAAAGAGAAAGUGCUCAGAAUGCUCUGAUUCUUCCGAUGAAUAAUUUCUCUGAGGAUUUUGAUUGGAGAGAUAAAUCGAAUAGGUUGCUUUUUAGGUGAUUUUUGAUUUGUUUUUAGUUAAUUUCAUGGUUGCUCUUGUGAUAUUAGUUUUGGCCCCGCAGGGGUAUUUUUUUUUCUACUUUUGCAACCGGUUGCAACUUAUUAUGCAACUAAACGUAAUUUUCAAAAGUUUUUUUUCAAAGUUGCAUUUAUGGUUGCUAGCAGUUGCAGAUAAGGUUGCAUAUGCAACCACCGUAUUUUUGCAAUUUUUUUUGAAAGAUGGUAUUUUUGCAAUUUGUUAUAAAGAAAUGAUAGUAUUUUUGCAAAAAUCCUUUUAGACUUAGGUAUAUAUGAGAAAAGCCCAUAAAUUUAAGGCGAGAGCUCGGUCCAAGCAGACUCUUCGGGAAAGAGCCUCGGGCUAGCUUCGAAGGGGAGCCCGCCCGGUCAGGUCAAAUCCAAUAGGUAGAAGCAAAAGACAAGGUCUUUUGAAUGACAGUACAAACUUGAAAAGAGUUCUGAAUAGUGACCGAUCGUCUUUACCAUGAAAAAUCAAAGCCAAGACUAAGCUCUGGAAAGCACAACUAAAGGACUUGAUAUCCUAGAGAUUGAGCGCCACCUACUUGAAGCUAAGGUCUGCCAAAUGAAAGACAUAAUGUGUCUCAGGACCGAGCUGAAAAUUUGUCUAAGGAAUAUCAAAUGGAGGACCAUGAGCCCUCUUGAAAAACUUCCGUGUACAGUGAGUAUACCUGCAGAGAGGACUCCGAGGGAUCAUAAAACUCUAGGCGUCACAAGAGAAAAAUGCCCUAUGAGGAGAGGAGAACUUGGGAGCCUCGGAGCCGAGGACACGAAUAACCAUGUACCUAGCUAACCCGCCCGCCUCCAGGAAAACAUUGUUAGGAAGCAUGGACUUAACAGGAGCAAGUCCUACCAUUUACCAUUUGCGCUCAACGCACAUUUCAUGAGAUACCCGUUCAUGCUCAACACACAUAUCUUGAGAUGAUCAGCUGACAGACACUUGAAUUGAGCCGAUCGCUAAGACACGAUUUUAUCUUCUUCUUACAGAGACUGGCCUUGCCAAAAGAAAGUCCAUCUUGCAGAGCGUGAUUACGUUAUAAUUUAAUAUAUAUGGAUAAUAUAGAUUCAAGUGUUACUGACAUCCUUCUGUUGUUGUAUAAAUAGUCUAACUCUUAUCAAUCAUACAAUGAUUCCUCAUUUUGUCAUACUAAUCCUUCAAAUUAAUCACAUAGUCCAGUUAAGGUCACCUUCUUGAUCAUUUUUCGGAAUAUUUAUCAACAAUAAUAUUCUCAUUUCUAUAAUUCAUCACAUGUAUACCUUAAAUGACUAGGGACUCGCAUGCUAUUCAUAGAUACUGCUUUAAAAGAUCCUUGGAGGAGAAUCGUGCCUGUUGAGAGAUCCUCUGCACAAUGAACUAUGGUAAGAAUUUAACCAACACACGAUUCUCUUCAAAGAAUUGUAAAAUAGAUAACUUGUUAUGAGAAAUAAAAGGAACAUGCAGAACAUUAGUAAAUUUAAAGGUGGGUAAAGAGGUAAGGAGAACUGGAGAAGGAAUAUAAUGAACCAAUAUGAGAUAUCGGAAGAGAGCACCUGUCGUCAAUGCUGCUUCGGUAUCGUCAACAAACUUGAGUAAAUCAUGGCCAAAGGGAACUGAAUGGAUCUUGGUUUUGCAGGAGAGAUAGUUCAGGGGUAAUUGCUGAAAUUAAUGAGAAUGAAUGGUGCAGAGGGGUCAUUUGAGUUAAAUUAAUGGAGUUAUCCAGGCUGCCCACCAUGUUAGAAUAGCUUAGGUAGGUGGGUUAUAAAAAAAUUGAACUAACAAGAUAGCAAUUUCUCCUAACAAGUUAUAGGUGCAGGACGUGAACAAGCUAAAUAUCUUAGUUAGUACUUGUAAGGAGGCCCGUUUAAAGCCACGAAAUGUGGAACUUACAGUUAAAUAAUUUCUACAUUUCUCCCCAGCACCUCCCUUCCCCAUAGAUUAUUAGAGUAACAGGGAAUAGGGAUGCUCUAACUAAUAAAUUAACUCUCACAAAUUGUGUAGAAAACACUUCUGACCUGUUUCUAUUUCAACAGCUUAUUUAUUGAUUUUAGCAAAUGUUUUUUCUUUUUAACACUUUUACUGACAAUUGUUUUCAUGAAAGCUUUUUUCGGUUCAGGAGAGCAUUUUUCUGGCCAAGGAGGGCAUUUUUCCGGGCAACACUGGUCCGGAGGGCACUUUUCUGGGCAACACUGAUCGGGAGAGCACUUUUCCGGACUACACUUUUUCGGAGGGCACCUUUCAGGGGAGCACUUUUCUGGACAACACAUUUCUUGGCAGGAGUUAUCAACCACACUACCGAAAGGAGCCAUAAGCUUUGGCGUAGGGAGGCAACAUUCUGGGUACUUAACAGCUAAUUUUUCCCGAAGCAUCUUGACAGUGUUCUGGAUGAAAGUGCUCUGUAGACUGGAAGUGUUAAACACAUUAUUAUUAUAGAAACUCUGUAUAUUCAAGUAAACAGCAUUUUGUACUAGAGAAAUUGUUUAGAAAUUAAAAUUUUAGGAAGAAAAUAUUUAAAAAUAUGGAAGAUUAAUAUUACCCCUCCACAUGGUCUCCAAGAAUUUUACCAACUUCUACCAGAGCUUCUCUCCACUUCUCCACUGUGUCGCUGUGUCUUGCCCUAUGCUUUUUAAGCGCAAGGCCGUAAUUUCCAAGUUGGUAUUUAAUAUCUCUGAUUUCAACCUCAUACAAAAUCGGUAUGAUAAAAUACUUGGAGUUCUUACUGCGUUCUAAAAUGAGGACGAGUUCAUCCAGACACCACGUAGAAUAAUUCAAGUGGACUAGUUAAAUGCAGCCAGAGUCAACUAUAAAACCUCAAGUCUCCUCAAACAGUUUUGUAACAAAGAAAUACUGUAAAUGCUAAAAUCAACAAUGUUUAUUUGAUGGAGUACAAUUGCCAGCACAUGAAUAAAAAAUUUGUAAACUAAUAGGAUCUCAAACAGGGAAUCUAAAUAUAUUUUUAAUUAUAUUACUUAUUAUAUGUACUCAAACUCUACUAUAUAGUUUAAACUCUUUUUAGUUAAAAGUCUUUAUGAUUAUAUUAUUUUUAUGUUAUUAAUAUUAAACAUAUUUGAUGUGGUAAGAUUCUUUUGCUUAGUUUUUUUAUUCAUUUACUCAUUUUGACGCAAAACAGGUUCUCUCACACAGCAGCUUUUCAGCAUUUUUCUAACCUAAAUUUUUUUAUUAACCUAUUGAGCACGUUCACGUUCUUUUAACUUUUGUUAGAACAAGAUAGCGCAACAAUUUGGACACUCUUACUAAACUAAGUAGAGACAAGAGUUUAAAAAAAAAAAAGCCUUUGUUGCAAAUAUUGUAAAACAAUGGUUUUCAAGUGACAGAUAACAAGGAAUUCAUGUUAAGUAAGGGAUUCAAAAUUUUUUAGAUAUUUUUUUUAAAUAACAGUAACUCUAUAUGCUUAUGGUCUGAAAGCAUAACAUCAAUAAUUUUAUAAAAAAAACUCUAUUGUAGCUUGUUGUACACAACAAUUUUAGCAAGUACCCUUGUCAUGAGGGUAUUCAAGAAACGAUUUUUGUUUAAAACUAACCAUUCUGUAUGAGCUAUAAAUCAUUGCUAUUGUAUUAUUGUAUUGUUCAUUGUUAUCUUGCAGCUGUUUAGAUAAUUCUUUGUGUUACGCUCACAUAGUUGUAUAGGUUUCCAGACGAUAAUUAAUUACAUUUACUAGUUAUUGGAAUAUUAUUGUCGCAAUAGUUCAACUCUUACUUUAACCAACAUUGUUCACAAGGAAAAUUACAAUAACAAAGAAAGAAUGUCCUUGUUUCUUAUGUCACGAGGGGACUUACGUGUGAUGGAGAUAGUGGUCCAACAAAAUUUUUGAAUUUUUUAACAAUUUUAAUAAUUAAUAUAAAAUUUCAUGAAAAAUAUUCAUAAACAUUAGAAAGUCAUUUCUAUAGAGUGCAACAAUAAACUAUAUUGAACUGAUUCACUCAGUGCUGACAUGCAUACAUAUAAAUUGUCAAGUUAUUAUAUAUAACAUGUAAGUAAUACUACUGAUAGUCUUAAUCACACAAUCUAUCUAGAUCUUCGUCAUUAUAUUUACAGUCAUUUAUAUAUAAAAUUUAACACUCAUAUAUACAAAUCAAAAAAAUGUUUGUUGUGUGUGUGUAUAUAUAAAACAUUGAGGGGUGACAAUGACAUUGAGUUCAAAAAUGUUUGUUGUUGUAUAUAUCGACGCAUAUAUUUUCUGUAUACAAAUUAUAUCACUCUUAAAAAGAGCAUAGACUUUUCAUUUCCACUUACAUAUCCUUGUAGUCAUUGUAUUAGUCUAUGAAUGAAUUUAAAAUUACAUUGUAUUAGUCUAUGAAUGAAUUUAAAAGUACCGAUUUUGCCAAAAAUAACUAGAUGGGCUAGGGUUUCUUGUCGAUGGAUCAACAACAGCUAUAGAAGCCCGUUAAGGAAUGCCUAAAUGUUAAGGCCCAUCCUUACCUCCUAUGAAAACAAGAAGUUUCCACAAGCUCACCAACGAGGACUACUCGCUAGACUACGGAGGAAGACUUCUCUGGUCUUCGUCCACUACUUUCCAAUGAGGAUGGCCCACUAGAAUGCAAAGUAGUGUCUUUAACUUUGUAUACGAAUCCGGCCCAUGUUAAUGACCCAUAGUGAAUUUUGGGUAUAACAACUGUUAUUAGACUUUUCAUAACAUAAUCUCUUUCUUGCCUUUUCCUCAUCAUCGGAAACCCUAUUUUCCCGAUCAACCUCUUCUUCUAAAUUCUUUCUAAAAACAUUCAUUUCAUCUUCAAAUUCCAUUCCAUUACCAUGUUUUGAUUAUAAAAACUAUAACCCAACCACCACCACUACCUUGUAACAUCAAUAAAGUGUUAAGAUGUUUCCGAUAUAUCUUUAAUUUGCGAAUUGGUGCUUGAUAUAUGUCUAAUUUUUCUCCUUUCGCUUACAAAACCCUCGAGCCUCCUCACUCUUGUCCAAUUUUAUCCGAUUCAUUUCUGAUCUACUUGAUUGUACUUGUUAAACUAAUUACAAAGCAUUUGAGAAAUCCGACUUUUUCUGAUUCGUAUCGGUAAGAAUUAGAAAAUAACUAUUUAUGUUUUUCUUAUCUAUUUCGUUUGGAUAGAUGCAGAGUCACAUGUGGGAUCGAGCCUUUUGCGAUUUAAUUACCUGAUUGUUAUGACUUAGUUUCAAUCUUUUUUUAUACAGGUAUUUUUAUAAAAUUAAAAUUAGAUCUAAUGAUUGUAAAAUUGAUCCUCUAGAUUUUAUAUUGAAAAAUUUACUUAUUACGUUCUCUUUCUUUUUUCGAUUCUUGCAUCAAUGGAAGUUAUUAUAAACAAUGAAGAAAAUGCUUCAGGAAGAUUUUUUAUGCACAGUUAACCACCUUCUUCUGGUGUCUGAAAUCCGGGUAAUUUUCUUAUUUUUGCUUAAUUACUUUCAAUACAUGUUCUGUUUGGUAUUAAUACCAAAUUUGUUGAAUUGAUUUUGUUAUAAUUUGUCAUGCGGAUUUGAAUUAAUGAAUUUUAUUUAAAUGAAUUCUAUUUCUAAUGCUUUAAAAAUUGGAAAAAAAAUAUAUAUAUGUAGUAUAGUAUAAUUUUUGGAGAGUUUGUAAAGUUUAAGUAUGAGAACUUAGACUUUGUUUAACAUGUCUUUAAUUUUUAUUGUAUAUAAAUAGAUAAUCAUUUUGAUAUUAUUUAUAAUUUCAUUUAUAUUAUUUAAAAAAAUAAGUGAUGUUAUGUGAGCACUACCUUACACCACAUAUAUUCCCAUCCUUUUGUUGUUGAAAGUAACAAGAAAAUUGUAUAUACAUAUGCUUUCAAGUUUCAUCUUUUGACCCACGAGGCCACGAACCACCACAUUAAUCAUAUUACCUACUCUACUCAAGAAAAAUGUGGCAUAUGAACAAAAAAAAACACACACACAUAUAUAUAUAGGCUCAUGAUCAAAUUAAAACUAAUCUUAAAAUAAAAACUAGAAACCAAUACAAGUUAGUGAUAUUCUUAGUAUUGUCUUUAGGAUUUGGUGAUCUGUGUUGUAGGAAUUAGUGAAAACUUAAUCUCCAGAUAUGUUCCAGCUUAGAAUCUCCAGAUCUGUUCACGUUUUCGAUUCAGAUGGUGGUGAUAUUGGUGGAGAUGGUGGAGGUGAAGGUGGAGAUGGAGGAAGGAUGAUUGUAGCGGAGGUUUGGGUGGCUUGAAGUAGGGGGUUGGAGCGUUGCCGGAAUAGUGGCGGCUCCGUGUUUGAAGUUUAGUCGAGGUGGGCAUCUGAGAAUGAUUCGAGCCGGAGAAAGAAGUAUGAACGGGGCUGAAGGAGGUUAAAGCAGCGGUUAAGAUGGGGCUGGUGAAGAUGGAGGUGGAGGUUGUGUUGUUAGAGAAAUAAUGGAGGUGGAGGUGGAGGUGGAGGUGGUGCUUAUGGAGGGGACGGGCGGCAUAGAGGUGGUAGUGGUUAUGAAGGAGGCGACGAUGGAUGUGGUGAAGAUGGAGGUGGGUUUGGUGAAGAUGGGGGUGGAGAUGGAGUUGUUUAAGAAUUUAGUGGUAUUUGCUUUAGGAUUCAGUGAUAUUUCAGUUUGGUUUUUAGUUUCUAGGAUAUAAACAACUCCAAACUUGACUGGAAAAAAUUGAUUAUGUCAUGGCCAAGUGCACAAAAGCACAAAGUAACUUAGCAGCACCUUAAACAUUAUCAAUUCUAAGAAUGUGAAAAAUGAAAUUAUACACGAUUAGAGGGUAUUAAGUUUAAAAUUUUCUAGGUGACAGAUUAUAUACAAAAAAAGUACACACAGCAUUUGAAUACAAGUCCUUCUCCCUGCCUAAAAAAUGGAUUUGUGCUCUGACCUUAAUCUAACUCUGGAUGAAGAUCUCCAAAAUGAGAAACGAGCUUUACUUGUGUUACUCUUCAGUCCCUUGAAAAUUUUAUGCACAUUAACACAAUUAUUACCUUAUAUUGGCAAACCCAAAUAGAAAACGUAAUUGUUACCUGCAAGUUCUGCUAAUUAGUUCUGAAUUUUUAGGCUAAUCUCCUUAUCUGAGUGGAGCAGUCAGAAAUAAUUCAUGUGACAUUAUUUCGGUAACAGAGGUUAUGCAUUGUGUGAUCACCAUGAAUGAUUCUCAUGAUAUGGCAUGUUGGCUUGCAGGUUUGUGCAGAGUAUGGAGAGAGCAUGUCUUGAUCACUACAAUGUACUAGCAGAGUAUGGAGAGAGCAUGUCUUGAUCACUAUAAUGUACUAACACGGGUUUCAAUUUCAGAUUCAAGGUUGCUGCAAUCUCCUUAGGUUUCCAAAAUUGUAUCCUGAAAGCAUAAUCCCUAAUAAUACUCUCUUUUUUCAUUCCUGUCAUGAUGUUAUUACUACUUAAAAGAUAUUCCUUUUUACAAACUUCUUAUGUACCUCUUUAGUGGAUUCUAAAGUAAUCACCUUGUCUUUGCAGGUGGGAAAAACUUUUGGUAGGCAACUCAGUUUAGUUGUAGAUCUUGAAUGGAAGACAAUUGCGGAAAGCCCCAUAUUUUUUCCUCUGCAUCGGUGAUGACUGAUGAGAAGAAGACAUGUAAGAGUGUACUUCGAUGAUUGUUUCAUCAGCCGUAGUCCCUAUUGUUCUGGAAAUCGUUUUUUCUUUACUGUAGAGCAAAAGCCUAGCAAAGCCAAGUACUGUAUCGACAAAACUUCUGAAGUUCAGAAGCUGCUCCAGUUUCAGCAUAAAAACUCCACUGCCCCUCUCACAUUUACUUGCCAUUUAUUUGACAAGCAAACAUAAUUCCUUUCAAUGUAGAGAAUGCAGUAUAUGAUUUUGGUUCACUCUUGAAGAAUAUCAUUCUGAUCCCAAUUCUUACAGGAAUAAAAUCAAAGAUUUGCUCAGAUGAUGGUAAUUUCACCAAGUAAGAAUGAGAUGUAGGCACAUAACAGAGUCACAAGUAUAAAUUUCGUAAGAAAAAACUAGCACAUGUCAUAUUGAUACAUUUAUUAGGAAAAAUACAAUCAGAAUAAUAAACAACGCAACUAAUUAAUAAAAGUGACUAAUCAGGGAUUCAGAAAGCCAAAUCGGAUAAUACUGGAUAUUAUUUGGUAUUUAUUUAUGAGAUUUUUAUAUUACAUUUUAAAAUUUACUUGAAGAUUUUAAAAAGUGCUUGAUUAUGAGCUUAAUCGGAUAUAUCUGCUUCAACAACGUAUUAACAUGUCACUGGCCUAUUUUUGCACAAGCUUGAGUUAAACAGCAGGAGCAAAGCAAAUUCCAAGUUUUCCAAGUUGAAAAUGUCAUAAAUUCAAAAAUUAACCUCGAUUUACAGAUAAAAUACCACAACCACGAUCUCGUCAAAGUGAAGAUCAUGCAAUUUUCAUACACAAACACAAUGUUUUAACAUUACCGAUAUCUACCAAGCAUUGCAUUUGACAUCGUAACUUGAACGUGGUUCGCAAAUCUUUGUGAAUAGUAGUGAUACAUCAGUGAUCCGACAAGCUUUCGUUUAACUUCGGCAUCAUAAAAGCCCUCGACCUCUUCUUCUCCGCACAGGUCCUUCCCAUUCACAAUCACCAUAGGAAACCUUACCUUGUCAUUUCCAACCAGAUCUUUUAGCUCCCUCAAAUACCUUGGCUCAAUUGAACAGUUUCUCUCCUCAUAUACAACAUUUCCGCUUCUCAAAAUCUUUUUUAAUGCACCUACGGCAUCAGUAACACUAGUAGUCGUGUACAGAAUAAUCUUAUCUUCAGAUGAGGACGAUGAAGAACUGCCUUGUAAAACCGGAACUCGUGGAGUUGGGAGGCGACAUUCUGGGAACUUAGCGGCCAAUCUUUCUCUGAACAAUUUGACAGUGUUUUGGAUGAAUGUGCUUUGUAAUCUGAUAGUAGUAACAAUCACCACUUGUGUAAGAAAUUAGUAAUAAGAGCAGAACAUUUUAAUAUAGUAUAGAACAGAGGAUCAGUUGCAGAAAAUGGAAGAGAAAAAUUUACCCCUCUACAUGCUCGCCAAAUAUAUUACAAACUUCUACCAGAGCUUCUCUCCACUUCUCAACCUUGUCGUUGUGCCUUGCCUUAUGCUUUUCCAGCGCGAGUCCGUAAUUACCCAACUGGUGCCUAAUAUCACGUAUUUCGACCUCAUAAAAAAUGGGAAGUAUAAAAUACCUAGAGUUUCUGUUGCGUUCAAGGACGAGUACAAGUUCAUCAAGACACCAUGUAGAGGCGGCAUAAUUUUUGGAGAAUAUAAUUAUGGCGCUCAUAGAGUUUCUGAUCCCCUCCUUAAUUGUCAAACUUACUUCAUCUCCAACACGUAUAUCAGUUUUGUCCAUGAAGGCUACAAACCCUUCGGCUCUUAAAGCCUCGUAGAGAAAACAUGUGAACUUGUUGCGAGUUUCCCCUCUAAAGCUCAAGAAGACAUGACAAAAUGAAGCUUCGUUAGCCAUGGAGAUUUAGCUCAUUUACAGUUAUAUUAUUAGGAGGGGUUGAAGAUUUGGCUUUCACUUUAUAGCUGAACUCUGUCAUAAGAUGCUCAACACAAAUCGCCAAAUUAGUACAAAAUCUUCGCCACCACAUUUAAGGAGUACUUUGGUUGAUAGAAAAAAUAUAAACGAGGGCCUGCACAAAUGUCCAAAACUAGACAUAUACCGAACAACAGAGUCGUAGGUAAGCACAAAGCAUACACUAUGGAUAUCUUGUUCUUCUCACCAAAAGUUUUUUAAAACGAAUAGAUAUGUUUAUUUUCUUUCUCCCAUUUGCUGCAGACUGCAGUUAUCAAACGUGUAUGUUCAAAACGCCAUAGCAGUGCUAAAUUGCCAACUUUUUUUGUUACUGAUAAAUUUAUGCAAAAGCUUGGGUAAUAGAGGGCCAGUACCACCUGAUUUUUCUAUUGAUUCAUCUAUGCCCUGUUUAGGAACUUAAAUUUCAUUUGAACUUCUUGAUACGAUCAAAUGACAAUUUUGGAUACACACAAGAAAGUUGGAUUUGAAUUUAAAUCGAGGACAUUCAAAAACUAGUAUAAAGCUUUUAAUUUAAAAUGACACCUCAAAUCAUACCAAUUGAAAUCCAAAAUUUAAAGUGAAAUACAUGUUUUAAGACGCAAUCCUAAUGAAACUUAGUAAGUUGUUUCACGGAAGUGACUAAAGUCUAAAACAUCCUCAUCAUUCUUGUUUGUUCUCUUGUUUGAUUUGGCUCUAGACUUUUUUUUUCUUUUGGUGAAAUCACACUUACCUAGCUAAUACAUCUUCUGUGUGAAAUCGUACCUCAAGUUUUCUUUUGAGUUUAAAGCUUUAAAGCUGAGUUAUGUUAAAAUAACAUCAGACUCUUGUUGGGGGACAGAGUAGCAAUAAAUCAAAAAUGUCAUCUGGCUUGACCAAUUCAGUACCUCAAUGGCUGAACGUCCUCGGCAAAACUCAGGCUUCGAGUGGAAGUCUGUUGAUUCUUUAACAAAGGAGGAGUAUAAUGAUAUUUGCCUGAGAGGGAUAUCAACAGUUUAUUACAGAAUUAUAUUAAACACACUCACACACGUAUUAUAUUUUUGAAAAUGCAUGGUAGGACGGCAACAGUUAGGAUGGGACUAGAUUUUUCAAUAUCCAAAUCCAAAUUCUUUGACAAGAUCCUGACAAAGACCUGAAAAAAUUCAAAAACUGGGACCUGAAUCCGAUCCAAAAGAUUUCGGAUUGGAUCAGAUUUUACCCGAAACUCGAAAAUUUGGACUCGAAAUUCAAAGGCAAGUAUGGGAAGAUUUCUGUUGAGCCGGGGGCUUCAUGUUUGAUCAUUCAUAUCUGCAUCUUAUAAAGUACUCUUAUGUUAUCAUAUUAGAGCAUCUCCAACCAUCUAAAGCCCUUGGCUAAAAAGUGAGGUGGCAUACUUAAAAUAAAAAAAUUUAGCCAACAGCUCCAAAAACCCAACUCCAACCAUGCUCAGCUGUUGUCUAUAAAUUUAGCCAACCUCCUAUGGAUGGCUAAAUUUGUCGAACCUCUACAGGUCUGUAAGAAAAUCUGUAGGAAGAUUGUACAUCAUUUAUUACCAUAUUGAACUGAUAUAUUCUAUUUUAACAAUUUAAAAUAUUAAUAACAUACUAUUUUUAAAUUAUAGCCAACCGAUAUAGCCAAUACCAUUGAAACAAAAUGUCUUACAGGUUCAGCAAAUUUUACAUAAUGUCUUACAGGUCCAAUUUAGCCAACGAUUAUAGACAACGCCGUUGGAGAUGCUCUUACAACGUCUUGUUUUCACUAAAUCAAUCACAAAGAGCUAGACUACUAAGAUAUAAUCACAUAAGUCAUAAUUCUGGAUAAAAAAAUUAAAAUUACAAUCCAUGGUUCUUGUACUAUCUAGGGGCUGUAUUCGAUUGAGAUUUUAAUGGAUGUUUUUAAUCUAUGGAUUUUAAAGGAUUGUACUUGAUUUUGAUUUUGUGCGGAUUCUUUGUAAAAUGUAGCAGAGUUGAUAUAAAAAUUUUCAGGAUUUAAACAUAAUGCUUCAAAAUCUGAUGGAUUUUGGUGGGAUUUUAAAAAACUUAAAAUACAAUGAAGAAUCCCACAAAAUCCAUCAUUUUAUGAAGUCCAAAAAAAUCCAUCAGCAUUUGAAUACUAUUAGAUUAUAAUGGAUUUUAAACAAUCCCAAUUGAAUACUAUCGGAUUCUAAAGCAUAAUUUAAAAUUGUAAUUAAAUACCACCACAUUUUGUAGCAUAAUUUAAAAUAUCAGUUGAAUGCCACGAGAUUUUAAUGGAUUUCAAGCAAUCUCAAUUGAAUAACCUCGGAUUUCAUGAAUGAAAAAAAUCACUUGCAAAAAGGGGGGAAAAUUGUCAUCAAACUCAUCACAAUUUAAAAAUAGUUAAAUUUAAACUGUCUGGAAGGGUCUAAAAUAGAGAAUCUUUAACUUCUCUCCGGCUCAUAGGCUCACCCGCCUCAUCUCGGAAUUGGCCAGCCAAGCAAGUAAGAACUCCAUAAUAUACGAUAGAGAGUAAACUUUAAAGUUGUGGCCAAAAUUUACACCGAUUUUCAAAAAGUUAGCUAGAGUUCCAAAUUCUCAUAAAGAUGGCCAAUUUUUGACUCCACUUUUUAAAAGUGCGGCUCCCGUUAAAUAUCACUAACAGAGUAACGGACAUGNAGACAACGCCGUUGGAGAUGCUCUUACAACGUCUUGUUUUCACUAAAUCAAUCACAAAGAGCUAGACUACUAAGAUAUAAUCACAUAAGUCAUAAUUCUGGAUAAAAAAAUUAAAAUUACAAUCCAUGGUUCUUGUACUAUCUAGGGGCUGUAUUCGAUUGAGAUUUUAAUGGAUGUUUUUAAUCUAUGGAUUUUAAAGGAUUGUACUUGAUUUUGAUUUUGUGCGGAUUCUUUGUAAAAUGUAGCAGAGUUGAUAUAAAAAUUUUCAGGAUUUAAACAUAAUGCUUCAAAAUCUGAUGGAUUUUGGUGGGAUUUUAAAAAACUUAAAAUACAAUGAAGAAUCCCACAAAAUCCAUCAUUUUAUGAAGUCCAAAAAAAUCCAUCAGCAUUUGAAUACUAUUAGAUUAUAAUGGAUUUUAAACAAUCCCAAUUGAAUACUAUCGGAUUCUAAAGCAUAAUUUAAAAUUGUAAUUAAAUACCACCACAUUUUGUAGCAUAAUUUAAAAUAUCAGUUGAAUGCCACGAGAUUUUAAUGGAUUUCAAGCAAUCUCAAUUGAAUAACCUCGGAUUUCAUGAAUGAAAAAAAUCACUUGCAAAAAGGGGGGAAAAUUGUCAUCAAACUCAUCACAAUUUAAAAAUAGUUAAAUUUAAACUGUCUGGAAGGGUCUAAAAUAGAGAAUCUUUAACUUCUCUCCGGCUCAUAGGCUCACCCGCCUCAUCUCGGAAUUGGCCAGCCAAGCAAGUAAGAACUCCAUAAUAUACGAUAGAGAGUAAACUUUAAAGUUGUGGCCAAAAUUUACACCGAUUUUCAAAAAGUUAGCUAGAGUUCCAAAUUCUCAUAAAGAUGGCCAAUUUUUGACUCCACUUUUUAAAAGUGCGGCUCCCGUUAAAUAUCACUAACAGAGUAACGGACAUGAGGGUAAAAAUGAGUUUCAAAUUCUCAGAAAAGUGGCCAAACUUUGGUCCGCUUUUCAAAAAUGUGGCCCCCGUUAGGCUCCCGUUAGUGACAUUUAAUGGGAGCCACACUUUUAAAAAGCGGAGCCAAAACUUGGCCAUCUUUUUGGAAAUUUGAAACUCUGGCCAACUUUUUAAAAAUCGGUGUAAACUUUGGCCACAACUCUGAAGUUUACUCUAUACAAUAUCGUCUCCAAUUUAGCCUUGAGUCCUUGCGACUUUCUUUUAGGCACCUCUCAAAAGACCUUGUGUUAUUAAAAUUGUUCUGGUUGCUUAUAUUCUCGAAUCUUGCUUCUGCUUCUUCUUCCUCUUACAAUCGACAUGGGACUAACUCCUAACACUAAUCACGUGCAUCAAUGUGGUUGCAUAGCCUGAGUUACAUUCGAGACAAGUAGUGCUAAUUAUGGACUAGUAUGCUGAUUAGGAGAAUAGGGAACGUGUUAGCGUUAUCCUGCGGGUGUCAUUCACACGCAGUCUUUUGGCUCACAUAGUCACAUUUGAUAUAGUAAAAAAAACUGAGCAGGAAGCUGUUUGGAAUAUCGAAAAACAAAUCAUUGACGUUAAUAUUAAAAAACAGUUGGUGGAGCUAGGUUGGUUCUGUCCUAAUCUUAAUGAAGAUGACCAACUUAGUACCAAUCUAACUGGAAUCGGAAUCACUGAUUGACUUUGCUGAGCAUUGAGAAUUCAGAAGUAAAACCAUAGAAAACUAAUCAACUGUUAUAAUAUUGGAUUCUGGUAUCAUAGAUCAAUUUUACAGUCUCUAUAACUCACAAGUCACAAGUCAACGAGUCCGAGAACUAGAUGCACAUCAUGCUCCAGUGCCAACAACAUCUCGAGCUCGAACUUGUUUAACGAGUCCAGAAAAAUCUCAGGGUCAAUUUCCAACAAAAUCUCGAGCUCGAACUUGUUUAACAGAGUCCAGAAAAAAUCUCGGAGCCAAUUUGUUUGAACUAACAGGUCCAGAAAUGAAGUAAAAUUUUCAUAUACUUAAAAGGAGGAUAGGUAUUGCAUUUGUUUAAGCACCAUAUAGAUAAGUCUAAUUCAUUCUCCAUCUAAGCAAUAUAUGCGGAUAUCUGCAAAUCAAUCAGUGAUGCAACAGGAUAUCCUCUCACUUAAUUUACAGGACUAAAGUAACAAGGCUGCUAUGUAAGUUAAUAUGAUGAGACCGACAUCUUGUUUAUUUAAUCGACAAAUUUGUUUUUAUGAAACAUAAUGUUAACCCUCUUACAUUGUUUAUGGGAUGCCCAGAAAGAAGGUUCCUUUCACACCUAAAAUAAUCAUUUGAAACUACAUUCACCAGAUGCAUAUAUUAUAAGUAGCAGUAGUGGUAAUAGUGGCCAGGCAGAUCAUUCGCCAUUCGACAUACACGAAUGGAGAAAACAGGCUCAUCUGGAAAUCCAAUGGGGAAUGUUCAAGAGGCCUAUUGCUUAGCUGAUUUAGUAGAUGAUGCAAAUUUAGCGCGUUUCAUUUCAUUAAGUAGAGGCGAAACUGCUCAGCCAGAUGGUCAUUUUUGUCACAAUUUCCUUGAUUGUGAUACCAUUAAUGGCUGUUUAGUUCAUAAUCAGUUCGAACCUUUUAUUGGACUUCCAUAUGAUCAUUUCGAUAACCCUCCUAUAACACCAUUUUCUGAUCCACAUUCUCUUUUCAAUAAUUUGCCCAACAGUUACAAUGAACUGAAAGAAGCGCAAGAAGAUGCAUGUGAAUAUUCUUCUGGGACAAUGACAACUACAACCACGUCUGCGCCCAAGAGGAGCAAAAAGGGAGACCGGACAAGAACAUUAGUUCAAGAACAGAGGAGAAGAAGCCGAAUGAAGGACAAGCUAUAUGCGUUACGUGCUUUAGUUCCCAAUAUAACCAAGGUAAGUGCUUAAGUCUUGCAUCAGAAAAUUGAUACUAUUAUUAGUCCAAAUCAUCUGAAACUUAAUGUGUAAAAUGAUACAUGCAGAUGGAUAAAGCCUCUAUAGUUGGGGAUGCUGCACUAUAUGUUCAAGAUUUGCAAAAGCAGGCUAAGAAGUUAAAGGCUGAAGUUGCGAGCCUGGAGUCAUCACUGACAAGAAUGGAGAGGCAACAAGGAGGCAUACAUGACAAUGAAAACAAGAUUCAAAUUGCAGACUUCUAUCAAACAGUAAAAAUGAUAUUACAGGUUAUUUCUGAUUAUUACUGUGUAUCUCUUUAAGCUAUUAAAGCCGCAUAAAAAUGGGGCACAUUUCUAAAACUCUACUCUGAAUCGAAAUGCAGAUACGUGUGUGUCAAGUGGAAGAGAAUGGAUAUUAUGUAAGAGUAGUGUCCAACAAAGGUCAUGGAGUCGCAGCCUCGCUUUACAAAGCUCUUGAUCCUUUAUCCACCUUCAUUCUUCACUCUUCCAACUUGGCUACUCAAAAUGAUACUUUUCUUUCCACAUUCAAUCUGAACGUAAGGCCCCUCUAUUAAAACAUUUUAUACAGCACAAUUUACCAUACAUGCUCUUACUUGAAAAACUGUGUAUGUUGAAAAACCAGGUUAGAGAAGUCGAAUCUGACACGAAUGCACCAAAUAUGAAGCUAUGGGUAGCUGCAGCAUUUCUUAACCAAGGAUUUGAUUUGAAACAACCUCUGUAGGUCUAGCUCUGGACUCGACAUUACAAGUAUGCAGGUGUCCUGUGCACUGUCGACCAUUUGGCCAAGCUUAUUAAUUUGGCCAUCAAACUCGUCAUGCCAUACACCAUCGGACUAAUUUAGCACAAUCUGUGUAUGCCAUAGCAUAUUUGGUUGACUGCUCUACUUUUAAAUGUUGCCUACGGCUUGUGUAGUACACCUCAUUUGCCAGUUUUAUUAUAUCUGCUUGUAGUAAUAUGUUGUCAAAAAAUUCUGAUUUAAGAUAAAGUAGCCAGCCCCUUUCAAUAACAUUCACCAACUCGACCAAUAUUUCUCAUAAAUAUUGGCUCUUUGCCUCUUUCCCAAGAAAAAAAAAGAUUUCAGCUUUCAUGAAUUGCCAACUAGAAGAAGAGGCAGAAGAAGCUGUGAUAUCCGUCGUUAGCAUUGUUCCUAUGGUAAGAUGAAAAACAAUCAGUAUCACCGCUAAUGACAAGCACAGUUUGCGAGAGUCCCCUACAACAAGAGAAGGGUGUGACAUCCCUGGUCCUUCACUAAAAUAAACAGUUCAGUACCAAUAUCUUUCAACACUCGCGAACAUACUGUAAAAAUGAAUUCAACAGCCAAGCAGAACAAUUUUCUAUAUUUGCAUAGAAACACAGUGGUUUUGAUCCCAUUUUUUAUGGCAGGAGUUAUCGAACAUUCUAAAUUCUAAACCAAGGAGAAAAAAAAUUGUUAUGUCCAAUGAUGGUGCUACCACUGAACUCCGCAUGUAGCAUUCUUCUUCCAGUAAAUAUUUCCGGACACAUCUAUCCCAGAAACAGGGACGGAUCUAAGUUUUAAAUUUAUGGGGCGAGAAAAAUGGGCAGGAGAGAGUUGGAGAACACAUACCUCAACUAUGGGAAAAUGUAGUCGUUCCGUAAAUUUCAACAAAUUAAAUAUAAAUGUUCUAUAAUAUUUACUGGGUACAAGUACUCUCAGUCUUUCUACACUUAUUGUGGUUCCGUCCUUGCCCCAAAGUCUCAAAAUUUUGUUACAUAUGUAAAUAAUGUGAUGUUCCACAAGUAUGUGUGGUCAUAUUCAUAUCGAGAUCAAAGUAUAUUCGCAAGUUUUACAAUGUUCAUUUUGGUAAACAGCACUACAGCAGCAUUAUUUAUAUGCUCCUAUUCUGUUCAAGUAUUUUUAGCAAGUUGAUUAAUUAAGCGGUGAAAAAUUUAUUAAUUGAAAGACAAUAAUGCUUAGGGAAAAGUUGAUAGCUGCAAAUUGAACAAAUAAAUGACACAGGAUAGAGCUCAACAUUGAUCAGGCGAAAACAUAAGCAGGAAAUCGAAAUGAAAACGGACUAAAUAAAUACAAACGAGAACGAGAUUAAUCGACCGAAAUAAAAACAACUAUCUAGUAAUCAGUGGUGGGCAAUGGCUCGUGACUGCCACCGAUGAAGAUAAGCUCGUAGAUGAUUCCAGCCAGCUGGCCGCCACCAACGAGAGGUCCGGCCCAGUAGACCCAGUGGUUAGUCCAGUCCCAGCUGACCAGAGCAGGCCCAAAUGAGACGGCAGGGUUCAUGGAUGCCCCGGUGAAGGCACCGCCGGCUAGAAUGUUGGCUCCCACGAUGAAACCGAUGGCAAUGGGUGCGAUGAUUCCGAGGUCUCCCUUCUUUGGGUCGACGGCGACAGCGUAGACGGUGUAAACCAGUCCGAAUGUCAUCACGAUCUCGAACACGAAGGCACUCCACACUGACACGCCCGACAAUGCAAAGGCUGAUGUUGGCUGCAAAACAUUUUCUCACAAGUGUUAAAAAAUUCUCAACAUUUUUUACCUCUUAUUACAAGUCAUAGAUAGCUAAAGGCUAACAUUUCCCUAAUUAUAUUAGCAUAAAAUAAUAAAAUCGGGAAUUUGAACUAAUCCGGAUCUUUACGAUUUAUCCGAAAUUUUUUUCAAUAAAAGAUUUUUCAAUCAGAUCAAAGACUCUUUAAAUAAUUUUAAAUAAAUUAUGAAUUUUUAGAACGAUGUUAUAUAAAAGUAUGGUGCUAAGUGAAGUCACAAUAUGUAAAAUUUUGAAUCCUUAAAAGUAGAAAGCAUAGUUUCUGCUCAUAACAAAUAUACAAUUAUUAAUUUGGCACUUCAGAUAUAUUAACCGGUUAUUAAUAUUUUCACAGUUAAGUAUGUUAGGGGUUAUACCACAUAGUUGCGGGAAGAGCAUAAAACUAAAAUAUAAGCAACAAGAACAACUUUAAUAGUAUGAGACUUUUUGGGAGGAGCCCAAAAAGAAAUCCUAUGGGUGUUGCGCGGCUCAACAAAAUACAUAUCUGCUUGCAUGGACAUGUUUCCCAGGUAAAGCAAAAUAUAUGUUAUUAUGCAAAACAUCUCUCCUUAUACUAUAUAUUAUUAUAUAUGUUCUGCAUGUUAAGCAAAAAUGUUAAAUAGAUACCAGAAACUAAAUUAAUUAAGACAUUGAAUUGAUCAAUUUAAUCUAACGGCCCUCAGAGAGUCACCAUACACGAUUAAAAUACACUCUUAGCUCCCAUAUAAUCCCUUCGUUUUUAGUUUGAUUUCUUCCAUUAAUCGAUGAGAUUAUUUUAAAAUCCGACUUUCACUGGGUUUUUCUCCAUCCCUCAGAUAUUGAUUUACAUACCAUACUACAAGAAAAUGGGUAUAACCUACCAUCAAAUUGGAAAAAAAAUGUAUCCAUAACUGUAAGAAAUGUUGGAAUCCAACCAGUUGUGCUGGUGGUAAUUGGUUGAAUCAGAAAUGUCAUCGAUGGAAAAUGAGACACCCAUAGUCAAUCCAGGACACAUUUGCUGACAAGGACUGCUACCAGUCUUAGACCCACAAGCAUACGUGUCAGUCUAUGUGUUAAGGGUCUCAUACACAUCAGUUGCCACAUCACUUGCCAAUUCACGUGCUUCAUCAUUAUAAAAGUAUUAUGUGAGACGUCAUUUUCUAUCAUAUACUAUUUACUACCCAUUUCAUAUCCUGCCAAGUUAUUGGUAGGAAAUAAUAGUCUUAAAAAUGUUUGAGUAUGGUGGGAAAUGUCCAAGUUGGUAGAAAUUAUCAUAAUUUUUUUGAAUUUUUUAUAUCCUCUAUUCAUAAAAAACCACAAUAUUAUUUCAAACAUUACAAAAUCCAAAACACGCUUUCAUUCACAUCCUAUAAUAAAAUAAAUCAAUCAAUCAUGCCAUUUACCGUCUAAAAUAAACAUUACAAUAUAACUAAUCCAACAUCACCGCCUUAUAACACCAUUACAUGAAUGUUUGUCCAUCAGCUCCUCCAACAUGUUCGUACCAGAACACCUACCACCAUUUUGGAACAUACUAUUAAAUUGUCUGAACAUACAAAAGGUUAUAUAUUAAGUCAAUUUAGAUAACCAUAAGUCCUACCAAAUAAAACACAACUAAAAGUUAGCCAAACGUAUACCAUAAAAAAGUUAGAUAUUCUCCCGAUCAAGGCAUUAACUUAGUUAUCAGAACUACUUCAAGGCUUCCUCAUCAUAGUGCUCGUCUUGGCCACUAGCAUCACAAUCGUCUUCUCCAUCUUUCUCAUCAGAUGCUGCUUCACCGAAAGCUGCUCCAUUUAUACCAGAACCUUCAAUUUCAAUGGCUUCUGCAUCACUGUCCACAUCACUCUCAUCAGUGUAGCCUAUUUCUGUAGUGGUAUCACUGCCAUGAUCAUCCUCAACAUCCUACAAAUUAGCAUGUGCAAAAGUGGACUUGUAGUAAUAUACAUAUAUUGUAGGCGAAAAGUAGGUUAAAAGCAUAAAUUAGAGAAUGUACUAUUUAAUUACAACAACAGUACUGGAGUUAACAACUUAAAGUUUAAACUAGAUACUUUGUUUUGUUGAGAUCAGGUCAUUGCAUUGCAGCUUAACAAUUCUACCAAUUGACAUGAUCAACAUUUAUAUUAUUACUAACUUUUUUUAAAUAGGUUGCUUGCUGUAUGUGUACUAAUACCCUUGGAUACUAAUACCAUUGGAAACAAGGUUUCAUGCUUUUCUCAAAAAACAAAGGGGCAGCUUUGAAAACAAACAAUAAUAUUCAUAAUUUUUUAAAAUUACAACCAUGUUAUAGUUUUAAAUUAUAAGUUCAGAUAUAAUAUUUUUAAACUAAUUAAGGGGGGAGAAAAGUAACAAUUGUCUAUUUAACUAAUGAAUAUUGAAAUUCCUAAAAAAACGUAUUAUUAUUAUUUACCUAAAUAAUUAUUACAAAAAUAUUUAUUAUAAACCGGUAGGAAAUGGGUAGUGCUCGGUAGGAAUUAAAACAGGCCAAACAUAUCUACUUAUAUAUAUAAUAAGGCAACUAAGGGCAAAAAGUAUCAAGAAAAUAGCUGUGAAAUGUCUGAUAUACCCUUAUUCAUCAUAUAAUUACAAGAAUACCAGCCAAAAAAUUCAUUUAAUUCACUAAAAUUAUCUAAUGUUAUUGAAUGCUCUAAUUACACAUAAAAUAAUGACAUUAAUUACGCUCAUCAUCUUACAUUAAAAUUUCAUUUAUAAAAGUAUCACUAACAAAUUUGUGGCUACAAAAAAUUAGAAGUCAUUAAUCAAGCAAUUAAUUCAUGUAAAUUUUAAUCAACUAACACAAAAAAUAUUCACGUGUUUUGAUUUUUGACUUUUUAUUUAAAUUUCGCAAUCAUAAUCGCUUGAGUGAAUCCCAUAAAUUUCAUUUAUCUACACACUUUCAUGUUGAUUCGAUCUUAAACAUUGCUAAUUCUACACACUUUCAGGUUGAUUCAGUCUUAAACAUUAAAAAUUACACGUUGAGUCCAAAUAAUCUUAAGUAUUAUCAAAAUAUUCGAAUCCUCCGUACACUUUAAGUAUAGAGUAAAUUUCAAGGGUGUGGCUGAAGUUUAUACCGAUUUGCAAGUUUGUUGCUAAACUUUAAAAACUACAAAAGUGUGGCUGGAGUUCACCUCCGCCUUUUAAAACUUUGGCUGCCGUUAAGUCCGUUAGAUUUUAGCUGUUAACUCAUUCAGAAAUUAAAAAAAUAAAGGGGUAGAUAUGUAAAAAUAAAAUUGUUUGUGGAAAAGGGGGGAAGAAACAGGGGGCUAGGGUUCACAAUCACCGGGUUCACAAUAACCUUCUCCGCCACCAGAUAGGCAGAGUAACAUCCCACACCGAAUUGCCUAAUCAUGCUCACAUCAGCCCCAGCCUGCAAUGCGCCAUAAGCUCCUUCGUCCCCGAUCUCGCAAUCGUCCCCAAAUUAUUCAUCAAAACUAAAACCAAUCAAACCACAAUCAAAUCAAUAAACAUCAUGUUGUUGUCGUCGUUAAUGUACACAGGAACAAUUGUUAAGCAUACAGACCUCCUUUAGUCAUUCCAACGCCGCUAUCGAUAAUCAAGAGCAUUUUGUUAAUCACUGCACAGAGGAAGUCCCAACCAUCAGUGCUCGAGUCUCCAGGACAAGGAGAAUCCGUGAGAUACAUGAGAGGAUGAAGUGGUAGAGGAGAGUGUGGUGUGGAUAGAGAGAAAAAAAGAGAGGGAGAGAGGAGAAGGAGAGAGGGAGAAGUUAGAACGGAGGACAAUGGCAGAGUGGGUGAGAAAAUAAUGGAGAAAAAGAGAGAAUUUCAAAAAAUCCAAAAAUACCCUCAACUCCGUUAGCUCCGUUAGAGGACAUUUGACGGCAGCCAAAGUUUUAAAAGGCGGAGGCGAACUCCAGCCACGCUUUUGUAAUUUUUAAAAUUCGGCCACAAAUAUGCAAAUCGGUGUAAAGUUCAGCCACAUUUUUGAAAUUUACUCUUAAGUAUAUUAUGACACAUAUAAAACUGCUUAUAAUAAAAUGAAAAUAGGAGCGUGAGAUAGUGGCAGUGAUACAUUGUUCUCUAAUCACAAUCAAACUAUCGAAAAUUAUAUAUGCAUUACAAGAAUUCUUGUAAUAUCUUGAAACUUAAUCGUGAUUUGACAACAUGAGCUAAUAUGUCCAAAUAUGUUUAUGAUCCGUAAUAAAUUUUUAAAAUAUGAUGAUUAAUAUUAUUAUUGCUAAAUAGUAAAUAUUAUAUUUUCACUCGCUUAAACAAAGGAAUCAAACUCACAUAUUUUAUAGAAAAACAGAUAAAUAAUACGCAUGUUCUAAAUAAGAUAAUUACACAAAAUAAGGAUAUAAAAUACAUUAUAGAUUAGCGGCCCGUGCCUUGCACGGGUUUUUAUGCUAGUUUUUGACAUAAAAGACAUUUUCAUAGUAUAUAUUUCCUACCACAAUUGGCAGGAAAUUUUUUGGCGCCUAAAUAGUUAUAAAAAAUAUUUAUUAUAAAUUGGUAGGAAUUGAGUACUACUUGGAAGUAGGGGCGUAAACAAGCCAAACUAUUCGUGAGCUACUCGAGUUCGGAUCGAAAAAUAUUCAAAUUUGAUUUGGUAAUAAUCGAGCCGAGCUCGAGCUCGAGCUAUUUGGAUGUUUUACCGAGCCGAGCUCGAGCUUCAAAUUACUCGGCUCGUAAGGUUCGCGAGCCUUAUCGAGCCUCUAUUAUUUUUUAAUUUUUUUAUUAUAAAUAUAUUUUUACAAAUAUAUUUAAUAUUUUAUUUAUAAUUUAUAUAUUUGAUCGAAUCGAACUCGAGUCGAACCGAUCAUAUUUCGAGUUUUUGUCAAUAUCUGGUGCCUCGAUUCGAGUUUUCGAGCCGAACUCGAGCCUAUCGAACUAUUUACGAGCCGAGCUUCGAACUUGAAAUUAAAGACUCGGUCGAACUCGAGCUCGAGCCGAGCCUGGCAGUGUUCGACUCGGCUCGACUCGUUUACACCCCUACUUGGAAGGAAUUUAAAACUAUAUAAGAUAUAUAUAACGACAAUGUGAAACAAUCUAACAAUAAAGAUUAUUCAAUUGAUUUUUAUGAAUGUCUAACUUAUGUGAUGUCUUGGUAAAAAUAAUUAUUCUAGCCGUGUUUAGUUUUUAUUUCACAAAAUACAAUGUAGUACUUAAAAUUAUAUCUUCAACUUCAUUUCCAUGAUCAAUAAAAAUAUCAGAAAUAAAUUAAAAAGAUCCGAGAAUUUAUAGUUUCAUAACAAGCCUCUAUUCAUUAUAAUUUCUAUGAAUACAACUAAAGGUUCAUGACUCUUUUGAUUGUGUUUAGAACUCAAUGAUAAAGUAAGAGUCACCAUAUAAUCAACAAACAUAUGAAACUAUUGAAUACUACCUAAUCCCCUCAUUGGGGAUAUAUCAGUUAUUCUUAAUCCAAUAAGCAAAUAUACAUACAUACAUAUAUAUAUAUAUAUAUAUAUAUAUAUAUAUAUAUUAACCCAUAUUAGCUCUCGCAGAAUAAGAAGUAGCCAAAUUAGCUCAAUUUAUUCGAACUUUAGAAAUAUGUAUUUUUCUACAAUUAAACACUUAAAAUUAAUUAAUAAUACCUCUUUAUUAACAAAUACUAAAUUAUAGGAAUAAAAUCAUAUAAGUAUAUACUUUAUUCAUAAGUUUAUCCAAAUACCGGAUUUUUAUUUCUCGGGCAUCUUUUCUUGUUUUCGCACAGUUUUCUCAAUCUCUUAUGUUAAUGCGAGAAUGUGGUUAACAACAAAUUACGGAACUUACGUGAAUGUAAGAAGAAUAUCAUGACGAACACGGGACUGAAAGGGAUGUAAAGUUUAGUUCAUCUUGUAUUUGAUCCUUGAGAAAGUACGAGAUUGAUCUCUAGCUACUAGACAAGAAAUCAUAAAAGUUAUACAAGAGGGCUAGCUACGUACGGAGUCAAGUUAUCACAUAGUUCUUUGGAAACAUAUAUCUAGAAAGGCUAGAUUAAUUUGUUCGGUCCAUCAGGGCACAGGUCCAUUAGACCAUGAAAAGUUAUGGUCGAAAAGCCCAUAACUCGCAUGACCCAGGUUUAAGUGGUUAAGAAGGCUGACAUGGAGCGGGUUAGAUAGUGGAUAGCGAUCUAUUAGUGAAAGGAGGUCGCUAUCUAUUAGUGAAAGGAUGUAGAGACCUCGAAAACUAUACUCUUGUGGUCUAAGCUAGAUAGUGGAUAGCGAUAUAUUAGUGAAAGGAGGUAGAGACCUCGAAAACUAUACUCAUGUGUUCUAAGCUAGGACUAGGGGUGAGCAUUUGGUCGUUUCGGUCCAAAACCGGACCGGACUCAAUAGAUCAAGAACCGAACUUUGAUUUUUUCCGGACCGAACCAGAUCGAAAUAUUAUUAUAGUCCGAACUGGAAAUAAUUUGGUUUGGUCCGUCCUAGAAGAAACGAAAUUAUUUUUUUAAAAAUAUUAUAUUAUAAAUAAAGCUAAAAUAAAUGAUUUAUUAAAUUAAUCUACUAUAUCUAUUAUACGAGAACAGGUUGUUCACCUGAGCAAAUUAAUUCUUAGGUUCGGUAAUCCCAAGCCUGCCGAGCCUACUUUCCUUUGCAAAUUAAACCGUGCGUCUUUAUGUAUUACCCAUAUACAUACACACAUACUUCUCUCCCGUUUCAUUUGCCCGAUGCCCUAUACAGCUCCUUCCGCUUGAGCAACGAAUUAGCAUGGAAUUAUAUCACUACAGAUACUCUUCACCUAUUGUGCCUCAUAGCGAAUUACUCCCUCCGUCCCAGCCAUUUGUUUACAUUUGGUUUGGGCACGGAGGUUAAGAAAUAUGUAUAAAGUAGCGGGAAAGAGAAGGAAAAGUGGGAAAAGUGGUGGGACCCAUCAAUUUUUAAUGUAUAAAAGGGAGAUGGUGGAGUAAAAGUUGUGUGAAAAGGAGUAAAAGUAUUGUGAAAAGGGAGGAAAAGUUGGGAAAUGGUGGGACCCAUAAUCUAUUUUUGGUAAGUUUUGGAAUGUAAAGAAUUGGAUGGGACAUCCCAAAAAGGAAACCGUAAAGAAUCUGUUGGGACGGAGGGAGUAAGAUUUUUUCCAGCAAAUUAGGGAUUUUCCAAUUUUAAUUAUCUCAGUCCGUCAGUCGUCGACAACCUUCGCUCAGGCUACAAAGGUGCAUAUUAUUUUUUGUAAGUGCGCAUAAUUAGCUUUAGUUAUUUGUGGCUUUCACCAUGUGUAUAUCGUUAGUUUCCGAGAAUAAAUUUUAGGCAUAUCUUUCGUCUAAUAUUCUUUGAUAUGUAAUCCUCUUCUGUUAAUUUUUGCAGAUAUAUUUUUUCCUUUAGUCAGACGAGUUGGCCAUGAAUUGAGAUUUGAAGCUCUAUGCAUUUAGCUCUGAAAUUUUGGGUGAAAAAGGUCAAUUUUUUUACUUGUUUUGUUUUGACGGUGAUCAUGUAAUCAUCUAGGGUGUGUUAUUGAAUUUUAUAGUACCCAGAGUUAGACUUAAUUGAUUUUGCUUGAAAAGAAUUUUCCUUCUAAUUUAUAGAAAGACUGUGUUGGUCACUUGUACCUUGCUUUGAAAUACUCAAAGUUUUCACCUAUUUGCUGUUUGAGAUACAUGAUUGUACUGUGGUGUUGAUUAAUAUGAUAUCAUGAUUCUUGUCACUUUUUUUUGCUGGUGUGGUGCUUCGUUGUGUAAAAAAAUGCUGGUAAACACUACUACAAAUAAUGCAUUAGACACCGGUCAAACGCCGAUGUCUUUUAAAAAUCCGACCGAUGUCUUCGCGUGCGAUGUUAUAUGUAUGGUAUAUAGACAUCAGUCCUAACCCGAUGUAAAAAUCAUGUUCAGACAUCAGUUUUCUAAAAAAAUUUGAUGUCUUUUGCUGAAAUAUUACCAAUAUAUUGCUUGAUUACAACAUGAAUAAUGAUUUAUUACAAGAUUUGGCACCCUUUGAACACAUACAUCAGAGGGCAAUAUAAACCAUAUGCAUCGUUUUUUUAAAAAAAUUGAUGUAAAAACUAGAUUAGACAUCAUAAGGAAAACCGGACCGAUGUCAAUGAUGUUUUUCACAUCGAUUCUUGUUUAAGGAAUGAUGUAAAUCCUCUAUUCAACAUCGCCCUUUGUAUAUUAGACGAUGUUAACGACUGUUUUAACAUCGAUUCUUAUUUAAGGACUGAUGUAGAUCAGGUAUUCAACACCGCACUUUGUAUACUAUACGAUGUUAAUGGUGUAUUCAAUUUCGCUUUUUGUAUAUUAACCGGUGUAAAAGUACUUUUUAACACCGUUUUUAGUAUAAAAAUGGAUGUAAAAUGGCAUCUUUAGUACUAGAAAAUAGAGUUUUAACACCGUCAUUAAGUUAAGGAGCUGAUGUAAAAGAAUUUUCUAACAUCGGUUUGUUACAACUCUUUGAUAUUAAAGGUUUAUAAGACAUCGUCUUAAAGAUUAAAACUGAUUUAAUAAAGUUUUCAGACAUCGAUUUUUUUAAUUUUUUUAAUAUUAAACAUUUUUUUAACAUCGGUUUGUAACAUACACAUAAUGUCUUUAGUUUAAAAAACAUCGGUUUAAUUUGAUAUUGUAAUGUAAGUGUUCGUUUCAACAUCAGAUACAAGGAAAAAUGUGAUGUCUAUAAACUCAUUUGACAUCGGUUAUAUGUGAACUUACUGAUGUAAUUGUCAUAUACAUUUUUGAAACAAAAAUUAUACCAUGCAUAUAUGCAGCUUCUACACUCUUGCCAAAAACUAAAAGCACACUCUUGCCAAAAACUAAAAGCACACUCUUGCCAAAACUGAAAGCACAAUCUUCUUGCCAAUACCACAACAAACAAAACUAACCAGAAGAACAAUAAAUCUAAAAUUGCAGACACAAAAAAUAUAACCAAUGUACGUACUGAAAUUCACUUUCAUUGCCAAUUACUAACUUCCCAACCAACAAGUAAAAUUCAGCAGUACGUACGCAUCCAAAAUAUAUACCAACUCGAUCCCCAACCAACAACGUUAAAGCAAUUCCCGAACUACAAAGUGCUAGAGCUGACAACAUCCACAUAACAGCUCCUAUAUAUACCAGUUUAAUUAAUUACCAUUCAACAAAAGAAAUUCAAACUACAUCUUGUCCUCAAUAAAUUCGAGAGCCUCCAUACGGACCUCAUCCAGCUCCUCCUCUGUGUAACAGUUUCGAGACCUGACUGCCCACUGAAAAGAAAUAAUAUAAUUUUAAUUAGAAGUUUAAUAAUAUAUUUUCAUUUUAAAUAAAUCAACCUGCAUGCAAGGCUAUUAAAAUAAAUAUGCACCUUGGUCAUGAAAGACAUUUCUUUGUCCAUAACAAUGUCUCUCAUAUAUCUAAGGACCGUAUACCCACAUUCAGUUCCCCCUGGUUGCUUAGGCGAUCCCUUAAUUUGAGCAAUCGUAGUGAUACAAAUAUAUUAAUAAGGUCAUCCAUAGAAAUUAAAAUAAAGAAAAUGAAAUAUUAUAAUGCAGAUGCAUGACUUACCAUAAGAUAGACUACUUUGGGAGUUCUCUUUGCCCUUCCACUUUGAGCAUGGUAACUUGCCAAUGCACUACAAAAAGAUAUCAUGCACUGUAUGAGUAUCCACUUUGAGCAUGAUAACUUGCCAAUACAUAUUGAAUUGCUCAACUAGCAAGCAGAAAAAUCUAAAAUUACUCUAUUAGUCCUCGUUCCAAAUCUGGAAAACGGGUGUUGUGUGGCAAAGGAUUCAGAAUAUAGAGAUCGCCAUCCCAAAUUACAACCAAAAUCCAAUGGGCCCUGUUUUUAUUAUAAAAUACAAACUAAGUCAGAAUUUAAAUAUUUAGACUAAAAAUUAAAAUAUAACAACAACAAAUAUACGUACAUUUGAUUAUGUGGCAUGAGAUAUAGUCGAUAAUAAUUAUCCAUCAACCGUUUGACAACAGCAUUUUGAAAUUCUUUAUUGAGGGUAUAUGUGGAUGCAGGAUCCAAAAAGCCAAACAAGAGCGCGUCAUCCUUCUUCCGGUCCUUAUAACAUAAAUGAUGCAAGUACCUACAUCAUAUCGAAAAUGAAAAUAAUUCAGAUUGGACAAUAUGGUUGUCNNNNNNNNNNNNNNNNNNNNNNNNNNNNNNNNNNNNNNNNNNNNNNNNNNNNNNNNNNNNNNNNNNNNNNNNNNNNNNNNNNNNNNNNNNNNNNNNNNNNNNNNNNNNNNNNNNNNNNNNNNNNNNNNNNNNNNNNNNNNNNNNNNNNNNNNNNNNNNNNNNNNNNNNNNNNNNNNNNNNNNNNNNNNNNNNNNNNNNNNNNNNNNNNNNNNNNNNNNNNNNNNNNNNNNNNNNNNNNNNNNNNNNNNNNNNNNNNNNNNNNNNNNNNNNNNNNNNNNNNNNNNNNNNNNNNNNNNNNNNNNNNNNNNNNNNNNNNNNNNNNNNNNNNNNNNNNNNNNNNNNNNNNNNNNNNNNNNNNNNNNNNNNNNNNNNNNNNNNNNNNNNNNNNNNNNNNNNNNNNNNNNNNNNNNNNNNNNNNNNNNNNNNNNNNNNNNNNNNNNNNNNNNNNNNNNNNNNNNNNNNNNNNNNNNNNNNNNNNNNNNNNNNNNNNNNNNNNNNNNNNNNNNNNNNNNNNNNNNNNNNNNNNNNNNNNNNNNNNNNNNNNNNNNNNNNNNNNNNNNNNNNNNNNNNNNNNNNNNNNNNNNNNNNNNNNNNNNNNNNNNNNNNNNNNNNNNNNNNNNNNNNNNNNNNNNNNNNNNNNNNNNNNNNNNNNNNNNNNNNNNNNNNNNNNNNNNNNNNNNNNNNNNNNNNNNNNNNNNNNNNNNNNNNNNNNNNNNNNNNNNNNNNNNNNNNNNNNNNNNNNNNNNNNNNNNNNNNNNNNNNNNNNNNNNNNNNNNNNNNNNNNNNNNNNNNNNNNNNNNNNNNNNNNNNNNNNNNNNNNNNNNNNNNNNNNNNNNNNNNNNNNNNNNNNNNNNNNNNNNNNNNNNNNNNNNNNNNNNNNNNNNNNNNNNNNNNNNNNNNNNNNNNNNNNNNNNNNNNNNNNNNNNNNNNNNNNNNNNNNNNNNNNNNNNNNNNNNNNNNNNNNNNNNNNNNNNNNNNNNNNNNNNNNNNNNNNNNNNNNNNNNNNNNNNNNNNNNNNNNNNNNNNNNNNNNNNNNNNNNNNNNNNNNNNNNNNNNNNNNNNNNNNNNNNNNNNNNNNNNNNNNNNNNNNNNNNNNNNNNNNNNNNNNNNNNNNNNNNNNNNNNNNNNNNNNNNNNNNNNNNNNNNNNNNNNNNNNNNNNNNNNNNNNNNNNNNNNNNNNNNNNNNNNNNNNNNUUUUGCUUCAUAUGUAUUGACUGGCAAUACAUGAUCUUGAGGAAGAAAUGACCCUAUUGAAGAUAACAGAUCAGUGAAGGCACUAUCACUAAUACCAAACCUAGAUUUCCAAUUUUGUAACUUCAAAAUUGUUUCUAAUUUGGUUGAUUCGCUGCCCUCGAAUAAUGGUUUCUCAGCAUCAGCCACAAACAUCCUGAAAUCCUCGGAAUCAUUAUCAUAAUCCCCUGACUUAUAUGCGGCUUCACAAACACCUAAGGUUUCACAUGUAGCUUUGAACUCGGGGUCAGUACUAGGGCAUUUACUAGAUGGCCUGCUAGUCCUAGAAGAAUUCUCUCCAUGCCAAAUCCAUUCAACAUAUCCAUGACUAAAACCAUUUUCAUAGAUAUGACCCCUAACUAUUUUCACAGAGAAUUUUUUAAAAUUCACGCAACGUGCACAUGGGCAAGGUAUACUCUUUGGGUUUUCACAAUGUUCCUCUGCAUACAUUAAAAACUUUUCGACCCCGAUUUCAUAAUCCAAUGUAUCCCUGUCUUUCAAAAUCCAGUUUUUAUCUAUAUGUUCUUCCAUGGACCAAGUACAACCUACUUAAUUGUCGUUUCAAACAUCAGCAUAUACAUAAGUAACAUAACAGCAUAAACAUAAGUAGCAUAACAGAUCAUUAGUAUAUAUAGUAACAUAGAUUAUUACACAUAUAUUACUUAAUUAUAAGUAUUCACAUAUAUUACAUAAUUAAAAGAUAAUUAAACAUCAGUUCAUUAAUAAAACAUAGCAAUUAUCAAAUCUCAAAAACAAUNNNNNNNNNNNNNNNNNNNNNNNNNNNNNNNNNNNNNNNNNNNNNNNNNNNNNNNNNNNNNNNNNNNNNNNNNNNNNNNNNNNNNNNNNNNNNNNNNNNNNNNNNNNNNNNNNNNNNNNNNNNNNNNNNNNNNNNNNNNNNNNNNNNNNNNNNNNNNNNNNNNNNNNNNNNNNNNNNNNNNNNNNNNNNNNNNNNNNNNNNNNNNNNNNNNNNNNNNNNNNNNNNNNNNNNNNNNNNNNNNNNNNNNNNNNNNNNNNNNNNNNNNNNNNNNNNNNNNNNNNNNNNNNNNNNNNNNNNNNNNNNNNNNNNNNNNNNNNNNNNNNNNNNNNNNNNNNNNNNNNNNNNNNNNNNNNNNNNNNNNNNNNNNNNNNNNNNNNNNNNNNNNNNNNNNNNNNNNNNNNNNNNNNNNNNNNNNNNNNNNNNNNNNNNNNNNNNNNNNNNNNNNNNNNNNNNNNNNNNNNNNNNNNNNNNNNNNNNNNNNNNNNNNNNNNNNNNNNNNNNNNNNNNNNNNNNNNNNNNNNNNNNNNNNNNNNNNNNNNNNNNNNNNNNNNNNNNNNNNNNNNNNNNNNNNNNNNNNNNNNNNNNNNNNNNNNNNNNNNNNNNNNNNNNNNNNNNNNNNNNNNNNNNNNNNNNNNNNNNNNNNNNNNNNNNNNNNNNNNNNNNNNNNNNNNNNNNNNNNNNNNNNNNNNNNNNNNNNNNNNNNNNNNNNNNNNNNNNNNNNNNNNNNNNNNNNNNNNNNNNNNNNNNNNNNNNNNNNNNNNNNNNNNNNNNNNNNNNNNNNNNNNNNNNNNNNNNNNNNNNNNNNNNNNNNNNNNNNNNNNNNNNNNNNNNNNNNNNNNNNNNNNNNNNNNNNNNNNNNNNNNNNNNNNNNNNNNNNNNNNNNNNNNNNNNNNNNNNNNNNNNNNNNNNNNNNNNNNNNNNNNNNNNNNNNNNNNNNNNNNNNNNNNNNNNNNNNNNNNNNNNNNNNNNNNNNNNNNNNNNNNNNNNNNNNNNNNNNNNNNNNNNNNNNNNNNNNNNNNNNNNNNNNNNNNNNNNNNNNNNNNNNNNNNNNNNNNNNNNNNNNNNNNNNNNNNNNNNNNNNNNNNNNNNNNNNNNNNNNNNNNNNNNNNNNNNNNNNNNNNNNNNNNNNNNNNNNNNNNNNNNNNNNNNNNNNNNNNNNNNNNNNNNNNNNNNNNNNNNNNNNNNNNNNNNNNNNNNNNNNNNNNNNNNNNNNNNNNNNNNNNNNNNNNNNNNNNNNNNNNNNNNNNNNNNNNNNNNNNNNNNNNNNNNNNNNNNNNNNNNNNNNNNNNNNNNNNNNNNNNNNNNNNNNNNNNNNNNNNNNNNNNNNNNNNNNNNNNNNNNNNNNNNNNNNNNNNNNNNNNNNNNNNNNNNNNNNNNNNNNNNNNNNNNNNNNNNNNNNNNNNNNNNNNNNNNNNNNNNNNNNNNNNNNNNNNNNNNNNNNNNNNNNNNNNNNNNNNNNNNNNNNNNNNNNNNNNNNNNNNNNNNNNNNNNNNNNNNNNNNNNNNNNNNNNNNNNNNNNNNNNNNNNNNNNNNNNNNNNNNNNNNNNNNNNNNNNNNNNNNNNNNNNNNNNNNNNNNNNNNNNNNNNNNNNNNNNNNNNNNNNNNNNNNNNNNNNNNNNNNNNNNNNNNNNNNNNNNNNNNNNNNNNNNNNNNNNNNNNNNNNNNNNNNNNNNNNNNNNNNNNNNNNNNNNNNNNNNNNNNNNNNNNNNNNNNUGGAAGACUAAAGACUCAUGAACUUGAAAUGGAGCAAAGGAGCAAACGACAUGGAGGAAAAUCAAAGUCUGUUGCUCUGAAAGCUCAAGAGGAAGCUGCUAAAAGCAAAGGAAAAGCUCAUGUCACAAAGUCUGACAUUGAGUCAUCAAACUCUGAUGACUCAAACUCUGAUGUUCCCUCAGACUCUGAAGAAAGUGAUGAUGAGAUGAUGCAGUUAGCAGCAUUGAUGGUGAAAAGCUUCAAGAAGUUGGCCUACAAAAAGUUCAACAAAGGCAAAAGUUUUUCAAGGAAAGACAGAAACUCUGACAGAGUUUAUGACAAGAAGAACUUUAAGAAGAAUGAGGGCAAAGAAGGGAAAGCUGGAAAAGCUGACAAGUAUACCUGUUUCAACUGUGGUGAAAAGGGACACUUUGCAUCUGAAUGCAAGAAAGCCAAGAAGGAAAAAGAAAAAGCCUUUAUCACCAAGAAAGGAAACUGGACAGAUACAUCUGAUUCAGAAGAAGAAGUCAAUUAUGCUCUAAUGGCAAACACUGACAACAACACUGAAUCUCCUGCUAAGGUACCUCACUCUACUCUUGCCUUUGAUACUGAAGAUAUAACUGAGUUAAGAUUGUUUCUUAAAACUUUACAUAUCAGUUUUAGAGAUCAGACUUUAGAGAAUGAAAGAUUAAAAUCUGAAACUCUGAGUGUAAAGAAAAGGAAUGAUUUUCUAGAAAAAGAAUUAGUUCAAAUGUUGGAAGUUCAAAAAGAAAGAGAUGAUGCUGUCAUUGUCAAAGAUGAAUUAUCAAAGAGGUAUGCAUCUCUUCAAUCAGAACUUGCCAAGGAAAGAGAAAUCAUUAAAACAUGGACUAAUUCAGGCAAAACCACUCAGGAUAUCUUAGGUAGUGGAAACUGGAAGAAGGGACUAGGUUACACUGAUAACUCAGAAGCUGAGUCAUCUAAAACAGAGUUUGUUAAAACUCAAAAACCUAAGGUUAAACCUGUUAAAUUUGUUGUUGAAUCCUCUAAGCCUAAACAAUGUAGACCAAAAUCAGAGAUUAACAACAAUUUAAAAUCUGAAAAGCCCAAACAGGUUAACAUAGGACUGAUGACUCAGAAACAGCUUAAACAUAAGCUUAAAGAGGUAAAGUCUGAUGACAGAAACAAGGAGCCUAGGAAAAAUAGAAAUGGCAAAAUUGGCAUAGACAAAAGUAAUAACUACAUGCCUGUUCCAAAUGCACCUAGGAAGACAUGCCAUAACUGUGGUAAUACUAAUCAUCUUGCUAAUUUUUGCAGGAAGAACAAGGACAUUUCUUUAAAGGUUAAUAAAAUNNNNNNNNNNNNNNNNNNNNNNNNNNNNNNNNNNNNNNNNNNNNNNNNNNNNNNNNNNNNNNNNNNNNNNNNNNNNNNNNNNNNNNNNNNNNNNNNNNNNNNNNNNNNNNNNNNNNNNNNNNNNNNNNNNNNNNNNNNNNNNNNNNNNNNNNNNNNNNNNNNNNNNNNNNNNNNNNNNNNNNNNNNNNNNNNNNNNNNNNNNNNNNNNNNNNNNNNNNNNNNNNNNNNNNNNNNNNNNNNNNNNNNNNNNNNNNNNNNNNNNNNNNNNNNNNNNNNNNNNNNNNNNNNNNNNNNNNNNNNNNNNNNNNNNNNNNNNNNNNNNNNNNNNNNNNNNNNNNNNNNNNNNNNNNNNNNNNNNNNNNNNNNNNNNNNNNNNNNNNNNNNNNNNNNNNNNNNNNNNNNNNNNNNNNNNNNNNNNNNNNNNNNNNNNNNNNNNNNNNNNNNNNNNNNNNNNNNNNNNNNNNNNNNNNNNNNNNNNNNNNNNNNNNNNNNNNNNNNNNNNNNNNNNNNNNNNNNNNNNNNNNNNNNNNNNNNNNNNNNNNNNNNNNNNNNNNNNNNNNNNNNNNNNNNNNNNNNNNNNNNNNNNNNNNNNNNNNNNNNNNNNNNNNNNNNNNNNNNNNNNNNNNNNNNNNNNNNNNNNNNNNNNNNNNNNNNNNNNNNNNNNNNNNNNNNNNNNNNNNNNNNNNNNNNNNNNNNNNNNNNNNNNNNNNNNNNNNNNNNNNNNNNNNNNNNNNNNNNNNNNNNNNNNNNNNNNNNNNNNNNNNNNNNNNNNNNNNNNNNNNNNNNNNNNNNNNNNNNNNNNNNNNNNNNNNNNNNNNNNNNNNNNNNNNNNNNNNNNNNNNNNNNNNNNNNNNNNNNNNNNNNNNNNNNNNNNNNNNNNNNNNNNNNNNNNNNNNNNNNNNNNNNNNNNNNNNNNNNNNNNNNNNNNNNNNNNNNNNNNNNNNNNNNNNNNNNNNNNNNNNNNNNNNNNNNNNNNNNNNNNNNNNNNNNNNNNNNNNNNNNNNNNNNNNNNNNNNNNNNNNNNNNNNNNNNNNNNNNNNNNNNNNNNNNNNNNNNNNNNNNNNNNNNNNNNNNNNNNNNNNNNNNNNNNNNNNNNNNNNNNNNNNNNNNNNNNNNNNNNNNNNNNNNNNNNNNNNNNNNNNNNNNNNNNNNNNNNNNNNNNNNNNNNNNNNNNNNNNNNNNNNNNNNNNNNNNNNNNNNNNNNNNNNNNNNNNNNNNNNNNNNNNNNNNNNNNNNNNNNNNNNNNNNNNNNNNNNNNNNNNNNNNNNNNNNNNNNNNNNNNNNNNNNNNNNNNNNNNNNNNNNNNNNNNNNNNNNNNNNNNNNNNNNNNNNNNNNNNNNNNNNNNNNNNNNNNNNNNNNNNNNNNNNNNNNNNNNNNNNNNNNNNNNNNNNNNNNNNNNNNNNNNNNNNNNNNNNNNNNNNNNNNNNNNNNNNNNNNNNNNNNNNNNNNNNNNNNNNNNNNNNNNNNNNNNNNNNNNNNNNNNNNNNNNNNNNNNNNNNNNNNNNNNNNNNNNNNNNNNNNNNNNNNNNNNNNNNNNNNNNNNNNNNNNNNNNNNNNNNNNNNNNNNNNNNNNNNNNNNNNNNNNNNNNNNNNNNNNNNNNNNNNNNNNNNNNNNNNNNNNNNNNNNNNNNNNNNNNNNNNNNNNNNNNNNNNNNNNNNNNNNNNNNNNNNNNNNNNNNNNNNNNNNNNNNNNNNNNNNNNNNNNNNNNNNNNNNNNNNNNNNNNNNNNNNNNNNNNNNNNNNNNNNNNNNNNNNNNNNNNNNNNNNNNNNNNNNNNNNNNNNNNNNNNNNNNNNNNNNNNNNNNNNNNNNNNNNNNNNNNNNNNNNNNNNNNNNNNNNNNNNNNNNNNNNNNNNNNNNNNNNNNNNNNNNNNNNNNNNNNNNNNNNNNNNNNNNNNNNNNNNNNNNNNNNNNNNNNNNNNNNNNNNNNNNNNNNNNNNNNNNNNNNNNNNNNNNNNNNNNNNNNNNNNNNNNNNNNNNNNNNNNNNNNNNNNNNNNNNNNNNNNNNNNNNNNNNNNNNNNNNNNNNNNNNNNNNNNNNNNNNNNNNNNNNNNNNNNNNNNNNNNNNNNNNNNNNNNNNNNNNNNNNNNNNNNNNNNNNNNNNNNNNNNNNNNNNNNNNNNNNNNNNNNNNNNNNNNNNNNNNNNNNNNNNNNNNNNNNNNNNNNNNNNNNNNNNNNNNNNNNNNNNNNNNNNNNNNNNNNNNNNNNNNNNNNNNNNNNNNNNNNNNNNNNNNNNNNNNNNNNNNNNNNNNNNNNNNNNNNNNNNNNNNNNNNNNNNNNNNNNNNNNNNNNNNNNNNNNNNNNNNNNNNNNNNNNNNNNNNNNNNNNNNNNNNNNNNNNNNNNNNNNNNNNNNNNNNNNNNNNNNNNNNNNNNNNNNNNNNNNNNNNNNNNNNNNNNNNNNNNNNNNNNNNNNNNNNNNNNNNNNNNNNNNNNNNNNNNNNNNNNNNNNNNNNNNNNNNNNNNNNNNNNNNNNNNNNNNNNNNNNNNNNNNNNNNNNNNNNNNNNNNNNNNNNNNNNNNNNNNNNNNNNNNNNNNNNNNNNNNNNNNNNNNNNNNNNNNNNNNNNNNNNNNNNNNNNNNNNNNNNNNNNNNNNNNNNNNNNNNNNNNNNNNNNNNNNNNNNNNNNNNNNNNNNNNNNNNNNNNNNNNNNNNNNNNNNNNNNNNNNNNNNNNNNNNNNNNNNNNNNNNNNNNNNNNNNNNNNNNNNNNNNNNNNNNNNNNNNNNNNNNNNNNNNNNNNNNNNNNNNNNNNNNNNNNNNNNNNNNNNNNNNNNNNNNNNNNNNNNNNNNNNNNNNNNNNNNNNNNNNNNNNNNNNNNNNNNNNNNNNNNNNNNNNNNNNNNNNNNNNNNNNNNNNNNNNNNNNNNNNNNNNNNNNNNNNNNNNNNNNNNNNNNNNNNNNNNNNNNNNNNNNNNNNNNNNNNNNNNNNNNNNNNNNNNNNNNNNNNNNNNNNNNNNNNNNNNNNNNNNNNNNNNNNNNNNNNNNNNNNNNNNNNNNNNNNNNNNNNNNNNNNNNNNNNNNNNNNNNNNNNNNNNNNNNNNNNNNNNNNNNNNNNNNNNNNNNNNNNNNNNNNNNNNNNNNNNNNNNNNNNNNNNNNNNNNNNNNNNNNNNNNNNNNNNNNNNNNNNNNNNNNNNNNNNNNNNNNNNNNNNNNNNNNNNNNNNNNNNNNNNNNNNNNNNNNNNNNNNNNNNNNNNNNNNNNNNNNNNNNNNNNNNNNNNNNNNNNNNNNNNNNNNNNNNNNNNNNNNNNNNNNNNNNNNNNNNNNNNNNNNNNNNNNNNNNNNNNNNNNNNNNNNNNNNNNNNNNNNNNNNNNNNNNNNNNNNNNNNNNNNNNNNNNNNNNNNNNNNNNNNNNNNNNNNNNNNNNNNNNNNNNNNNNNNNNNNNNNNNNNNNNNNNNNNNNNNNNNNNNNNNNNNNNNNNNNNNNNNNNNNNNNNNNNNNNNNNNNNNNNNNNNNNNNNNNNNNNNNNNNNNNNNNNNNNNNNNNNNNNNNNNNNNNNNNNNNNNNNNNNNNNNNNNNNNNNNNNNNNNNNNNNNNNNNNNNNNNNNNNNNNNNNNNNNNNNNNNNNNNNNNNNNNNNNNNNNNNNNNNNNNNNNNNNNNNNNNNNNNNNNNNNNNNNNNNNNNNNNNNNNNNNNNNNNNNNNNNNNNNNNNNNNNNNNNNNNNNNNNNNNNNNNNNNNNNNNNNNNNNNNNNNNNNNNNNNNNNNNNNNNNNNNNNNNNNNNNNNNNNNNNNNNNNNNNNNNNNNNNNNNNNNNNNNNNNNNNNNNNNNNNNNNNNNNNNNNNNNNNNNNNNNNNNNNNNNNNNNNNNNNNNNNNNNNNNNNNNNNNNNNNNNNNNNNNNNNNNNNNNNNNNNNNNNNNNNNNNNNNNNNNNNNNNNNNNNNNNNNNNNNNNNNNNNNNNNNNNNNNNNNNNNNNNNNNNNNNNNNNNNNNNNNNNNNNNNNNNNNNNNNNNNNNNNNNNNNNNNNNNNNNNNNNNNNNNNNNNNNNNNNNNNNNNNNNNNNNNNNNNNNNNNNNNNNNNNNNNNNNNNNNNNNNNNNNNNNNNNNNNNNNNNNNNNNNNNNNNNNNNNNNAUGGUACUCCUUUUGAGAUCUUAGAUGUCUAUAUGACAGUGACUGGGAAGACCCAAACAUUUACUGGUAUUAAGUAACUGCCAAGAUUUUAUAAUCUAUGGUGACCAGUCACAAUCUCUGAUUACUGGAGAAAUACUGUUGCAAAAUAAUAUUUAAAGGUCGUGAUUCAUUUACACUGAAAAGCGUCCUUGAAAAAAAAAAUAUAAAUUCGAGAGUUUCGUCCUGACUACAAAAAAAAAAAAAAAAAGGGUAGAUUAUUUUAUUGAUUAUCUUCAGAGUAUGUCCUAGUCUAAGUUUUGAGAGUUUGAAUAAAUUAUUCAAAGUCUACCUUAUAAUUACGAAAUUGUGGAAUUUAUAUUCUCUGAUUUAACAUGACCACACACACAUUUCACAAGCACAUUAUUGAGCUAUGGAUUUUAGAACAAACUCUGAUUUAUUGAUGAAUAUUCUGAAAAUUAUGUCUUUAUUCUGAGGUUCGCAGAAAUUUAUUUUCUUUGUCUUAAAUCUCAGAGUUUAAAAAUUCGAGAGAUUUGAUCUUGAUUUUUUUUUCAAAUAUUCAGAGAAUGUGAAGAGAAUGUGUUUCAAACGGAUGUAUUAUUAGUGGGUUUACAUGCAAAACAUUUUAAUAGGAGAACGUGUAAUCAGCAUUUAUUACUGCGCAUGUUUUACUGCACUCAUGAUUAUCACUCUCGUUUCUCCAUCCCACUAACAUUCAUCUACCAGUUACAUUUUGACAGGUGUCUAAUUGAACAAAAAGCCCUUGCGUGCUCAGUUCAACAAAAUCUGAAGAGUUUUUCAGAUCAGAUUUUAAUGCUUAUUAUUCAAUUUUACACUUACUCUCUACAUUCACUUUCUAAACAAAACUCUUACACUCUGAUCUCUGAAAUUCAAACCUUCGUCUACACACUUCCUCAAACAUCUUCUUCUCAUAAUCUCUGUUCUAAUGGCCACUACAGCUUUUAUCUUGGCAGGUGUUGAAUUUGUUCCUAAUAACUAUGCAGCCAUCCUUGACACUGCUGAGGCCCCAAGAGAUUAUCAUCCCUUUCAGCGAUUCUUGGCACAGAGUGUCAUCGGUACCGCUCUCACCGCUCCUGCAAGACUGUCAGGAAGCCAAAUCAUCAGCUUUUGGAGGUCGGGUACAUAUGACAAUGGUGGUGCAGAUGGAUCACCAUCAAUUGUGUUUUCCUAUAACGGGGAGCAGUAUGCAGUUACUCCAGCAACAGUUCGUCAGGCACUCAACUUGCCAGAACAUUCUGCGUACAUUACCAAUGGAGAUGCAAAUCUCAGAACAAUGAUGCUUGAAUUGGGGUACUACGAAUCUCUGGAUAAACUGGGUCAGUUGAAGCGUCCAUGGCUCAAUAAGGAGUGGAGUUUUUUCUUUGAUUGCAUUACCAGAGCUUUCCAGAAGAAAUCUACAAACUGGGAUGCUAUUCCAAUGGACAUGCUACAGAUCGGGUAUUCUCUGAUCUAUUCUACUGCUUUUGAUUUUGGUAGAUUAGUUCUUAGAAAUAUUGGUGAAAGAAUGCUUGAGAACAGAAAAGUCAUAUAUUUCUCAAGAUUUUGCCAAUUGUUGUUUAAUGCCACUGUUGGAGAAGUGGAUUUUGAUGCUGCAGAUGAGAUCAAACCUUUUAAACUUCAUAAAAGGGCUUUUAAGGAUCUCAUAUCUAAAGAUGAGAAGAGACCAGUUCUCAGGCCUCUGCAAAUCCCAGCUCCAUUCAGGGCAAGGCUGAAUCUUCCUCAGGAACCACAACCACAGCCUCAACAACCUCAACCACAACAUCCAACCUCUCCCACAGUCACCAGAAAACCCAGAUCAUCAACUACAAAACCAUCCAAAUCAACAAAGUCUGAUGACCAACCCUCUACAACAAAAACCAGAACCUCUGUUGGUACACAAGUUCUACAUUUGGUAGAUUAGUGAUUAGAAAUAUUGGUGAAAGAAUGCAUGAAAAUCGUAAGGUUAUAUAUUUUUCACGAUUUUGCCUAUUGCUGUUUAAUGCCACUGUUGGAGAAGUGGAUUUUGAUGCUGCAGAUGAGAUCAAACCUUUUAAACUUCAUAAAAGGGCUUUUAAGGAUCUCAUAUCUAAAGAUGAGAAGAGACCAGUUCUCAGGCCUCUGCAAAUCCCAGCUCCAUUCAGAGCAAGGCUGAAUCUUCCUCAGGAACCACAACCACAGCCUCAACAACCUCAACCACAACAUCCAACCUCUCCCACAGUCACCAGAAAACCCAGAUCAUCAACUACAAAACCAUCCAAAUCAACAAAGUCUGAUGACCAACCCUCUACAACAAAACCCAGAACCUCUGUUGAUACACAAGUUCUACAGACAAAGUCUGAUACACCAACAAACUCUGAAGCUCCAAACUCUGAUGUCCCAGUAAACUCUGAAGCUGCUUCUCCUCCAAAGCAGAAGAAAAGAAGAAGACUUGUUGCAGCAUAUGAAUAUGAUGAUCUAGAAACUGCACAAGUUGCAAACUCUGAACCUACUCCAACAACAGUCUCUGAACCUGUUCACACAAGUCCUCAGAAGACAGCCAGAUUCAAGUUACGGGCUCAAAAACCUGCAAAGGCAAAAAUCCCAGAAACUGACAUCACAGACUUCACUGUUGAGGAAGACCAAACACCAUCUACCACACUACCAGAAACUUCUCAAGCUCUGAUGGUGCUUCCUAUUCAAGCUGUUCCUCUGAUAUCUCCUACAGUAUCUCCUACAACAUCUCCUAAAGCAUCUCCUACAGCAUCUGCAGUAGAUGAAGAAAUAGAGUGUGAUGCACAAGCUACAACUGAAGCUGGAGCAAAUUUGUCUGAUUCUCAAACUCCAUUAUCUGAUCAUGGUCCAAUUCCUCAAUCUCCAAUGAAAAUUCCUGAGGAUGCCAUUGUUCAUGAUACAGCUCCAGAGAACUACAGGUCUGAUGCAGUUGAGGAAACUGACAAAGUAGCUGUGGAAGCUUUACAAUCUCUUGCUCAGACUGGUGAAGAGCCCAUCAAGUCACAGUCUGAAGAUAAAGGAAAAUCUGCUCAGGAUAAUGUGGAGAAAGUUGCAGAUCCUGUUCCUGCAGAUGAAAAAGCAAACUCUGAUACUGAGGAUGAUACCAGUUCAGAUACUGACAAGGAUGACAAUGCUGAAAUCCCUUUGACACAACAGAAAUGGGAGUCUACUAGCCAGUUCAAUGCAAGGCUACAAACUCUGAAUACAGCCUCUGAGCCACUCCCAAGGGAUCUUCAGGUUGAUCCACCAAAUGAAGUCUGGGAUAAACUCUGGUUGAGUCACCAGCACUCCUUGGAAACACCUAAAGCUGAAGAGUUCUUAGCUAUGGCAGAGAAGAAAAUUACAAACUCUGAUGUUAUGUCAAGCCUCAAGGGCACAAUUCUAUAUCUGAAGACAUUUCAUCCUGCUCAUGCCCAGACAUCUAAAUCCAUAGAUAGUCUAAGAACAGAGGUGGCAAAGGUCAAGGAGACAAAUGACCUGGAAAAGAAAAGGACCAUCAAUCCUAUGAAAGAAAGUGUACAGAAGCUGGUCACUGCAAAUGAAUCUCUGGACCAGAUCCACCAAAUGAAGUCUGGGAUAAACUCUGGUUGAGCCACCAGCACUCCUUGGAAACACCUAAAGCUGAAGAGUUCUUAGCUAUGGCAGAGAAGAAAAUUACAAACUCUGAUGUUAUGUCAAGCCUCAAGGGCACAAUUCUAUAUCUGAAGACAUUUCAUCCUGCUCAUGCCCAGACAUCUAAAUCCAUUGAUAGUCUAAGAACAGAGGUGGCAAAGGUCAAGGAGACAAAUGACCUGGAAAAGAAAAGGACCAUCAAUCCUAUGAAAGAAAGUGUACAGAAGCUGGUCACUACAAAUGAAUCUCUUAACCAAAGGAUGACCUUGAUUGAAUCCAAUCAAGAAAAGAUGUCCAAACAGCUUGAAGCUAUCCAAACUUCACUUUCUCUGAUCACAUCCAUUCUGAUUCCUGAUGAGGAUGAUGUCAAAAAGGGGGAGAGAGUAGCUCAAGUCAAAUGCAAGUCUACUACUCAAUCUCUGAAAAGGAAGAAAAAGGAUGAUGAUGAUGAUGCUGAUGAUUUUACAAAGCACAAAAGAUUUCAAGCAGGGACUGGUGGAAGAGUUUCAAACUCUGACAGUCAGAAACAAUCUAAGCAAAGCACAAAGUCUGGUCCAACUCACAACAUCACAUCUGGAUCUAAGCAAAGACCAGUGACUGGAUCAGACAAACCCAUGACUGAUGAAGAGCUUGCUAGAUUGGUUUUUGAACAAGAAAAUCCAGAAGCAAAUUUGGAUUUGGAGUUGAUUGCUGCAGAGGAAGCUGAGCUGAAAAAGGAACAUAUUGAAGCCAUAAACUCUGGAAAGAUCCAAAAGCCUGCAAAGUCAACUACCAAGCCAAAAGAAAAAGGAAUACUGAUCAAGGAAGCUACUGUUGCUGAUCAGAGUUUACCAGUCAAAAAGGUAUACUCUGAAGAUGAAUACACCUCCAAGGGUAAAAGCAAAGUAGAUGAACAUCUGGAGAAAGGCUGGGAAAAGAAGAAGUCUACAACCUCUGACAAGGAUCAAGUUGUAAAGGAAAAGAAAACAGAAGCUGCAAUCUCUGACAAAGCUCAUGUUGCAGAACCUCAAAAAGAAAGAUUGACCUCUGACACAGCUCAAGUCAAUAAGGAAGCAAAGAAAGACACAGUCUCUGACAAAGCUCAAGCUGUGUUCAAACCAACAACUACUCCACUGGCUGGAUUUGCAAAGCCUACUCUGAUGACUGAAAUAAGUUUUGAAAAAGGCUCAAUUAAACCAUUUUCUCAUCAAAAGGCAGGAAGAGAUAAAGGAGGGCUGGGAUCCAAGUAUGAAAAAUUUGAUCAGAGUAUAGGAUCAAGACCAGAUGACCCCUCAUCUCUAUGUGCUCCCAAGACUGGGGUAUUGCAAGACAAAAUGGACAAACUUGAUUCAGUCCAGUUGGAAAAGAAUGACAGAGGAGAUAAUAUCCUUAUCUACUUCAUGUCUGAUGGAACAGUGUUUAGAGUACUUGAAGCAGAUCUAUAUGCUAAACACUGGGAAGAAUUGAGAUAUGUAUCAUACAUAUUUCAAGUAAAGAACAAGUCAGGACAACACAUCUCCAACCUGCUAAAAGAUCAAAUCAGAAGAAAGAUGGGGAUUACAGGAAACAAAAAUGCUGGACCUUUCAUUCCUAAAUACCUCAAUCAUAAAGGACAGCUGGUGGAGAUGAAGAAAAAUUCAGCAAAGAUUGAAACAAUAGGUGGAAUCAGAACUCUUGCAUUUAAUGAAGAGUCUGAUAAAGCUUACAAUAUCAGGCUGGAUAGGGACUUGAAGAAGAACAAGAUCUAUGAUCUCAGAGCUGCAAUUUAUCAAACUGGAGUUUCAGAUCCAGAGCUGAGAGAGAUCAAGAGACAAAUGAUUACAGUGCUUGAAGAAGCUGAAAAAGAACUCCUCAGAGAGUAUCUAAAGACAGCAAAUGGUGUCUAUGCAGCUAAGGAGUAAAGUAUCUGUAAGUUUUAAAAGUUUUCUGUUAUAUAGUUAAACUCUGUUGCAUUUGACUUAAAUGUUUUGACAUCAUCAAUUAUCUGUUAACUUGCACAUAACUUAUUUAUGCACAAGUUGGGGGAGAUUGUUAGAUAUAAUUGAUGAUUACUAAUGUUCUUAAGGUUUGUUUUAGAACAGGAAUCAUCAGAGUUUAAACUGGAAGCUGAUCAGAGUUUAGCAAAGUCUGACAGAGUUUAAUAAAGUCUGAUCAGAGUUUACAUAGUCAACACUCGACAGAGUUUACACGUGGAAAGAGCUCAGAAGCGGAUAUACUUCAAGGAAGGAUAGAAGCUGAGGAGUGAUUUGCUGACUAUGGAAACUAAACAGAAAACUGGAGCAAUCUUUGAUUGAUAGAUUUAUUAGCUGAUUUAUAGGAUAUCAAAUCAGAGAUUGAUUUUGUAACUGUGUCUAUAUAAACACAGAUUAGGGUUACUCUAUAGGAGUUGAGUUAUCGAGUACAUUAUUAAGAACCCUAGCAGCUCUUGGUGAUAGAAUAUAAAUCACUGAGAGAGUUUUUGUAACCAUCAAGUUUUGUGAAUAUAAGAGUUUACUGCUUUUGAUCUCUUAUAUUGUCAUACUGUAUUACAUAUUGUGAUCACUAUAUUAUUAUAUAUAGUGAAUUAAUAGGACCUAACAAGUGGUAUCAGAGCCAGCUCUGUUAAGAUUACUACAGUGAGAUCUUAAACACAAUCAUGUCUGAAAAAUCACAAGCUUCAUCCUUUAGAGUUCCAAUCCUUAAGGCAUCUGAAUAUCCAGUCUGGAAAGAGAGAAUGAUAAUAUUCUUAGACUCUGUUGAUCCAGAAUACCUUGACAGGAUCUUUGAUGGACCACAUAUGCCCACCAAGCUCUCUGUUGGGAUUGCAGAUGAACCUCAAAAGAUGGUUCCAAAAGAAAAGAAAGACCAACCGAUGUUAAAGCCGCGAUGUUAUAUCCACUUUUUCUAGUAGUGAAAUUAUACAAUUUUGCUAUUUCAGUAGUGCAGGCCUUUCCCAGUGGGUGUUGGAUAGCAAACAGUCCAUGUCAUGCUCAUCUUAAACUAAAUCAGCUGGUUAGCUUCUUUUGCUUAGAUAUAAAGGAAGCUUAAUUAAGUCCAUGAGAUUAAUGAUAUGUUAAUUGGUAAAGUGCAUGUGCAUGCUUACCAAUCUUAGUCUUUUUGGUUUUUGUUUUUUUAAUGUAUUGAUGAUAUGUUAGCUCAAAAUACUAGGUUUCGAAGAUCAUUUGUUAUGUUCUAGAGUCGGCAACUGAGAAUAUAAAAGUGUUGACACGCAAAUUGACUGGUGUGCCUAGAAACGACAUCUUUAAAUAUAAUACCUAUACUGGGCAAUGUGCAGCGCAACUUUUUUGAAUUAUUAAUGAUCUUGAGGUGAGAGCUUAAUAAGACUGCUGAGUAAUAAUAUUACUCCAAUGACUUGCAAGGGAAUUUGUAAAUAUAAAAAACAUCCAUAAAACUAUAGCACUUGCUUGACCUCUGAGAAAUGUGUCCUGUAGGCACACUCAUUUGCCUCUAAAGUUGAAACGAAUGCGUAGUCAAACAGAUAAAGAAGAGCACGGAGAAAUUGUUGCCUUAUGCUGGAGUAUUUGGCAAUCUAGAAACAACUUGGUUUGGAAUCAGAAAAAGUGUGAAGUGAAUUUUGUAGUUUUCUCGACAAAGCAGUAUCUUGCAGAAUGGAAAAACACUCAAGUAAUGUCAACACAGGCUCUUUACCAGGAUGUGAAACAUGGUGAUGGAGCAAUUUCCUGGGUGAGACCUAAAAAAGAUGUGGUCAAGAUAACCAUCGACGCUGCGUUAUUUGCUGAAAGCUCUAAGUAUGGCAUUGGGUUAUUAGCUCGGGAUGAUAAAGGAGACGUGAUUCAAGGCCGAUCAGAGGUGUUUCAAGGAGUAGUGCUUCAAGAAUUUGCAGAGGCCAUUGCAGUAAAGGAAGCUCUAAGUUGGGUAAAGGGAAGAGAAUGGAGGGAGGUAGUAGUUGAAUCAGACUGUUUGGCUGUGGUACAAGCUAUCAGGAGUAAUGUCGACAUGAGGUCUCCUUUUGGCAGCUUAAUUAUGGAGUGUCGUUUGAUGAUUUCUGAACUAAACAUAGAUUUAUGUUUUAUUAGACGAUCUGCUAACAUGGCAGCUCACUGUAUCGUGAGAGAGUCAUGUUCUUUUCCAGGUCGAGUAUUCGAUAGGAGGUCUGUUCCCGUUGAAUUGGAGUCUAUUUUGUUGGCUGAUUUGUUUGAGUAAUAUUUUCCUUUUCUGUCAAAAAAAAAGGUUGGUGUAUCGGUUAUUAAAUAAAUAUUUAAUUAAGUACUUAUGCUCACAAGUCAUAAUGGUCUUUUUCUGAGCAGGUAAAUGGAGCAACCUCCUAAGAGAAGAUGCAGCCUAAUAUUGUUGUUACAGGGGAUAUUCUUGAACAACGGAGACUGGCUAAACAAUGUAGCAACAUUGCACGUAGAAUAGGUAAGCAUAACUAAUGUUUCUCUAUGAUUGCCUUUACGAACAAAUUGAUAAAUGCUGAUUAAUUUUCUUGAUUUACCUAGGCAAUUUUCCCUCUGUAUACACUAUAUCAACCGGUCCAUCCGGCACAGCUCCACAGACUGCUCUAUACCAGGUAUUUUAACAUCUAUUUUUUUAGUAUUGGAAAGCAUCGGUGGUUAAUCUUUUGCCGCCUUAUAAAUCUACCAAGCCUUAGGAAUAGCUGAGGUGAUUUCUUUCAGCAAACUUGAGGUGAUUUCUUUCAGCAAACUUAGGGAACUGGUGAUUAUUUUUCAUUGUUGAUUGAAGCUUUGGGUAAGAAUUAUUUUAUUUUCAGUACUUCGUAAUAUCUGUCUCGAGUGAAAUGCUGGGGCUUGGAGGUAAGAACUGUCAGUCACGCUAAUUAGAAUUUUCAAUUAUGGAAGGGGCAACAGGCUUGGCAAAAAUAAGGAAAUAAGGAGUUGAUGUACUUAAGGUUUAGUCGAGAAAUGGACAGUUCAAUUGAAAGAAUAACUUAUAGAUGAUAACUGAUUUUUUAAAAUUAUGCAGUUCCUGAUUUUCGUGGAGACCCAAUCUGUGUAGAGAAAGUUGAAAAAUCCGGAUUAGAGGUCUUAGCUCAUAAUAUUGACACAAUUGAAGAGCUACAAAAUGCGGUCCGAGACCACCGUGCUACUUUUAAGAAAUCUAUUGAUGUUCUAAUAAAAGCCAAAGAAUAUGCUCCGGCUGGGACCCUGACUAAAGCAUCAGUGAUGUUGGGAUGUGGUGAAACACCAGAACAAGUAGUGAGAACCAAGAAGAGGGAAGCAGGCGUUGAUGUGAUAUUUAGUUAUUGCCCAAGUUUUUUGAAUUCCACAAAAUUUACUCUUAGCGUCUGUUGCUGCAUUUGAUCUUGCUCGAAUUCUUUCAGGGAUUCUGCUAUGUGGCAUCUGGACCAAUGGUCCGGUCAUCGUACAAGGCUGGUGAAUAUUACAUCAAGUCCAUGAUAGAAGUAGAUCGAGCUGCAUCAUCAUCAUCAAUUCAUCAUAGUGGUUAGUCAGAAAAGGAUCAAUUAAUCCAGUGCUAAUAUGUCUUUCAUAAAGAAUAAUCAUUGCUUAGUUGUGCACGUGGUCGAGAUACAUGUCAUAUGUUUUGGUGGCACUAAAUGGCAGUUUGUACCUUACCAAUACAAAAUUUAGAAUCGGUACGUAUAUGUUAAAUUCAAUAUGAAUUAUAUGUAAUUUAAGAUGAUGCUAAAUCAUAAAAGAGGUGAAAUUGUAAGAAACAAUUUCAUUUGCAAUCAGGUAACCUGUUGGAAAUAUAUGAAUCAGGGGAUGUUGCUUAUGCUUAUUGGUUUAUGAGGUUCCCUGUAUGUUUGCAUUUUUCUAAUGAAUAUAUAUAUAUAUAUGAUCUUCUUUGUUCUAUCGUUGGUCAAGCAAUUAUUUGUGAUGCAUAUCUUUAUGUAAAUGAUAAACACUAAAUGAGGUGUAUCACUUGCAUGAUGUUUUUUGUUUAGACAUACCUCAGUUGCAUGUGACAAGUUUUGCCUCCUGGCAGUAUCAUACAUUAACUUAGCUGAGGCGCUAUAACUUAAUAUAAAUACUUGUUUAGCUUCUUUGGAUCAUGAUUUCUGUAGAACAUGGUAUCAUGGGCAAACACCUUUGAAGCAGUGUUUGUGAGGACCAUGGACAUGGAGCCCUUAAAUUACAAAAGGGAGAGACGGAGGAGACGCCCCCUGGUCUGUAGUUUUGAACUUUCUUAGGGUUUUACUUGCUAUCAUUUUUUAGACAAUUUUUUCCCUACNNNNNNNNNNNNNNNNNNUUCCCUACAUGUUCAGACAUCUAACUAUAUGGGCUUUGUAAAACAUAUUUUUCCAGUAAUCUUUUUUAUAAAUUGAUUAUUAUCAUCGGUGAAGCUGUUGGUAAAGGCAGCUGGUUUCCUCAGCCUCGGUUCUUUCAGUAUAUAAGAAAGAAGUUGUAUUUUGGCUCGCUAAAGUUUGAUUUUAGUAUAAAAGUGACUUUAUGGCUCUUUCUUUGGAUUAAAGGUCCUCAUCAUCAGUGCCACAUAAAAUAAUCGCCUUGCAGGGUAUUUGCGGAGGCCUCGUGAGAAAGACGCUCAUUUUCAUAGAUUAAUAGUAUACUUGAAGUGUAUUGCUACUAAAGAUUUCUCCUUGUGCUUAACUAGAGACACUCAGACGAGUGAGGGUUUUGUUAUGAAUUACAGUUAGAAAAUUAAAUGUAUAAUAUUUUUUAUAAUUAAAAUUAUAUGUAGUGUGAUUUCUUUUAUUCCGGCCUAUUAUAAUAGAUUAAUUUUUGUUAUUCGUCUAAACUAUAUGUCUAUGUUUAUUAUGUUUUGAUUUAAUAAUUUUGUUUAUUGUAUUAUCUUUUUCCUUUGAAAAGUAAACUUUUUCGUAUUUAAAAAAUAUAAUCAAGUAAUUAAUAAUUUGAAAAUUUCAAAUUAAAGAAGCAUAUUUAGAUCAAAUAAUUAAAACAAAUUCAUAAAUAAAGUCACUCUUAUCUUGAAAAAAAUAUAAAUUAAAAUAAAAACAUCACAAUAAUUAAAAAAAUAAUAUUUGAGUAACGCGUAUAUUAAAAAAAAUUGCUUAAAAAAAUUCUAUAUAACUAAAACAUUCAAGUAUAUAUCACUUCAGCUAUGUGUUUGCCAUUAUAUUAUAAUAUGUUACACAAUACAAAAAACUCACAAACGAAUUAAUUCCGAUACAAUUACGUUAUUUUAUAACAAAUAUUGAGAGAUAAUAUAUGAUUAGCUCAUUCUUGAAAUUAUAAAUGGUAGGCAGAUUUUUAAAGAUAACCAGAUCCAGUUUUGCAAAUUUAUUUACAACUUGGCCAAUUUAGUAGAAGUAUCUAAUAGUAAAAAUAAUUUAUUUUACAUAAUUUAUGGUUCGGUCAUCAUCUAUUUGAAAUAAAUAAAUGAAAUGUUAUUAGCUUUAACAUUCAAAAAAUUCAUAUCAUACUAGAUAGAAAGCUUCAAAUUGGUAAAAGUUCUUGUCCUAGGUAUUACUUAUUAGAAAUUAUAAAAUUGUCAUAUAUGAUUAAAUUAAUUCUACCCUUCAUUACUCAAUAAUAAAGACUGGUUUUGAAACGAUAAACUUAAAUUUUCAUUCAAUACAUCAUACCUUAGAUGAAUUAUCUCAUACCUCCGACUUCCGGAAAAAAAAAUUACAAUUAUCCACAAAAACAAAUAAACCACUAUAGGCAAUUUUAUUUGGACUUCCAUGACAUACAAUACCUUUUAUUGUAGCGAAGGCAAACAUGAGUCAUAUAUAAUUCUUGAUAUCUAUCCAUAACGAUUUCCACCUUCAAAAUAAAGCCACCAUGAUUUCUCGCCAUAUAUUAUAUUCUUUUUAUUCAUACCCUAUACACCCUCUCGGACUUUGUUCGAGUAUAUAGGUCAAAAAAUAUGUCCAAUAGUGCAAAACCUUUACAUCUAUGUAAUUCAAUUUGCUGCUGGAAAUUAAAUGUAUGAAUACACCCUCUGGGACUUUGUUCGAGUAUAUAGCUCAAAAAAAUAUGUAAAAAAGUUAACAUAUGAAGAAAAUAAUCAGUAACUUCUUCCUGACAAUACAUCCUUUUUGUUGAGGACACUUUUAUAUUGAAUAUAUUGUCUCUUCCUUCAUGCAAUAUUUUUUUAAUCGAAUUUGUGUAUAUUUAGACCAAUACGAGUUUCAUACUAGGCCCGUGCCUUGCACGGGCACUAAUGCUAGUUAUUAUAAAUUAAUCACCACCAUUUCACCAAAAAUAGAUAUAAUUAAAUUACAAAUCAAAUAUUAUCAUUAUAACUUACAAGUAAGAUAUGUAUAAUAUAUAUAAUAUAAAUAUUAAUUAAUAUUUUAUAUUGUUUGGGCUAUUCGUCUAUUCGGUCCAGAUCGAAAUAUUUUUUUAAGAACCGGACCGAACCGAAUUUUAUUUCAGUUUAUUCAGUAAAAAAUUAGGAUUGAAGCAGACCGAAUUUGAAUGAUUUAGUUUGAUUUUCCAGUUUGAGUUCGGUUUUGCUCACACCUAACUGGGACUAGUCGUGAGUCUUCAUUCCUGACUCAUCCUCUUAAGGAGUGAGGGGAUUGAAGAAUAUAAGCAGUAUUCUUUAGGAGAGCCGAAAAAGGACUUAGUGUAUAAAGCAUAUUUUCUCCAACUGUGGUCAUCUUGAAGUGAGGAAGCUAGACCGUCCCAAAGAGGCCAAUUAAGUAUGGAGUACCCUGAGCAAGGCCUAGGUUAGCGAGCCCGAUUGUUAGCGAUCUCUACAAGGCCACAUCAUUUCUAGCAACCACCCCUCUCCUUGGGAAGGCAAGAUAAUUUCUCAUACUAGCAUCCCAUUUAUGUAGGACAGUCCAACAUAAGUGUGAACCCAACGGACUUGUGAUAUCCACUAAAUGAGGCAAUGAGCCCAUCUUGAUGGUUUUUAAAUUGCGGGUAUGCCACGACCCAUGACUAGAAAAAAUCUUAUUAGAACAAAACCUUAUACUACAUUCUUAGUUUCAUCCGAUCAUCCCUUCCUCUCCUCGUUAUCUCCGCUUGAAACUCUACCUUCCGCAUCAGUCUCUCCUUCCUAAAUUACCUUCCGCACCCGCUUCUCUUCUUAACUUAUCAUCUUUUUAGUGUAAAAAUUAUAUCACCACCAACCACAGCGAUCAUCGUUUUGAAAUUUUCGAUAUAUCAUAUAUCUGAUGAUUCGUGUACAAUUAAUGCCUAAUCGGUAAGCCAUUAUCAUAUAUUUACUUCUUAUUUUGGAUUUAAUCUUGUUUGUACAUAUUUGGAUUAAAUUGAAUGUUGGAUUUAAUUGAUUUUUGAGUUUCGAUCUUUGAGUUCUGAUCUAAGAUAUAAAAUUUCCAAUAAAGCAUAAAUUGAUCAUGAUGUAAUGUAAUUACAUGAGAGCCUCGGUAUGGCACACUUUAAUCAUCUUUAAUAUUUUAGUAUAAUUAUUUUCUUAAAAUCAUAGAUUGUAUUUAUCUUUGUAUUUUUGAAUUAGUCCAUAGAAUUUUAUAUUGCAAAAAUAAUUUGAUGUUCAUCUUAUUUCAGUUUUAUGAAAGAAUUAUGCGAAAUAAUGAAGAAAAUGCUCCAGUAUCACUUGAAAUUCGCGUCCUUGGGAUAUUGACUGCGCAGGUAAUAUCUUAUAUGGUAGCUAAUAUUUUGCACUAGUUAUUCAUUUUAAGUUUAGUAAAUUGUCUUGUUACAAAUUUUAUUAUAAAUGUUUUAUAUUAAUGGAUUUAUUUCGACAAAAUGUUUACUUUUUAAUUUGUAAACAAAUAUAUAUUUGAUAUGAUAUAAAAACUCAGUUGGUGAGAAUCUUCAUUUCAAUUAACAUGCCAACUAGUUUCAUAAUUUCCAAUUACAAUAUUGAUGUAAGUUCUAUAAUUUUAUAUUGUUAUAUUUAUAUAAUAUUUUACAAGUGGAUCAUAUACUUUAAAGUAACAUUGUGAUGUGAAAAGUGUGACAUUGUGCAUGCAACCACCUCUUCUUUUCAUAUCUUAUCAACCACAUCGUUUUCUUCUAGNCAACCACCCCUCUCCUUGGGAAGGCUAGAUAAUUUCUCAUACUAGCAUCCCAUUUAUGUAGGGCAGUCCAACAUAAGUGUGAAUUGUGAUAUCCACUAAAUGAGGCAAUGAGCCCAUCUUGAUGGUUUUUAAAUGAGCCCGAUUUUUAGUUACUAUGCGUUUAGGUACAAAAUAUUUAUGACUUUUCCAAAUAUUAUAUGCAGGGAGGAUGUAUCAUGAGGUCAUAACAUUUAUACUACUUUUGACUAUAAUUAUCUAUGAAAACAAAUUUUGGCUUAUAAGAUUUUAAAUAAAAAAAUUUAUAUCUUUAAAUGUUACUCUAAGUCCACCAAAUAGAACAUAUGUGACAUGAUAAAUUUACUCCUUUUUUACAAGGGGACAUCUUCAUUUAAGCACUAAUGUUUUUUGAAAUUUUAUUUUUUAAUUUCACUAUUUCAUCUUUAAACCCUCACGCCUUUAUUAAAAUAUGUUAUAAUAUAUUAAAAUUAAAUAUGACAAUUAAGUAAUGUUAGCAGAUCCUCACUUUUGUAAUAAUUUGUUGCUUGGCACAGUGAAGUGAUCUGGCUGUCUGUAGCCAACAUUGGUAGUUCAUCAGCAUUGUCAAGUGGUAUCUCUGACGUCAGUCAAAUCGAAGCUCAAGGAAUCGUAAAACGAAGAAGAAAAAGCAAGAUUGCUUCUGUUGUUUCUGUUUCAAGGCUCAAACCAACAAACAAGAAAAGCAAUACUGUUUCCAGGCGUGUCUAGCGAUCACUCAGAAGAGUGCAUCCUAAAAUGGUCCCUUUAAGUGCCAGAUGCAGCUAAAGCUCAGAAUCGACGAUGGGAACAAUGGAUAGAAUAUUGCUAAUGAUGACAAUUGUUCAGCCUGUCACGAAGGAGGUAGCAUAAUUAUGUGUGGUCAAGCAUUAAAAUUGUAACCAUUCAUUCCUUCUUUGCAAGCAGCAGCAGAAGCUGAGUCAUAAAACUCAACCAGACAUAUCCUUUAGAUUUUCCACUACGUUUUUCAUCAUAAAACUUAAACUCCUUGACCCUCCCAUAUUUAGAUAGAACACUCUCAACUUCCGCAUCAGUAGUCCACCAGUGUAGCUCUCCCACGAAGAGCCUGCUUGCACCAUUCUGAGCCACAGGUGUUGACCCCAAUUUCAAUGCUUGAGAAUCAUGACUCACAUAUGGAGCUAUUGCUUUCUGUCAAGUCUUAAUUUCUUCAAAAUUUGAUGCCACCAGAUUUACUGGUGUAGAUUCAGGAACAACAGUUUCUGGUGUCUGGCCAUAUCCCACAUUCACCGCACCAUUUGGACCAGGCGCCUCAGACGGUUGAGGCUGAAGAAAACCCUCUCCAAUAUUAAGAUCACCAUAAAGUUCAUCGUACUCAUCAUCAUCGCCAAUUAAUUCAUCCUGGCGCUGCAUGAUUUGUGGAAGGGGCCAAAUGAAAAGAGACACGGAAGACUUUAACAAAAAUGAUCUGUAAGUGUAACCAGCGUGAGCGUAUAUGUAAGUUGUUACCUAGAAUAUAAGAAUGCUGUACUACAACUGUAUAUAUGUCAUUGCCAUAAACUUCUUUAACAACUUUAAUAUGUUAAACAUUUCUGUUGUAGCUCAAACUCGUCACCUAAAAUUGAAAAGCCUGAUGCCCAAUGGAGGUUGGUGCUGAGAUUCAACUUGUGAACAGGUAAAUUCAAUAUGCUAAACAUUUCUGUAACGAUUGAGGGAAUUAAACAGAGUAUGUGGUGUAACACCUGAACUCCAGGUUAUUUUUGGUCAACAGCAUUCCUGAGAUCUGUGGCUAGCUAUAAAUUCCAGUUCUAUUAGAGUUCAUAUUUUUGUGCCUGCAGAGAUGUAACUUAAAAUAACCUGCAGUCAUGCUUGAAUAUAGCUAAUUUCUACUUUGUGCCUUCAGAUUGUAAAUCAGGUGUGGGCAUACAUCCGAAGAAACAAGCUACAGAAUCCUAGCUAGUAACAAGAUGCUACUUUGUGAAUUUUGGUUAAGUUGUGUUGUGAGGUUUCUAUUGCUUUGUCUUCGUUCUUGAAGCUUGAAUGAUCAACUUAAGGGACCAACUUCAACGGAGUUCUGUUUAGAAAUGGAUGGACGGUAGGAACUGUGAUGGGCAGCUUCUCGUGGAUCAGCUGUGGCUCUCGUUAGUUUUUUGACCAUAGCACGAAGUUUGAUGGGUCGGCAUGGACAAAGGAGGUGUUUUGGAGCUGUAGAUUUGUGUCAAAACUACUAACAUUAACUAUUUAGCAAAAAAAAAAAAAAAAAACAUUAACUGUUUAUAUCUUUGCUCUUAAUGUACAUAAAGCUGCUAUAUAUGUAGUAACUUAAUUCUCUGCUAUAACACAUUGAUAUUCCACUACAGCGAAGAGGCAAAGAAUGAGAGCUAGUCACAUUUAUUUAAAAAAAUCAUGGUAAAGAAACAGAAAAAGAAGUAUCACAACCACUAAGAGUAUCUCCGAUUGAUCCAAUGGUCCUGAAUACUACUUUGAAAUGUUAAACUCCUACUAAACAUGUCAUGAAGGUUUUCUAUUAUUUUUGCAGAAAGAUAGAGAUGAUUCAGUACUGAUAUAAGCUUUUGCCUGUUCUCAAAAUCAUCUAAACCGUCCACCUCUUCUGCUUUGCACAAGUCCUUCCCAUUCACAAUCACCUUCGGGAACCUUACCUUGUCAUUACCAACCAGCUCUUCUAUAUUGGAAAAUUAACAAUAUUAUUUAUAAUUUUUUAAAAUAUAUAACAGUUAUAGUAUUAAAUUAUAAGUUCAGAUAUAAUAUUUGUAAACUAAGGUAGGAAAAGUAACAAGUGUCUAUUUAACUAAUGAAUGUUGCAAUUCCUCACAAACUGUCUAUUAUACUUUACCUAAAUAAUUAUUAAAAAAAUAUUUACCAUAAACGGGGAGGAAAUGGGCAGUGCAUGGUAGGAAUUAAAAACCGCCACAUAUAUUUUGAUAUAAAAGACACAUUAUAUAUUUCCUACCAAACUUGGUACCGAAAAACCCUAAUGGUAGGAAAUACUUAUUUUUUUGCACCUAAAUAAUUAUAAAAAUAUUUAUUAUAAAUUGGUAGGAAAUGAGUACUACUUGACAUGAAUUUAAAACUACGUAUGAUAUACUGAUAAUGUGAAGCAAUCUAAUAGUACUGAUAAUGUGAAGCAAUCUAAUAGUAAGGAUUAUUCAAUUGAUUUUUAUGAAUGUCUAGCUACUUAUGUUAUAUCUUGUUCAUUUAUCUUGGUAAAAAUAAUUCCUAAUGGUAGGAAAUACUUAUUUUUUUGCACCUAAAUAAUUAUAAAAAUAUUUAUUAUAAAUUGGUAGGAAAUGAGUACUACUUGACAUGAAUUUAAAACUACGUAGCAAUCUAAUUGUAAGGAUUAUUCAAUUGAUUUUUAUGAAUGUCUAGCUACUUAUGUUAUAUCUUGUUCAUUUAUCUUGGUAAAAAUAAUUCUUCUUGCUGUGUUUAUUUUCCUUUCACAAAAUACAAUGCAGUACUUACUAUUAAGAUUCAAGAAUUUAUAGUUUCAUAAUUAACGUACCUCUAUUCAUUAUAAUUUCUGUGGAUACAGUUAAAAGUUCGUGUCUCUUUCAAUUAUGUUCAAAACUCAAUGAUAAAGUAUGAGAAACAAGAAGAAUCACCAUAUUAUGAGACAAACAUAUGAAAUUAUUGAAUACCACCUAAUCCCCUAAUUGAGGAUAAGUUAUUUGUAAUUCAGUAAGAAAAUAUAUAUUAACCCAUAUUAGCUCCCGCACAAAAAAAAGAAAGCCAAAUUAGCUCAAUUUAUUCGAACUUUAGAAAUAUUUUUUACUAUGAUUAAACACUUAAAAUUAAUUAAUAAUACCUCUUUAUUAACAAAAUACUAAAUUAUAGGAAUAAAAUCAUAUAAAAGUAUGUAUAUAUAAGUAUAUACUUUAUACAAAGUUUAUCGAAACACCGCAUUUUUAUUUCUGGGGCAUCUUUUCUUAUUUUCGCACAUUUUUCUCAAUCUCUUAUUUUAACGGGAGAAAGUGAUUAACAACAAAUUAGGAAACUUAAUUGAAUGUAAAAAGAAUAUCAUGGAGAACACGGGACUGAAAGGGAUGUAAAGUAUAGUUGAUCUUGUAUUUGAUCCUUGAGAAAGUACGAGAUUGAUCUCUAGCUACUAGACAAGAAAUCAUAGAAGUUAAACAAGAGGGCUAGCUACUUCCUACGUACGGGUUCAAGUUAUCACAUAGUUCUUUGAAAACAAAUAUCUAGAUAGGCUAGAUUUUGUUUGGUCCAUUACGGCCGAGGUCCAUUAGACCAUGAAAGCUAUCGUCGAGAAGCCUGUUAGGAAUCAAUAAUUUUGAUGAUAACAUAAACACUCUGUAACAUGUUUUAUUUAGAAUCUUUAUCAAAAUUUCAGUUGUAAUUGUUAUAUUUCUUGUCCUUGAGAAUUAUCAACGGAUGGAUAGAAUAGGGUGGCUAAUUGUAAAUAUCCAAUGCCAUGUAAUUCUAUCUAAGUGAAGGAUAUUCAACUGAUAAGAUGUAACUAUUCAACUGAUGAAGACUUGAUCAUGUUUCAACUGAUGAAAACCAAGCUUUCAACUGAAGACAAAGUGUUCAACUGAUGAAGCUGAGCAAUUCAACUAAUGAGACUGGAACAGCAUUCAACUGAUGAAGUCUGUAAUUCGUUCAACUGAUGAAGGAGCUUUCAACUAAGGAAACAAGCAGUUGAAAGUGACUAGAGCUUAAGUCUGACAAAUCACAUGGAUCGAAUUACACUAAAAUAGAAAUGGAAGGCUGAUUAGGACAAUAAAGAAGAAGCAGAAACAUUCUUAUCUCAUGCAAUGCAAUCUGGAUCAAAUCAAGAUGAUGGUCAAAGAUGAAGACAUCAGAGAAAGCUUGCAUAAGACAAAGAUGUGCAGCAUUGUUUAGAUUAGAGUGCAUAAUUUGUAUUCUAGUUAAAAGCCUUGUGAAACUUGGAGUAUAUAACCAAGUUAGUAGUAUCAGUUGAAAGUGUUCGAAUACUUGAGAGAAAAAUCUGAGAGUUAGAAACCAUUCAAGUGAUGAACCAGCAGCUGUGCGAAUUGUAAUCAAUCCACAGAUUCUUCAAUAUAAAAUCUCACGGGUGGAUCAUUCAAUCCACCCGUAUUUUUAAUACUUGGUGUUUUUCUGUUUUAUUGUUUUAAGUGUUCUUGUUCUUGAAUCUUUUAAUUUGUAAUAGAUUGUAUUCAAUCCCCCCCUUCUACAAUCUUUCUCAUAGUUGGUGUAAAAUAACAAAGCCCAUAACUCUCGCAUGACCCAGGUCUUAAUGGUUAAGAAGGCUGACAUGGAGCGGGUUAGAUAGUGGAUAGCGAUCUAUUAGUGAAAGAAGGUAGAGACCUCGAAAGCUAUAAUCAUGUGGUCCAAGCUGGGACUAGUGGUGAGCAUUUGGUCAUUUCGGUCCAAAAUUGAACCGGACUUAAUAGACCGAGAACCGAACUUCGAUUUUUCCGGACUAGACCGGAACGAAAUAUUAUUAUAGACUGAACCGAAAUAAUUUGGUUUGGUCUGUCCGAGAAGAAACAAAAUUAUUUUAAAAAACAAAAAUUUAUAUUAUAAAUAAAGCUAAAAUAUGUGAUUUAAUAAAUAAAUUAAUAUUAAUUAAUCACCUCAAUUUCACCAAAUAUAGAUAUAAUUAAAUUUACAAAUUAAAAAUUAUCAUUAUAACUUGUAAGUAAGAUAUAUAUAAUUUAUAUAAUAUAAAUAUAAAUUAAUAUUAUAUAUUGUUUGGGUUAUUCUUCUAUUCGGACCAGACCGAAAUAUUUUUUUAAGAACCAAAACGAACCGAAUUUUAUAUAGGUGUAUUUAGUCCGGAUCGAAUAGACCGAAUUUUCAAAAAUUAGGAUCGAAUCGGACAGAAUUUAAAUGAUCCGGUUUUAUUUUUCAGUUUCAGUUCGGUUGUGAUCUAACCUUAGGACUGGUCGUGAGUCUUCAAUCCUGCCUCAUCCUCUUAAGGAGUGAGGGGAUCGAAGAAUAUAGGGAGUAGUUUUUAGGAGAGCCGACAAAGAACUUAGUGUAUAAAGCAUACUUUCUCCAAUCGUGGUCAUCUUGAAGUGAGGAAGCUAGACGGUCCCAAAGAGCCCAAGUAUGUAGUGCCCUCAGCAAGGCCUGGGUUAGCGACCCCAAUUGCUAGCGAUCCCUGGAUAUUAAACUGAUGAAGACUGGAUCAUGUUUCAACUGAUGAAAACCAAGCUUUCAACUCAAGACAAAGUGUUCAACUGAUGAAGCUGAGGAAUUCAACUAAUGAGACUGGAACAGCAUUCAACUGAUGAAGUCUGUAAUUCGUUCAACUGAUGAAGGAGCUUUCAACUAAGGAAACAAAGAGCAGUUGAAAGUGACUAGAGCUUAAGUCUGACAAAUCACAUGGAUCGAAUUACACUAAAAUAGAAAUGGAAGGCUGAUUAGGACAAUAAAGAAGAAGCAGAAACAUUCUUAUCUCAUGCAAUGCAAUCUGGAUCAAAUCAAGAUGAUGGUCAAAGAUGAAGACAUCAGAGAAAGCUUGCAUAAGACAAAGAUGUGCAGCAUUGUUUAGAUUAGAGUGCAUAAUUUGUAUUCUAGUUAAAAGCCUUGUGAAACUUGGAGUAUAUAACCAAGUUAGUAGUAUCAGUUGAAAGUGUUCGAAUACUUGAGAGAAAAAUCUGAGAGUUAGAAACCAUUCAAGUGAUGAACCAGCAGCUGUGCGAAUUGUAAUCAAUCCACAGAUUCUUCAAUAUAAAAUCUCACGGGUGGAUCAUUCAAUCCACCCGUAUUUUUAAUACUUGGUGUUUUUCUGUUUUAUUGUUUUAAGUGUUCUUGUUCUUGAAUCUUUUAAUUUGUAAUAGAUUGUAUUCAAUCCCCCCCUUCUACAAUCUUUCUCAUAGUUGGUGUAAAAUAACAAAGCCCAUAACUCUCGCAUGACCCAGGUCUUAAUGGUUAAGAAGGCUGACAUGGAGCGGGUUAGAUAGUGGAUAGCGAUCUAUUAGUGAAAGAAGGUAGAGACCUCGAAAGCUAUAAUCAUGUGGUCCAAGCUGGGACUAGUGGUGAGCAUUUGGUCAUUUCGGUCCAAAAUUGAACCGGACUUAAUAGACCGAGAACCGAACUUCGAUUUUUCCGGACUAGACCGGAACGAAAUAUUAUUAUAGACUGAACCGAAAUAAUUUUGUUUGGUAUGUCCGAGAAGAAACAAAAUCAUUUUAAAAAACAANUGAUGAAGUCUGUAAUUCGAAGUGUAAACCCAACGGAUUUGUGAUAUCCACUAAAUGAGCCCAUAUUGAUGGUUUAUAAAUGGCGGGUCUGCCACGACCCAUGACAAUUUCUGGGAUAAAAUCUUAUUAGAACAAAAAUNCUAAAAUAUGUGAUUUAAUAAAUAAAUUAAUAUUAAUUAAUCACCUCCAUUUCACCAAAAAUAGAUAUAAUUAAAUUUACAAAUUAAAAAUUAUCAUUAUAACUUGUAAGUAAGAUAUAUAUAAUUUAUAUAAUAUAAAUUAAUAUUAUAUAUUGUUUGGGUUAUUCUUCUAUUCGGACGAGACCGAAAUAUUUUUUUAAGAACCAAAACGAACCGAAUUUUAUAUAGGUGUAUUUAGUCCGGAUCGAAUAGACCGAAUUUUCAAAAAUUAGGAUCGAAUCGGACAGAAUUUAAAUGAUCCGGUUUAAUUUUUCAGUUUCAGUUCGGUUGUGAUCUAACCUUAGGACUGGUCGUGAGUCUGCAAUCCUGCCUCAUCCUCUUAAGGAGUGAGAGGAUCGAAGAAUAUAUGGAGUAGUUUUUAGGAGUGCCGACAAAGAACUUAGUGUAUAAAGCAUACUUUCUCCAAUCGUGGUCAUCUUGAAGUGAGGAAGCUAGACGGUCCCAAAGAGCCCAAGUAUGGUGUGCCCUCAGCAAGGCCUGGGUUAGCGAGCCCAAUUGCUAGCGAUCCCUGGAGGCCACAUCAUUUCUAGCAACCACCCCUCUCCUUGGGAAGGCUAGAUAAUUUCUCAUACUAGCAGCCCAUCUAUGUAGGGCAAUCCAUCGUAAGUGUAAACCCAACGGAUUUGUGAUAUCCACUAAAUGAGCCCAUAUUGAUGGUUUAUAAAUGGCGGGUCUGCCACGACCCAUGACAAUUUCUGGGAUAAAAUCUUAUUAGAACAAAAACUUAUACUACAUUCUUAGUUUCAUCCGAUCAUCCUUCCUCUCCUUGUUAUCUCCGCUUGAAACUCUACCUUCCGCAUCAGUCUCUCCUUCCUAAUUUACCUUCCGCACCCGCUUCUCUUCUUAACUUAUCAUCUUUUUAGUGUAAAAUUAUAUAACCACCAUCCACAACAAUCAUCGUUUUGAUCUUUUCGAUAUAUCAUAUAUCUGUUGAUUUCCUGUACAAUUCAUGCCUAAUCAGUAAGCCAUUAUCAUAUAUUUACUUCUUAUUUUGGAUUUAAUUUUGUUUGUACAUAUUUGGAUUAAAUUGAAAGUUGGAUUUAAUUGAUUUUUGAGUUUUGAUCUUUGAAUUCUGAUAUAAGAUAUAAAGUUUCCGAUGAAGCAUAAAUUGAUCAUGAUGUAAUGUAAUUACAUGAAAAGCCUCGGUGUCUCACAGUUUAAUCAUAUUUAAUCUUUUAGUAUAAUCUUUUUCUUAAAAUCAUAGAUUGUAUUCAUCUUUGUAUUUUUGAAUUAGUCCAUAAAAUUUUAUAUUGCAAAAAUAAUUUGAUGUUCAUCUUAUUUCAGUUUUGUGAAAGAAUUAUUCGAAAAUAAUGAAGAAAAUGAUCCAGUAUGACUUGAAAUCCAUGUCCUUGGGACAUGUACUACGGUAAUAUCUUUUAUGGUAACUAAUAUUUUGCACUAGUUAUUCAUUAAGUUUAGUAAAUUAUCUUGUUACAAAUUUUAUUAUAAAAAUUUUGAAUUAAUAGAUUUAUUUCGACAAAUGAUUAUGUUUUUAAUUGGUAAAGAAAAUUUGAUAUCAUAUAAAAACUCAAUUGGUGAGAAUCUUAAUUUCAAUUAACAUGCCAACUAUUUUUGAGAUAAAUACAUCAAUAAACAUAUUAUAAUUUUUUAUUGAGUGAUUGACACUUUGCACCCCUUAUGUUUAGGCACUUUUUCGAGUUCGUCUCAAACAAUUGUUUUUGGCAGUAUGCACCCUAAAGUUUGAAAAGCGCUUCGAUUUGCACCCCUUUGACCACUCUCCGUCCAUAGUUUUUUAAUUUUUUUUCAUGAGUAUUUUGAAAUAUAAUUUUUCAUAAAUGUAAGCCCUCACUUUCCCUUUGAAGUCUCCGCAGGUUUUGUGAAAUCGAGAGUCGAUCCAUUUUAAUGAUUCCGGCUCCAUGUUGCUUUCAGAGUAGGGCCAACUGACUUGCAGCUUAGAUGACCUCUUUGAUGCUUUCCGGAUUAGAGCAUAUAGUUAAGGCAUUCCAUCAUCUUCGUCGUAAACUGCCCAGACUUAAUUGGUUCUCUGCAAAUGAUUCUUUGGUUCUAUCAUUGUCAAAGUCAUGAAAAUGUGAUUCUGGAACCUCCAUAGUCUUCGUUAUAUCAUCGUUGGGACCUUCUGUUGCUGCGUCAUCUAUAGCAUCUGCAGAGCUGUGUUCAUUUUUAUCCCUAGCAGCAUCAUUAAGUUGAUGGAGCUUGUUGAGAAUUGUUGGAAACGUGUAUGGGCCUUAAACCAAAAACUUCGAUAAUAUUAAGAUGCAAACACACAACUUGUAUAUUAAUGUAACACGCAGCUACAAUACUUAUAAUUUUGCUACACACACUAGGCUUCAGCCUUACUUUUCUCUCAAAAGCUUCGGCUCAUAUAAUUUCUCUCUACAACUGCUGUUGUAGUUUUUCUCAGUGUGUUCUAUUUCUUCCUCCUCUAGCAGCCUUAUAUAUAGGUUACAGAUUACAACUUGUAACACAUAUUUAUUGCUGCUCUAGACUUUUAUCAGCCUGCCAUCUUUGACCUGGAGAAUGCUGCAGAUUGUCACCAGCCUGUGUUAAAGAGAGCCCACCUUAUAUCCAGGAGCUAUGUUUCUUUCUUUGAUCUCUCCUGUAGUCCAUACAUUCAAGUCUUCAUUGUAACUAGCUGCUUUAUUUUCUUCCGUUGAUACUACUACAUCGUACAUCUUAUAAACACCCAGCUGUUAUUUAUGACUUAAGUCCUACUUGCUUAACAGGAUAACAUUUGCAUUUAUAUCAGCUGCUAAUAUGGUCUUCCAUGUUAUCCGGUACACACAAGCUGAACUCCAUAACUCACUUAAUAGCCAACCAUUUAUUCCGCAUAUAUUCUUGCAGCCUACUAUAAUUUCAGGAUCACCUAGUUAUUAUAGUUAAUACGAGUUUGAAUUCUAACAAGAAUCAUAUUCCUAGCCUUCUCCAUUAAAAGAUUUUUAAUAUCAUACUUACUGGGAGCUGGCUGAAUUGAUGGUCUUGCUGAGGAAACUAUACUUGAGCCACUUGUACUAAAUCCUGAAACAAUGGACAUACCAGGAUCCGGCUGAAAUGAUUUGCAGCUGAGAAAAUUAACCUUGGGCCAAAUCCUAUAUUUCCCGAUACACUGUACAUACCAGGCACUGGCUGAGUUGAUAGCCUAGCGGAGGAAACUAUCAUCGCGUCAGUUUCUUUUUUUCCCAAUAGUUUGUUCACACCAGGGGCCGGAUGGAUUAAGCAUCUUCCAUUGUUUCCUAAUACAUUUUGGAUACCUGAAGCCUGCUGGACUAACGGUAUAACUGUGGAAACUGAUCGACCUCGCUCCACAUUCUUUAUUUUUCGGUACAUUGUCCACAUCAGGCGUCGGCUGUAUUGAAUUUGUAGCUGCAGAAAUUGAUGUUAAGUCCUCUCCAUUAUUUCCACGGAUAUUGUGUAGACCAGGUACUGGCUGAAUUGCUUCUGUUGCUGAUGGAAGUGGCUUUAGACCAAUUAUGUUUUCUCCUAUAGCAUCAUGAAAAACAGGUUCAGGCUGAGGUAACUGUGUAGAUGAGCUUGCCUGCUUCACAACAGAGGCAUUCUGUUACAGCUGCGCCAUCAGCUUCAAAGGGUGAGGACUUACAUUUAUGAAUAAAUAUAUUUCAAAUACUCAUGAAAAAAAAAUUAAAAUUGUGGGGUGCAAAGUGUAAACCCCACAUCUGUUAACUUUAACGGUAAAUUAAACGGAGUAUGGUCAAAGGGGUACAAAGCGAAGCGCUUUUCAAACUUUAGGGUGCAUACUGCCCAAAAUAAUUGUUUGAGACCAAAUCGAAAAAGCGCCUAAACACAAGGGGUGCAAAGUGUCAAUCACUCUUUUUUAUAAUAUGUUUCAUACUUUCCAAUUACAAUAUUAAUGUAAGUUCUAUCAUUUUAUAUUAUAUACUUUAAAGCAACAUUGUGAUGUGAAAAAUGUGACAUUGUGCAUGCAACCACCUCUUCUUUUCAUAUCUUAUCAACCACAUUGUUUUCUUCUUGUAUUGUAAGAGAUUUUUAGUUACUAUGCGUUUAGGUACAAAAUAUUUAUGACUUUUCCAAAUAUUAUGUGCCGGGAGGAUGUAUCAUGAGGUCAUAAUAUUUAUACUAUUUUGACUAUAAUUAUCUAUCAAAACAAAUUUUGGCUUAUAAGAUUUAAAAUUAAAAAAUUUAUAUCUUUACAUUGUGCUGACUUACAAAUAUUUAGUGUAUGUAUAAAUAUUGUUAUUAUUUCAUGAGUAUUAAAUGUUACUCUAAAUCCAUCAAAUAGAACAUAUGUCACAUGAUAAAUUUACUCCUUUUUACAAGUGGACAUCUUCAUUUAAGCAUUAAUGUGUUUUUUGAAAUUUUAUUUUUUAAUUUCAAUAUUUCAUCUUUAAACCACAUGCUUUCACUAAAAUAUGUUAUAAUAUAUUUAAAUUUUACAAUUAAGUAAUGUUGGCAGAUCCUCACUUUGGUAAUACUUUGUUGCUUGGCACAGUGAAGUGAUCUAGGAAUUACUCAGGACUGGGAUGCUAUCAGUGACAAUUUUAAGCUGUCUGUAGGCAACAUUAGUAGUUCAGCAUUGUCGAGUUGCAUCUCUGACGUCAGUCAAAUCCAAGCCCAAGGAAUCGAAAAACUUAGAAUUAAAAGCAAGAUUUCUUCUGUUGUUUCUGCUUCAAGGCUCAAACCAACAAACAAGAAAAGCAAUGCUGUUUCCGGACAUGUCUAGCGAUCACUCAGAAGAGUGCAUCCUGAAAUGGUACCAGUUUCCUCCAAACCCUUCAGCCAAUACAUAUUUGUUGGAUGGUAGGUCUUCCAGAUGCAGCUAAAGCUCAGAAUAAUUAAAGUUCACCGUACUCAUCAUCAUCGCCAAUCAAUUCAUCCUGGCGCUGCAUGAUUUGUGGAAGGGGCCAAAUGAAAAGAGACACGGAAGACUUUAACAAAAGUGAUCUGUAAGUGCAAACAGCGCGAACGUAUAUGUAAGUUACCUAGACUUUACAAUCAUCAUGAUGAAUGUAAUUACAUGAAAAACUCGAUGUGACACACUUUAAUGUGAUGUUCAUCUUAUUUCAGUAUUUGUGGGAAGAAUUAUCCGAAAUAAUGAAGAAAAUGCUCCAGUAUGACUUGAAAGCCGCGUCCUUAUCCUUGACAUAUGUACUAAAUAGGUAAUAUUUUUAAUGGUAGCUAAUGUUUUGUACUAGUUAUUCAUUUCAAAUUUAGUACAUUAUCUUGUUACAAAUUUUAUCAUAAAAAUUUAAAUCAAUGAAUUUAUUUGGGCAAUAAUUAUGUUUUUAAUUGGUAAAGAAAUAUAUAUAUUUUUAUUGGGAAAAUUAAUUCUAAAGUCCCUGAACUUUAGGCACUUUUUUUUCUAGGUCCCUGAACUAUAAAUGUCAAUUCAUAAGUAAUUCAACUCUUGAUUUUUUCCUACCCGGGUCUUUCCCGUUAGAUCUGGUUUGACGCCGUUAGUUUUUCCGGCGAACUUGGUCGGAAAAACUCAAAUCCGGUGAGCUCGAAUUUUCCAACGAGGCUAAUUUGAACACUAAAAAUCACGAAAAUUAUAUAAACAUGCUCAUAAUCACACGAUCUAUCAAUCUACAUCAUUAUAAUUCGAAAAAAAGCUAUUAAAAUGAAAACUAAUAUUCAACUCAAAAUUCGGAAAUUACCAAACUAAAUUUUGAUGGUAUAGAUGGAUAGGGGAUUGAAAAACGAGCAAUUUGAUUACUCAAGCUUCAAAUUUGGAUACCGGAAUCACCUUCAAAGUUAUCUUUGAUUCUCAUGAACUUAAGAAGAACUAACGGCGUCAAACCAGAUCUAACGGAAGGACCUAGAUAGGAAACAAUCAAGAGUUGAAUUACUUAUGAAUUAACAUUUAUAGUUCAGGGACCUAGAAAAAAAAGUUCCUAUAGUUCAGGGACUUUAGAAUUAAUUUUCCCUAUUUUUAUUUAAGCAUUAAUGUUUUUAAUGUGAUGUUCAUCUUAUUUCAGUAUUUGUGGGAAGAAUUAUCCGAAAUAAUGAAGAAAAUUCUCCAGUAUGACUUGAAAGCGGCGUCCUUAUCCUUGAGAUAUGUACUAAAUAGGUAAUAUUUUUAAUGGUAGCUAAUGUUUUGUACUAGUUAUUCAUUUCAAAUUUAGUACAUUAUCUUGUUACAAAUUUUAUCAUAAAAAUUUAAAUCAAUGAAUUUAUUUCGGCAAUAAUUAUGUUUUUAAUUGGUAAAGAAAUAUAUAUUUUUAUUUAAGCAUUAAUGUUUUUUAAAUUUUUUUAUUUCACCGUUUCAUCUUUAAACCACAUGUUUUCAUUAAAAUAUAUUAUAGCAUAACUACAAAUAAAUAUUACAGUUAAGGAAUGUUGGCAGACCCUUUCACUUUGUAAUACUUUCUUGUUUGGCACAUAGAAGUGAUCUGUGAAUAUCUUUUACAGAGUCAACCAAGAUGUGAUUUUCUUUACAAAACUCGAAAUGGUUAAAGAAGUUAUGCAUCUAAUUGAAUGCAAGGGUUAUGAAGUUCAAGGUAAGCAUUUAACUGAUUCUCAUGUGUACACUUGUCUUCUAACCCGAAUAUCACGUGACUGAAAAAUUGAAGCACUCUUUUUGUAAUCAGGUCUGCAUGCAUUUUUCUUAAUGAUGUUGAUCAGUUCAGAAUGCGUUGGCCAAGAAAAAGUAAUAUCAAAGUCAAUGGUACGUAACGCUCAACCAUGUAUAUGUAUAAAGGGUUAACGCACUAAUUAGAUCAUUUAGCUUCAUUUGAAUAUAUAGGUGGAUCACCUACAAAUUUUUGGUCUCAUCUGCACCCCUCAUUUCAUAUUAAGUUACAUUUUGAUAAGUCUCAUUUUUGCAAUUAUAUAGAGUGUUCUUUAUGGUAACUGGUUUUGUCCAUCCUGAUAGCAGGGGAAAUGGAGAAGGUAAUAGCCGAAAGAGGAUUCAUUUUGGCAGUGCUGCAUGAUUUGUGGAACUCCAUCUGCUAUCUGAUCCGCUGGGUCUGGCAAUGGAACUCCAGAAUCUGUAUACUUCUCAAUCCGUUAGUCCUCGAGGAAAGUUUAACUCGAUCUUUUGGCACCAGAUUUACUGGCGUAGAUAGUAGAUUCACCGCCCCAUUUGGACCAGGCGCUUCAGACGGCUGAGGCUGAAGAAAACCCUCUCCAAUAUUAAGAUCACCAUAAAGUUCAUCGUACUCAUGUUCAUCGCCAAUCAAUACAUCCUGGCGCUGCAUGAUUUGUGGAAGGGGCCAAAUGAAAAGAGACACGGAAGACUUUAACCAAAGUGAUCUGUAAGUAUAACCAGCGUGAGCGUAUAGGUAAGUAACCUAGAAUAUAAGAAUGUUGUACUAGAACUGUAUAUAUGUCAUUGCCAUAAACUUCUUUAACAACUUUAAUAUGUUAAACAUUUCUGUUGCAGCUCAAACUCGUCGCCUAAAAUUGAAAAGCUUAAUGCCCAAUGGAGUUUGGUUCUGCGAUUCACCUUGACGUUGGAUGAAGAACUGCCUCGUAAAACUAGUCUUUUAGGCUCUGGGAGCCAGCAUUCUAGGAACUUGGCAGCCAGUGUUUCCCUAAACAAUUUCACAGUAUUCUGGAUGAAAGUGCUCUGUUGCCUACCGGAAAACCAAAUACAUUAUCAUCCAUAAAUCCAUAAAUACAAUAAUAUGUCUUGACAUGUCGAGAAGUAUAGGAUUCCUGAACUAAUUACCAAAAGAAACCAUGGUAUUAUACAAUCAAGAAAGCUAAUAUCAGAAAACUAGGGUCGUGUUCCUCUUAGAACCCUUGGCCUAAGAAUCCUUAGAAACUUCUGGUAUUAAUAAGGGUUAUGCAGCAAACUGCACAUGUAAAAUGUUUCGUGUUUAUGUAUAAUAUUUUAAAAUUAUUUUUGAACAUACACAACCAAUGCAAAAAACAUGUAUUCAGAUUUAGAUCCUGAAAAUCUAUUUAAAAUUUGAGCUUCAAGGAUGAGGUCUCUCUUGAGCGCAACCCGAGAAAACCAUGGUAUUAUAUAGCAUGAAACGUUGAAUAAUUGAGAAAAACUGGAUAAUAAGAUUACCCCUCUGCAUGUUCUCUAAGAAUAUUGCCAACUUCUACAAGGGCUUCUCUCCACUUCUCCACCUUGCAUUGUGCCUCGCUUUAUGCUUUUCUAGUGCGAGUCCCUAAUUUCGCUGGUGUUUCGCGAAUUUAAACCUAAAAAAAAAGUGGUAUGAUAAAAUACCUGGAGUUCUUGUUGCGUUCAAGGAUGAGAACAAGUUCAUCAAGACAUCACGUAGAGUAAGCAUAAUUCUGGGAAAACACAAUUAUGGGCGCUUAUAGAGUUCUUGAUUCACUCUUUAAUUGUCGAAUACACCUCAUCUCCGACACGUAUGUCACUCUUGUCCAUGAAAGCUACAAAGCCUUCGGUUCAGCCUUUAAAGGCUCAUGUAGAAAGCAUGUGAACUUGUUGCGAGUUUCCCCUCCGAAGCUCAAGAAAACAUGAGAAAAUGAGGCUUCUUUAAUCAUGGUGAGAGAGCUCUUAGUGAAUAAACUAAUUUUUAGGAGGCUUUAAGAUCUGUAACCAUAACAUGGAAAGUCAACUACAUUGUAAACAUUGUCAGAAAAAACUUCUGAUAUAAAUUGACAAAUUAGUUGAAAUUCUAUGCUAAUAAAAUACAUCUAUUUAACGAUGGAACAAGUCAUUCUGUGGAAAUUGUACUCAUAUUAUGAUUAGCUGGAUUGCUUCCAAAAGGCAAACUAAAUGUGGGAACUCAACUAGGUAAAAUUUCACUUCAUCUCCUGCAUCGCAUGCAUGUCGGUGGUCAAAGAAACUUUACAUUCUGUGUGACCGGUCAAAGAAUUUCACCUCCCCCAUUUUUUUUCGAGGAAACUUUACAUUCUGUGAAUAAGAUAAUGUUCUAGAUGGAGCAGCAUGUAAAAUGUCCUCCAGAACUCAUUUCAAAUUUCUAUUUGCAGUCCAACUUGUUUCAAUACAUACAAUUAUUUUUUCAUGUAAAUUAUUAAAAACACUUUAUAUUAUCAGAUUUUGUUUGUAUAUUGAAUAUUCAUAGUCACACUUGUAGACAGAAAAUAGAGAGAAAGAUGAUUUUGAGAGGAAGAUUAAGUAAAGGAUAAAAAGGUUAAUGGGCAUUCAAAAUAGUUGUAGUCUUGACUCUUGUAUCAUAUUGUAAAAAAAUUGAUAAUAAAUUAGUUUUGAAUUGAAGUUAUUUAUCCUAAAAAUUCUAUUUGACUUCCAAAUUGACUAAACUUUUAUAAUGUAACGAUUUUCCCACCAACAAAAUUAAAUUAUUAAUAAAAUUAUUCAUUUUCUUUUUUGAAACUCGAACAAUUUAAUUUACGAAACACUUAUAUAACAUUGCUAGUAUGUUUCAGGAUUCAAAAAAUAAGGAGUUCAUAUUAAUAUUAUUAGUCAAAUCCAUAUUCAUACUUUAAAUAAUAAUAAAUUUAAUAAUUAGGGAAUUUACCAAAACUACCACUUUUUCUAGGGGUUUUUUGCGAUUUUACUUUCUUUUAAAAAUAUAUGCAUAAAUAUUAUGCCCUCCGUCCCAUUUUAUUUGAACCACUUUCCUUUUCUGGAUGUCCCAAAAAUAAAAAUAAUGAACCUUCUAUUUUACAACAUCUUUUUAAGAUUAUUACAACCACACAUUCAUAAACUACACUCAUUUAAUAUAUAUCCACUAACUCUCUUUGUGUGGUUGAAAAUGAGUCAAUCAUUCCUUACUUAAAAAUCACGCUGCUCAAACGAGCUCAAACAAAAAUGGGACAGAGUGAGUAACUUUUUAGAUAAUAUUUGCAAAAAAACGAUCUGCAAAUAGAUUCAACCAGAUUUAAGUUUAGUUAAUUGGCCUCGCAAGUGGUUGUAUACAAUAUUUUUGCAAAUAUUUUUAAAUAUUUGGUAUUUUGUAAAAUAUUUGAAAAAGAUAUAGUGUUUUUGUAAAAAAUAUUUUGGACUUAGGUGUUUUUGAGAAUACCCCAUUUAACUAUUGGACCAUCUCUUGCUUGUUGAUAAAUUUUGCUUUCUUCGUGGAGAUGUUAAAAUGUCCGAUUAUAAUCUCUAGAACUUCAAUUAUAGUCUAAACAAAGUUUAGUGGAUAAAGUGUUCAUAAGAUCUGAAUUUCACUCUAACCUAUAUUAGCUCUUUCACAAAAAUUGAGAGAGUCAAAUUAGCUCAAUUUGUUCGAACAUUAGAGAAUAUAUCUUUCUACCAUUAAACAGUUCUAAAAAUAAUUUUUAAUAACUUAUUAUUAACAAAAUACUUGUAUCAUGAAUAAAAUCAUAUAAGAGGUUGUAUAUAUAUAAGUAGGCUAGUGAUUAAAUCUCAAAUACAAACUAAAACCCCGUUUCAAAAUCACUAUUUACAACUACAUAAAUCACUAGUUUAUACUGCAUUAAUCACUGUUUUAUAUAGUAAAAUCUACAACUUUUAUUUUUCAUAAUUCAGAAAAUCUACCUAUUUUAACUAUUAGUUGUCGAUUAUUAAUGAUCAAUUAUAUGGUAAUACGAGGGUCAUAAUAGUAGUAAGUGAUGAAAGGAGGCGUGUGAUGGUGGUAAGUAUUCGCUAAUUGUGGUAAGUUAUGGUGGCAAGCGGCGAUGACUAUUAGUGAUGGUAGCCAGUGGUGUCCAGUUAUAAAAAAGUGUUGAUAAUGGUGGUAUAUAUAUAUAUAUAUAUAUAUAUAUAUAUAUAUAUGGGCAUGUUCCACAACCAAAGGUGGAUAAAUAUUAAAAUAUAUCCAACUUAUUUAUAACCGUCCAUUUAGCAAUGGACGGCCAGGAUUAAAACACAGCUACGCGAUUUAAAAAAGCGUAUACGCUAUAUCAUAUAGCGUAAAACAGGUCAGCCAAACCAUCCCCGUUUUUCCUUCUGGGUUUACGCUAUAUCAUAUAGCGGAGCCGGUUUAUUUUAGCGGAACCGGGUUUCGUUUCAUAUAUUGUAUAGCAUAUUGUGGAUAUUGAACAAAAAUCAACGAAAAUAACCCUAACCACCUCCGAAAACCACGAUUCUAAGGCGAUUCAAGGCGAUUCAAGGCACGUUCUAGUGAUUCAAGGCGAUUCAAAGCUAAUUCAAGGUAUGUAUAUGUCCGAUUUGUAUGUAUAUGCGUGUAUUUGUGUAUGUAUAGGUUUUUGUUUUCUUGUAUGUAAGAUUUGAUUUUGCUUUAUGAAUGUUUAUAUACAUCAAUGUAUGUGAAGUUUGAGUUUUUUAGCUUGAUUUUCUGUUCGAUGUUGUGUUUUUUGGUCGAAGUAUGUAGAAAUUGGUGAAGUUGAAUUUUUUAGUUUAAUUUUGAGUUUGAUUAAUUGGGUUUGAUAGUGUAGAUUUUGGAAAAGUUAGAAUUUUAGUUUGAUUUGGAGUUUAAUAUCGUAGAAUUUGGUGAAGUUGAAUUUUUUUUGUUGGAUUUUUGGUUGGAUAUUGAGUAUGAUAGUGUAGAUUUUGGAAAAGUUGGAAUUUAAUUUUGAUUUGGAGUUUAAUAUUGUAGAAUUUGGUGCAGUUGAAUUUUUUUUCUUGGAUUUUUUGUAUGAUAGUGGUGAUUCUGGAAAAGUUGGAAUUUGAUUUUGAUUUGGAGUUUAAUAUUGUAGAAUUGGUGAUGUUGAAUUUUUUUGUUGGAUUUUUAGUUAGACUUUUGAGUAUGAUAGUGGUGAUUUUGGAAAAGUUGGAAUUUGAUUUUGGUUUGGAGUUUGAGUAUGAUAGUGAUGAUUUUGGAAAAGUUGGAAUUUGAUUUUGGUUUGGAGUUUAAUAUUGUAGAAUUUGGUGAAGUUGAAUUUUUUCGUUGGAUUUUAUUUGGAUUUUGAGUUUGAUAGUGUAGAUUUUGAUAAAGUUGGAUAUUUUAGUUUGAUAUGGAAUUUAAUUUGGAGUUUGGUUUGUUGACGUUGAGAAUAAUAACAUGAUCUAAUUUUAUUUGUAGAUAUGGCGAAUGAUUAUUAUGGCCCAGUCGAUGAUUCUGUACUCUAUGACCAAGCUAAUCACAUAAGCACAACAAUCUGGAACGGGGGGUUAAGAGAAAAGUUGACAAUCCGUCAGAGUACAUCUAAUCUCGGCGAAUGGAAUUUACAUGAUUAUCAAGUCCACCUAUUGCGGCAAUGGGGAUUUGGGAUGUUUGUCAACCCAAAGUCGGUUAUGCAGAACGAUGUUUCCUUGAUCACAGCUUUAGUGGAGCGUUGGAGACCCGAGAUCAACACCUUUCACUUCACUUUCGGGGAGAUGACUGUGAUCCCCUCUACAUGUUCUCCAAGAAUAUUGUCAACUUCUACAAGGGCUUCUCUCCACUUCUCCACCUUGUCCUUGUGCCUCGCUUUAUGCUUUUCUAGUGUGAGUCCAUAAUUUCCUAGCUAGCUUUAUGUAUAAGAGCUCGUUUGCCGGACUUCAUGACUUAUAACUUAACGUGACUUAUGUAAUAAGCUGGGAGUUUAAAAUAUAUGUUUGAGUAAUUUUGACUUCUUAAGGACUUAUGAGUUAUUAAAAAUAUAAUAACAGAAAUAAAAGUGAUUUAUAGGUAAUUCAUGUCUUAUGAGUAAUUUUUUUUUUAAAAAGAGUUUUAAAAAUUCAACUCACCGAAAAAGUACCUCAAACUAACUUGUGGCUUCAAGUCAGUUUCUGACUUGAAGUUGGCUUCCAACAUAUUACACAAAUGGAUAUUUUUCAGCCUAAAGUUGAAAAUAAUUUUAAGUUCCGACUUUAAACCGGACAAACAUGCUCGAAAGAAUACUUCCCAAGCCUGGGUCAUCUUUAAGUGAGAAAGCGAGGUAGUCCCAACGAGUCCAAGUAUGGAGUGUAUUCUAGGGGUGGUAAUAUUGGACCCGACCCGACAACCCGACACGAAUUCGACCCGUAAAAUACGAAUUCGGAUUGGAGUUUUUCGGGUUCGGGUCGAAUUCGGGUUGACCCAAAAUCCACCCAGAAAAAAGGGACAUUUUCAAGUUGAUUUCGGGUUACCCGAAAUUGACCCGAAAAUUAAUAUAUAAUAUAAAUAUUAUAUAUAUUUAUAUUAUUUAAAAAUAUAAAAAUUAAUAUAAUUUAAAUAUUAUAUAUAUUUAUAUUAUUUAUAUUAUUUUUAUAAUAUUUAUUAGUUAAAUUUUAAUAAAAACUUAUUUAAUUAAAUAAAAAUUAAUUUAUUUGGAUUAAAAUAAUAUUUAUUUAUUAUUUAAUAAAUAUAUCUAUUAAUAAAUAUUAAUUUUCGGGUCAGGUUCGGAUUACCUGCGGGUAAUGUGGGUCUAGUUCGGGUUGGGUAUUCUGACCCAUUAAAAUUUCGGGUCGAGUUCGGGUUGGGUAAAAUUUUUGACCCGCGACUGUCAACUCGACCUAAACCCGACCUGAAACCCGAAAUUGCCAACCUUGUGUCUUCAACACAGCCUAGGUUAGCAAGCCCAAUGACUAGCGCCCAAAUAAUUUUUCAUAUUAGUGAUCCAACAUAAUUGUGAACCGAAGUGAGUUGUGAUAUCCACUAAAUGAGCGCAUCUUAAUGGUCCUUCAAUUGUGGGUCUGCCAAGGCCCAUGAGAAUAUCGGGAGUAACAUCUUAUUAGAACAAAAACCUAACCUAAAUUCUUAGUUUGAUACACCAUCUCUUCCUCUUCUUGUUAUCUCCGCUUGAAAGUAAAACUCUACGGUUCGCAUCAUCCUCGCCUUCCUAAUUUAUCAUUCUCACCCGCUUCUAUUAUCAACUUAUCAUCUUUUUAGUGUAAAAAUUAAAUCAACGCCAUCCACAACAAUCAUUGUUAUGAUAUUUUUCGAUAUAUCAUGUGUCUGAUGAUUUGUGUCCAAUUCAUGCAUAAUCGGUAAGCCACUGUCAUAUAUUUACUUCUUAUUUUGAAUUUGUUUUUGUUUGUACAUAUUUGGAUUAAUUAAUUGAAUGUUGGAUUUAAUUGAUUUUUGAUCGUGUUCUGAUCUUUGAGUUCUGAUCUAAGAUAUAAAGUUUUCGAUAAAGUAUAAAUUGAUCAUGAUGAUUGUAAUUACAUGAAAGCAUCAGUGUGACACACUUCACACUUUAAUCAUCUUUAAUCUUUCAAUAUAAUUCUUUUCUUAGAAUCAUAUAUUGUAUAUAUCUUUGUAUUUUUUAAUUAGUUCAUAAAAUUUUAUAUUGCAAAAAUAAUGUGAUGUUCAUCUUAUUUCAGUAUUUGUGGGAAGAAUUAUCCGAAAUAAUGAAGAAAAUGCUCCGGUAUGACAUGAAAGCCGCGUCCUUGUCCUUGAGACAUGUACUACGUAGGUAAUAUCUUUUAUGGUAGCUAAUGUUUUGUACUGGUUAUUCUUGUCGAAUUUAUUACAUUAUCUUGUUACGAAUUUUAUCAUAAAAAUUUAAAUCAAUGAAUUUAUUUUUGCAAUAAUUAUGUUUUUAAUUGGUAAAGAAAUAUAUAUUUUUAUUUAAGAAUUAAUGUUUUUUGAAUUUUUUUUAUUUCACCGUUUCAUCUUUAAACCACGUCUUUUAAUUAAAAUAUAGUAUAAUAUAUUCUUAGUUUAGCCCAUUUGUAGGAAGGGAUGUUCCUAUUGUUAGGAAUUGUUCCACAUCGGUAGUUGAAAGGGGAGAAGGCUAGAAUAUAAGCAGCGAGAACAACUCUAAAUAAAAUGAUGCCUUUUGGGAGGUGCCCAAAAACAAAGCCGUGCAGGCUCGGCCCAAAGUGGACAAUAUCAUAUUAUUGUUGUGUUAGGUGAAAUGACGAAGAGUUAAACAGUGAAAUAAACAUAAAUGAGACUACCAUCUAAUUAGACUUAUGUAUGGUCAAGAGCUAGUUAAAUUUAUAUUAAAAGAAAGAGUGAUUGACACUUUGCACCCCUUACGUUUAGGCGCUUUUUGAAAUUGGUCUCAAACAAUUGUUUUUGGCAGUAUGCACCUUAAAGUUCGAAAAGCGCUUCGCUUUGCACUCCUUUGAACACUCUCUGUUUAAUUGACCAUUAAAAUUAACAGAUGUAGUGUUUACACUUUGCACCCCACAAUUUUAAUUUUUUUCAUGAGUAUUUUGAAAUAUUUUUUUUCAUGAAUCAGAAAAUUGUUUAUCAUACAGUAAUUACCUUUCUGUGCUUAUGAAUCAACUUUCCGAUGCAGAUGCUCAAGAAAAUCCAGGCCUGAUGACUUUGAGAAGCACUGAUUUGUUGCCAUCCAGUUGGAUGGUUGUUGCCUGGUAUGUAAUCUUGUUGCAGAAAGAAAAACAUCAUAGAUGCAGUGUUGACAUGAGUCUAAUAGCUAGUUUGAGAACCCUAAAAUUACUAUAUAUGUUUUCUAUUUUGUCGGAUUUAGAGAUAAUUCAAAUUUUCCCUUCCAAGUCGUCAUUGCUAGAAUGCCAGAAAAAAAUGAUAAUUUUUAAUAUUUUGCGCUCUUUAUUUGUGAAGCAAGCGUUUAACCUGAGUAAGGAGAAUUGUCGUCUGUGGUAACUAUCAUUUAUAAUCGUUGUCACUUCGCCAGAAUUGUUGAAUAUUAUAAUUGUCAGAUUGGAAGAUUUAAACUAGGGCAGAAAUUGUGACGUGUAGCUGGCACAUGAAAUUUUAUUUCUUGCAUUAGGAACAGAAUAGGUAUAACACUUAUUCGCUACAAGAUUAAUUAUUAACAGAUCUUCUUGCUUCUCUUUAGGUACCCUAUAUAUCAAAUCCCUGUUAAACGAGUUGUGAAGGAGUUAGACUUAUCUGCAGCCUUCAUUACAUUCCAUACAUUGUCCUCCUUCCAUCAAGGUAAAAGGAUAUCUGCCACGCAGUUAAUUAGCUAGAUCUCCCUUUUGGUUUGUAUUAUAUGAGUCAGCAACAAACAUUACAUUUCUAAUUUUCUUCAUUGUUAUGCACCCUAAAGUUCAAUGAUGACUCCAGGCUCACAACUUUACGCUGUAUGUAUGUGUGUGUUUUCGCGAGAUAUGCUUAAUAUAAAUCAGUGAUAUGUUAUGUAAAAAUUAGUGAUUUCUGUAGUUAAAAAUAAUUAUAGGAAACUGACCAGAAACUUGUUUUUAAUUUUUGGGCUAAUUUGGUUUGUAUUGGAGUAGGACUUAUAUACUCUAUUCCACACACCCCAUUGUUAUUUCUCACGCAUCUUUUCUUGUUAUCGCACAUCCUUUCAAUCUCUUAUCAAAAUAAAAAUUAAUUCUACAUUCAUCAUUUCAUACAAUCGUCCCUUCAUCUUCUUAUUCUCUCUGUUACAAAUUCCACCUUCCGCAUCAGCCUUUGGUUCAUAAUUUACCUUCCGUGAGCUGAACUAGCCCAUGACUAGGGUGGGUUGCAGCCCAGCCCAAAACAUAUUUUUAUAAAAUUUAUAUAUAUAUAUAUAUAUAUAUAUAUAUAUAUAUGUAUAUAUGUAUGCGGGCCCAAUAUAGUUUCGGUAGCCCAAAAAAUCAAAACCUAAUUCGGUAGUGCAGCUAUGCUUCUCUAGCAAACUAAACCUAAUUCUAGUCUUCAUAGCCCACAUAAUUAUAAUCGCCUCUACUCCGCCGCUGCCGCUUUUUCUCCGAGCCUAGGCGGAUUCCAAAUCCUGGUUCCGCCCCUAGUUCUGUAUCAGCCUCUCUUCUUAAUUUAUCUUUUUUAGUGUAAUCACUACAUCACCAGCAUCCACAACAAUCAUUGUGAUAAUCUUUUCAAUAUAUCAUAUAUCUCACGAUUUGUGUCCGAUCCACGCCUAAUGGGUAAGCCAUUACCAUAUAUUUACCUUUAUUUCGGAUUUAUUUUUAAUUUUACAUAUAUGGAUUAAUUAAUCCAAUGAUGGAUUUUAUUCUUGAGUUUCAAUCUAAGAUAUAAAUUUUCCAAUUAAGCUUUAAUUUAUAUUCUUCUUUUUUUAGUGUAACCACUAUAUCACCACCAUCCACAACAAUUAUUUUCUUGAUGUUCUCGAUAUAUCAUAAAUCUGACGAUUGGCGCCCGAUUAAUUCAUGCCUAAUCUGUAAGUCAUUGUCAUAUAUUUACUUCUGAUUUUGGAUUUAUUUUUAUUUGUACAUAUACUGGUUUAAUUGAAUGUUGAGUUAUGAUUUUUGAGUUCUGAUCUAGGAUAUGAAGUUUCCAAUAAAGUCUCAAUUAUCAUCAUUUUAGUAUAAACACUACUCCUUCCGUCCCAUGUGAUUGUUUGUGUUCACCGUUUGCACGCAUUUUGAGGUUCCUAUAACGUCUCAUUCCAUAACCUUUUUUUUUUGAAUAAAAGUUUAAAUGACAAAAUUUUAUUCAAGGAAUUUUUUAAAAAAUUAUUAUGAAACAAUACUUUAUAGGAGUUUCAAAAUGCGUGCCAAAAAGUAACAUAAACAACGUGCUAGGACAGAGAGCGAGUAUAACGAAUAGAGCUGCUUGUAAAAUGUCCUACACAACUGAUUUCAAAUUUCUAUUUACAGUAUAGCUUGUUUUCAAUAUAUAGGAUAUGAUUAUUUUUUCAUGAAAACUAUUAAAAGCACUUUAUAUUAUUAGAUUUUGUAUUGAAUACUUAUAGUCACACUUGUAGACAGAAAAUAGAGUGAAAGACUUUGAGUGGGAGAUUAAGUAUAGGAUCAAAGAGGUUAAUCGGCGUUUAAAUUAGUUGUAAUCAAAGAGGCUAAAAACUCUAUUUGACUUCCAAAUUGGCUAAAUUCUUACAAUGUAACGAUUUUCCUACCAACAAAAUUACACUGUUAAGAAAAUUAUUCAUUUUCUUUUUUGAAACUCAAACAAUUUAAUUUACGAAACACAUAUAUAAAAUUUCUAUUAUGUUUCAGAAUUCAAAAAAUAAGGAGUUCAUUUAUUAUUAUCAGUCAAAUCCAUAUUAAUAUUAUAAAUAACUAAUAAAUUUAAUAAUUAGGGAAUUUACCAAAACUAUCACUUUUUCUAGGUUUUUUUUGCGAUUUUACUAUCUUUUAAAAAUAUUUCCAAAAAUAUUAAUUUUUUAGAAAAUAUUUGCAAAAAUACGAUAUGCAACUAGAUGCAACCAAAUUUUAGUUUAGUUAAUUGGCCUGGCAGGGAUUGCAAGUAUGGUUGCAUCUGGUUGCAAGUAUAAUUGCAUGUGGUUGAAUACAGUAUCUUUGCAAAUAUUUUUAAAAUUUUGAUAUAUUUGUAAAAUAUUUGAAAAUGAUGUGGUGUUUUAGUAAAAAAUAUUUUGGACUUGGGUAUUUAUGAGAAAACCCCAUUUAACUAUGUGACCACCUCUUACUUGAUAUUUCUUCGGGAGAUGUUAAAAUGUCCAAUUCUAAUCUUUAGAACUUCAAUUAUAGUCUAAACAAAGUUUAGGAGGUAGAGUGUCCACAAAAUCAAAAUUUCACACUAACCUAUAUUAGCUCUUUCACAUAAAAUGAGAGAGUCAAAUUAGCUCAAUUUUUUCAAAAAUUAGAAAAUAUAUUUUUCUACCAUUAAGCACUAAAAUUGAUUUUUAAUAAUUUGUUAUCAACAAAAUACUUCUAUCAUAGGAAUAAAAUCAUAUAAGAGGUUGUAUAGAUAUAAGUAUAUAUUUCAUUCCAGACACCCCAAUGUUAUUUCCCAUGCAUAUCGCACAUCCUUUUCAAUCUCUUAUCAUAAUAAAAAAAAUCAUUCAACAUUCAUCACUUCACACAAUCAUCCCUUCAUCUCCUUAUUCUCUCUAUUUAAAAUUUCACCUUCGGCAUCAGCCUCUGGUUCAUAAUUUAUCUUCGGUACAGGGCCAGAACUAGCGUGUGGCAGCGCGGCCCAAAUUUUUUUUUUUUUAUAAAAUUCUAAAUAUCUUUGCUGAGUUUCAGCCGAAGUAGCCCAAAAAUCCAAACCCUAUUUUAUGCUUCUCUAUAUAAACACCUCGGUUAUCUCUAUUCUUCACUGCACAGUUAAAACCGCCACUACUCCCCUGCUGCCGCUCUGUCUCCAAAUCCAGGUGGAUUCUAAAUCCUGAUUCCGCCCCUGCUUCUCUCUUCUUAAUUUAUCAUUUUUAGUGUAAUCACUACAUCACCAUCAUCCACAACAAUCAUUGUAGUGAUCUUUUCAAUAUAUCCUAGCUAGCUAUAUCUGACAAUUUGUGCCCGAUCCACGCCUGGGUAAGCCAUUGCCAUAUAUUUAAUUUUUAUUUUGGAUUUAUUUUCAGUUUUACAUAUUCGGAUUAAAUCCAAUGAUGGGUUUUAUUUUUAAAUUUCAAUCUAAGAUAUAAAAUUUCCAAUUAAGCCUAAAUUUAUCUUCUUCUUUUUUAAUGUAAACACUAUAUCAACACCGUCCACAAUAAUCAUUUUUAUGAUGUUCUCGAUAUAUCAUAAAUCUGACGAUUUGUGCCUCAUUAAUUCAUGCCUAGUCUUCAAGUCAUUGUCAUAUAUUUACUUCUUAUAUAUGGAUUUAGUUUCAUUUGUACAUAUAUUGGUUUAAUUGAAUGUUGGGUUAUGAUUUUUGAGUUUAAGAUAUGAAGUUUCCAUUAAAGUCUUAAUUAUCAUCUUUUGAGUAUAAACACCAAUUCCACUGGCUCAUGUGAUUGUUUACAUUCAUUGUUUGUAAGCGUUAACAACCCUCUGUUUGUCUAGCCGUAGAUUACCCGCAACAGUUUGGGACUUCCCAGCUUUAAAAUGUAUAGAAGUACGUGGCGGAGAAUUACAUAUUCUCUGCGCCUGUUAAUAUACAGAAUCAAAGCAUAUGUAAGUUACCUAGAAUAUAAGAAUGCUGUACUAGAACUGUAUAUAUGUCAUUGCCAAGUAAAAUGAUUAUGAGAUUGUUGGAUAUAAUAUAUGUUUUCAGAAAUUCUUCUAAAAUCCAAAAUUUAAAAGUAUUUUACUGAAGUCCUAACCACCCUACAUCAACUCUAUGAUUCUUAAACUUAAUUUAGCUAGAGUGUAUAAAAACACAAAAUCACUUGCAAUCUGCUAAAAUUCAUAAAUUGUUAUUAAUUUUUUAAUAUCUGAAUUAAGCACCCCUCUUAUUGUCUAAUUUUGACUUCUUUUUUUUUUUUUGUCAGGUGUCUAAUUUUGACUUUAUUCCUUCUGAAUGUGUUCAAUUUGUAUUUUCAGAAUGCUAUUAACAUUUAUCUUAUGUCCCUGCAUGUAUAUCAAUGUCAAAGUAAAAGGAAGGAAUAUAAAUGAAGGAACAAAUUGAGAAAAUCAAAUUACAAGAUGAGACUCUGAGUUGUCUACUUUAUUAAGGCAGUAAUGAUAAAAUUUAGUAAAAAAACUGACACAAUACCCUAAAAGAAAUACGCUAUAGGUUCUCCUACCAAGAUAUAAGUUCGAUCCUGGCUCAACUGAGAACUAUUAUUAGAAGAAGUACAAAUUGAAAUCAGUAUAAUUAGCCAGAAAGAUUAAGACCUUCCAAGAACUCUUCAUCACAUUCCAAAGCCGUCAUGAAAUGCGGAGGCAAGCAAAUAUCAAGAUCCAUGCUUCCUCCUCCUUCAGUCCCCGGAUACAAUGAAACUUUUCCAUCAAACUUAUCAGCACAUCCGCUCCGAAUUGCCACAGCUUUUCCAAGUCCGAAUUCAUUUCCAAACAUGUCAAACCGCGGUGAGCCUCCAAUCAUAAUGCUACACCGAUCAAAAAAUUGCCCGGGUUGGUAUACCGAAGGACUCUGCAGCCAAUCUGCUAUGAAGUUCUUUAAUGCCUUAUCAUCUUGUUCAGCCACAGUUUUGUGCACUAGCAAAGCAGCCCACUCGAAAUCAUUUAUCAGCAGGUUUCCUGCUGUAGUCGUAGCUCUCACCACCUGAAUACAGUUUCCAAAGUAAUUCUGUGACAAUGGAGGAUGUAAUCUUGCUCUGUUAUUCAUAGCCAGUUUGCAACCUGUGAUCUGAUCAUGUGGUAAGCCUCGAACACGAGUCAUACAUCUCCACAUUAAAGCAGACAAGGCCUGUAAACUUGAUAUCGUAGUGCUUUUGUUUAUGCAUUUAGCGUUUGCCUUUGCUUUGAGCCUUGCCAAGGCUGCGGCUUGAAAUUGAAAAAUCCUUUGUUUAAGCUCUGGAGCAUCGUGCCUGCUUAAGAAUUGAUCGGUAUGAGUGAAAGGGAGGCUAAUAACAGGAUCAUAUCCGUCAGGGACCCAGCGUUCAUGAAUAGGUGGCCGUGUGAUUUCUAAACCCUGAUCAUCAAUAUCUUUCAUAAAAACUUCUGAUAAAGUGUUGAAAAAAUGCCAGUAAGAGGUGCCAUCAAUGACAGAGUGGUUAAGCGAGCAUCCAAUGAAAACGCCAUCUUUUAGCUCGGUGACUUGAACAGUUAACAACGACACCUUGUGACCAUCGUGAUUAAUUGCCCUGUUAUGAUAAAAAAAAGAUUCAACGACUGAAGGCACAUAAGUUGGUGACAGAAUAUCAGAAAUCAUCAAGUCCACUUUCGCGUGGACAAAUCUAGCACCAGGGCUAUUAACACAAUCUAUAAACACCACAUAAGACUGCGGUGAUUCUUCCUUUUUUGUCACAAGGCGACCUGCAAGUGGAUAAAAAUGCACAAGAGUAACAGAGAGGGAUUUUUUAAGCUUCUGCACAAGGACCUCAACUGAAUUUUCUCGAUCAUUUGUUACCAUCGGUUUCUUAAACAAAAGACCCUUUUGGAUGUAAUAAACUGAGAGCAUGGCAAGAUCAAAGGGCCCUAAAUGAAAUGGGUGUUUUGCCUUUUGGGGCAAAUCAGAUGGUCUGAUCAAACAUUCUGAUACGAGCUCAACUGUUUCAGAGUACAUUUUGUUCUAAGAAUGAGAAAGUGGCUUAUGCAGCUUAAGAGACUCCAGCUAUUUAUCUAUCCAUGUAUAUAUUUUACUUAAUGUUAAUACUUCUUCUGCUCCAUUCAUUUUUAAACAUUUUCUUUUUCUGGACCUGAGAUCUAAUGAUAUAUAUCCUCAAAUUGUCUCAUCACUUCACCAACUUUUCUUACAUUCUUUCGCUGAAUUAUAUUUUUUUUAAUCUAUGUGUCCUACCCAUUUGUAGAUGUAUAUUGUCUCAUCACUUCACCAACUAAUAAUGCUCUUCACAGUAGAAAAACUGCAAGAUGUAGAUGCAUGUGUUAGAAAUUCAAACUCUCCGAUAAUAUAAUACAGCUACGGCGACUGUGUUCAGGGAUAUAAAUGGAAGCAGCUCCGUGUGUGUAACGCAGCAGCAGUAUAAUACAAGACUUAUCAGUUUGCAUACAAGCCUCAAGCCUGUAAAUAGUAGAGUUCCUGUAUAAGAUGAACCCAUAUAUAAUUAGCAAAAGAAAGUAAAAAUGAACUUAUAAUUGCUUGGAACCAGUGUUAGAAAAAAGGAGAAUCAGAAUUAAUCGAUGAAGUUACGGAACAAGCAUUAAUUGAAGAUUAAUUAGAUUGAUCAAAGUCUAAUCGGAUGAUUAAUUGAAUAAUCAAAUAUUUAAUCAAUUCAGUAAGUUACCAAACAGGGAUUAAUGAGUGAAUUUUUUUAACUUUUUUUGUGUCAAGGGAUUAAUAGGUCUUAGAACAGAGCUUCGAACAAAUAAACUUGCAAACUGGCACGUGAAUAUUAGGGGGGCUGCAAGAGUUAUUCAACCUUGUCUUUAUAUUCCAUAAAGGCGAGCUGGUCAAUUGUUUGUUCAUAAUAAUAAAUACGAUCUUCUACCUCUUAUUUUCUUAUAAUUUUUUCACUAACACAAAUUUUAGGAUAUAUAUCAAAUAUAGCUGUAUAAUUUAUUUCAAAAAAAUUCUUGUAAUAAAAAUAUUUAAAUAUUAAAUUUUAUUCAAAAAAUAAAUAUUUAAAUAAUUUAUAAAUUAUAUCUUAUAAAAAUUUGAAAUAUUAUUCCUCAAAUAAACUACUCCUAAAAAGACACAGGGGGAUUGAGUAUAAGACGUAUGGGAUCGGCCAAUUCAAUAUGCAAUUACAGAUCUUUGAUUAUUUUUUUUUGACAAAACAGAUUUUUGAUUUUUUAAUGUUCAAAUAUGUUGUGUACUUCCGUUAAAAGGGUCUUGUUUCGGGACAACCGUAUGUGAGAGAGGGCUUAUCUAACACACUCGGAGCUGUUGGAUCUAUAUUUUAAGGGCUCAGAUUCAAUCUAAGUUUUUAAUGAAUCCGCUCUUUAUAUCCGCGGACCAUAAAAGUCGUAUUCCGCGAAUAAUAUUCGUGGAAAGGCGAACUCUCGUUUCGUGGAUAUUUAUAGCGGAUCUAUUAAAAAAUGAGACCCGUAUGUCAUCCGAACACACAGUUGUCAGGGAAAAGCACUCCGUCAAAACUAAAAAUAUGUCGUACAGAUUUGGAGUUGGUGGGUCUGCGCAAAAUAAUACUAGUAGAGGAAAGUUGGUGACAUAUUCUUAAAAUACUGUAUUUGGCAAAGAUUUAUUUUACAAAAUAAGAUUUACGUAAAAUAUAUUUUCUUUUAAUUCUUGUGAAUUUAAAUAUUGAAAAUUAAGUUAUUUUAUAUUUAUUAUCCAACAAUAAUAUAAGAGCUUAUUUCGGGAAAAAAAAUAAAAUUUUAUAUAUUUUUUUCAAAAAUAAAUUCUUAUUUCUUUUUUUUUUUUUGAAACGAAUAAACUCUUAUUUCUGAUUUAAAAUUACUCAAACAUCUCAUUACUAUUAAAUCGAAGGCGAUUGUAAGGACAAGUAUAACACAUAAUUAUUUAUAACAUAUACUCAUUCCGUCUCACUAGGUUGUAUACAUCGAGGAAAGGAGAGCCCGCACAUAUUUUAACGCUACGUUAAAUUGUAGUUGAAUAAAUAAUUUUUACCUUUUUAUUUAAAUAAAAUUUAAUGUUUAAAUUUUAUUAAAAAGAAAAAAUCAUAAAUAAAUUAUGAAAAUGUCAUUAUAUUUAUUUUAAAAUACGUGUCAAAUAUGGAAAGAGAAUUUUUAUACAUGUGAAUGGGAAGGAGAGGACCGGUGAAUAUAGAAAUGAACACCGCUGUCCUCAAAUUCAAGUGUCUUAGUUAGAACUAGUUGACAAGCCGCGCCUUACGGCGGCCUAUAAAAAUUAUAUUAAUGAUUCAAUAUUAAUAUUUGUAGAAUAAAAUAAUUUUGUGGCUGUCUAUAAAAUGUAUAUUAAUGUUUUAAAAUUAAUAUUUGUAGGAUAAAAUAAAUUUUAUAUUACAAAAAUCUUGAUGUAAUACCAAUACUAAUAUAUAAAAUAGCAAAAUUGGAAUAUAAUUCAUGGUGUAUAUACGUAUUAACAAUUUAAAGCACGACGAAUCUUAAUUUUAUUUGUGUUUUUUAAAAAAGUAAUCAUGUCAUACAUUGUCACCUUCCUCCAAUUUUUUAGAUUGAUUGUGCAUAAAAACAUCUAACUUAAAUCCGUGAGAUAGCGGUCUAUAAUUACCCAACAACCUUUAUUUUUUAAUAUUGUAUAAACAGCCUUCACUUAAAAGUUGAACGUAGCAAACAGAUUAUGCAUGAAUAAUUUUUUCUUGUAUACAAAGUAAAUCAUAUAAAAAUUAACAACAACAAACAUGUCUGAUGAACAAAACAAAUAUUAUAAAAGAAUAACCAACAAAUAUACAUCACUAAUAGUUAAUUAAUUUAUUGAUAUCAUCCAUCAAUAUCAUAUCAUGUCAAGACUAUAUUUUUUUCCCGUGCUUGGAUUUGUCGACUCCCACAUAGCGAUCUAUAUGUACCUUUGCUUGCAACAACCUUUUUUAAUACUUUAUAAACAACAUUCACUUAUCGUUGCAGAAGAACGGCACCACUGAGUUGGAAAUCGAGCAAGAGAACUAUCAUCAGAGAAAAGUAGGAUUGUGGUAGUAAAAGAGAGGUGGUUGUGUUUAGAUGAUCCAAAACCCUACAAUUUACAGGGGUAUUCAUAGGUGCAGAGAGACUUGUAUGCUACCUUUUUUAAUACUGUAUAAACAGCCUUCACUUAUCGUUAUUUAUAGGUGCAGAGAGACUUGUAUGCUACCUUUUUUAAUACUGUAUAAACAGCCUUCACUUAUCGUUAUUUAUAGACGGCACCUUCGAGUAAGAAAUCGAGCAAGAGAACUAUCACCAGAAAGAGGUAGGGUUGUGGUAUUGAGAGAGAGGAGGUUGUGUUUACAUGAUACCAAAAUCCUACAAUCUAUAGGGGUAUUUUAUAGGUGCAGAGAGACUUGUGUGCUACUCUUCCCCAUAAUUAAAUAAUCUGAAACAAAAUCAAAUUAAAACUUUCAAGCUACUAUAUUUCAUAAAUUAUCUGAAACAAAAUCAGAUUCUGAAACUUGCUUCUAAUAUACCUGAAACUAAAAAAGGUACUUCUAAUUUUUGAUAUUUUUCAUCAAAAAGUUCCGCAAAAUUAGAAAAAUAGAACGGAGCAAUGUGAGAGACGCCACCUACACGCCCCUCGCUUCUCCUUUAUAUAAGUAUAUUGAUUAACUAAUUAACUAUUAUAAACUUUAGCUUAUAUUUAUAUUACAUAUUUUAUAUAUUUAAAUUCAAAACUUUUGAAACACUUAAAUUUAAGGGGUUAAAACAACAUUCAAAUAUAUAAACCUUGACACCUCUGAUCAUUUACAUAAAAUAAUUUAUCUUAUUUAUAAAAAAAUCAUAAUUAAUAACAAAUUACUUAUACGAAAAAAAUAUGUUAUUUUAAUAUACUUAGUUUUUGUCUAAAAUAAUUAUUUAUUUUCAAUUUUUGUUAUAAAUAUAAAAUUUUAUUUGAUGUAUUUUUCUGGCAACACUGAGUUAUAAGGAUGUAAUUGAGCGGAGUCAAGUCAAACACUAAUAGGCUCAACUCGAGCUUGAAUAAAAGGUUCGGAAUUCGAGCUUGACCUCGAGUUUGACCGAGUCUUUAAUUUCAAAACUCGACUCGUAAACAGUUCGAUAGGCUCGAGCUCAGCUGUAUGUGUUUGAGUCUUGCGGAGGUGCCCCACCCAACUUGUAGCUUAAAAUUAAAAAUAAUAAUUAAAACCGACCUACACAAAAUAUCUGAUAGAAAAAUCGACUGACACUUAAAGGUCGGCUUACAAAUAAUGACAUCAUUUUGCUGAGUUGACAAGAUUUUGAAAAAAUUAAACCGAUCAAAGCCACUUGGUCGGUUUUAAUGUUGCACACGAAGACGUUUCAUGUUAAGUGACAUAAAUGACCACCUGAUUUAGUAUUGGUCGAUUUUGUCAUGACUACAAAAAUCCAGCUUUGAUUUUCAUUUUGUUGAAAAAGUGAACAAAACACAGAUUCCAAAAGGGAAUAAAAAGAAGAAAAGGGAGAAGACGAGGAGGGGGGAGGGGCGGGAAGGACAGAGAAUCAAAUAUCAAAACAAAGAAGCUAUUUUUCUUAAUUCAUGUUUAUAUGCAUGUCACUUAUUUCAAUUUUUUUAGAUAACUUGUGUUAUAUGUGAUAUUCAUGCAUAUGUAUAUAUAGAUUCAUGUAGAUGGCCUGAUCAAAGUUGGAUAUGUAUAAACUACAAAAAGGUAAAUUACUGCCAAAGCUAUGUGACUGCCAAAGCUCAUUAGCGGCCACUCUAACCAUUACUUAGCCCAGCAAAUCAACCGUAUUAAAAGACAGUGGUCGGUUUUACAAAUCAAAGAUCAAGCAAGAAUAAACUCGACCACUUAUCAGUCAGUUUUAGUGCUUAUCACAACGAACUGGAAUAAACUCGACAAAUGGUUUAUAACCGACCCCUGUCAGUCGGUUUUAUUGAUAAACCCGACCACAAUGUCAUAACCGACCACUUUCUAGUCGGGUUUAAUGCUUGCCAAAACCAACUGAAAUAAACAUAAUAUUAGUCUGUUUUAUUCUUUGUGUAAACUUUGACCGGUCAAUCCUGCGCAACUUAUAACAUACCACAACACGGUCAAUUAUAUUGACCCAUGUGGAACUCUAUUUUCAUGUGGUAAAGUUGGACCCACAAGUUGGGAGUUUUUGUUUCAAAUUAAACCGAGCAUAACGUUAGUUGGUUUUGUUAGUUAAACACACCAAGUUGGCUAAACCGACCACCUUAGUUGGUCGGUUUAGCCAGUAAAACCGACCGUUUUUAUAUAAAGUAUAUCACUAUUGAAAAUUUCUAGUUAUUUACUCGAACUUGCGUAUCUUAGUAGCCAUUGGUCUAGUCUAAGAAUUAACCCGAAAAUACCUAAUCUUGAAAAUACCUUGUGAUUGUUCCUUUAAAUUACAUAACAUAAAGAAAAUCAAGUCAUAUUAGUUUUAAUAAAGUUAGAAAAUUAAUAAGAAAGAGAAACGGUAGUAACAUCCCAUGGCAAGGUAUUGAAGAUACUUGAUCAAAACUCUUGCUUUAAUAAUGUCUUGCUAGGAAAAUAACACUGAGAAAGAGGUAAUGUCCUCCUUUCUAAUGGCGUAAAGGCCUCAGAUUUGAUGGAGCUAGUGAAUCAACAAAAAGUUUGAAUUUUCUCACAAUUUUAUCAAUUAAUAUAAAAUUUCAUGAAUAAUAUUUUAUAAAAAAUAAAAAGUCAUAUCUAUUUAUAAAGGACAGUUGGAUACUAUUUUAAACUACAACUUCAAAUAUGUAUGACAAUUUACUAAUACCGACUCGACUUGCCUUUAAAUAGAUUUCUCAUUCACAAUUAAAUCUAUAAAUAAUAUUAACAUUAUGAAAUAAGCAAUUAUUCUAAUGAAAAUAUAAUUUGUAAUAAUAUAUGUAUGUAGGCAAUUGCUCAAAUAGAAACCACUAAAAUAAAAACUAAAAUGGAAACCAAGAGAAAUUAUAUCUAAAGGACCUCACUCACCUCCUAUAUGUCAUCACCCACCACCUAUAUGUCAUCACCCACCUAGGGCCCACCCUCACCCCCACUCAAUCCAUCCGGGCCCGCUAGGGCCUCGCCAAGGCUCCUCACAUGCCCUGGACAGGCUCUAGACAGUCUUAAAGAGUCAAACCUUGACCCCACCAUGGUCCCACUAGGCCCCGACCCGGCCCUAUUAGGCCCCACUUAGACGUCGUCUAGGCCCAUCUCGGGGUUCAUCCCCGGUCUCAAAACCCGCAUCAUUCUACUUAAUCGCAUUGGUUUCCAUUUAGUUUCUAUUCUAGUAGUUUCUACUGGAGUAGGACCCUAUGUAUAUAUAUACACACAUAUGUAUACAUGAUUCUAACUCGUGUAUAUAUAUAUAGACACAAACACACACGCGCAAAUGCAGUGUCGGAUCUAGGAUUUUAACAAGAAGGGGGUUUCAUUAAUAUUAAAAGCAAAUGAGUGAAGUUGAAUCUUGCGGAAGGGAGGACGCAACGAAGUAUUGACUACCGAAGUCGAGCAAGAGCAGCAAAGCAUUAUUUGUUUUCUUUUAAUUCAUUCACUUCACCCGUGAUAGCGAGAGAACGUUAGGUAUAAUAUAGUAGAUUACUUAGUCAAUGGACUGGGUUUGCAAUAAAAAUGGGCGGGUUCAAAAUAAUUGGGAUGGGCUCGUUUAUAAAAUACACCAAUUUUAGAAAGAAAAUUGAAAUUACUCUAUGGACUCAGGGGUGGGCUCUCAAGCCCCUUGAGCCCCAUAUGUAUCCGCCACUACGCAAAUGUAUACAUAAAUUCAAUGCUAGCGCUAUUAUUAUUUCAUUAACAUCUUCUCUUUUCCUUUUCACAACCUUUUAAAUAUCUUUAUGAAGAAACUCUUGUAACAAUCGCCUUUCGCAAACCUCUAUGCAUUUGUUGUCGACCGAUUUAUAGCUAAUUUGUGAAUCGGCGCCUAAUAUAGCUUAAUUUUUCUUAUUACAUUUACGAAACCUCCGAUCCUCCUCACUUUUGUCUAGUUUUAUGCAAUCUAUUUCCGAUCUAGUUGUUAUACUAAUUACAAAGCAUCUGAGCGGUGUGACUUUUUUCAGAUGCAAUCGGUGAGCUCAUUAAAUUAGAAUUCAUUUAUAUUUUUUUAUCAGUUUUGUUUGGAUAGAUGCAUAGAUUUAUAUUUGGGGUUGAUGCUUUUGAGUUUCGAUGUAGAUCUGACGUUUGUAAAAUUGAUCUCUUAAAUUUUAGAUCGUAAAAUUAAUUAUUAUGUUCUUUAUUUUUUCCAGCUCUUGCAUAUAUGGAAUAGUUAUCAUAAACAAUGAAGAAAAUGCUUCAAGAACAUUUCAUUCUCAUCACCUUCUUUAGAUGUGGGAAUCGAGGUAAUUUUUUAUUAUAUUGGCUUAACUACUUUUUUAUAUAUGUAUUACAAAUUAUUAAUACCAAAUUUGUUGAACUGAUUUUUUUUCAUAUUUUGUCAUAAGGAUUUAAAUUAAUAAAUUUGUUUAGACAAAUUAUAAUGCUUUUAAAAAUGACAAAGAAAUGUAUAUUUAGUAUACUAUCAUCUUUGGAGUGUUGCUAGUGAAGAGAACUUAGACUUUUAUUAACAUGUGUUUGCUUUGUAUUAUAUAAGAAUAGAUAAUCAAUUUAGUAAUCUUUUCAUAAUUUUUACUUAUAUUAUUAAUAUUAAAUAUAAGUUUUAUUAUUUCGAAAAAUAAGUGAUCACCACGACACACCAAGUACGUUAUCACACACAUCUUGUUGGAGUAGGUACAAGAAAUUUUUAAUUACUCCACAAACACAUAUGAGAUAUGUUAAAUAAAAAUUGGUUGAUUUAGCUUGUUCCAUGAAAGUGCAAAUGAGAAUUGGAAAAAGCGGCCUCCGAACUGUAUGUAUUCUUCUUUCUGUGAAUCUUUUAGUUUACGGGUUAUUAAGUUUAAAAUAUUGAUCACGAUUUUGGAUCCUUACAAGCAAAGAAGUUGACUGAUCUUCAUCUAACACAUGUCAUUGCCAAUCGCCAACAGGCCUGUAAUUGUUAAAAGGGGAAAAGAUAUCGUUGAGGUUAAGCCACAGGUACGUGUCUCUCAUCUCCCACUUUCCUCUACAUUGUAUAAUAAUUUACUUAACUAGCAACACCUGUAAUAUGUCGGAUGUAAGCAAAGGCUUGGUCACAGAAAAGGUAAUCUCGACAAUGGUUGGUAAUGGCAAGGCCCCUGGUUCAUCCUCUGCAUUGGAGAUGAUUGGUUAGAUGAAGACAUGUAGAGUGUAUUUGGAAGAUUGUUUCAUCUGCAGUGGUCCUUGCUGUUCCGGAAAUCUUUUUCUGCACUGUAGAGAAAAAGCCUAGCAAAGCCAAGUACUAUGUCGACGAAACUUCUGAAGUUCCGAAGCUGCUCUAUAUUUGUCAUGUUCUGAUUUUCACUUCCAGCAAUCAAAACAUUAUUUGUAUUUUCAUAAUUGUCACCAGGGUCCGUAUCAUUGAGCCAACUGGAAAAAACUUCCAAUUCAAAGUCAGUGUAAUCAAUUGGAGGUUGAUGCUCACAAGGAAACUUAGAAAAGGGUAUUUUGAUCUUCUGAUGUAUGGUUAGGGGACAAAGAAGAUUGAUAAUGAUUUUUUGGAGAAUCAACUCCGUCAGGAAACACUUCACCUCCAUCACCUUGUUUUUCCAUUGGUAAGAUAUGAAUCAAAGUGAUAAAUGAGAAAACUUGUUAAUCUGUGUAUAUGGGGGUUUGUGUGUAUUUGAAAUCAAGAAUUUGAACAAAAGGAGAUUAUGUAGACCUUUUUGUUAAUCUAAUCACAGUAUUGUAAGAGGGUGAAUAUGGUGUAUGAGAUGGGAGCUCCUCCGAUGCAACUACUUGUAAAGUGGAGCCUAAGUUACUAGCUAUUGAUUUUUUUUCAUCUAACGAUCCAUAUCUUAAGAUGUUAUCUUUUCUCGUGUAGUGCUCCUUAUCUUAUAUUACCUUACGUCAGUGUAAUACUUCUUAUGAAUAAAGGUCUACACUGACGUAAGGUAAUAUAAGACAAGGAGCAUUACACGAGAAAAGAUAACAUCUUAAGAUAUGGAUCGUUAGAUUAAAAAAAAUCAAUGGCUAGUAAUUUAGGCUCCACUUUACAAGUAGCGUUGAAUCGGAGGAGCUAGCUACCCAUCUCAUACACCAUCUUCACCCUCUUACAAUACUGUGAUUAGAUUAACAAAAAGGUCUACAUAAUCUCCUUUUGUUCAAAUUCUUGAUUUCAUAUACACACAAACCCCCAUAUAUAUACACACAUUAACAAGUUUUCUCUGUUAUCACUUUGAUUCAUAUCUUACCAAUGGAAAAACAAGGUGAUGGAGGUAAAGUCCUUCCUGACGGAGGUGAUUCUCCAAAAAAUCAUUAUCGAUCUUCUUUGUCCCCUAACCAUACAUCAGAAGAUCAGAUCUGGGAAAUACCCUUUUCUGAGUUUCCUUCUGAGCAUCAACCUCCAAUUGAUUACACUGACUUUGAAUUGGAAGAUUUUUCCAGUUAAUUGGCUCAAUGAUACGGGUCCUGGUGACAAUUAUGAAAAUACAAAUAAUGUUUUGAUUGCUGGAAGUGAAAAUCAGAACAUGACAAAUAUGGAGCAGCUUCGGAACUUCAGAAGUUUCGUCGACAUAGUACUUGGCUUUGCUAGGCUUUUGCUCUACAGUGCAAAAAGAUCCUUGGAGAAGAAUCGCGACUGUUGAGAGAUCCUUUGCACAAUGAACUAUGGUAAGAAUUUAACCAACGCACGCUUCUCUUCAAAGAAUUGUAAUAUAGAUAAAAUGUUACGAGAAAUAAAAUGAACAUGCAUGCAGAACAUUAGUAAAUUUAAAGGAGGGUAAAGAGGUAUGGAGGAGGAAUAUAAUGAACCAAUAUGAGAUAUCGGAAGAGAGCNUGUCGGAAGAGAGCACCCGUCGUCAAUGCUGCGCAGGUAUAUAUGAUCAACAAACUUGAGUAUCAUGGUCAAAAGGGAACUGAAUGGAUCUGGGUUUUGCAGGAGAGAUAGUUCAGGGGUAAUAGUUUAAUGCAAUUGCUGCCCACCAUGUUAGAAUAGCUGAGGUAAGUAGGUGAAAAAAGAUUGAACUAACAAGAUAGCAAUUUCUCCUAACAAGUUAUAAGUGCAGGAUGUGAACAAGCUAAUUAUCUUAGUUAUUACUUGUAAGGAGGCCCGUUCGAAGCCACGAAUUGUGGAAACCAAAAUCUAUUGUAUCACAUAAUAUAUUACUUUUCGAUGCUCUAACUAAUAAAUUAAAUCUCAUAAAUUGUGUAAAAAAACACUUUUGACCUGUUUCUAUUUCAACAGCUUAGUUAUUGAUUUUAGCAAAUGUUUUUUCUUUUGAACACUUUUAAUGACAAUUAUUUUCAUGAAAGCGUUUUUCGGUUCGGGAGAGCAUUUUUGUGGCCAAGGAGGGCACUUUUCCGGGCAACACUGGUCCGGAGGGCACUUUUCCGGGCAGCACUGAUCAGGAGGGCACUUUUGCGGACUACACUUUUCAGGAGAGCACCUUUCAGGGGAGCACUUUUCUGGACAACACAUUUCUCGGCAGGAAUUAUCAACCAGACAACCACACUACCAAAAGGAGCCAUAAGCUUUGGCGUAGGGAGGCAACAUUCUGGGAACUUGACUGCUAAUUUUUCCCGAAACAGCUCCACAGUGUUCUGGAUGAAAGUGCUCUGUAGACUGGAGAAAUGAUAAACGAAACACAUUAUUAUUAUAGAAACUCUGUAUAUUCAAGUAACACCAAGUAUUAGAGAAAUCAGUACUUCGGUGAAUAAGCUAUAAGAAAUGUACAGCAUUGUUUAGAAAUUAAAAUAUUAGGAAGAAGAUAUUGAAAAAAUAUUACCCCUCCACAUGAUCUCCAAGAAUUUUACCAACUUCAACCAGAGCUUCUCUCCACUUCUCCACCUUGUCGUUGUGUCUUGCCCUAUGCUUUUUAAGCGCAAGGCCGUAAUUCCCAAGCUGGUAUUUAAUAUCUCUGAUUUCAACCUCAUACAAAAUCGGUAUGAUAAAAUACUUGGAGUUCUUUCUGUGUUCUAAAAUGAGGACGAGUUCAUCCAGACACCACGUAGAAUAAGCAUAAUUUUGGGAAAAUAUAAUUAUGGCGCUCAUAGAGUUUCUGAUCCCCUCUUUGAUCCUUAAAUCCACUUCAUCUCCGACACAAAUAUCCGUUUUGUCCAUGAAAACUACAAAUCCUUGAGCCCUCAAAGCCUCGUACAAGAAGCAUGUAAACUUGUUGCGAGUUUCCCCUCUGAAGCUCAAGAAGACAUGACAAAAUGAGGUUUCCUUAGCCAUGUCGUCAGCUUCUUCCGAAUCAAUGAUUAGGAUAGAUAGAAGAUUUAACUAGUAUAAUGAUGAUGAGGCAAGUUCGUUCUAUAAAGAAAUGAUCUUCUCACAGCAAUAUUAAUUAUAUUGUAAUUUGAACAACAAUUAGUCUGAUGAAGCUUCCACAAAGUUACCUAACUGUGGUAACCAACCGCGUUAGUAUAUUGUGAGACUGCGAGAUACAUAAAUGCACGCGGGUGGGCUUUGGCCGAUUCAAGUGUACUAGUUAAAUGGAGCCAGGAGUCAACUAACGUCCAGUCCCCUCAAACAGUUUUGUAACAAAGGAAUACUGUAAUAUGCUAAAAUCAACUAUAUUUAUUCGAUGGUGUACAAUUGCAAGCACAUGAAUAAAAAAUUUGUAAACUAAUAGGAUCUCAAACAGGAAAUCUAAAUAUUUUUUUCAUUGUAUUACUUAUUAUAUGUACUCAAACUUUACUAUAUAGUUUACACUCCUUUUAGUUAAAAGUCUUUAUAAUGAUUAUAUUAUUUUUAUGUUAUUAAUAUUAAACAUAUUUGAUGUGGUAAGAUUCUUUUGCUUAGUUUUUUAUUCAUUUACUCAUAAUUGACGCAAAACAGGUUCUCUCACACAACAGUUUUUCAGCUCUAACCUAAAAUUUUUUAUUGACCUAUUGAGCAGUCAUUUGAUUGGAUUGAAUAUCAGACAACGUUCUUUUAACUUUUGUUAGAACAAGAUAGCACAACAAUUUGGACACUCUUACUAAAAUAAGUAGAGACAAGAGUUUUUUUUUUUAAAAAAAUCUUUGUUGCAAAUAUGGUAAAGCAAUGGUUUUUAAGUGACAGAUAAUAAGGAAUUCAUGUCAAGUAAGGUAUUCAAACUUUUUUAGAUAUUUUUUUUAAAUAACAGUAACUCUAUAUGAUUGUGGUCUGAAAGCAUAACAGCAAUAAUUUUAUAAAAAAAGCUCUAUUGUAACUUGUUGUACACAACGAUUUUAGCAAGUACCCUUGUCAGGACGGUAUUCAAGAAACGAUUUUUGUUUAAAACUAACCAUUCUGUAUGAGCUAUAAAUCAUUGCUAUUGUAUUAUUGUGUUGUUCAGUGUUAUCUUGCAGCUGUUUAGACAAUUCUUUGUAUUAUGGUCACAUAGUUGUAUAGGUUUUGAUACGAUAAUUUAUAAUAUUUACUAGUUAUUGGAAUAUCAUUGUCGCAAUAUCAACUCUUACUUUAAACCAACAUCUUUUCACAAGGAAAAUUACAAUAACAAAGAAAGAAUGUCCUUGUUUCUUAUGUCACGAGGAAACUUACGUUUGAUGGAGGUAGUGGUCCAACAAAUUUUUUAAAUUUUUUAACAAAUUUAAUAAUUAAUAUAAAAUUUCAUGAAAAAUAUUCAUAAACAUUAGAAGGUCAUUUCUAUAGAGUGCAACAAUAAACUAUAUUGAAUUGAUUCUCUCAGUACUGACAUGCAUACAUAUAAAUUGUCAAGUUAUUAUAUAUAACAUGUAAGUAAUACUACUCUUCGUCAUUAUAUUUACGGUCAUUUAUAUACAAAAUUUAACACUCAUAUAUACAAAUCAAAAAAAUGUUUGUUGUGUGUGUAUGUGUGUGUGUGUGUAUAUAACAUUGAGAUUGAGGGGUGACAAUGACAUUGAGUUCAUAAAUGUUUGUUGUUGUAUAUAUCGACGCAUAUAUUUUUUGUAUACAAAUUAUAUCACUCUUAAAAAGAGCAUAGACUUUUCAUUUCCACUUACAUAUCCUUGUAGCCAUUGUAUUAGUCUAUGAAUGAAUUUAAAAGUACCAAUUUUGCCAAAAAUAACUAGAUGGGCUAGGGUUUCUUGUCGAUGGAUCAACAACAGCUGUAGAAGCCCGUUAAGGAAUGCUUGGAUGUUAAGGCCCAUCCUUACCCCUUAUGAAAACAACCCAUCAGAAUACUGGAUAAGUGAUCCAAAAUCAAGUGUAUGAGAAGUUUCCACAAGCUCACCAAACGAGGACUACUCAGACUACGGAGCAAGACUUCUGUGGUAUUCGUCAAUCCAAUGAGGAUGGCCCACUAGAAUGCAAAGUAGUGUCUUUAACUUUGUAUACGAAUCCGGCCCAUGUUAAUGACCCAUAGUGAAUUUUGGGUAUAACAAUUGUUAUUAGACUUUUCAUAACAUAAUCUCUUUCUUGCCUUUUCCUCAUCAUCGGAAACCCUAUUUUCCCGAUCAACCUCUUCUUCUAAAUUCUUUCUAAAAACAUUCAUUUCAUCUUCAAAUUCCAUUCCAUUACCAUGUUUUGAUUAUAAAAACUAUAACCCAACCACCACCACUACCUUGUAACAUCAAUAAAGUGUUAAGAUGUUUCCGAUAUAUCUUUAAUUUGCGAAUUGGUGCUUGAUAUAUGUCUAAUUUUUCUCCUUUCGCUUACAAAACCCUCGAGCCUCCUCACUCUUGUCCAAUUUUAUCCGAUUCAUUUCUGAUCUACUUGAUUGUACUUGUUAAACUAAUUACAAAGCAUUUGAGAAAUCCGACUUUUUCUGAUUCGUAUCGGUAAGAAUUAGAAAAUAACUAUUUAUGUUUUUCUUAUCUAUUUCGUUUGGAUAGAUGCAGAGUCACAUGUGGGAUCGAGCCUUUUGCGAUUUAAUUACCUGAUUGUUAUGACUUAGUUUCAAUCUUUUUUUAUACAGGUUAUUUUAUAAAAUUAAAAUUAGAUCUAAUGAUUGUAAAAUUGAUCCUCUAGAUUUUAUAUUGAAAAAUUUACUUAUUAUGUUCUCUUUCUUUUUUCGAUUCUUGCAUCAAUGGAAGUUAUUAUAAACAAUGAAGAAAAUGCUUCAGGAAGAUUUUUUAUGCACAGUUAACCACCUUCUUCUGGUGCCUGAAAUCCGGGUAAUUUUCUUAUUUUUGCUUAAUUACUUUCAAUACAUGUUUUGUUUGGUAUUAAUACCAAAUUUGUUGAAUUGAUUUUGUUAUAAUUUGUCAUGCGGAUUUGAAUUAAAGAAUUUUAUUUAAAUAAAUUCUAUUUCUAAUGCUUUAAAAAUUGGAAAAGAAACAUAUAUUUAGUAUAGUAUAAUUUUUGGAGAGUUUGUAAAGUUUAAGUACGAAAACUUAGACUUUGUUUAACAUGUCUUUAAUUUUUAUUGUGUAUACAUAGAUAAUCAUUUUGAUAAUUUUUAUGAUUUCACUUAUAUUAUUUAAAAAAAAUAAAUGAUAUUAUGUAAGCACUGCUUUACACCACAUAUAUUCCCAUCCUUUUGUUGUCGAAAGUAACAAGAAAAUUGUAUAUACAUAUGCUUUCAAGUUUCAUCUUUUGAUCCAGGAACCACCACAUCAAUCACAUUAUCUACUCUACUCAAGAAAAAUACGGUAUAUGAACAAACAUACAUACAUAUAUAUAAGCCAUAUAUAUAUAUAUAUAUAUAUAUAUAUAUAUAUAUAUAUAUAUAUAUAUAUAUAUAUAUAUAUAUNNNNNNNNNNNNNNNNNNNNNNNNNNNNNNNNNNNNNNNNNNNNNNNNNNNNNNNNNNNNNNNNNNNNNCGUAGAUUACGUAUAUUCUGCAACCAUAGAAUGGUAUAAAAACAUUGCAAAAUGUAUGAAACUUGUUAUUUUGUGAAAUACAUUCUAUAAAUAUCACUAUUUCAUGAAAAAUAUUGAAAAUCAUUUAUGUUCGACAAGUAGAACACAUAUGUUCUGUAAUAUGUAAAUAAUAAUGUUCGACAAGUAGAUCUCAUUCUUUGGAUCAAAAACAUAUCAAACAAGGGUGUUGAAAAUCUGAUGCUUAGGAAUCAAUCACCAUUUGUCUGCAAAAUGCCCUCUUAUUUCUUCUCCUGUCUGCAGUUAACUGAUUUGUGGCUGGAGAGCUGCAUAUUAAACCCACCCCUUGGGUUUUCGGGAUUUAGUAAGCUAAUAAGUGUAGACCUUGAGCAUGUGACAUUCAGUGCUGACAUGACAUUUGGCACUCAAGUCCAAGAUUUACGGAAAAUUACAAUAACAAAGAAAGAAUGUCCUUGUUUCUUAUGUCACGAGGAAACUUACGUUUGAUGGAGGUAGUGGUCCAACAAAUUUUUUAAAUUUUUUAACAAAUUUAAUAAUUAAUAUAAAAUUUCAUGAAAAAUAUUCAUAAACAUUAGAAGGUCAUUUCUAUAGAGUGCAACAAUAAACUAUAUUGAAUUGAUUCUCUCAGUACUGACAUGCAUACAUAUAAAUUGUCAAGUUAUUAUAUAUAACAUGUAAGUAAUACUACUCUUCGUCAUUAUAUUUACGGUCAUUUAUAUACAAAAUUUAACACUCAUAUAUACAAAUCAAAAAAAUGUUUGUUGUGUGUGUAUGUGUGUGUGUGUGUAUAUAACAUUGAGAUUGAGGGGUGACAAUGACAUUGAGUUCAUAAAUGUUUGUUGUUGUAUAUAUCGACGCAUAUAUUUUUUGUAUACAAAUUAUAUCACUCUUAAAAAGAGCAUAGACUUUUCAUUUCCACUUACAUAUCCUUGUAGCCAUUGUAUUAGUCUAUGAAUGAAUUUAAAAGUACCAAUUUUGCCAAAAAUAACUAGAUGGGCUAGGGUUUCUUGUCGAUGGAUCAACAACAGCUGUAGAAGCCCGUUAAGGAAUGCUUGGAUGUUAAGGCCCAUCCUUACCCCUUAUGAAAACAACCCAUCAGAAUACUGGAUAAGUGAUCCAAAAUCAAGUGUAUGAGAAGUUUCCACAAGCUCACCAAACGAGGACUACUCAGACUACGGAGCAAGACUUCUGUGGUAUUCGUCAAUCCAAUGAGGAUGGCCCACUAGAAUGCAAAGUAGUGUCUUUAACUUUGUAUACGAAUCCGGCCCAUGUUAAUGACCCAUAGUGAAUUUUGGGUAUAACAAUUGUUAUUAGACUUUUCAUAACAUAAUCUCUUUCUUGCCUUUUCCUCAUCAUCGGAAACCCUAUUUUCCCGAUCAACCUCUUCUUCUAAAUUCUUUCUAAAAACAUUCAUUUCAUCUUCAAAUUCCAUUCCAUUACCAUGUUUUGAUUAUAAAAACUAUAACCCAACCACCACCACUACCUUGUAACAUCAAUAAAGUGUUAAGAUGUUUCCGAUAUAUCUUUAAUUUGCGAAUUGGUGCUUGAUAUAUGUCUAAUUUUUCUCCUUUCGCUUACAAAACCCUCGAGCCUCCUCACUCUUGUCCAAUUUUAUCCGAUUCAUUUCUGAUCUACUUGAUUGUACUUGUUAAACUAAUUACAAAGCAUUUGAGAAAUCCGACUUUUUCUGAUUCGUAUCGGUAAGAAUUAGAAAAUAACUAUUUAUGUUUUUCUUAUCUAUUUCGUUUGGAUAGAUGCAGAGUCACAUGUGGGAUCGAGCCUUUUGCGAUUUAAUUACCUGAUUGUUAUGACUUAGUUUCAAUCUUUUUUUAUNGGAAAAAUUGAUUAUGUCAUGGCCAAGUGCACAAAAGCACAAAGUAACUUAGAAGCACCUUAAACAUUAUCAAUUCUAAGAAUGUGAAAAAUGAAAUUAUACACGAUUAGAGGGUAUUAAGUUUAAAAAUUUAUAGGUGACAGAUUAUAUACAAAAAAGUACACACAACAUUUGAAUACAAGUUCUUCUCCCUGCCUAAAAAAAAGGACUUGGUACUCUGACCUUAAUCUAACUCUGGAUGAAGAUCUCUAAAAUGAGAAACGAGCUUUACUUGUGUUACUCUUCAAUCCCUUGAAAAUUUUAUGCACAUUAACACAAUUAUUACCUUAUAUUGGCAAACCCAAAUAGAAAACAUAAUUGUUACCUGCAAGUUGUGCUAAUUAGUUCUGAAUUUUUAGGCUAAUCUCCAUAUCUGAGUGGAGCAGUCAGAAAUAAUCCAUCUGACAUUAUUUCGGAAGUAGAGGCUAUGCAUUAUAUGCGAUCACCAUGAAUGAUUCAAGGCUGCUGACUUGCUGCAAUCUCCUUAGGUUUCCGAAAAUUGCNNNNNNNNNNNNNNNNNNNNNNNNNNNNNNNNNNNNNNNNNNNNNNNNNNNNNNNNNNNNNNNNNNNNNNNNNNNNNNNNNNNNNNNNNNNNNNNNNNNNNNNNNNNNNNNNNNNNNNNNNNNNNNNNNNNNNNNNNNNNNNNNNNNNNNNNNNNNNNNNNNNNNNNNNNNNNNNNNNNNNNNNNNNNNNNNNNNNNNNNNNNNNNNNNNNNNNNNNNNNNNNNNNNNNNNNNNNNNNNNNNNNNNNNNNNNNNNNNNNNNNNNNNNNNNNNNNNNNNNNNNNNNNNNNNNNNNNNNNNNNNNNNNNNNNNNNNNNNNNNNNNNNNNNNNNNNNNNNNNNNNNNNNNNNNNNNNNNNNNNNNNNNNNNNNNNNNNNNNNNNNNNNNNNNNNNNNNNNNNNNNNNNNNNNNNNNNNNNNNNNNNNNNNNNNNNNNNNNNNNNNNNNNNNNNNNNNNNNNNNNNNNNNNNNNNNNNNNNNNNNNNNNNNNNNNNNNNNNNNNNNNNNNNNNNNNNNNNNNNNNNNNNNNNNNNNNNNNNNNNNNNNNNNNNNNNNNNNNNNNNNNNNNNNNNNNNNNNNNNNNNNNNNNNNNNNNNNNNNNNNNNNNNNNNNNNNNNNNNNNNNNNNNNNNNNNNNNNNNNNNNNNNNNNNNNNNNNNNNNNNNNNNNNNNNNNNNNNNNNNNNNNNNNNNNNNNNNNNNNNNNNNNNNNNNNNNNNNNNNNNNNNNNNNNNNNNNNNNNNNNNNNNNNNNNNNNNNNNNNNNNNNNNNNNNNNNNNNNNNNNNNNNNNNNNNNNNNNNNNNNNNNNNNNNNNNNNNNNNNNNNNNNNNNNNNNNNNNNNNNNNNNNNNNNNNNNNNNNNNNNNNNNNNNNNNNNNNNNNNNNNNNNNNNNNNNNNNNNNNNNNNNNNNNNNNNNNNNNNNNNNNNNNNNNNNNNNNNNNNNNNNNNNNNNNNNNNNNNNNNNNNNNNNNNNNNNNNNNNNNNNNNNNNNNNNNNNNNNNNNUUUCCAAUUAUGAAGAGAAGUUCACUUUAUCAUUUCUUGCAAAUCUUGAACAUAUCUUUCAACAAAGCACCUCGGCAACUAGCUUUCAUCUUUUCAUGUGCAUUUAGUUGGUGCAGGUUAAUUCUCUUCAUAUUUGGGGAAAACACACCAGCUUUUAAUCUGUACAUUAGUGUUGUAAAGAUUGUCUUAAUUAUCAUCUUUUUAGUACCAAUAUUACUCCCUCCAUCCCAUGUGAUUGUCUAUGUUCACUGUUUGCACGCAUAUUGAGACUCCUAUAAAGUAUAGUUCCAUACCUUUUUUUUGAAAAAUGUUUAAACGUCAAACUUUUAUUCACGAAAAAAAAAGUUUAAAAAUUAUUAUGAAACUAUUAUAUACUUAUAUAUAAUAAGCGUAAGGGAGAUAAUUUGGUCGCAUGGUCCUAUGGUCCAAAAACUUAUCAUCCGUUGGAUCGUAUAUUGAACAAAUAAGCACCGUUAGAUUAGAACAAAAUUAAUUUCUAAUUCUAUAAGGAAACUGACAUCUACUUGCAUGUUUAUAAUUCCUUUUCUGAAUCCAAAACAAAUUCUGUCUUUCAUGUGUUUUUGAUUUUUUUUAAUCCAAAAUAAAUAUUUCCCACAAAUUUUAAUUGUAGAAUCGUAUAAAUCGCAUUGUCACAAAAUUAUUUUUAUCCAUCGGAUCGUAUAUUGAACGAAUAAACACCGUUAGAUUAGAACAAAAUUAACUUCCGUUCCGUUCCAUAAGACAACUGAUAUCUACUUGCAUGUUUAUAAUUCCUUUUUUGAAUCCAAAACAAAUUCUGUAUUUCACGUGUUUAUGAUUUUUUUAAUCGAAAAUAAAUAUUUUCUACCAAUUUUAUUUGUAGAAUCAUAUAAAUUGCGCCGUCACAAAAUUAUUUUUAUCUAAUAUAUUUUAAAAUUAAUAAGCCCGAUUUAUGUGAGGAACGAAUACAAAAACUUUUCUAUAAUCCAAAACAAUUGCAUGUUUAUAAUUCAUCUUCUUAAUUCAAACAAAUUAUGUUUAUUAAUCUCGAACCAUAAAAAUUUUUAGAAAAAUAUUUUAAUCACAUUAUAAUAAUUCUAAUAUAAAAUACAUUUAUAAAUAUAAUAUAAUAGGAGUUGGCGUCACAUAUUUUACUUAAAAUAAUUUAAAAUUUGAUAGAAAGAAUUUAAUAGUUUGGCAUGAUACAUACAAUAUAGUACCUUAUUAUUUAUAAAUUAAAUUUUUUCGCACCAUUUAAAAUAUAUUAAAAAGUUUAUAAAUAAUUAAAAAGCUCCCGUGCCUUGCACGGGCUAUAAGCUAGUACUUUAUAAUAGCGUCAAAAAUUGGUGCCAAAAAGUACUUCCUCCGUCCUCGGAGUUAUAUACGUUUAGUUUGGAUACGGAGAUUAAGAAAAGUGUAUAAAGUAAGAUAAAGUAGUGGGAAAGAAAAAGAAAAGUGGGUAAAGUGGCGGGACCCAUCAAUAUUUAAUUGAUAGAUUUGGAAAAGUGGAUGAGAGUAGUGGGUGGUUGAGACUUUUAUAUUAUAAAAUGUUACUAUUUUAGGAAAGUUUUGAAAUGUAUAGAAUUAAGUGGGAAAUCAAAAAAGGAAAGUGUAUAGAAUUCAAAAGGACGGAGGGAGUAAUAUAAAGAACCUUCUAGAGGGAGUAUAACACCACCAUCCCCAAGAAUCAUUGCUAUGAUGUUCUUGAUAUAUCAUAUAUUUGACGAUUUGUGCUUGAUUCAUGCAUAAUCAAUAAGUCAUUAUCAUAUAUUUAAAUCUUAUUUUGGAUUUCUUUUUCUUUGUACAUAUUUGGGGUUAAUGGAAUGUUGGGGUGUGAUUUUUAAGUCCCAAUCUAUAAUAUAAAGUUUUCAAUAAAGUAUAAAGUGAUCAUGAUAUAAUUAUAUAAAAGCCUUAUCAUGACACACUUUAAUCAUCUUUUAAUUUUUUGUUAUGGUUCGAUCUUUUCUUAAAAUUAUAUAUUGCAUAUAUCAUUGUAUUUUUAAAAUUGGUCCUUGAAAUUUGAUAUUACAAAAAUAAUUUAAUAUUCAUCUUAUUUCAGUAUAUGUAAAAGAAUUAUUCUAAACAAUGAAUAAAUUGCUCCAUCAUGACUUAAAAUGCCUCCUUCAUCAUGUGCUAAGCAGGUAAUAUUAACUUUUAUUGUAGUUAUUAAUACUAAUCUGUUUUAUGAUGAAGAACUUAAUAAAUUAAAUACUUGUAACCAUGUGUUUGUUUCCCCUUGCUAUUGUUAAAAUGUGUGCACAUAUUACGUACAUAUGUACAUAGUAGUGUAUAUUUACUGAGUGUAACGCAUGUAUUUGUUGCAAGAAUGUUAAUUUAAAAUCUUUCCUAUAUAGAGUGUUCCUUAUGGUGACUGGUUAUGAGAUUCAGGUAGGACUUGGGAUGUAUUCGUAUAAGAAUCAGCCAGCUGCCUUGCAGUAUGUGGAGAAGCAAAUGCUCUCCACGAAGAGCCUGCUUGCACCAUUCUGAGCCACAGGUGUUGAAUCAUGACUCGCAUCUGGAGCGAUUGCUUUCUGUGAGGUCUUAAUUUCUUCAGUUAGUCCUCCAGGAGCGUUUAACUCUUUUGGCACCAGAUUUACUGGCGUAGAUUCAGGAACAGUUUCUGGUGUCUGACCAUAUCCCACAUUCACCGCACCAUCUGGACCAGGCACCUCAGACGGCUGAGGCUGAAGAAAACCCAUUCCAAUAUUAAGAUCACCAUAAAGUUCAUCGUACUCAUCAUCAUCGCCAAUCAAUUCAUCCUGGCACUGCAUGAUUUGUGGAAGGGGCCAAAUGAAAAGAGACACGGAAGGCUUUAACAAAAGUGAUCUGUAAGUGUAACGAGCGUGAGCGUAUAUGUAAGUUACCUAGAAUAUAUUAAUGUUGUAUUAGAACUGUAUAUAUGUCAUUGUGCUCCAACCUCAUGUAUGCCAGUAAGUUUGGAUCAUUUUUGGUGUUAAUGGUUGCAAUGUGUGUUGGGUGAGACAUAUCAUUUUUUUUGAAUAAUUUUUGGUGUUAAUGGUUGCCAUUUAAUUGGGCAAACAUUUGACUUUGAUGUCUUUUGAAAUAAAUAAUUCUUUGUGAAUUUUUGAAACCUCUACCAAGAUCUUUUUAACUAUUUUGUUUCGAUGAUUUUGGUUAUGGUAACAUUUCAGUGUGCCAGCUUAAUAAAGAGGUAGUUCAGGGAUGAAGCAAAGUACGUUUUGUAACACCUGAACUUAAAAUGCAACUUAAAAUAACCCGCAUUGCUGAUAAUUAUGGCGAAUUAUCAUCUGAAGAAACAAGCUACAAAAUCCUAGCUGGUAACACAAGAUGCUACAUUGAGAAUUUUCGUUAAGUUGUGUUGCAAGGUUUCUAUUGCUUUGUCUUCAUUCUUGAAGCUUGAAUGAGUAAGUUAAGGGACCAACUUCAACGGAGUUCUGUUGUGGAAUGGAUGGAGGUGGGAACUGUGAUGGGCAGCUUCUCGAGGAUCGGUUGCUGCUCUGGUUAGUUUAUUUGGACCAUAGCACGAAGUUUGAUGGGUUGGACUUGGAAUGGACAAAGAAGGUGUUUUGUAGUUGUAUUUAUGUGUCAAAACUACUAGCAUUAACUAUAUAUUACUGGCACAGGAUCUGCUCACAACUAUCACUGUAGAGGUGCGGGCCAUGAGUAGCUUCAGCUUCGAGUCUUCGACCACUAAAAUUGAGCCACUUGUUACAGCAAAAAUCAAGGUUUUGGCUCGAUUAGAGGUGAGAAUUUGGUGCUCAUAAUGUACUUCAUGUCUAAUAAAGCUAUGACCAUACAAGUUCAAUAAGAAAUUAUUAGACUUCCACAUUCUACAACGAGUGUGCUGAAAUAUAAAGAAAAAUCCAUUCAACAACCAUUAAACUAAUGCAAUAGUUUCUCCAAGUGAAUAGCUCCACAAAAGCAGUCAACAACUGCAAAAAAUAUUACAAAACCUUCAAUGGGAGGGAAGUCUUAAAAACCUUCCCCAUGAGUUGAACUCCUUCUGCCAAAUGGAAGGCUUUUCACUGCUCUUUCGGUGACAUGAAGCAUAUUCAAUACCAACAUAAGCUUUUGCUUGUCCUCAAAAUCAUCUAAACCCUCUACCUCUUCUUCUCCACACAAAUUUUCCCAUUCACAAUCACCAUGGGAAACCUCACCUUUUCUUUACCCACCAGCUCUGCUAGCUCUUUCAAAUAUAUAGGCUCUAUUGAACCGUUUCUCUCCUCAAAUACAACAUUUCCACUCAACAGAACCUUCUUUGCCAACCCAUUUGCGCCUAGGCCAUUGUUAGCACUCGUUGUGUAAAGAAUUACCUUGUCGGUAGAUGGCUCAUUUCUGGACAAGGAUGAUGAAGUACUGCCUCGUAAAACUAAUCUUUCAGGCACUGCGAGCCGGCAUUCUAGAAACUUGGCAGCCAGUGUUUCCUUGAACAAUUUCACAGUAUUAUGGAUGAAAGUGCUCUGUUGCCUAACGAAAAAGCAAACACAUUAUCAUCAAACAAUCCAUAAAUAUAAUAAGCAACCAUGGUAUUAUACAAUUAAGAAAGCUAAUAUCAGAAAACCAUGGUAUUGGUCCUUUUUAGAAAUUAGAGGUUAUAGCUGUUAGCGGAUUGAAUUAGAUGUUUUGACUAGAUGAUGAAAUAGAUGUUUUGACUAGCGGAUUGAAAUAAUAUAUAGUUUCUUGUAAAUCUGUUUGGUAAAUAGCUGAUUGAUUAGCUUUUUCUGAUACAAACCAAAAUCUCUAACCCAAAAAGUUCCUCAAAGUAGGUUUUUAGAAUUUGUUUUUUAGAUCCAAACCUCUAUUUCAAUCCUAUAACUAUCAAAAACUAAUAUUAGCGGAUUCUAGUGAUCAAACCUCUAACUUCCAAACUGGGCCAUUAUGUAGCAUGAAACGUUGAUUAAUUGAGAAUAAUAAGAAAAUAAGAUUACCCAUUUACAUGUUCUCCGAGAAUAUUGCCAACUUCUACGAGGGCUUCUCUCCACUUCUCCACCUUGUCAUUGUGCCUCAUUUUAUGCUUUUCUAGUGCGAGUCCAUAAUUUCCUCGCUAGUGUUUGAUAUCGCGAAUUUCAACCUAAAAAAAAAAGUGGUAUAAUAAAAUAACUAGAGUUCUUACGUUCAAGGAUGAGAACAAGUUCAUCAAGAGACACAUAAUUCAGGGAAAAUACAAUUAGGGCGCUCGUAGAGUUUUUGAUUCCCUCUUUGAUUGUCGUCUUGUUGAAAACACCUCAUCUUCGACACGUAUGUCACUCUUGUCCAUGAAAGCUACAAAGCCUUGGGCCUUUAAAGCCUCAUAUAGAAAGCAUGCGAACUUGUUGCGAGUUUCCCCUCUGAAGCUCAAGAAGAUAUGAGAAAUGACGCUUCUUUGAUCAUGGUGAGAUAGCUCCUAGAUUAGCAGGAGGCUUUAAGAUCUCUAAACAUAACAUGAAAAGUCAACUACAUUCCUACACAUUAUCAAGAGGAAAAAUAUUUUUUGAUAUAAAUUGACAAAUUAGUUGAAAUUCUAUGCUAAAAAAAAUACAUCAAAUUAACGAUGGAACGAGUUAUUCGGCGGAAAUUGUACUCAUAUUAUGAUUAGUUGGAUUGCUUUGAAAAGGCAAACUAAAUGUGGGAACUCAACUAGGUAAAAUUUCACUUCAUCUCCUACAUCGCAUGCAUGUUGGUCACACGGUCAAUGAGUUUCACCUCCCCCGUUUUUUUUUUCCGGGACAGUUUACAUUCGGUGAAUAAGAUAAUUAUUAGGGGUUUUCUUGUAAAUACCCAAGUCCAAAAUUUAUUUUUUUAAAAAUACUACAUUUUUCCCAAAUAUUUUACAAAAAUACCAAAAUUUUGAAAAUAUUUACAAAACUACUGUAUGCAACUAUACUUGCAACCCCUGCGGGGCAAAUUAACUAAAGUUAAAUCAUGUUGCAUCUAGUUGCAGAUCGUAUUUUUGCAAAUAUUUUGUAAGAAGUUAGUAUUUUUACAAAUAUUUUCGAAAGACAGUAAAAUUACAGGAAAAAAAACCUAGAAAAGUGGUGGUCUUGAUAAAUUGCCGUUAAAAAUUCUAGAUGGAGCUGCUUGUAAAAUGUCCUACACAACUGAUUUUAAAUUUCUAUUUACAGUCUAGCUUGUUUUCAAUAUAUAGGAUAUGAUUAUUUUUUCGUGAAAACUAUUAAAAGCACUUUAUAUUAUUAGAUUUUGUAUUGAAUACUUAUAGUCACACUUGUAGACAGAAAAUAGAGUGAAAGACUUUGAGUGGGAGAUUAAGUAUAGGAUCAAAGAGGUUAAUCGGCGUUUAAAUUAGUUGUAAUCAAAGAGGCUAAAAACUCUAUUUGACUUCCAAAUUGGCUAAAUUCUUACAAUGUAACGAUUUUCCUACCAACAAAAUUACACUGUUAAGAAAAUUAUUCAUUUUCUUUUUUGAAACUCAAACAAUUUAAUUUACGAAACACAUAUAUAAAAUUUCUAUUAUGUUUCAGAAUUCAAAAAAUAAGGAGUUCAUUUAUUAUUAUCAGUCAAAUCCAUAUUAAUAUUAUAAAUAACUACUAAAUUUAAUAAUUAGGGAAUUUACCAAAACUAUCACUUUUUCUAGGUUUUUUUGCGAUUUUACUAUCUUUUAAAAAUAUUUCCAAAAAUAUUAAUUUUUUAGAAAAUAUAUGCAAAAAUACGAUAUGCAACUAGAUGCAACCAAAUUUUAGUUUAGUUAAUUGGCCUCGCAGGGAUUGCAAGUAUGGUUGCAUCUGGUUGCAAAUAUAAUUGCAUGUGGUUGCAUACAGUAUUUUUUCAAAUAUUUUUAAAAUUUUGAUAUAUUUGUAAAAUAUUUGAAAAUGAUGUGGUGUUUUAGUAAAAAAUAUUUUGGACUUGGGUAUUUAUGAGAAAACCCCAUUUAACUAUGUGACCACCUCUUACUUGAUAUUUCUUCGGGGAGAUGUUAAAAUAUCCAAUUCUAAUCUUUAGAACUUCAAUUGUAGUCUAAACAAAGUUUAGGUGGUAGAGUGUCCACAAAAUCAAAAUUUCACACUAACCUAUAUUAGCUCUUUCACAUAAAAUGAGAGAGUCAAAUUAGCUCAAUUUUUUCAAAAAUUAGAAAAUAUAUUUUUCUACCAUUAAGCACUAAAAUUGAUUUUUAAUAAUUUGUUAUCAACAAAAUACUUCUAUCAUAGGAAUAAAAUCAUAUAAGAGGUUGUAUAGAUAUAAGUAUAUAUUUCAUUCCAGACACCCCAAUGUUAUUUCCCAGGCAUAUCGCACAUCCUUUUCAAUCUCUUAUCAUAAUAAAAAAAUCAUUCAACAUUCAUCACUUCAUACAAUCAUUCCUUCAUCUCCUUAUUCUCUCUAUUUAAAAUUUCACCUUCGGCAUCAGCCUAUGGUUCAUAAUUUACCUUCGUCACACGGCCAGAACUAGCGCGUGGCAGCCCGGCCCAAAUUUUUUUUUUAUAAAAUUCUAAAUAUCUUUGCUGAGUUUCAGCCGAAGUAGCCCAAAAAUCCAAACCCUAAUUUAUGCUUCUCUAUAUAAACACCUCGGUUGUCUCUGUUCUUCACAGCCUGCACAGUUAAAACCGCCACUACUCCCCUGCUGCCGCUCUGUCUCCAAAUCCAGGUGGAUUCUAAAUCCUCAUUCCGCCCCUGCUUCUCUCUUCUUAAUUUAUCAUUUUUAGUGUAAUCACUACAUCACCAUCAUCCACAACAAUCAGUGUAGUGAUCUUUUCAAUAUAUCCUAGCUAUAUCUGACGAUUUUUGCCCGAUCCACGCCUGGGUAAGCCAUUGCCAUAUAUUUAAUUUUUAUUUUGGAUUUAUUUUCAAUUUUACAUAUUCGAAUUUAAUCCAAUGAUGGGUUUUAUUUUUAAAUUUCAAUCUAAGAUAUAAAAUUUCCAAUUAAGCCUAAAUUUAUCUUCUUCUUUUUUAAUGUAAACACUAUAUCAACACCGUCCACAAUAAUCAUUUUUAUGAUGUUCUCGAUAUAUCAUAAAUCUGACGAUUUGUGCCUCAUUAAUUCAUGCCUAGUCUGCAAGUCAUUGUCAUAUAUUUACUUCUUAUUUUGGAUUUAGUUUCAUUUGUACAUAUAUAUUGGUUUAAUUGAAUGUUGCGUUAUGAUUUUUGAGUUUCGAUCUAAGAUAUGAAGUUUCCAUUAAAGUCUUAAUUAUCAUCUUUUGAGUAUAAACACCAAUUCCACUGUCUCAUGUGAUUGUUUACAUUCAUUGUUUGUAAGCGUUAACAACCCUCUGUUUGUCUAGCUGUAGAUUACCCGCAACAGUUUGGGACUUCCCAGCUUUAAAAUGUAUAGAACUACGUGGCGGAGAAUUACAUAUUCUCUGCGCCUGUUAAUAUACAGAAUCAAAGUAUAUGUAAGUUACCUAGAAUAUAAGAAUGUUGUACUAGAAGUGUAUAUAUGUUAUUGCCAAGUAAAAUGAUUAUGAGAUUGUUGGAUAUAAUAUAUGUUUUCAGAAAUUCUUCUAAAAUCCAAGAUUUAAAAGUAUUUUACUGAAGUCCUAACCACCCUACAUCAACUCUAUGAUUCUUAAACUUAAUUUAGCUAGAGUGUAUAAAAACACAAAAUCACUUGCAAUCUACUAAAAUUCAUAAAUUGUUAUUAAUUUUUUAAUAUCUGAAUUAAGCACCCCUCUUAUUGUCUAAUUUUGACUUCUUUUUUUUUUUGUCAGGUGUCUAAUUUUGACUUUAUUCCUUCUGAAUGUGUUCAAUUUUUAUUUUCAGAAUGCUAUAAACAUUUAUCUUAUGUCCCUGCAUGUAUAUCAAUGUCAAAAUAAAAGGAAGGAAUAUAAAUGAAGGAAUAAAUUGAGAAAAUCAAAUUACAAGAUCAGACUCUGAGUUGUCUACUUUAUUAAGGCAGUAAUGAUAAAAUUUAGUAAAAAAACUGACCCAAUACCCUAAAGAAAUACGCUACAGGUUCUCCUACCAAGAUAUAAGUUCGAUCCUGGCUCAACCGAAAACUAUUAUUAGAAGUACAAAUUGAAAUCAGUAUAAUUAGCCAGAAAGAUUAAGACCUUCCAAGAACUCUUCAUCACAUUCCAAAGCCGUCAUGAAAUGCGGAGGCAAGAAAAUAUCAAGAUCCAUGCUUCCUCCUCCUUCAGUCCCCGGAUACAAUGAAACUUUUCCAUCAAACUUAUCAGCACAUCCGCUCCGAAUUGCCACAGCUUUUCCAAGUCCGAAUUCAUUUCCAAACAUGUCAAACCGCGGUGAGCCUCCAAUCAUAAUGCUACACCGAUCAAAAAAUUGCCCGGGUUGGUAUACCGAAGGACUCUGCAGCCAAUCUGCUAUGAAGUUCUUUAAUGCCUUAUCAUCUUGUUCAGCCACAGUUUUGUGCACUAGCAAAGCAGCCCACUCGAAAUCAUUUAUCAGCAGGUUUCCUGCUGUAGUCGUAGCUCUCACCACCUGAAUACAGUUUCCAAAGUAAUUCUGUGACAAUGGAGGAUGUAAUCUUGCUCUGUUAUUCAUAGCCAGUUUGCAACCUGUGAUCUGAUCAUGUGGUAAGCCUCGAACACGAGUCAUACAUCUCCACAUUAAAGCAGACAAGGCCUGUAAACUUGAUAUCGUAGUGCUUUUGUUUAUGCAUUUAGCGUUUGCCUUUGCUUUGAGCCUUGCCAAGGCUGCGGCUUGAAAUUGAAAAAUCCUUUGUUUAAGCUCUGGAGCAUCGUGCCUGCUUAAGAAUUGAUCGGUAUGAGUGAAAGGGAGGCUAAUAACAGGAUCAUAUCCGUCAGGGACCCAGCGUUCAUGAAUAGGUGGCCGCGUGAUUUCUAAACCCUCAUCAUCAAUAUCUUUCAUAAAAACUUCUGAUAAAGUGUUGAAAAAAUGCCAGUAAGAGGUGCCAUCAAUGACAGAGUGGUUAAGCGAGCAUCCAAUGAAAACGCCAUCUUUUAGCUCGGUGACUUGAACAGUUAACAACGACACCUUGUGACCAUCGUGAUUAAUUGCCCUGUUAUGAUCAAAAAAAGAUUCAAUGACUGAACGCACAUAAGUUGGUGACAGAAUAUCAGAAAUCAUCAAGUCCACUUUCGCGUGGACAAAUCUAGCACCAGGGCUAUUAACACAAUCUAUAAACACCACAUAAGACUGCGGUGAUUCUUCCUUUUUUGUCACAAGGCGACCUGCAAGUGGAUAAAAAUGCACAAGAGUAACAGAGAGGGAUUUUUUAAGCUUCUGCACAAGGACCUCAACUGAAUUUUCUCGAUCAUUUGUUACCAUCGGUUUCUUAAACAAAAGACCCUUUUGGAUGUAAUAAACUGAGAGCAUGGCAAGAUCAAAGGGCCCUAAAUGAAAUGGGUGUUUUGCCUUUUGGGGCAAAUCAGAUGGUCUGAUCAAACAUUCUGAUACGAGCUCAACUGUUUCAGAGUACAUUUUGUUCUAAGAAUGAGAAAGUGGCUUAUGCAGCUUAAGAGACUCCAGCUAUUUAUCUAUCCAUGUAUAUAUUUUACUUAAUGUUAAUACUUCUUCUGCUCCAUUCAUUUUUAUACAUUUUCUUUUUCUGGACGUGAGAUCUAAUGGUAUAUAUUCUCAAAUUGUCUCAUCACUUCACCAACUUUUCUUACAUUCUUUAGCUGAAUUAUAUUUUUUUUAAUCUAUGUGUCCUACCCAUUUGUAUAUUAUUCAAUGGGCCGGAGGGAGUACAUUACUAAUAAUGCUCUUUACAGUAGAAAAACUGCAAGAUGUAGAUGCAUGUGUUAGAAAUUCAAACUCUCCGAUAUAUAAUACAGCUACGGCGACUGUGUUCAGGGAUAUAAAUGGAAGCAGCUCCGUGUGUGUGAGCAGCAGUAUAAUACAAGACUUAUCAGUUUGCAUACAAGCCUCAAGCCUGUAAAUAGUAGAGUUCCUGUAUAAGAUGAACCCAUAUAUAAUUAGCAAAAGAAAAUAAAAAUGAACUGAUAAUUGCUUGGAACCAGUUUUAGAAAAAAGGAGAAUCAGAAUUAAUCGAUGAAAUUAUGGAACAAGCAUUAAUUGAAGAUUAAUUAGAUUGAUCAAAGUCUAAUUGAAUGAUUAAUUGAAUAAUCAAAUAUUUAAUCAGUUCAGUAAGUUACGAAACAGGAUUAAUCGGUGAAUUUUUUUUUUAUUUUUUUUGUGUCAAGGGAUUAAUAGGUCUUAGAACAGAGCUUCGAACAAAUAAACUUGCAAACUGGCACGUGAAUAUAAGGGGGGCUGCAAGAGUUAUUCAACCUUGUCUUUAUAUUCCAUAAAGGCGAGCUGGUCAAUUGUUUGUUCAUAAUAAAUACGAUCUUCUACCUCCUAUUUUCUUAUAAUUUUUUCACUAACACAAAUUUUAGGAUAUAUAUCAAAUAUAGCUGUAUAAUUUAUUUCAAAAAAAUUCUUGUAAUAAAAAUAUUUAAAUAUUAUAUUUUAUUCAAAAAAUAAAUAUUUAAAUAAUUUAUAAAAUUAUAUCUUAUAAAUAUUUAUAAGAUAUUUAAAUAGUUUAUUCCUCAAAUAAACUACUCCUAAAAAGACACAGGGGGGUUGAGUGUAACACGUAUGGGAUCGGCCAAUUCCAUAUGCAAUUACAGAUCUUUGAUUUUUUUUUUGACAAAACAGAUUUUUGAUUUUUAAUGUUCAAAUAUGUUGUGUACUUCCGUCAAAAGGGUCUUGUUUCUGGACAACCGUAUGUGAGGGAGGGCUUAUCUAACACACUGGGAGCCGUUGGAUCUAUAUUUUAAGGGCUCAGAUUCAAUCUAAGUUUUUAAUGAAUCCGCUCUUUAUAUCCGCGGACCAUAAAAGUUGUAUUCCGCGAAUAAUAUUCGCGGAAAGGCGAACUCUCGUUUCGCGGAUGUUUAUAGCGGAUCCAUUAAAAAAUGAGAUUGAAUCUGAACUCUUAAAAUAAAAUAUAGAUAUAAGGCACCGUAUGCCAUCCGAACACACAGUUGUCAGGGAAAAACACUACGUCAAAACUAAAAAUAUGUCGUACAGAUUUGGAGUUGGUGGGUCUGCGCAAAAUAAUACUAGUAGAGGAAAGUUGGUGACAUAAUCUUAAAAUACUGUAUUUGGCAAAGAUUUAUUUUACAAAAUAAGAUUUAUUUAAAAAAUAUUUUCUUUUAAUUCUUUUGAAUUUAAAUUUUGAAAAUUAAGUUAUUUUAUAUUUACUAUCCAACAAUAAUAUAAGAGCUUAUUUCCGGAAAAAAAAUAAAAUUUUAUAUAUUUUUUUCAAAAAUAAAUUCUUAUUUCUUUUUUUUUUAAACGAAUAAAUUCUUAUUUCUGAUUUAAAAUUACUCAAACAUCUCAUUACUAUUAAAUCGAAGGCGAUUGCGAUUGCAAGGACAAGUAUAACACAUAAUUAUUUAUAACAUAUACUCAUUCCGUCUCACCAGGUUGUAUACAUCGAGGAAAGGAGAGCUCGCACAUAUUUUAACGCUAUGUUAAAUUGUAGUUGAAUACAUAAUUUUUACUUUUCUAUUUAAAUAAAAUUUAAUGUUUAAAUUUUAUUAAAAAGAAAAAAUCAUAAAUAAAUUAUGAAAAUGUCAUUAUAUUUAUUUUAAAAUACGUGUCAAAUAUGGAAAGAGAAUUUGUAUAUAUGUGAAUGGGAAGGGAGAGUACCGGUGAAUAUAGAAAUGAACACCGCUGUCCUCAAAUUCAAGUGUCUUAGUUAGAACUAGUUGAGAAGUCGCGCGUUGCGGUGGCCUAUAAAAAUUAUAUUAAUGAUUCAAUAUUAAUAUUUGUAGAAUAAAAUAAUUUUGUGGCUGUCUAUAAAAUAUAAAUUAAUGUUUUAAAAUUAAUAUUUGUAGGAUAAAAUAAAUUUUAUAUUACAAAAAUCUUGAUGUAAUACCAAUACUAAUAUAUAAAAUUGCAAAAUUGAAAUAUAAUUCAUGGUGUAUACACGUAUUAACAAUUUAAAGUACGACGAAUCUUAAUUUUAUUUGUGUUUUUUUUAAAAAGUAAUCAUGUUCAUACAUUGUCACCUUCCUCCAAUUUUUUUAGAUUGAUUGUGCAUAAAAACAUCUAACUUAAAUCUGUGAGAUAGCGGUCUAUAAUUACCCAACAACCUUUAUUUUUUAAUAUAUUGUAUAAACAGCCUUCACUUAAAAGUUGAACGUAGCAAACAGAUUAUGCAUGAAUAAUUUUUUCUUGUAUACAAAGUAAAUCAUAUAAAAAUUAACAACAACAAACAUGUCUGAUGAACAAAACAAAUAUUAUAAAAGAAUAACCAACAAAUAUACAUCACUAAUAGUUAAUUAAUUUAUUGAUAUCAUCCAUCAAUAUCAUAUCAUGUCAAGACUAUAUUUUUUCCCGUGCUUGGAUUUGUCGACUCCCACAUAGCGAUCUAUAUGUACCUUUGCUUGCAACAACCUUUUUUAAUACUUUAUAAACAACCUUCACUUAUCAUAGCAGAAGAACGGCACCACUGAGUUAGAAAUCGAGCAAGAGAACUAUCAUCAGAGAAAAGUAGGAUUGUGGUAUUAAAAGAGAGGUGGUUGUGUUUAGAUGAUUCAAAACCCUACAAUUUACAGGGGUAUUCAUAGGUGCAGAGAGACUUGUAUGCUUCCUUUUUUAAUACUGUAUAAAUAGCCUUCACUAAUCGGUAUUUAUAGGUGCAGAGAGACUUGUAUGCUUCCUUUUUUAAUACUGUAUAAAUAGCCUUCACUAAUCGGUAUUUAUAGGUGCAGAGAGACUUGUAUGCUUCCUUUUUUAAUACUGUAUAAAUAGCCUUCACUAAUCGGUAUUUAUAGGUGCAGAGAGACUUGUAUGCUUCCUUUUUUAAUACUGUAUAAAUAGCCUUCACUAAUCGGUAUUUAUAGGUGCAGAGAGACUUGUAUGCUUCCUUUUUUAAUACUGUAUAAAUAGCCUUCACUAAUCGGUAUUUAUAGGUGCAGAGAGACUUUAGUGCUACUAUUUCCCAUUAUUAAAUAAUCUGAAACAAAAUCAAAUUAAAACUUUCAAGCUACUAUAUUUCAGAAAUUAUCUGAAACAAAAUCAGAUUCUGAAACUUGCUUCUAAUAUACCUGAAACUAAAAAAGGUACUUCUAAUUUUUGAUAUUUUUCAUCAAAAAGUUCCGCAAAAUUAGAAAAAUGGAACGGAGCAAUGUGAGAGACGCCACCUACACGCCCCUCGCUUCUCCUUUAUAUAAGUAUAUUGAUUAACUAAUUAACUAUUAUAAACUUUAGCUUAUAUUUAUAUUACAUAUUUUAUAUAUUUAAAUUCAAAACUUUUGAAACACUUAAAUUUAAGGGGUUAAAACAACAUUCAAAUAUAUAAACCUUGACACCUCUGAUCAUUUACAUAAAAUAAUUUAUCUUAUUUAUAAAAAAAUCAUAAUUAAUAACAAAUUACUUAUACGAAAAAAAUAUGUUAUUUUAAUAUACUUAGUUUUUGUCUAAAAUAAUUAUUUAUUUUCAAUUUUUGUUAUAAAUAUAAAAUUUUAUUUGAUGUAUUUUUGUGGCAACACUAAGUUAUAAGGAUGUAAUUGAGCGGAGUCAAGUCAAACACUAAUAGGCUCAACUCGAGCUUGAUUAAAAGGUUCGGAAUUCGAGCUCGACCUCGAGUUCGACCGAGUCUUUAAUUUCAAAACUCGACUCGUAAACAGUUCGAUAGGCUCGAGUUCAGCUGUAUGUGUUUGAGUCUUGCGGAGGUGCCCCACCCAACUUGUAGCUUAAAAUUAAAAAUAAUAAUUAAAACCGACCUACACAAAAUAUCUGAUAGAAAAAUCGACUGACACUUAACGGUCGGCUUACAAAUAACGACAUCCUUUUGCUGAGUUGACAAGAUUUUGAAAAAAUUAAACCGAUCAAAGCCACUUGGUCGGUUUUAAUGUUGCGGAUAGGGCACGAAGACGUUUCAUGUUAAGUGACAUAAAUGACCACCUGAUUUAGUAUUGGUCGGUUUUGUCAUGACUACAAAAAUCCAGCUUUGAUUUUCAUUUUGUUGAAAAAGUGAACAAAACACAGAUUCCAAAAGGGAAUAAGAAGAAGGAAAGGGAGAAGACGAGGAGGGGUGAGGGGCGGGAAGGACAGAGAAUCAAAUAUCAAAACAAAGAAGCUAUUUUUCUUAAUUCAUGUUUAUAUGCAUGUCACUUAUUUCAAUUUUUUUAGAUAACUUGUGCUAUAUGUGAUAUUCAUGCAUAUGUAUAUAUAGAUUCAUGUAGAUGGCCUGAUCAAAGUUGGAUAUGUAUAAUCAGCUACAAAAAGGUAAAUUACUGCCAAAGCUAUGUGACUGCCAAAGCUCAUUAGCGGCCACUCUAACCAUUACUUAGCCCAGCAAAUCAACCGUAUUAAAAAAAAACAGUGGUCGGUUUUACAAAUCAAAGAUCAAGCAAGAAUAAACUCGACCACAUAUCAGUCGGUUUUAGUGCUUAUCACAACGAACUGGAAUAAACUCGACAAAUGGUUUAUAACCGACUCCUAUCAGUCGGUUUUAUUGAUAAACCCGACCACAAUGUCAUAACCGACCACAUUCUAGUCGGGUUUAAUGCUUGCCAAAACCAACUGAAAUAAACAUAAUAUUAGUCUGUUUUAUUCUUUGUGUAAACUUUGACCGGUCAAUCCUGCGCAACUUAUAACAUACCACAACACGGUCAGUUAUAUUGACCCAUGUGGAACUCUAUUUUCAUGUGGUAAAGUUGGACCCACAAGUUGGGAGUUUUUGUUUCAAAUUAAACUGAGCAUAACGUUAGUUGGUUUUGUUAGUUAAACACACCAAGUUGGCUAAACCGACCACCUUAGUUGGUCGGUUUAGCCUGUAAAACCGACCGUUUUUAUAUAAAGUAUAUCACUAUUGAAAAAUUCUAGCUAUUUACUCGAACUUGCGUAUCUUAGUAGCCAUUGGUCUAGUCUAAGAAUUAACCCGAAAAUACCUAAUCUUGAAAAUACCUUGUGAUUGUUCCUUUAUAUUACAUAACAUAAAGAAAAUCCAGUCAUAUUAGUUUUAACAAAGUUAGAAAAUUAAUAAGAAAGAGAAACGGUUGUAACAUCCCAUGGCAAGGUAUUGAAGAUACUCGAUCAAAACUCUUGCUUUAAUAAUGUCUUGCUAGGAAAAUAACACUGAGAAAGAGGUAAUGUCCUCCUUUCUAAUGGCGUAAAGGCCUCAGAUUUGAUGGAGCUAGUGAAUCAACAAAAUGUUUGAAUUUUCUAACAAUUUUAUCAAUUAAUAUAAAAUUUCAUGAAUAAUAUUUUAUAAAAAAUAAAAAGUCAUAUCUAUUUAUAAAGGACAGUUGGAAACUAUUUUAAACUACAACUUCAAAUAUGUAUGACAAUUUACUAAUACCGACUCGACUUGCCUUUAAAUAGAUUUCUCAUUCACAAUUAAAUCUAUAAAUAAUAUUAACAUUAUGAAAUAAGCAAUUAUUCUAAUGAAAAUAUAAUUUGUAAUAAUAUAUGUAUGUAGGCAAUUGCUCAAAUAGAAACCACUAAAAUGGAAACCAAGAGAAACUAUAUCUAAAGGACCUCACUCACCUCCUAUAUGUCAUCACCCACCACCUAUAUGUCAUCACCCACCUAGGGCCCACCCUCACCCCCACUCAAUCCACCCGGGCCCGCUAGGGCCUCGCCAAGGCUCCUCACAUGCCCUGGACAGGCUCUAGACAGUCUUAAAGAGUCAAACCUUGACCCCACCAUGGUCCCACUAGGCCCCGACCCGGCCCUAUUAGGUCCCACUUAGAUGUCGUCUAGGCCCAUCUCGGGGUUCAUCCCUGGUCUCAAAACCCGCAUCAUUCUACUUAAUCGCAUUGGUUUCUAUUUAGUUUCUAUUCUAGUAGUUUCUACUGGAGUAGGACCCUAUGUAUAUAUAUACACACAUAUGUAUACAUGAUUCUAACUCGUGUAUAUAUAUAUAGACACACACACACGCGCAAAUGCAGUGUCGGAUCUAGGAUUUUAACAAGGAGGGGGUUUCAUUAAUAUUAAAAACAAAUGAGUGAAGUUGAAUCUUGCGGAAGGGAGGACGCAACGAAGUAUUGACUACCAAAGUCGAGCAAGAGCAGCAAAGCAUUAUUUGUUUUCUUUUAAUUCAUUCACUUCACCCGCGAUAGCGAGAGAACGUUAGGUAUAAUAUAGUAGAUUACUUAGUCAAUGGACUGGGUUUGCAAUAAAAAUGAGCGGGUUCAAAAUAAUUGGGAUGGGCUCGUUUAUAAAAUACACCAAUUUUAGAAAGAAAAUUGAAAUUACUCUAUGGACUCAGGGGUGGGCUCUCAAGCCCCCUGAGCCCCAUAUGUAUCCGCCACUACGCAAAUGUAUACAUAAAUUCAAUGCUAGCGCUAUUAUUAUUUCAUUAACAUCUUCUCUUUUCCUUUUCACAACCUUUUAAAUAUCUUUAUGAAGAAACUCUUGUAACAAUCGCCUUUCGCAAACCUCUAUGCAUUUGUUGUCGACCGAUUUAUAGCUAAUUUGUGAAUCGGCGCCUAAUAUAGCUUAAUUUUUCUUAUUACAUUUACGAAACCUCCGAUCCUCCUCACUUUUGUCUAGUUUUAUGCGAUCUAUUUCCGAUCUAGUUGUUAUACUAAUUACAAAGCAUCUGAGCGGUGUGACUUUUUUCAGAUGCAAUCGGUGAGCUCUCAUUAAAUUAGAAUUCAUUUAUAUUUUUUUAUCAGUUUUGUUUGGAUAGAUGCAUAGAUUUAUAUUUGGGGUUGAUGCUUUUGAGUUUCGAUGUAGAUCUGACGUUUGUAAAAUGGAUCUCUUAAAUUUUGUCAUAAGGAUUUAAAUUAAUAAAUUUGUUUAGACAAAUUAUAAUGCUUUUAAAAAUGACAAAUAAACGUAUAUUUAGUAUACUAUCAUCUUUGGAGUGUUGCUAGUGACGAGAACUUAGACUUUUAUUAACAUGUGUUUGCUUUGUAUUAUAUAAGAAUAGAUAAUCAAUUUAGUAAUCUUUUCAUAAUUUUUACUUAUAUUAUUAAUAUUAAAUAUAAGUUUUAUUAUUUCGAAAAAUAAGUGAUCACCACGACACACCAAGUACGUUAUCACACACAUCUUGUUGGAGUAGGUACAAGAAAUUUUAAUUACUCCACAAACACAUAUGAGAUAUGUUAAAUAAAAAUUGGCUGAUUUAGCUUGUUCCAUGAAAGUGCAGAUGAGAAUUGGAAAAAGCGGCCUCCGAACUGUAUGUAUUCUUCUUUCUGUGAAUCUUUUAGUUUACGGGUUAUUAAGUUUAAAAUAUUGAUCACGAUUUUGGAUCCUUACAAGCAAAGAAGUUGACUGAUCUUCAUCUAACACAUGUCAUUGCCAAUCGCCAACAGGCCUGUAAUUGUUAAAAGGGGAAAAGAUAUCGUUGAGGUUAAGCCACAGGUACGUGUCUCUCAUCUCCCACUUUCCUCUACAUUGUAUAAUAAUUUACUUAACUAGCAACACCUGUAAUAUGUCGGAUGUAAGCAAAGGCUUGGUCACAGAAAAGGUAAUCUCGACAAUGGUUGGUAAUGGCAAGGCCCCUGGUUCAUCCUCUGCAUUGGAGAUGAUUGGUUAGAUGAAGACAUGUAGAGUGUAUUUGGAAGAUUGUUUCAUCUGCAGUGGUCCUUGCUGUUCCGGAAAUCUUUUUCUGCACUGUAGAGAAAAAGCCUAGCAAAGCCAAGUACUAUGUCGACGAAACUUCUGAAGUUCCGAAGCUGCUCUAUAUUUGUCAUGUUCUGAUUUUCACUUCCAGCAAUCAAAACAUUAUUUGUAUUUUCAUAAUUGUCACCAGGGUCCGUAUCAUUGAGCCAACUGGAAAAAACUUCCAAUUCAAAGUCAGUGUAAUCAAUUGGAGGUUGAUGCUCACAAGGAAACUUAGAAAAGGGUAUUUUGAUCUUCUGAUGUAUGGUUAGGGGACAAAGAAGAUUGAUAAUGAUUUUUUGGAGAAUCAACUCCGUCAGGAAACACUUCACCUCCAUCACCUUGUUUUUCCAUUGGUAAGAUAUGAAUCAAAGUGAUAAAUGAGAAAACUUGUUAAUCUGUGUAUAUGGGGGUUUGUGUGUAUUUGAAAUCAAGAAUUUGAACAAAAGGAGAUUAUGUAGACCUUUUUGUUAAUCUAAUCACAGUAUUGUAAGAGGGUGAAUAUGGUGUAUGAGAUGGGAGCUCCUCCGAUGCAACUACUUGUAAAGUGGAGCCUAAGUUACUAGCUAUUGAUUUUUUUUCAUCUAACGAUCCAUAUCUUAAGAUGUUAUCUUUUCUCGUGUAGUGCUCCUUAUCUUAUAUUACCUUACGUCAGUGUAAUACUUCUUAUGAAUAAAGGUCUACACUGACGUAAGGUAAUAUAAGACAAGGAGCAUUACACGAGAAAAGAUAACAUCUUAAGAUAUGGAUCGUUAGAUUAAAAAAAAUUAAUGGCUAGUAAUUUAGGCUCCACUUUACGAGUAGCGUUGAAUCGGAGGAGCUAGCUACCCAUCUCAUACACCAUCUUCACCUUCUUACAAUACUGUGAUUAGAUUAAUAAAAAGGUCUACAUAAUCUCCUUUUGUUCAAAUUCUUGAUUUCAUAUACACACAAACCCCCAUAUAUAUACACACAUUAACAAGUUUUCUCUGUUAUCACUUUGAUUCAUAUCUUACCAAUGGAAAAACAAGGUGAUGGAGGUGAAGUCCUUCCUGACGGAGGUGAUUCUCCAAAAAAUCAUUAUCAAUCUUCUUUGUCCCCUAACCAUACAUCAGAAGAUCAGAUCUGGGAAAUACCCUUUUCUGAGUUUCCUUUUGAGCAUCAACCUCCAAUUGAUUACACUGACUUUGAAUUGGAAGAUUUUUCCAGUUAAUUGGCUCAAUGAUACGGGUCUUGGUGACAAUUAUGAAAAUACAAAUAAUGUUUUGAUUGCUGGAAGUGAAAAUCAGAACAUGACAAAUAUGGAGCAGCUUCGGAACUUCAGAAGUUUCGUCGACAUAGUACUUGGCUUUGCUAGGCUUUUGCUCUACAGUGCAAAAAGAUCCUUGGAGGAGAAUCGCGACUGUUGAGAGAUCCUUUGCACAAUGAACUAUGGUAAGAAUUUAACCAAUGCACGCUUCUCUUCAAAGAAUUGUAAUAUAGAUAAAAUGUUACGAGAAAUAAAAUGAACAUGCAUGCAGAACAUUAGUAAAUUUAAAGGAGGGUAAAGAGGUANNNNNNNNNNNNNNNNNNNNNNNNNNNNUGUCGGAAGAGAGCACCCGUCGUCAAUGCUGCGCAGGUAUAUAUGAUCAACAAACUUGAGUAUCAUGGUCAAAAGGGAACUGAAUGGAUCUGGGUUUUGCAGGAGAGAUAGUUCAGGGGUAAUAGUUUAAUGCAAUUGCUGCCCACCAUUAGUCAGGGCCGUAUUAAAAAAGUUUGAACUAACAAGAUAGCAUUUCUCCUAACAAGUUAUAAGUGCAGGAUGUGAACAAGCUAAUUAUGUUAGUUAUUACUUGUAAGGAGGCCCGUUCGAAGCCACGAAUUGUGGAACUUACAGUUAAAGAAUUUCUAAAUUUCUCCCCAGCACCUCCCCCCAUAGAUUAUUAUAGUAACAGGGAAUAGGGAUGUUAAAAACCAAAAUCUAUUGUAUCACAUAAUAUAUUACUUUUCGAUGCUCUAACUAAUAAAUUAAAUCUCAUAAAUUGUGUAAGAAAACACUUUUGACCUGUUUCUAUUUCAACAGCUUAUUUAUUGAUUUUAGCAAAUGUUUUUUCUUUUGAACACUUUUAAUGACAAUUGUUUUCAUGAAAGCGUUUUUCGGUUCGGGAGAGCAUUUUUGUGGACAGGGAGGGCACUUUUCUGGGCAACACCGGUCCGGAGGGCACUUUUCCGGGCAGCACUGAUCAGGAGAGCACUUUUGCGGACUACACUUUUCAGGAGAGCACUUUUCUGGACAACACAUUUCUCGGCAGGAAUUAUUAACCACACUACCAAAAGGAGCCAUAAGCUUUGGCGUAGGGAGGCAACAUUCUGGGUACUUAACAGCUAAUUUUUCCCGAAGCAUCUUGACAGUGUUCUGGAUGAAAGUGCUCUGUAGACUGGAAGUGUUAAACACAUUAUUAUUAUAGAAACUCUGUAUAUUCAAGUAAACAACAUUAUGUACUAGAGAAAUUGUUUAGAAAUUAAAAAUUUAGGAAGAAAAUAUUUGAAAAUAUGGAAGAUUAAUAUUACCCCUCCACAUGGUCUCCAAGAAUUUUACCAACUUCUACCAGAGCUUCUCUCCACUUCUCCACCUUGUCGUUGUGUCUUGCCCUAUGCUUUUCAAGCGCAAGGCCGUAAUUCCCAAGCUGGUAUUUAAUAUCUCUGAUUUCAACCUCAUACAAAAUCGGUAUGACAAAAUACUUGGAGUUCUUACUGCGUUCUAAAAUGAGGACGAGUUCAUCCAGACACCACGUAGAAUAAGCAUGAUUUUGGGAAAAUAUAAUUAUGGCGCUCAUAGAGUUUCUGAUCCCCUCUUUGAUCCUUAAAUCCACUUCAUCUCCGACACAAAUAUCCGUUUUGUCCAUGAAAACUACAAAUCCUUGCGCCCUCAAAGCCUCGUACUAGAAGCAUGUAAACUUGUUGCGAGUUUCCCCUCUGAAGCUCAAGAAGACAUGACAAAAUGAGGUUUCUUAGCCAUGUUGUCAGCUUCUUUCGAAUAAUAAUUAGGAUAGACAGAAUAGAAGAUUUAACUAGUAUAAUGAAGAUGAAGCAAGUUCGUUCUAUAAUAAAUUGAUCUUCUCACAGCAAUAUUAAUUAUAUUGUAAUUUGAACAACAAUUAGUCUGAUGAAGCUUCCACAAAGUUACCUAACUGCUGUAACCAACCGCGUUAUUAUAUUGUUAGAGUGCAAGAUAACUCCUCAAACAGUUUUGUAACAAACAGUUUUGGCCGAUUCAAGUGGACUAGUUAAAUGGAGCCAGGAGUCAACUAUAAAACGUCAAGUCUCCUCAAACAGUUUUGUAACAAAGAAAUACUGUAAAUGCUAAAAUCAACAAUGUUUAUUUGAUGGAGUACAAUUGCCAGCACAUGAAUAAAAAAUUUGUAAACUAAUAGGAUCUCAAACAGGAAAUCUAAAUAUUUUUUUAAUUAUAUUACUUAUUAUAUGUACUCAAACUUUACUGUAUAGUUGUAUGGUCUGAAAGCAUAACAGCAAUAAUUUUAUAAAAAAAAGCUCUAUUUGUAACUUGUUGUACACAGCGUUUUUAGCAAGUGCCCUUGUCAGGAGGGUAUUCAAGAAACGAUUUUUGUUUAAACUAACCAUUCUGUAUGAGCUAUAAAUCAUUGCUAUUGUAUUAUUGUGUUGUUCAGUGUUAUCUUGCAGCUGUUUAGACAAUUGUUUGUGUUAUGGUCACAUAGUUGUAUAGGUUUUGAGACGAUAAUUUAUAACAUUUACUAGUUAUUGGAAUAUUAUUGUCGCAAUAUCAACUCUUACUUUAACCCAACAUCUGUUCACAAGAAAAAUUACAAUAACAAAGAAAGAAUGUCCUUGUUUCUUAUGUCACGAGGAGACUUACGUUUGAUGGAGGUAGUGGUCCAACAAAUUUUUUAACAAUUUUAAUAAUUAAUAUAAAAUUUCAUGAAAAAUAUUCAUAAACAUUAAAAGGUCAUUUCUAUAGAGUGCAACAAUAAACUAUAUUGAACUGAUUCACUCAGUGCUGACAUGCAUACAUAUAAAUUGUCAAGUUAUUAUAUAUAACAUGUAAGUAAUACUACUGAUAGUCUUAAUCACACAAUCUAUCUAGAUCUUCGUCAUUAUAUUUACGGUCAUUUAUAUACAAAAUUUAACACUCAUAUAUACAAAUCAAAAAAAUGUUUGUUGUGUGUGUAUGUGUGUGUGUGUCUAUAACAUUGAGAUUGAGGGGUGACAAUGACAUUGAGUUCAGAAAUGUUUGUUGUUGUAUAUAUCGACCUAUAUAUUUUGUGUAUACAAAUUAUAUCACUCUUAAAAAGAGCAUAGACUUUUCAUUUCCACUUACAUAUCCUUGUAGCCAUUGUAAUAGUCUAUGAAUGAAUUUAAAAGUACCAAUUUUGCCAAAAGUAACUAGAUGGGCUAGGGUUUCUUGUCGAUGGAUCAACAACAGCUGUAGAAGCCCGUUAAGGAAUGCCUAAAUGUUAAGGCACAUCCUUACCACCUAUGAAAACAACCCAUCAGAAUACAGGAUAAGUGAUCCAAAAUCAGGUGUAUGAGAAGUUUCCACAAGCUCACCAAACGAGGACUACUCCCACACUACGCAGCAAGACUUCUGUGGUCUUCGUCCACUACUUUCCAAUGAGGAUGGCCCACUAGAAUGCAAAGUAGUGUCUUUAACCUUGUAUACGAAUCCGGCCCAUGUUAAUGACCCAUAGUGAAUUUUGGGUAUAACAACUGUUAUUAGACUUUUCAUAACACAAUCUCUUUCUUGCCUUUUCCUCAUCAUCGGAAACCCUAUUUUCCCGAUCAACCUCUUCUUCUAAAUCCUUUCUAAAAACAUUCAUUUCAUCUUCAAAUUCCAUUCCGUUACCAUGUUUUGAUUAUAAAAACUAUAGCCCAACCACCACCACUACCUUGUAACAUCAAUAAAAUGUUAAGAUGUUUUCGAUAUAUUUUUAAUUUGCGAAUUGGUGCUUGAUAUAUGUCUAAUUUUUCUCCUUUAGCUUACAAAACCCUCGAGCCUCCUCACUCUUGUCCAAUUUUAUCCGAUUCAUUUCUGAUCUACUUGAUUGUACUUGUUAAACUAAUUACAAAGCAUUUGAGAAAUUCGACUUUUUCUGAUUCGUAUCGGUAAGCAUUAGAAAAUAACUAUUUAUGUUUUUUAUCUAUUUGUUUGGAUAGAUGCAGAGUCACAUGUGGGAUCGAGCCUUUUGCGAUUUAAUUACCUCAUUGUUAUGACUUAGUUUUAAUCUUUUUUUAUACAGGGUUUUUUAUAAAAUUAAAAUUAGAUUUAAUGAUUGUAAAAUUGAUCCUCUAGAUUUUAUAUUGAAAAAUUUACUUAUUAUGUUCUCUUUCUUUUUUCGAUUCUUGCAUCAGUGGAAGUUAUUAUAAACAAUGAAGAAAAUGCUCCAGGAAGAUUUUUUAUGCACAGUUAACCACCUUCUUCUGGUGUCUGAAUUUCGGGUAAUUUUCUUAUUUUUGCUUAAUUACUUUCAAUACAUGUUCUGUUUGGUAUUAAUACCAAAUUUGUUGAAUUGAUUUUGUUAUAAUUUGUCAUGCGGAUUUGAAUUAAUGAAUUUUAUUUAAAUGAAUUCUAUUUCUAAUGCUUUAAAAAUUGGAAAAGAAAUAUAUAUUUAGUAUAGUAUAAUUUUUGGAGAGUUUGUAAAGUUUAAGUAUGAGAACUUAGACUUUGUUUAACAUGUCUUUAAUUUUUAUUGUGUAUAUAUAGAUAAUCAUUUUGAUAAUUUUUAUAAUUUCACUUAUAUUAUUUAAAAAAAUAAGUUAUGUUAUGUGAGCACUGCUUUACACCACAUAUAUUCCCAUCCUUUUGUUGUUGAAAGUAACAAGAAAAUUGUAUAUACAUAUGCUUUCAAUUUUCAUCUUUUGAUCCAGAAACCACCACAUCAAUCAUAUUAUCUACUCUACUCAAGAAAAAUACGGCAUAUGAACAAACAUACAUAUACAUAUAUAUAUAGGCCAUAUAUAUAUAUAUAUAUAUAAACAACUCCAAACUUGACCGGAAAAAUUGAUUAUGUCAUGGCCAAGUGCACAAAAGCACAAAGUAACUUAAAAGCACCUUAAACAUUAUCAAUUCUAAGAAUGUGAAAAAUGAAAUUAUACACGAUUAGAGGGUAGUUUAAAAAUUUCUAGGUGACAGAUUAUAUACAAAAAAGUACACACCACAUUUGAAUACAAGUCCUUCUCCGCCUAAAAAAAGGGACUUUGUACUCUGACCUUAAUCUAACUCUGGAUGAAGAUCUCCAAAAUGAGAAACGAGCUUUACUUGUGUUACUCUUCAAUCCCUUGAAAAUUUUAUGCACAUUAACAAAAUUAUUACCUUAUAUUGGCAAUCCCAAAUAGAAAACAUAAUUGUUACCUGCAAGUUGUGCUAAUUAGUUCUGAAUUUUUAGGCUAAUCUCCAUAUCUGAGUGGAGCAGUCAGAACUAAUCCAUCUGACAUUAUUUCGGAAGUAGAGGCUAUGCAUUAUGCGAUCACCAUGAAUGAUUCUCAUGAUAUGGCAUAUUGGCAUAUUGGCUUGCAGGUUUGUGCAGAGUAUGGAGAGAGCAUGUCUUGAUCACUAUAAUGUACUAGCAGGGGUUUCAAUUUCAGAUUUAAGGCUGCUGACUUGCUGCAAUCUCCUUAGGUUUCCGAAAAUUGCUUCCCUGAAAGCAUAAUCCCUAAUAAUACUCUUUUUUCUCAUUCCUCUCAUGAUGUUAUUACUACUUAAAAGAUAUUCUUUUUUACAAACUUCUUAUGUACCUUUUUAGUCGAUUCUAAAGUAAUCACUUUGUCUUUGCAGGUGGGAAAAACUUUUGAUAGGCAACUCAGUUUAGUUGUAGAUCUUGAAUGGAAGACAACUGUGGAAAGCCCCAUAUUUUUUCCUCUGCAUUGGUGAUGACCGAUGAGAAGAAGACAUGUAAGAGUGUACUUCGAAGAUUGUUUAAUCAGCGGUAGUCCCUGUUGUUCCGGAAAUCUUUUUUUGCACUGUAGAGCAAAAGCCUAGCAAAGCCAAGUACUGUAUCGACGAAACUUCUGAAGUUCAGAAGCUGCUCUAGUUUUAGCAUAAAAACUCCACUGCCCCUCGAACAUUUACUUUCCAUUUUUUGAUACGCGAACAUAAAUUUCUUUCAAUGUAGAGAAUGCAGUGAAUGAUUUUGGUUCACUCUUGAAGAAUAUCAUUCUGAUCCCAAAUCUGUGCAAGAAUAAAUAUGGAUGUGGAAACCCACACUUCUUACAGGAAUGAAAUCAAAGAUUUGCUCAGAUGAUGGUGAUUUCACAAAGUAAGAAUACGAUGUAGGCACAUAACAGAGUCACAAGUAUAAAUUUCGUAAGAAAAAACUAGCACAUGUCAUCAUAUUGAUACAUUAUUAGGAAAAUACAAUCAGAAUAAUGAACAACGCAACUAAUUGAUAAAAGUGACUAAUCAGGGAUUCAGAAAGCAAAAUCUGAUAUACUGGAUAUUAUUUCCGGUAUUUAUCCAUGAGAUUUUCAUAUUAAAAUUAAAAGUUUAUUUGAAGAUGUUAAAAAGUGCUUGAUUAUGAGCUUAAUCGGAUAUAUCUGCUUCAACAACAUAUUAACAUGAUACUGGCCUAUUUUUGCACAAGCUUGAGUUAAACAGCAGGAGCAAAGCACAUUUCAAGUUUUCCAAGUUGAAAAUGUCAUAAAUUCAAAAGGUAACCUCGAGUUACUGCCACAACUAGGAUCUCGUCAAAGUGAUGAUCAUGCAAUUUUCAUUCACGAACACGAUGUUUUAACAUUACCAAUAUCUACGAAACAUUGCAUUUGACAUGGUAGCUUGAAAGUGGCUCGCAAAUCUUUGUGAAUAGUAGUGAUACAUCAGUGAUCCGAUAAGCUUUUGUUUAACUUCGGCAUCAUAAAAGCCCUCGACCUCUUCUUCUCCGCACAGGUCCUUCCCAUUCACAAUCACCAUAGGAAACCUUACCUUGUCAUUUCCAACCAGAUCUUUUAGCUCUCUCAAAUACCGUGGCUCAAUUGAACAGUUUCUCUCCUCAUAUACAACAUUUCCACUUCUCAAAAUCUUUUUUAAUGCACCUGCAACAUCGGUAACACUAGUAGUUGUGUACAGAAUAAUCUUGUCUUCAGAUGACUCGUGUCUUGACGAGGAGGACGAUGAAGAACUGCCUUGUAAAACUGGAACUUGUUGAGUUGGGAGGCGACAUUCUGGGAACUUAGCGGCCAAUCUUUCUCUAAACAAUUUGACGGUGUUUUGGAUGAAUGUGCUUUGUAAUCUGAUAGUAGUAACAAUCACCACUUGUGUAAGAAAGUAACAAGAGCAGAACAUUUUAAUGUAGCAUGAAACAGAGGAUCAGUUGCAGAAAAUGGAAGAGAAAAAUUACCCCUCUACAUGCUCGCCAAAUAUGUUACUAACUUCUACCAGAGCUUCUCUCCACUUCUCAAUCUUGUCAUUGUGCCUCGCCUUAUGCUUUUCCAGCGCGAGUCCAUAAUUACCCAACUGGUGCCUAAUAUCACGUAUUUCGACCUCAUAAAAAAUGGGAAGGAUAAAAUACCUAGAGUUUCUGUUGCGUUCAAGGAUGAGUACAAGUUCAUCAAGACACCAUGUAGAGUCCGCAUAAUUUUUGGAGAAUACAAUUAUGGCGCUCAUAGAGUUUCUAAUCCCCUCCUUAAUUGUCAAACUUACUUCGUCUCCAACACGUAUAUCAGUUUUGUCCAUGAAGGCUACAAACCCUUGGGCUCUUAAGGCCUCGUAGAGAAAACAUGUGAAUUUGUUGCGAGUUUCCCCUCUAAAGCUCAAGAAGACAUGACAAAAUGAAGCUUCGUUAGCCAUGGAGAUUUAGCUCAUUUACAGUUAAAUUAUUAUAAGGGUUUGAAGAUUUGGCUUUCACUUUAUAGCUGAACUCCAUCAUAAGAUGCUCAACACAAAUCGCCAAAUUAGUACAAAAUCUUCGCCAACACAUUUAAGGAGUGCUUUGGUNACUUUCGUUAAUAGAAAAAAAUAAACAAGGGCCUGCACAAAUGUCCAAAACUAGACAUAUACCGAACAACAGAAUCAGAGGUAUGCACAAAGCAUACACUACCGAUACGUUCUCUCUUGUUCUUCUCACCAAAAGUUUUUCUAAACGAAUAGAUAUGUUCAUUUUCUUUCUCCCAUUUGCUGCAGACUGCAGUUACCAAACGUGUAUGUUAAAAACGCCAUAGCAGUGCCAAAUUGCCUACAUUUUUUGUUACUGAUAAAAUUAUGCAAAAGUUAAGUAAUAGAGUGCCAAUAUCACCUGAUUUUUCUCAUUCACUCUAUUGAUUCUUCUAUGACCUGUUUGAGAACUUAAGUUUCAUUUGAACUUCUGGAUACAAUCAAAAUGACAUGUUUGGGUACACAAAAAAAAGUUGGAUUUGAAUUUAAAUUGAGGACAUUCAAAAACUAAUAUAAAACUCAUAAUUUGAAAUGACACCUGAUAUCAUAAAAAUUGAAAUCCAAAAUAUGAAAUGAAAUACAUUUUCUCAAAAGCAAUCGUAAUGAAACUUAGUACUCUAAGUUGUUUCACAAAAGUAAGUCUAAAACAUUCCCAUCAUUCUUGUUUGUUCUUUUGUUUGAUUUGGCUUUAGACCCUUUUUUUCCUUUGGUGAACUUUUACUUAGCUAAUACAUCUUCUGUAUGAAAUCAUACCUCAAGUUUUCUUUUGGGUUUCAUUUUAAAUUUAUAAGCUUUAAAGCUGAGUUACGUUAAAAAUCAUCAGACUCUUGUUGGGACAGAGCAGCAAAAAUGUCAUCUGACUUGACCAAUUCAGUACCUCAUGAAUGGCUGAACGUCCUUGGCAAAAUUCAGGCUUAGAGUGGAGGUCUGUUGAUUCUCCAACAAAGAAGGAAGUAUAAUGAUAUUUGGCAGAGAGGGAUAUCAACAGUUUAUUAGAAAAUAUAUUGAACAGUAAACACAUGCACUUGCACACAAAUUAUUUUGUUUGUUAACAUGGGAUGGCAACGGAUUGGAUUGGACUGUGUUCUUCGAUCUCCAAAUCCAAACUCAAAUUUUUUAACAAGAUCCGGACUCGAAAAAAUCUGAUAAACCUGAAUCCGAUCCACCGAAUUUCGGAUCAAAAUUUACCUGAAACUCGAAAAUUUGGACUCGAAAUCAAAGGCAAGUAUGGGAAGAUUUCUGUUGAGCCGGGGGCUUCAUGUUUGAUCAUCCAUGUCUGCUUAAGUACUCUUAUGUUAUCGUUUACAACGUCUUGUUUUCACUAAAACAAUCAAAAAGAGCUAGACUACUAAGAUAUACGCAAGUCAUAAUUCUAGGAUAUAAAAAAAAUUACAAUACAUGGUUCUUCUAUGUAUUUUUAAGAUUGUCAUCAAACUCUCUUGCAAAAUGAGAAUAAACUUGUCAUCAAACUCAUCACAAUUAAUUAAAAUAGUUAAAUUUAAACCAUCUAACAGGUCUAAAAUAGAAAAUCUUAACUUCUCUCCGGCUCAAAGCCCACCUGCCUCAUCCCGGGGUCGGCCAGCUAAGCGAGGCAUAACUGAUGUUGUCCAAUUUGGGCCUCGUGUUAUUAGAGUUGUUCUGGACUUCUGGUUGCUUAUGUUCUAGCUUCCUCUCCCUCUCAUAACCGAUAUGAGACAACUCCUAACACUAAUCACCAACAUUAGAUGUGGUUGCAUAGCCUGAGUUACAUUCGAGACAAGUAGUGCUAAUUAUGGACUAGUAUGCUGAUUAGGAGAAUAGGGAACGUGUUAGCGUUAUCCUGCGGGUGUCAUUCACACGCAGUCUUUUGGCUCGCAUUUGGUAUAGUAAAAAACUGAGCAGGAAGCUGUUUGGAAAAUCGAAAAACAAAUCAUUGACGUUAAUAUUAAAAAACAGUUGGUGGAGCUAGGUUGGUUCUGUCCUAAUCUUAAUGAAGAUCACCACCUUAGUUAUUAGUACUAAUCUAACUGGAAUCGGAAUCACUGAUUGACUUUGCUGAGCGUUGAGAAUUGAGAAGUAAAACCAUAGAAAACUAAUCAACUGUUAUAAUAUUGGAUUCUGGGAUCUAGAUCAAUUUUACAGUACCUAUAACUCACAAGUCAACGAGCCCGAGAACCUGCUGUAUACAACAUGCUCCGAUGCCAACAAAAUCUUGAGCUUGAACUUGUUCAACGAAUCCAUGCUUAAGUUGAUCGUCACGAAUUCCUAUUAAAGACUCGGAAACAAAUAUCAUGAAAUGUAACAUCACAUCGUUAGAUAAAGAAUAUUUAGGCCUCCAUAAGCACAAGCAAAUAAUUAAUAUAUACCAAUUUGCUAGUACUUUUGGGCCGACCCGUGGUGGGUGGUUGGGUCCAUUAUGCAUUCAGUUGUGAGUUUGGACAUCGGGCAGGGGGUGUUUGUACUUUGUAACAUCCUACAUCUCCCUCCAUUCCAAAAUAAUAGUCGUACUUUGGAACAGAUGGAGUAUUUUUUAUAAAGAAAAUCUCAGAGCCAAUCUGUUUGAACUCACAGGUCCAGAAAUGAAGUAAAUAUUUCAUACACUUGAAAGGAAGAUAGGUCCUGCAAUAUUUGUUUAAGCACCAUAUAGAUAAGUACUUACCAGGCCACCAGCAUUAUUAAGCUACUUCUCCAAUCCAAGCAAUACAUGCGGAUAUCUGCAAAUCAAUCAGUGAUGCAACAAGAUAUCCUCUCACUUAAUUUACAGGACUCAAAUAACAAGGCUGCUAUGUAAGUUAAUAUGAUGAGACCGACAUCUUGUUUAUUUAAUCGACAAAUUUGUUUUUAUGAAACAUAAUGUUAACCCUCUUACAUUGUUAAUGAAAUUCCCAGAAAGAAGGUUCCUUUCACACCUAAAAUAAUCAUUUUAACUACAUUCACCAGAUGCAUAUAUUAUAAGUAGCAGUAGUGGUAGUACUGGCCAGGCAGAUCAGAGCAUUCGCCAUUGGACAUACGCUAAUGGAGAGAGCAGGCUCAUCUGAAAAUCCAAUGGGGAAUGUUCAAGAGGCCUAUUGCUUAGCUGAUUUAGUUGAUGAAGCAAAUUUAGCGCGUUUCAUUUCAUUAAGUACAGGCGACACUGCUCAGCCAGACGUUCAUUUUUGUCACAAUUUCCUUGAUUGUGAUACCAUUAAUGGCUGUUUAGUUAUUAAUCAGUUCGAACCUAGUUUUGGACUUCCAUAUGAUCAUGUCGAUAACCCCCCUAUAACACCAUUUUCUGAUCCACAUUCUCUUUUCAAUAAUUUGCCCAACAGUUGCAAUGAACUGAAAGAAGCAGAAGAUGCAUGCGAAUAUUCUUCUGGGACAAUGACAACUACAACUACGUCUGCGCCAAAGAGGAGCAAAAAGGGAGACCGGACAAGAACAUUAGUUCAAGAACAGAGGAGAAGAAGUCGGAUGAAGGACAAGCUAUAUGCGUUACGUGCUUUAGUUCCCAAUAUAACCAAGGUAAGGUGCUUAAGUCUUGCAUCAGAAAAUUGAUAUUGUUAUUAGUCCAUAUCAUCUGAAACUUAAUGUGUAAAAUGAUACAUGCAGAUGGAUAAAGCCUCUAUAGUUGGGGAUGCUGCACUAUAUGUUCAAGAUUUGCAAAAACAGGCUAAGAAGUUAAAGGCUGAAGUCGCAAGCCUGGAGUCAUCACUAACAAGAAUGGAGAGACAACAAGGAGGCAUAAAUGACAAUGAAAACAAGAUUCGAACUGCAGACUUCUAUCCAACAAUUAAAAUAAUAUUGCAGGUUAUUUCUAAUUAUUACUCCGCAUCAUUUUCUAGGACUUUUUAAGCUACGAAAGUCGCAUAAAAAUGUGUCACAUUUCUAAAACUCAACUUUGAAUCGAAAUGCAGAUAAGUGUGUGUCAAGUGGAAGAGAAUGGAUAUUAUGUAAGAGUAGUGUCCAACAAAGGUCAUGGAGUCGCAGCCUCGCUUUACAAAGCUCUUGAUUCGUUAUCCACCUUCAUUCUUCAUUCUUCCAACUUGGCUACUCAAAAUGAAACUGAUACUUUUCAUUUCACAUUCAAUCUGAACGUAAGUUCCCCCCCUCUAUUAAAACAUUUUACUCAGCACAAUUUACCCUACAUGCUCUUUUAAAACUGUGUAUGUUGAAAAACCAGGUCAAAGAAGUCGAAUCUGACAUGAAUGCACCAAAUAUGAAGCUAUGGGUAGCUGCGGCAUUUCUUAACCAAGGAUUUGAUUUAAAACAACCUCUGUAGGUCUAGCUCUGGACUCGAUAUUACAAGUUUGAUGCAGGCGUCAUGUGCACUGUCGACCAUUUGGCCAAGCUUAUUAAUUUGGCCAUCAAACACGUCAGGCCAUGCACUAUGGGCCUAAUUUAGCACAAUCUGUGUAUGCCAUACUCCCUCCGUCCCAGUGAAUUGUAUACAGUUUCCUUUUUGGGACGUCCCAUCAAUUGUAUACAUUCCAAAAGUAGUAAAUUUUUAUAAUAUAAAAUAUCAUUACACCAACUACUUUCCUCCACUAUCUCUAUUCUAUAAUAAUAUAAACACUAUUACACCCACUACUUUCCUCCACUAUCUCAAAUCUAUUAUUAAAUAUAAAUGGGUCCCACCAUUAUACCUACUUUUCAUCUAACUUUACUCAUUUUUUACACAAUUUCUUGGUCUCCGUGUCCCAGCCAUUUGUAUACAAAUGACUGGGACGGAGGGAGUAACAUAUUUGGUUGGCUGCUCUACUUUUAAAUGUUGCCUACACCUGCUUAAUUUGUUAGGCUUGUGUAGUACACCUUAUUUGCCAGUUUUAUCAUAUCUGCUUGUAGUAAUAUGUUGUCAAAAAAUUCUGAUUCAAGAUAAAAUAGCCAGCCCCUUUGAAUAAUAUUCACCAACUCAACCAAUAUUUCUCUUAAAUAUUAGCACUGUUCCAAGAAAAAAAAAGUUUUCAGAUUUCAAGAGUUGCCGAAUAGAAGAAGAGGCUUGUGAUAUCCGUCGUCAGCAUUGUUCCUAUCGUAAGAUGAAAAACAAUCAGUAUCACCGCUAAUUACAAGCACAGUUGCGAGAGUCCCCUACAACAAGAGAAGGGUGUGACAUCCCUGGUCCUUCACUAAGAUAAACAGUUCAGUACCAAUAUCUUUCAACACUCGCAAACAUACUGUAAAAAUUAAUUUAACAGCCAAGCAGAACAAUUUUCUACAUUUGCAUAGAAACACAGUGCUUUUGAUCCCAUUUUUUUAUGGCACGAGUUAUCAAACAUUCUAAAUUCUAAACCAAGGAGGAAAAAACAUCGUUAUGUGACAUGGGCGGAUCUAGGAUUUUAUGUCCAAUGAUGGUGCUGCCACUGAACUCCGCCUGUAACAUUCUUCUUAGUUCUUCCACUAAAUAUUUCCGGACGCAGCUAUCUCAAAAACAGGGACGGAUCUAAGAUUUUAAAUUUAUGGAGACAAAAAACAUGAGCAGAGGGAGUAGGGGAACACACACCUCAACUAUGGGCAAAAGCUGUCGUUCCGUAAAUUUCAACAAAUUAAAUAUAAAUGUUCUAUAACAUUUACCCGAGACAAGUACUCUCACUACACUUAUUAUGGCUCCGUCCUUGCCCCAAAAUCUAGAGUUUUCAAAAUUUUGUUACAUAUGUAAAUAAUGUGAUGUUCCACAAGUAUGUGUGGUCAUAUUCAUAUGGAGAUCAAAGUAUAUUCGCAAGUUUUACAAUGUUCAUUUUGGUAAACAGCACUACAGCAGCAUUAUUUAUAUGCUCCUAUUCUGUUUAAGUAUUUUUAGUAAGUUUUGAUUUUAUUGAUAUGAAUCAUAUAUCGGAAACAAGAUUUCCAAACAGCCCCCAACAUCUUGAAGAUGAGCCGAGACUUGAAAUCACAUUAUUUUUAGUUCCCUGCCUCGUUAACGCCCAGGGUGAUAUCCAUCUCUUGAAGAAUCUGGAAUUUAAUCAAAAACAGUAACACUUUCAAGUAGCAGCAGUGAUGGACAAAAAAUUCAAACUCCUUGAUUCGGAGUGUUUGAAAAUCUGUACGUAUGAUAAGCUUAGCAGUCUGUCCAAACUAGUAGUAUUGUGCAUGCCUGGAAACACAUGGGUGAUGGGCCCAGACGUGACACCCCAUUCUGCUUUUGCUAUUCCUGGACCCAUUUCUAUUAUUGCCAUCUCUCCUUGCUCCAUCCUUCGGCCCACCAUCCUGUUACCUUUUGUUAUAUUCACAUUUAUCUUUUUUCUUUAUUUCGUUUCGAAUAUUACCUAGCACAUUCUCCAUGUUACGACGUUCGGCAUUGAUUGAUUGCUACGUGAAAAACGAAAACAGCAUGCUUGUCACAUCUCCGAAUUACUUUUAAAAUUGUAAUAUAUAUUACAAAAAUAUAAUUUAAAUAAGUAUUAUAAUAUUUUACAGUACAAACGAUUUAUCAAUCCAAACAACAAUUCUCGUUCCACCAAACUGGUUUACGUUCAUUGUUGCACGCAUAUUGAGACUUCUGUAGAAGAUAGUUUCAUAACAUUUUUUAAUUUUUAUUUUUUGAAUAAAAAUUUACGCGUCAAACUUUUAUUCAAGAAAAAGAUAUUAUAUAAAACAUUAUAAAAUUAUAUUUUAUGAGAGUCUCAGAUGCGUGACAAAAAUUAACGUUAAAAACUUAACCGGACAAAGGCAAUACUAAUUAAGCGGUGAAAAUUUUAUUAAUCGAAAGACAAUAAUGCUUACAGAAAAGUUGAUGAUUGCAAAUUGAAGAAAUAAAUGACACGGGAUAGAUAGCUCAACAUUGAUCAGGAAGAAACACAAGAAGGAAAUCGAAAUGAAAACGGACUAAAUAAAUACAAACGAGAACGAGAUUAAUCGACCGAAAUAAAAACAACUAUCUAGUAAUCAGUGGUGGGCAAUGGCUCGUGACUGCCACCGAUGAAGAUAAGCUCAUAGAUGAUUCCAGCAAGGCCGCCACCAACAAGAGGUCCGGCCCAGUAGACCCAGUGGUUAGUCCAGUCCCAGCUGACCAGAGCAGGCCCAAAUGAGACGGCAGGGUUCAUGGAUGCCCCGGUGAAGGCACCGCCGGCUAGAAUGUUGGCUCCCACAAUGAAACCGAUUGCAAUGGGUGCGAUGAUUCCGAGGUCACCCUUCUUUGGGUCGACGGCGACGGCGUACACGGUGUAAACUAGUCCGAAUGUCAUCACGAUCUCGAACACGAAGGCGCUCCAUAUUGACACGCCCGACAAUGCAAAGGCUGAUGUUGGCUGCAAAACAGUUUUUCACUGGUGUUAGAAAAUUCCGUACAUUUUUACUAAAACUCGAAUUCUCGACCUCUUGUUACAGGUCAUAAAUAAUUAAGUCUAAUUCAAUUAGUAUAAAACAUGAUUGCGAGAAAAUCGAAAAUCAAGACUAAUCGGUUGAUGGGCUUAUGAUUUAUUGAAAAUUUAUGAGAGAUUUUAAUAAAUCAAGAACUUGUUAAAAUCAUAGAUUAUCAAAAACGUUUUAAUAAAUCAGGAUCUUCAAAACGCGGUUAUAAAAUAAUCUGGUGCUAAGUGAAGUCACGAUAUACCAAAUCUUCAACCUAACCCCUUUAAAUUUUUGUCCUCGUGUUCCUCCUACCGUGUACUUUAAAAUUUAUUACAAUAUAGAGGUGUCCCCAUCACUAAAUAAUCUUUAAGAAUUUAAAAAUAUUUUGUACUAAAGUCGAUAUAAGAAAAAUAGAAGGGGAUAUAAACUCACCAU
This 190757-nucleotide long non-coding RNA is filed under the name Daucus carota (carrot). Its description in RNAcentral is "long non-coding RNA (DCAR_LNC001290)". Lineage: Eukaryota; Viridiplantae; Streptophyta; Magnoliopsida; Apiales; Apiaceae. The record is from RNAcentral.